AACUCGCGUUGCAUUUGUAGAGCUGCACCAGAAACGAGACUGAGCCGGUGCGGAGGGGCCAAUUUUCCAGCCAAAUGCAAGAUGUUAUUUGAAUCAUCUUCGGUUCGUAUUAUAAGUUGUCUAUGCAUACCGGUUUCGCAGAUGAGGUUGAAAAUCUUUUCAUAACGAUUUAAUACUGCCAAUUUGAAUACAUCCUCAUCCAGAUACUCGAGUGCAUAAGGAUAUGACUUUAUAAUCUCUUCCAGAAUCUCGGGAAUCCCAUAUUUUGCCCCAUUAAUGAAUGAUUGUCUAAAUAUUUUCUUCGCUCUUGAUACUUUCAAAACUUCAGUACAUAGGUGGUUAAGCAAUUGAAGAGUCAGAGUAUGCAUUGUUUUUGUUUCUUGGAUAUGCUUGAUGGGUGGUACUGCAAUUAAAAUUAUAUUAAGGACAACAUAACAUUGAAUUCAAGACUUUUGCAUGCUUUAGUGGUAGUUUUGUUGUGUCCCUUACCUAACCAUCCAAUCAGUUCCCAGAAUAUUGCAUUCGCCUUUUGGCAAGCUGUGUGCAACGUAAAAUUGAAGCAGUUCAGAUGCAAAAGCAGGACUAACAGGAGAAAAAACAAAAAAGCAACCUUGAAUCAAGUACCAAUUAAACACUAAUCUAAAUUAAAGUGAUCGUGAGAAGUUGCCAACUCAUAUUGGCUGGUGUAAAGUUUUUUGGGGAUUCAAUAGGUUUCAUAUAUUUCCCUUAAACCGUCACACUUGAAUUUAAAGGCUAGAAUGAAGAAGCCUAAUGAAACUUGGUACAAGCUCAAUUACUCGACUUCUUAUUAAUUAACCAGGAGCAUCAGGUGACAAGAUAUUCACAAAAUCUAUCAGAGCAAUGAAAAUUGUGUAUCCUGCAUAAAUCUCUGAGUAGUAGAGUAUUAUCCAUUGGAAUUUGAUUGUAGAGCUGAUUUCAAAUCCAUUACUCUAACUUAAAAGGAUAAAAAAUGAAGACAAUUUUCUGAGGACAAAUUAAAAUUGUGAGGACCUCGAAUUCAACAAAUUAGCAUUUCUCUACUGAGUGCAAUUUGGCAAAUUGGUUUGACUUAACUCGAAUCUCAGUGAAGUUGAGAAACCAUUUUUAGUACUCAAGUUAGGAUUUGGUCGAGUUUCUCGACCAAAAGUUAAUUUUGGUUGAGCUCAAUUUUGGGCUGAGUUCAGACCAAUGCUUCAACAAUCUAAGCUGAAUUAAACUCCAUUAAUAUUUUAUAAUAUUUGUAGAACGUAUUACUAUAUAAUAAUAUCAAAUUUUUUUAUAAAAUAAGUUUAAGGGAAAAAUCAUCAAAAUUUAUUAAGCUAACUCUCAUAAAUUUGCCUACCCCCUUGUGAACACUAUUUGGAAGGAAAAUUAAUUAGGAAGUCUCUUAAGCAAGCCAGAAAGGUAUCUUGUCCUUUGUAUCCCAUGCAUUCAAAAGUACAAGGACUAAUGAACAUGAGACCCAAGCAUGGUGCCUACUACUUCAUCACAUUUACGGAUGGUUAUAUCUAGAAGUCCAAAGAAUUGCUUUGAUUUAGAUGUUAUAUGAAUAUUGUAAAAAAAUUGAAAAGAAAAAACUAUUACAACAUUAAGGAUAAAUCAUGGACAUGAGUAUCCAUUGAAGAGUUUUAAAAAUCACUAUGAUGAAAAGGAAAUCCAAAGAACAAUGAACUGAAAAAAGUAACCAUAAACUUUUGGAUAUGGUUCACUCAAAAAGGCACAAGCCAACUAUCUAACAUCUUUCGGGGUGGGAAAGGAGGGUUACUAUUUUGAUUGCAACUUAAAUCUUGAAUAGAAUGCCCUCAACAUCAAUUACUUCAAAUCCAUAUAGUUAAGAAGCCAAACAUAACUCACUUGUAAUCCUAAGGAUUAGCAGGUUUAGUUCAUGUAAAUUCUCAUAGAUAUUGUGCUAUAAAGAAAACAAGUGCACUUUCAUUAGAUAUUCUAAUAAAUCAAAGGUUGUGUGAUGCUUAGUGAACAACUCAAUGGGAGUAUAAUUGAAAUUAAGUAAUAUGAAUAUAAUUUCUUAUAGGAUGAUAUUUUGAGUAAAGGAGCAUUGAACAUGAGUCUCAGUUUAUUUGAGGCAAUUAAACCAAAGGAAAAUACUAUGAUAUCUCAUAUCGAAUAAGGGAAAAAGUUCUUGACAUUAUAUAUAUAUAUAUAUAUAUAUAUAUGAGCUUCUCUUAACUAUUUAGACACAUUUUAAUGUUAUGAGGGCUCUUUGAGCCCAAAGUCGAUAAUAUAUAUUUACAUGGUUGGGAGUGAGUUGUUACAAAUGGUAUCAAAGUGUAUCCUCAACCAUGGUAUGAGAGUUAGUUUGUUUGGUCCUGUAAUCCUAUGGGACACAAAUGAGGACUUUAUGUCUUCAUGGGGGUGAUUAUGAUAUCCUACAUUGAAUAGGGAAAAAAGUUCUUAGAAUUAUAUAUGUAAGAGCUCUUCUUAGCCAUGAAAACGUGUUUUAAAUCUCUAAGGUCCCUUUGAGUUCAGAGUAAACAAUAUCUACUUGAUUGGGAGUGAGUUGUUAUAGAUGUUAAAGAUCUUGCUAAGGAUAUGAGUGACUCGACAAGAUAGUAACUUUGAGUAGUGACUUGCCACCUACUAGAUUAUGCCACUAAGUGUGAUUUUACCAUUACAUAUUAAGUCACUGGAUUUAGAUGUGUGUGGCGAAAAACUUGGAGCUAUCUGAUCAUUGUAAUUAUGGGCAUUAAGGUGAAGCUUUCAUGUUUGCAUCAUAAGAUCAUGAUGUUAGGAUAGAUUCUUUAAAAGCGUGAUAUGAUGUAACCAGAAAUGGAGUUCAUUAAUACUUACAUUAUGAUUUCAAUUUUCUAUUUACUAUCCUAUUUAUGAAUUAUGUAUGUUAAGGAUUCAAACCUACAUCACUUGCAUGUACAUGACUUGAGUGAAUUAGGAGUUACAUGGAAAAUCUAAGUCAUAGAUUCCUUGCAAGUUAAUAACUCAUUCACAAUUGGUUCAUGGACUUCAAUAAUCCAUUUGAGGAAUGACUUGCCCUAGUCAUUAGGAUGGGUUUCCCAUGGUGAGUGUACUAGUGUGUUUAGUUAUGUUGGGAAACCUAGAUCUCUCCAUUCCUAUAACCCUAGAUUGUAUAUGUGCAUGCAAAAUACCCUAGGGCUCUAAAUCCUAUGUAAUAGAAGCAAAAAUCAAAAUUUUAACAUUCUAUAAUCUAGAGAAAAGUUAUUAAAAACUUUGAGAAAAUAAAAGGCUAAUCUUAAUAGAGAAAACACCCAAGAGGGGAGGGGGGUGAAUUGGGUUUUAAAAAAUAUUUUUCAAACACAACAAAUUCAAGCAAAGGAAACACAAAUAUAAAGAGAUAAGGUUAGAAAGAGUAAACUCAGAUUUUAUAGUGGUUCAACACUUGUUUGCCUACGUCCACUCUCCUCAACCUCCUAACUAAGUGAAGGUUCCACUAUACUUGAAGCUUCAACCAAGCUUUUAAUCACCUUUAUACUUGGAUUCCAACUUCAAUAGUCUAUUACACAACCCCUUCAAGUCUUAACUCACUUGAAGCUUUUAACACUCAAAUAAUAAGUUCGAAUCUCUCAACCUAGCUCAACAAGGGCUCAAAUACAACUUAAAUGUUAGGAAGAAUCACAAAGGUGCACUAAGGAAUAUGCAAAUGGAGAUUUAAUGCACUAAGGAAACAAUGAGAGCUUUUGAGGCAAGAACAAGUAGGUAGACAAAUAAAUGCAGGUGUUCUCUACCUCAUAAAUGAAGUGGAGUUCUCAAUUUAUAGGUUUCUAGCCUCGGGAGCCGAAAAUGCCAAAAAGUAGUAUUGAUCAGUUGAGUUGAGGGUCAACCGGUUUACUAGCCAUUAGACAAUAAAUGCAUGGUAGGCGACCAUUAUGCCUUGACCGAUCCUUGACCAAACCUCGAUCAGAUCUCGACCGAGAAGGCAUAUCCCUCGACCAAGAAUGCAAAGCUACAAGAAGAGAGAAUAUUUUUUGCAUUUCUCAAUCGGACCUUGAUCAAGAAGGUGUAAUCGAUUGCCCGGUGCCCUAACCAGUUGAGCCGAUUGACCAGUGCCUUGACCAGUUCACCAUUUUUGGCCUAAAAACCUCUUUUUUUUUUUUUUUUUUUUAUUCUUUUCUCUUAUAACACUUAGGCAAGGUAUUUAGGUAAAUUAAUAUGCCACUUUUGAAACAAUUUGCCUAAGGUUUAUUUGCUAAAACUAGGGUUUUGACGGAAAUGUAACUUUAAUGCCUAAACUGAGUUUUUAAAGAGCAUGAAAAUAUAUGAAAUCCUAAGUGCACCAUGCAUUCAUCUUACAUAUGUUUCCUAUUAUUAAAGGGUCUUCUAAUUGUCUUGAUCUUGCAUCCAUUGGGUCCUUUGAUUAAUUUCCAAACUAAUACCUAAAUUCUUUAUAUCAAACCAAUUAACAACUUAACCAUGGUUUGUUAUCAUCAAAACGCGAUUAGGAAAACCCUUGGGCUAACAAACCUUACCUUUGAUUUGAAUGGUUCUCAAAUCAAUUCUACUAAAUGAAGAUGAAAGCCUAAAGAGUCUAGAGGUCUCAUACACCAAAAAUCUUUUGCUUGAUGACUUGAUCCAUGAUCUUGGCACUCCAAAAUGUGGGCUUUGGAAAAGAGGAAUCCUAGGCUCUCUCUCUAGAUGUAGAAGACGAUUGUCUCUCAAAAAGUGAUUGGAACCCCAACCCUUAGAGGGUAUUUAUAGCGUUGCCCUACUAGGCUUAAAUGACUUGAGCCCUCUAAGGCUUGGGUCACUUAAUCUUGUCUAAAAUGGGUCCUAAUUGAUUGGUUAACCAUAUAGGGUCAUUUAAUUAAUCAAUUCAUGUCAAUGAGAUAAUAAAGAGAAAGUAAAAAAUAUAAAUAAUAAAUUUAUAAAUAAAUCUCUAUUUGUUACAUCAUGUCACUCUUUUUAGGACUCAAUUCUAAUAGUUUACACAUUAAAUAGGAUUUACGGUGAGUCAAACAUUGGUCAUUAGGUAGUCUUGACUUCACCAAGCUGCUAUGUUGUAUAAGCUCCCAACCUUGAGAGAAUAUUGAUCUAGUGCUAAGGUCUUCAAUGGAUUUAACCCAUGAGUGAGACCCUAAAGUGGUCAUAUAUUCUCUAUAGAUUGGGUCACUACGAUUGAGGCAUGUGAUAAUAGGUAUUCUCAAGAUAAGCACCAUGAUAUCUUAGGGGUUUGAGACAUUAUGUCCCCUUAGGUGAUCCUAAGGACAUGUGAUCAUGAAAAUUGUGGCCAUAAUAAUUCCUUAAGUGGAAUUUGAUGUAUGCUCUUAGAGAGAUAUAGUAUGUCAAUUGAUCACAUAAUAGGAGGAUCUAAGACUCAAGGAUUGUAGAGGUAGUCUUGAGAGGUUGAUAACAUUCAUCUUGUUAAAUUAUGAAUACCAAUUCAUGGGGAGCUUGCAUGCAAUUGUUAGUAGGUCGCAGACUGAAGUUUUCUAUCUCGAUCUAAUAUCAUAAGGAUACUAAAGUGUAGUUGACUCUUUAUAGUUAGAUUUUGAGUCAACUUUAAAAUUUGAUUUUAGGGGAGCCAACACUUCCCUACGGGUCCUAGUGGUUUCCACUCAAACUCAUAUUCCUUGGUAAAAAAAUAUUUGAGGAAUAGUUGGAUUCUUUAUUUAUAUGUGUGUAUAAGAGCAUUUUGAUAAAUACGGAAGGUUGCACUAGUACAUAUAUAUAGCCUUUUUAGAUUCGGAUAAUUAAUUAAUUGGAACUCAAUAGAACAAAUUAGUUAAUUAGGACUCAAUGAGUUAGAUUAAGUAACCCAAACGUAAGAUGAGCUCAAGUCACUCAAGCUAAGAGGUAAGCCUAUAAAAACUCCUUAAAGGGUUUCAGGCUUAGUACUUUUCAUCCAUUCAAUCUUCUAUCUUAAUAUCUUAAUAAAACCAAAAUGAGAGUGUAGAGUAUAAAAAUAAAAAUGAAAAAGAACUUCUCAUGAGAAGUGAGGUUUGCCUCAACUCUCCUUAUUCAACCCAUUAUCACAUCUUUGGAUUUAAAAUUAUAUCAAAUAAACAUUCAAAUUGUUUUUCUCAAUGGAGAACUAAAUAAGAAGAUCUAUAUAGAUCAACUGACUUGUUUUAUGGAAACUAAAUAGAAAGGCAAAGUUAACAACUACAAAGGUCCAUUUAUAACUUACAAUAAUCAUCUAAACAAUGGUAUAUUACACUAAUGGGUUUAUGAUGGUCUAAGAACACUAUUGCAUGUUUGUUAAAUGGUGUAAAGGUAGAUUCUAUAUUCUAUUUUUUGUAUACGAAUGAAAUGUUGGUUAGGGAUGAUAAUGAGAUGGUUGUCUCUAAAGUGUGGUGGUCGUCAACUUUUAAAAUGAACAACAUGCUUAAAGCAAACUAUGUGUUCAAAGUUAUGAUCCUAAUCAAUCAAUCAAGAAGACUUUUUGGUUUGUUUUACAAAUCAUACACAAUGAAUAUUCUUGAAAAAAUUCUAGAUGUAAAAUUGAAAAUCUAUUGGCAUUCAUAUAGAGAAAGAUAAGACCUUAAGCUUUAACAUGUGUCAUAAGACUUUAGAUGAAUAAGAAAAGAUCACUCAAGGUUCCUAUAUGCUAGCAUUGUUAGUAGCUUAAAGUAUCCAAUGAUGUGUACAUGAACUAAUAUUUGUUAUAUAAUUAGGUUAGUAGCUUCCAAUUAGAUCUAAACCUUGCUUACAAAAAAGCAAUGAACCGGAUGAUUUCAUACCUCAAAGUCACCAUAGGCUAUAUAAUUUGCUAUUGAGGAUUGAAUUUGGACUUGAUUAGCUAUGACAAUGAUAAUUGAGGUAGCAUCAUAAAUGACCCCAAAUCCACAUAUGGUUAUAAUUUUAUAUAUGCUCUAUGAUGUUAGCAUAUAUUGGUGAAAUAGAAAAUAGUCAUGUAUAACAUUGUCUAACAUGCAUGGAGUUGGGAGUACAUUACUUGUCGUUUAGGAAAGUGACUAGUUUAUGAUGUUCAUGCAUAUUUUUCACAAUAUUUCUUGUUCUUUUGAGCAUACUACUAUUUAUUGUGAUAGCAUGGAAACUUUAGCCUAUGUCAAAGACCCCCCCAAGUAUCAUAGUUGAACCAAACACAUCAAUCUUAAAUAUUAGUUUAUAUGAGACAUGGUUACAUAGGAACAUAUUUCUACUUGAUUCAUGGUUAAAAAUCCCUCCCCCCCUCCCCUAUUGACUAAGCUAAUACGUAAAGAUGUUUAUUAGGGCCAAGUUGAGAGCAUUGGAUUAUGUAGAUAAUGAUUACAUAGGAGUUAAGUUAAGAGAAUUGGAUCAUGUAGAUUAUGAUUACAUAUUGUAUAUUUCAAUUAACCAUUAUACCUAUGAUUUAUUCAUUGUCCAAUCUUGUUUGAUGGUGCCAUUUAAUUAUUUAUUUUACUUUAUCGACAUGCACUUUCAUUACUUUGCACAACUGAAACAUAAUGAGUCCAAACCACUUAGAUAGUGUGUUAGGUCAUUGAUAUUUGUAGUACUCCUUUUUGUAUCCAAUAUGACUUACAUGUUAGUAGCGACCAAGUAUAGAUAGUCCUAUUGUCUACAUUUGUAAUGGAGCCAAUUGCCAAAUCUUGUUAAUUUAGUGCUUGAUUUAGUAAGCAUGUGCAAAACUUCAGUUCUUUACUUGAUGCAAUUAAACUAAGAUUUGUACGAUAUAGAAGAUCUAAGGUACACUCAUAAUGAAGAUCUCCAUGUUGGCAUGUAUAUUCAUACUAUAUCUUCUUGGUAAUCAAACAAGAAUGAAUGAAUAUAUUCCUAGCUACUUCCUCAUCCUGUGUAUUAAUCUUAUAGGUAAUUAUAUAGGAUAACUUUUAUGCCCUUGUGAUUUUCAGUCAUAAGUUACAUAUAUGGUGUAGUUUGAAAUAUUUUUCUAGGGGGAUUAACCAUGUUUAACUCAAUGUGAAUAAAUGUGUUUAAGAUAUAAUGAGACACCUUUUAGGGAUGAAUUACAUUGGUUAAGAUGAAAUUUAGUUUAAUUCUCUUACACCUUUCUUAUCAAUGUGUUCAAAAGUUAUACAAUCCAUUGGUCAAUAUAAACAUGGAUGGUAAUGAUAUAGUUGAGAGAAAUGCAUGAUGUUAUUUUGCCUACUAUGCAUGAGUGGGAGACAAUGGAGUUUCGAUUUCAUGAGAUACUCUUAGUAGAACUUCAUCAACUAAGAACUUGAGAGUAAGUUACAUACUUAUCAGUUAAGAUUCCUCAUGGGAGGAAAGUUUAGUUAAGAUUCCUCUUGUGGGAGAAGGUUCAUAUUUAGAUUUGGUGAGAAUCUGUAAGAGUUGUUUGUCUUUUUGUAAUUCCAAUUCUAGGCCUUUUGCAUAUUUUCAAUUUAGUUUGUGGCAGUUGUUAAAUACUUCUACUUUAGUUUUUAGCAAUUAUAAUUUUUUAAAGCUUGCUAUUUAGGUUUAGAUUUACUAUAUGCUUAUUAGAUAUCUUAAUUCUUAUUGUAUUCUCCUUGGUUAAUAAUCUUCCAAUUUGAUUGUGGAGUUCAAAGAUUUUAACCAAAAUAGGGAUCAGGGUUUUCAAAGUUAGGAAAAGUAUUUAAUACAAUUAAUUUUUGAAUAAGUUUGCAAACUAAAUCUUUCAAUUGAACCUAAUGAGUUUACAUACUAAAUCUCUCAUUUUCAGCCUUGGUUGUUUCCACUCUUUGCAAUUUAAUUAGUUUUUUUUCAAAUAUAUAUAUAUAUAUAUAUAUAAUUCAUUUUGUGUACCUAUAUACUCAAGUUUUUGAGUAAUUAUGAGUUGUAUUGUUAUAUUUAGUAGAAUUUGACAAACUAAAAAUGAUUACCUUUGAACAAUCGAGUCCAACAGCACAUUUGUGUGGAUAGUUCAUAGCUACCAACUUGAUUCUUCAUGCCUCCUCUAUUAGGUUGACUAAGAAAAUGGUUUAAUUUCAUAGGAACACCUUAAGAAUAAAAAUGUCAAGAAAAAGGAAGGAAAAUUAUGCUUCGUCUAAUUUGACUCAAAGACUUAAAGGAAAAAACAUAAUAAUAUAAUAGUUAUUAUAAUGAAUAUAAUAAAAAGAAAAUUUGUCAUGUUCUUCCCAAUACUCAUUAAACCCCUUUCAAUGAAACUUUGUAAGCUAUACUAAUACAAAAUAAUGGUCCAAAUAGUAAAAGCUCAAUAAAUGAAUGUUUGAUAAAUUAAUAAUCUUACUUAUAAAACAAAAUAUUCUAGUCUUAACUCAAGCCAAUGUACUAAAUUAGUAAUCUCGCUAAAUACAUAAGAUAAAAAUAUUUUCAAAAGUCUUUAAGGGCUUAAGAAAUAUAAACUAAUAAUUGAUGAAGUAUAAACAAAAAAUCAUAGUAUAGCAAAUAGAACUUCAUAACAUAGUAUUAAGUAAUUUUUUAUAACUUUUAUUUUUCUAAAUUCACUUCUUUUAGAAUUAUCACAUAUUUGAAAUAGCUUUAUCUUUUACAACAUUAAGUUUUGAUGCCACAUCUUUGUUGGGGAGUCUUUUUUUCUUUUACAAUCAAUAACUAUUUUUUUUUAUUCAGUCUCUUAGGUUUCUAUUUAUUAACUUUUUACCAUGUGUACUAUUUUCAAAUUUAUAAGUUAUACAUGUACAAAUAAUGUACAAUAACAACAUAAUACUCUUCAUCAAUUAAUAAAUAACCAUUUAUCUAUAAAUCAAUAACCUUGCUAAGAUCAUAUUUUUUCUUGGUCCCAAGAGUAUUAUUUUAUAAGAGUUUUUCUCUAUAUAGUUCCUUCAUUGUAGGAAUUUCUUUAGGUUAAUAUUACUAAAGUUGUAAUUUAAAAAAAAAAACUAUUAUGGAAACUAAGAGAACUUUGAAAGCUAUAAAUUAGUGUUUUAUAUCAUUCUUUUUUUCUAUGAAUGCCAAAGCCAUUGUCAAAUAAAAAGAGUAAAUAAAGUAAUUAGUUGAAAGUGAAAUAGGUGACUUAAAACUAUUGCUUUGGUACAUGUUUGUUUUAGGUAUAGUAGAUCAUAAGAAAUAAAAUCCUCUAGCUAUGUUUAUUUGAUAGAAUAAAAAAGUGAGUGUGUGGUUGCUCCACAGGAGAAGACCACAUGUUAGCCAAAGAAUAAGUAACUAUAAAGCUUACAAAAGUGUUAAAUGAUCAAUUUCUCACCUAAGCACAUUAAUGAGAACUAAAUGAUGAAUUAAACCAUACUCAUGCACCCAUACUAAGACCCAUGCCUCCAUGCGGGGAGACCCUAAUUGGUCCCUAAAAGGAGAAGUUUAACAAUGGCCACAUCCUCUAUGCCAUGUUAUUAUUCCAAAAACAUAGAAAGUUAACCUUUGAGUUGAUGCUUAUUUGUUUGGUAGUUUCCACAUUCUUCUUACUAACUUGACAUUUGAAGGCUCUACGACCAUAAGGAGCCUAGAGUGCUCACUUUAGGUUCCUUAUGAUUGUAAGGUCCUAACCAUCCAUUGAAGUAAGAAAGUGAACUAAGAGUUGGAAAAAUGGUGUCAUCUAUGGUUAAGAUACAAAAAUUCAGCUCACCAAAAAAUCACAGUAAAGCUACUAAAAAACACCCCACCCCCAGGCAAGGACCUUCAUUUAAGUACUCCUUGAGGUAUAUCCAAAUCAAAGACCUAAAGUUGAAGAAAUGAAGUCAACUAAACUUGGUUCCAUGCAUGAUAAGGUUGAAAAGCCUGCAUAAAAACCUACAUAAAGCUUGCUCCUUUAUAAGAAUAACCUGAACCUACAAGGGAAGAAGACCUAUAAAAGGAAAUCAUAAACAACAAAGAAAAAAAAGUCCCUCUCUCCUUUGAAAAAGAUUUCUUUGAAUGCAGAAACCUAUUUUUUGUAUCAAAAAAUUGGUGGAAUAAAAAUUUUCAAUUAUCUAUGAAGAGUGUUAGCUUCUUCAUAUGGGAAUGCAUUAAAAGCCUUGAAGACAUUGUUUAGAUCUAUAGCAACAAUUGGGCAAUAGAAAACUAUGCAAUAGAGUUUUGGUAGGGAAAGGCAAUCAUGAUAGAAAUGAAGUGGAGCAAUGAGUGAGAGCAAACCCUUCAAUAGAUGGAAGAGCUCAUUAAAAGAAGCGACUAACUCACUCAAGAAAAUGUUGCCUUUAGGGUAAGGGUAGACAAAUACCAAUGUGACUUUGACCAACAGCUCUCAUUGGCAAGCACCAAUAAGAUGCAAGUUAAUGAAUAAUAGUUAUCGAAGCAACUAGACCAACAUCUAGAUUAAAUUGGGAGAGAAAGGUGGGAUAAACCUUAAUUAAACUAACCAAACAGACCACCUUGCCAAAGGCCCCAAUGCUCUAAGGGAUUCUUGCCACCAGAGCUACCACAAAAUGCAUAAUCUUGGUGAAUAAGGUGAUUGAGCCCAAGUCCCUUUAGAAGGAGAAUGAGGCCAUAUGAGAGUUUUCUCUCCCUAAGUUCAAUUUCUUUCAAUGAAACUAAAGACACCCUAGACUACUUAUGCAUUUCUAUGCAUGUGAUAAUCUUAGAGAAGGGAAACAAUCGACUUUUAUGCAAAAUCUUCCCCUCCAUCCUCCAAGGACUAACUUUGUUUUGUCUUUAUCAACUUACCUUAGAGUUUGCUCCUGAUAUCGAGACCCUAAGGGUGAAGUAUGCCUCUUAGUACAUGCACUUAAAGAUUAUCUACUAGAUUUGAGCAACUAAGCAAGGUAUCAAGAUAGUUAUAGAAGCAUAUGGCAAUUGAAGCAAAAGUCCUCACAUCCUUGCAUGAAGCAACUACCACUUGCCCACAUGUCAUAUGCUUCUCUAAUAAAGGCUUAAGAGGAGUCCAAACCCUGCUCAAGAUCCAUUGGUUAUUACUUUAAGAAUUAUUGACUACAACAUGCACCUAUUUUUAGUUGACCUAACAAGUUUAGUUAACUUGCUAAAUAUAUUAGCCCAUAUAUGAACAAGUGAAUAUGGACGAAGGAAAACUAGUGUCAAGUCUUGGGUCGUUUGUGGGACUAGACAAAGUCCUAUGUGGCUCAACUAGGGAAGUCGCUCUAAUGGUUCCAAUUGGUUGUUGCCAUAUAAUGACACAAUUCUUUGUUAUGGAUAUCCUUUUCCCGAUAAUGCCAUUAUGGGAUGACCAUGGAUAUACAACCUAAGAGGAACACUAUUCACAUACCAUCACACCAUUAAAUUCCUAAUACUACAAGGAAUAUGGGAAAUAUAUCGAGACUAGGUGGCAUCAUGAGUAUGCUACACCAUAGCCCUUAAAGCGGUCAUCAAGUGCAUCAACUAGGACCCUUAGGAAGUUCAUAAAUCAAAAGUCAAAUAAAAAUUAGUAGGUGACCCGAGAAGGCAAUUAGAGAACCUAGGGAGUCAUUAUUCUAGAGCCCCUAAACCUAGGAGGUUCCUUCUAGCCCAUGCAAAAAAAAAAAAAAAAGGUUUCAGAUGGCUAUUAGAAAAGAACACAUCUUUACUAGGAAACUACAAGACAUCGUGGGCAUUGAUCCCCAAGUUACAUGUCAUCAACUCAACAUAAACCCUAGUGGUUAGCUCCUUAAAGACAUUAGAUUGUGAAAAAAAAGGUAUCUAGGCUCUUAGAUGCUAGAUUUGGUCAUCUAGGUCUUCUGACAACAAAUAGAAGUUAGUAUGCUAGUUUACAUUAAUAACAUGUUAGUAACAAGUAAGAAGAGGAAUGACUACUUGAUCGACCUCCUAAGAACAUUUCAAACUCUUCAAAAGUAUUAAAUGAAGCUAAAUAAGUGAAGUGCAACUUUAAUGUAGGGUGUGGAAAGUUCCUUAGGUACUUGGUUACAUACAAAGGAAUGAAAGCUAACCUAGGCCAAAUAAAAUCAACUUUGGAGAUACCAAUGACCAAAAGGGCUAGAGAAGUCCAAAAGAUCACUAACAAGAUUGGUUCUUGAAAUAGAUUUAUAUAUUGAACAACAACUAUGUGUCACCCUUUCUUCGACAUUAGCAAGAAGGGAAAAUGGACUAAAAGAACCAAAAAAUGCAACUAAGCCUAUGAAUCACUAAAGCAUUACAUGAUGUUAACCCCCAUUCUGGAUAAACCCUAGGAUAAGGAGGUCUUACAAGGUCUCAAUAGCAGUAGUAAGUGGAGUCUUAUCUCAAAAAAAGAGGAAAAAAUGAGCAAUCAAUGUACUAUGUCUAAAAGACCCUCUUAGAUGUGGAAACCUGAGAUAUAUAUAAAUAUUGAAAAACUGGUGCUUGCCCCUUAGAUCGCCACAUUGAAGCUUCAAUGUUACUUCCAAGUGCAAGGUAAGAACUAAGUGAUGAGAACUCAAACUUAAUACUUUAAUGGCUUUAAAGGGCCCACUUUAGUGUAUUUGAGGUACUAAAAAAUUAACCUAAGGUUUUGUUUUUUGUAUAAUACCUUAGAAAAUUAUGUUUGAUGCAUUCUAUGACCAUUCUACAUGCUUUAAGGUGUUUUUUUUGUUAGAAUAGAAUCCUUAAAAGCAUGACAUGAUGUAAUAAAUUUGGAAUUCAUUAUUUAUUUACUGAUGUUCUAGUUUCACUUUUAUCUAUCCUUAUUCCAUGUAUUGUACUUUAUGAGUAUUCUUGCCUACAUCUUUUGCAUUGUACAUGACUUAGGUGCAUUAGGAGUUGCACAGAAGAUUUAAGUCAUGGGUUUCUUGCAAAUAGAUUAUUUGUUCACAGUCGGUUCAUGAACCUAGGCAAACCAUUAGAGGUUGUAGUGCACCACCUCCUAAUUGGAGGGAUGGUUAGUCUUGGCCAUGGGAUGAGUUUCCCAUGAUAAGUGCACUAGUGUGUAUGGUUGCACAUUGGAUAGGACCUAUGGUGAGUUAUGACUUAACCCUAUCAAGUAGUCAUGACUCCACCGAGUUGUUUCAUUGUAUUAUCUCUCAACCUUGAGAGAAUAUUGAGUUUGUGCUGAAGUUAAUAAUGACUUUGAUUUAUGGGUGAGGUCGUAAGUUGAUCAUAUAUUCCCUAUGGAUUAGGUCAAUGUUGAUGGAAGUCGGUAACAAUAGGUAUUCUUAAUAAAGGCACCAUGAUAUCUCUUAGGAUUGAGACAGUGUGUCCCAUUGGAUGAUCCUAAGGAGGUGUGUUCAUGGAAACUAUGGCUAUAGUAGUUCCUUAAGUGGAAUUUGACAUAGACUCUUUGAGAUCUAAGAUAUGUUAAUUGAACAUACAACAGGAAGAUCUGUAGCUCAAGGAUGGUAGAAGUAGUCUUGAAAAGCUAAUGGCUUUCACCUUGUUAGACUACGAACACCAAUUCAUGGGGAGACUAAACAUAAUGGACAGUAGGUCACGGACCCGAGCACUUAGUGUCUUCGUUGUUAGUUACAUAGGAUACCGGAGUUUAGUUGAUUCUAUGUAGUGCAAUGUUGAAUCAACUUUAAAAUUGGACUAUGAGGGAUCCAUGGUAUUCCUAUAGGUCCCAAUGGUCCCUGCUAUGAGCUUAUAUACCUUGUUGGAAUGGGUAAUGAGGGUUGGAUUGACUCUAGGUUCACUUUUGUGCAUAAGGGUAUUUUGGUAAUUAUGUAAGGUUAUAUAGGAGUAAAUGAACAAGGCCUCUAGAUUAGGCUAAUUGAUUAAUCAAUUAGAACCCAUUUUGGGCUGGAUUAAGUUACCCAACCCAUGUGGGCUCAAGUCACUUAAGCCUACUUAGAAACCCUAUAAAUACCCCCUAUGGGUUAGGGUUUCCAUAACUUUUGUCUUCCAUCAUCCAAAGAGAUAGAAAGUCAUAGCCUUCACCAUCUUUUCCUCCUCAUUGGAAGUGUGCCAAGAUCAAGGUUCGAGUCAUCGGGCGGAAGACUUCGAGUUUACGAGACUUCUGGGAUUUCAAUUUUCAUCUUCACCAUGUAGAUUUGAUUCGAGAACACCCAAAUCUAAUGUAUAGUUUUUGUUAGCACUUUUUGAAUCCUUUUAAAGUAUAAAAAUGUUAUUUUUCUGUUGUGCAUAGGAUUUAGAAAAAACCUAAGAUAGUUAUGCAUGUUCCUAACCUGAUUCAGACUAGGGAAACAGAGAGAGAUUCAGGUUUUUCCCAUCAUUUUUAGUGCAAUAGAACCUUGUUAGGAACUCAUAGAGACAAAAAUGCCCAAGUAAGGAGGAAAUACAAAUUGCACACCCAAAAGGUGUGCAAGACUCAAUCAUGCACUUCUUUCUUUUUGUAAAGCCACAUAGUACACCUCCCAUGUAUACCUUAAAGACCAAACACACAAGACCUCUCUAAUGCUUUGGACCAAAUUUUAUACCCUAUUCAAGCAACUCGAUCUGCAAACCUCUUAAGUGCUUUAAGCCAAGAUGUUGUGCACCCCCUCACUUGAGUCAACAGGAUGUGUAGUAGUGCAACCCCUUGAUGUCAUCUAAAUUACAAACCAUUCUUACCUCUACAAUAGCUAAGUACUUAAUAAUUCUUCUAAUGAUUGGCUCACCCACCAAAGUAGUAUGUUGUUCAUACCUCAAAGUCUUCAAUUGUACUACCAAAACGUACCCUAACCAAAUUACAUAGAGAAAAAGGUGCAACUACUGACCAUAAGCUAACUAAUCAAGAAUGAAGGUGGUUGAUUGCAAUGACAAAGGACGUGACCCUUAGUAUAAGAAGAGACAAGUCUAGAGGAGUGGUGUCCGAGUAGUUGGAAUGACCGGGGAGGGAGGGGGGACAUUGUUUUGUAUAUAAAUGGAGGAUUGUGAAUAUACAAGUGGAAGAAAAUUAUAGAAAGUGAAAUUGUAGAUAAGUUUUUCUUCUUAUAGGAACAAAAGUAGGAAUAAGAGUAACUUAAUGUAAUUUAAGUUUUUAGGUUUCCAUUGUAAUCUUUUCUUUUCAUUAUAAACUUUCCUUAAUUUCUAGUUUAAUGAAUUUUCUAGUCUUUUUAAUUAUUCUUACAUUUCAGUUUUUCAAUUUCAACUUACAAAUUUGCAUUUUUAAUUCUUUACUUAAUUUUUAACAUGCUUAGAUAACCUUUAACACUCUAAGGGGUGAGAGGAGCUCAAGUCUCCCAUAUCUUAGUUUAGCUAUCUAUUGGUUUAUUUGUGCAUUAGUUACAAACAAUAUGAUCUCUAUCAGUAGUUAUAAUGACCAAAACAAGUAACCAUGGGGAAAAAGUCUAUGUUGCAUUGGUUGUGAGCAUUGUACGUCAAGCAAAUUUGGAAGCAUACUUAGGCAUUGUUUUAAUGAUUCUUUCAACUAAGUAUAGGCCUAUUGCCAUGAAAAUAAUCUUAUCUAAAUCAUUUGGUUGUAAGGAUAUAUAUAUAUAUAUAUAUAAAGAGCAAUUAGAGAGAGAUGAACCUUAUUAAGGUGGUUCUUGUUCAUUUGAAGCAGGAAACCUUUUUUGUAUAAAUCCUUGCUUUGAGCCUAAAUCUGAAAGCAUAAGUUCAAAGCCUUGUUGGUGAGUUGUAUAUGAAAGUGGUGAUCCUAGUGAAUCUCUAGGUUUGAGGUUUUCUUUCCUUUAAUUUUCUAUCUUUUAAACUUUGUGUGUGUAUGUCCUUUUUAUUUAUAAAAUCAUUUUUCUAAUCUUUUAGCUGCCAUUCACACUCCUAAAGCUAUUACCUUAGUUGCUAACAAUUUAAAGUUCCUUGUGGAGGCAACCUAACAACUAUACCACUAUUAAUUUUUUUAUUUUUUUAUUUUUUGGUUAAGGAGUUGAGAGUUUCAAUGAAUGAUCUAGUUUAAUUUCUCUUUGUAAAACUUAACUGUUAAAUAUAUUUCCAAGUUUUGAUAAAAGGAAUGAAUUAGAGAAUGACAAACCAAAAAUUAGUGUCGUCACUAGGGAACUUUCAACAUUGAUGACUCUAUAGGUAUUUUUGUGUAUAUGCUUGUUGUUUUAGAAGCUUAACAAGUAUAUUUCACCCAUUCCCCACCUAUCUUUUAGUUGGAUUUUUUUCUUUUUUUACUUAAUUUGUUUUCUUUGGAUUUUCUUUUUAUUCUCAGUUUUCAUUUUUAGUUGUUAAAUCCAACAUUUCAAACAUUUUCUUUAAAGUGAUAUGAUGUAUUAGGGAAAUGAUUUUAAAAGAAGGGUACUAAGAGUGAGUUUGAGAGUGAUUCUAUGAAGCGUUUCUAACAUUUCUAACACUUAAGUGAUAAAAUGUUGAUCUUCAAGGCAUCAUCAGAGGGCUUCUCAAUAUCUCUUCUACUGAAAAAAAUUUCUUGACUGAAAGUGGCUCUUAACUAGAGGGGAGGGCAUCCCAAAAAUUUUAGGAAACCAUGAAGAAAAAUUUAUCAAAAUGGAUGCUUCCAAUCUACCUGUGGGAAGUAAAGAAAAAGUGAAGAGCCAUUGGCUAGCUAGAAGCUAGCCAAAAACUUGUAAAUAGCUUUCAUUUUUUAUUUUCUUUAUUAUUUUUGUUUAUAUUGCUUUGGCCAAUUUAGUGUGUAGGAGUACCAUCAUAAGAACUCUAAGUAUAAAUUUCUCUAUACUCUAUUGGUUUUAUCAUGCUUCAGAGUAGGUGUAAAUUGUUAGCACCAGGAAAGUGUUGGACAUAUAGGAAUUGCGCACUUUUGAGGUUUGCUAACCCAACUUGUAUGAUGACUUAAAUUGCGUAUCUCAAAUUGUACACUUUGAAAGCAUGACUGAAACUCCACACCCUAAGAGAUUAAUUUAAACGGUGCAUCCAAAGGAGCGCAACUAAAAACUGCACACCUUUAAGCAACCAUUGAUAUUGCCCAGCUUAAAUUACACACCAUAAGCACGCCAUCCAUACUAAAAAUGCCUUCCCAAAUAAAACCAUAAUUGCUUAGAGACUUUUGUCCACCCCACCAUCAUAUCAAUUGAGGUGUGGGUAGCCAACCAAAUUAAUUAUUAUCCAAAGACAGAAAAUUAAUUAAACAGGAUUAGCAUAAAAGAAAAUAACUUGACUUAUAAACAAAAGCAAGGGAGAUGCAAUGGCAAACACAAAGCAAUUUAAAAGGGGCAAGCGAGUAAAGAAACUAACAGUGAUAUAUUAUGAGUUGCCAUAAGUUGAAGCGACUUCCACUUCGGAAAGCCCAAGGCCUUUUAGCCAAUACCGUCAAAGGGGCUUUAUCAUCAUCAGAAUCUUUAGCAUCACCGAAAUUGCAUGUGGCAAGGUCAGGAUAACGUUCAACCAGAUGCAGUGCUACAUCUGCAUAUUAUAAAAUUGUACAUGGGAACCCGACGGUAAUUCAUAUCAAGAAAAUAGAUAGGGGAUGGUAAAUAUAGCUCACCAUGAAACCCCACCAUUAGUGCUCUGCGCAGAAGUUCGAAUCCAGGCGAAUUUGAGAAAGGAUAUGGAGGUUCAUCAUCUCUGGUGACGCUUAAUAAAUAUAAAGUCAGCUCUUUAUGACCAUACCUAACAGCGCUGUGAAGAGGCGCAAAAUUGUCGCGUUGGCAGAUAUUGGGCAAGCUUGGGUUUUUGUUCACUAACAACUUGACUGCUUUUAUAUUGCCAGCCCUUGCAGCGUUGAAAAGGGCAGUGGCGCCAUCAGAAUCCCGCAGAGCCAGUGCCUCACUUGGCAUAAACUCAACCAACUUCUCCACGAAACCCAUUCUGGCCUCUCCUAACUCAACUGCUAUGUGAAGCAUUCGGGAAUCAUCUGUUCCGAUCGGGGCAGAGAAUGAUCGUGGAUCAUCCUUCAAUAAUUUUGGAGCACUUUCCCAGUCACCAUUGAGCACAGCUUUGUACAGUUCCAAGUAAUAGAAUUCUGCAGUCACAAAACCAAAAGAUGUAUAGGUCAGCCUAGAUUUCCCUGAUAUCUAUAUUACUUCAACGUUCACAAAAUCCUAAUACUAAAAUUAUUUUUUAAAAAAUAAAUCAUUUAAGUUAUGUUUGGUUCUUAGAAAAUUUGACAAAUAAUACAAAGAAAAAUUUAAAUAAUUUAAAAUUUAAUAAAUUUAUAACUAAUUUUAAUUACAUUUGAUUUUCUUAAAUAUUUUUUUUUCGAUAAAACCAAAUACGGGAAAAUCAUUUUCCUUGAUAUCUUUUCUUUGCUAAUUAUUUUCUUAGACUUCUUUGUUUACCUCUAAUCAACAUCUUUCUAUCUUUCAAUAAUAGUUUGAACCUCCAAUAAACUACAUGAAUUAAAAUUUAAUUUAGUUUCAUUUUUUUUUAACAGCAGGUUGUAAAACACUUCUACUUGUAUACUAAUUAUGCCCAAAAGUUGCAGGAGGACCUCAAACGGAAAUGGACAUGAACAUGGUUUUUAGCAUCUUACCGGAGCUGCUAAUCCUUUGCAAAGAUGAAGGGGAAGAGACUGGAGCAUAUUCAUCAGCAAUGUCGAUUACCAUUGUUUGGGCUGUCAUCGAUUACCGAGAUGGAAAUGAAGAGAAGUCAUUGCAGUAAACUCCUCACCAUGCUCAGCAAUGUCGAUGUCACUGUUUUUAGGACUGUUUGCGCUGUUGUCAUUUCUAAGACGUAGUGAAGAAGAAGAAGCCUUUACAACAAAUUCCUUAUCGUGCAUAUAGUCAUUGCCAACUAUAUGGAAGAUUAUAUUUAACUGCAGCCCUUUUUCCCAGAGUCUUCAAAAGAUACAGGAAAUGGGCCAGGAACCAUUGAAGCAUAAGAGGUGCAAUGAUAGAGUCUUCCAAGUCAACUUUAUUUAGUUGAGUAGAUAGCGUUGAAAAGUUUUGAUAAUUUUUAUUGCGAAAAAACGAUGUUUUAUAUACUUUUAUUUCUAUCAUACUUUAUUAUUGUUUAUAAGAUAACGAAAUAUUCAAAUAUGAUAAACAAUAGUAAACAUAUAUCAAAUAUAAAAAAUUUCUCACAAGAGAUGCAAUUAAUAUUUUUUUUCUUCAAUAAUGUGUAUAAUAUAUACCAUGUGAUGUAUUAUUUCUAUUUUAAGUUUUGUUUGGAUGUAUUUUUUAUUUUUUUAUAUAUAAAAAAUGAAUUAUAUUUUAAAAUUUAUAUGUGAUAUAAAAAGGUUAUUAUUUUUUAGUAUUUGAUAUAAUACAUUUAUAUAUUUACUAAAUUAUGACAAUAAAUGAAAAUAAAGUGGAGCGGACGAUGUAGGUUAAGGAUUAAUGUCUUUCACAUUAUAACAUCUUUCACAUUUAAUCCUUUCUGAUGUGAAUGCAGUACAGCAAAAGAGAAAGUACCAUUAACUUGAAUGCGAGAAGGGUGAUUGAUCUAUCAAUCUGUACGUGUCCUUCUUGAAAGGGACCAGAUUCUAUGGGGUAGCUUAAGGAUUAAUGUGGGUGCCUGUAGCAUGAAAGUGGAAGGAAUUAAUCCUGUGCACCACACAUUGCUAUGAUCGUUUGCAAUAACCAAUUAUAUAAAAUCUAUUGAAAUAUUUUAUAUAAUUAACUUUUUGGAAUUUUUUUAUCAAGUUGUAAAAUAAAGAAAAUUUAGGAAAAAAUAUUUUUGUAAAAUGAUAAAAUUUUACAAAAAUGACAUUUUUUUUGUAAAAUGUAGAAAAGGAUACAAGGCUAUGAAUUCAUAAUUGUAUGAUAACCUUUUAGUAUUUCAAUCUUUGAAUUUUUUUGGAGAUUAUUUCCAUAAAUUCCACAUUCCAAAAACAAUGAUAAUCUUUACACAAUAUUAUUGUCAUUUAAAGUGGGAAAAAAUAUAAAAAUAAAAUAAAAUUUUCAAAAAAUUUAGAGAUUGCAAAAAAUACGAGGAUAUGAAGAAUGUGAGGAUCGUCAUAUUUUUCAUACCCUCCUCACAUUCUUCAUACCCUUACCCAUUUGAAUAUUUUAAUCUUUUAAUUUUUUUUUCAAAUAGUAUUUACUUCAAUUUCAAGUGUAAUUAGUGUUUUUACACAAUACCAUUGUCAAAUGAAGUAAAAAAAAAAAAAAAUCAAAAUUAAAAUUUUCAAAAAAUUUAAAGGGUACAAAAAUGCGAAGAGGGUACGAAGAAUGUGAAGAGCCUCACUUUUCUCGUACCCUCAUCACAUUCUCCAUACCUAUUAUAAUUUAUAAAUUUUAAAAAAAAUAUUUUUCAAUUUUUUUAACAUUAUUUGCAUCAAUUUCAAGUGUAAUUAAUAUUUUUACCCAAUAUUAUUGUAAAGUGAUGUGAAGAAAAAUUUAAAAUUAAAUAAUUAAAUAAUUUUAGAGGGUACAAAAAAAUAUGAAAAUAGUAUGAUGAAUGUGACGAGGGUACGAGAAAUGUGAGGAUACAAGAAAUUUAAAAUAAAAAAUAAAAAUCUCAUACCCUCCUCACAUUCUUCGUACCCCUACAAAUUUUUAAUAUUUUAAUCUUUUAAAUUUUUUGAACAUUAUUUGCUUCAAUUUCAAGUGUAAUUAGUCUUUUUACAAUAUAUUAUUGUCAAGUAAAUUAAAUUUAGAGGGUACAACAAAUAUGAGGAGUGUGCGAGAAAUGUGAAGAGGGUAUGAGAAAUAUAAGGGUACAAGAAAUAAAUAAUAAUAAUAAUUCUCGUACCCUCUUCACAUUCUUGUACUCUCCUCACAUUCUUUGUAUUUUCACCAAUUUUUGAAUAUUUUAAAUUUUUUUCGAAUAUUAUUUGCUUAAGUUUCAACAAAAUUUUCGUACCCCACCAAUUUUGUAAUAUUUUAAUAUAUAUAUAUAUAUAUAUAUAUAUAUAUAUAUAUAUAUAUAUUAACAUUAUUUGUUUCAAUUUCAAGUGUAUUUAGUCUUUUUACACAAUAUUAUUGUCAAGUGAAGUGAAAAAAAAACAUAAAGUUAAAAUUUUCAAAAAAAUUAAAGGAUACAAAAAAUGUGAGAAGGGUAUAAAGAAUAUGAAGAGGGUGCAUGAAAUGUGAGGGUAUAAGAAAUAAAAAAACAAAAUACUCAUCCCCUCUUCACAUUUCUUGUACCUUCCUCACAUUCUUUGUACCUUCACCAACUUUUGAAUAUUUUAAUCUUUUAAUUUUAACUCAUCUACCCUUACAAAUCGUGUCUUUAAGGAAUAUGAGCUUAGAGCAGGAACCAUUGGGAUCCAUAGGAGUACUGGCUCCCUUAGAAUCAAAUUUUGAAAUUGAUUCAACAUCCCACUAUAGAGAGUCAGCUGCACUUUAGUACCCUAUGUACAUUACAAUAAGACACCAAGUACUUGGGUUUAUGAUCUACUAUCUAUUGCAUGCAAACUCCCCAUGAACUUGUGUCCGUAAUUGAUUACUACCAAAAAGUACUAUUUUGUAGAUCUAAUUAUAAUGGUUUUAAGCACCUUUAAGUAGUAAUCAUAUUCAUUUAACCCAAUUAAUUCAUUAAGGUCCUUAGUAAUUGGUUUUAACCAUUUUGUGGCAAGUUUACAUGUUUUUAUUAGCUUGUGAACCAAUUCAAGCAUGCCAAUUGAUGGAGGAGCUAUUUGGGUGAGUUAAGCAAGGAUUUUGGACAAUUACAGGCUUGAAUUUCAAGUGGAAACACGAGCACAAGCAAUGGAGAAGAGGAAAACAGAGUGAAGAAAACAGCUGCAGUCUUCUUUCGCACUUUUGAAGCACUUCCCGAAGUCCAUUUUUUGCAUGCUAUAUACCAUUUGAAAUCUUAGAAAGUCAAGAAUCCAACGCUUCAAACCGUGUAUGAUUUGGAGUUGAAAUGAGGAAGAUAUGGCCUUUGGAAGGCAACUGUAUCAUGUCAAAUGACCAAUUUCGCAAGGUGAAUUUCACAUUGCGAAAAUUUCACAAGGAGAUUUUCUUCAUGGUGCGAAAUUUUGCCACUUCGCACCAUGAAGAAACACCUUGCGAAAUUUCGCAAGGUGGAUUUAGGCACAUUGCAAAAUUCCUUUGAAUCCCCUGUUUUGAGACGUUGUUGAUGUUAUUCCACUGCCGGUUCUCCAAGAUAUUUUGCUUGAUUUUUAGCUUUGUAAAUACCUAUUUUACCCUUGUAAUCAACCAAUGAAUAGGUUGCUUUUGUAAUAGCUCUUGUAAUUUAGCUUGUUAUUGUCUUUAAAUAGAGGUGAAGAGCCUCAGAUCAUCAAAUCUUGUAACCUGUAACUUUAUAAGUUAUAAGAGCACUUUUGUUCAUACGCUUCUUUUCUCUUUUCUUUCUCAUUUUCUUAGUAGCCAAACAUCCUUGGGGGAUGAAAUCCCCAAGGAUGAGAGGCUUAAACCUUUUAGUUUCUUGAAGUAAUGGAUGCCAUGUGAAGCUCCCGUGUCAGGAUGGAGAUUUCCAAGCCAUGAAUGUAAGUAGCUGAGCGUCAUAAAUGUUUUCAUUCAAAGUAAAGCUUUUAAUCCCUCUGACUUGCUUUGAAUGGCCAAUACUUGAUAAUCUUUUGGUCUCAAUGGAUUCUUAUUGUUAGAUCCACUGACGUUCAUUAGUUAUCUCCUACGAGCCAUUGUAUUGCAAGUCGAGGAGAUGCCCUAUAUCAUUAAAAGGGCAUUUAUGAGGUUCAACUACCCUUUUUGUAAGUUUUCAAGGACUAAAACUCAGUUGUUAAACUCAUACCGGUUCGGGAAGUAAGCAUCACCUUAGUUGCUUUCCCAACUCGAGGUGAAAAGUCCCAAAAUCUCCAUUUUUUCACAGUGAGUUAAGCAUGGCUAUCCAAAGCUUUGAGAAACUUCUUUUUCCAUCUUUUAACCUAUUUUCAUGUUAGUUUAGUUUACACACCUUCAUCUUUUUAUGUUUUCAUCUUAACCUAAUUUUUAUUAAGAAAAGUUCACUCCAUCCUCCGAACUUCACCAGUUAAAGUAAAAACUCUUCCCAGUGUUCGAUCCUAGAGCCACUAUGCUAUAGUAGCUUUGCUACUUUAGUGUAAGGACCUUAGGUAUAAAUUUUGUUGAUACCCUUACAUGCCAAGCUACCAAGAGUCGGGUUAUCAGUAAUCUAAUAAGGUGGUGUUGUCACCUAUCAAGAUUACCCCUCAAAUCCUUUAGUUAUAGAUCAUACUUAUUACGUGAUUAAAUGACAUACUUUACCUCUAAUGAGCAUAUGUCAAAUUCCACUAAAGGAAUUAUUCCAUGAUCACAUGUCCUUUGGAUCACCCAAGGGGACAUAUCGUCUCAAUCCCAUGAGAUAUCAUGGUGCCUCUAUUGAGAAUACCUAUUGUCAUUAGCCUCCAUCAACAGUGACCCAAUUCAUAGGGAUACAUGGCCACUUUAGGGUUUCACUCAUAGCUUAAAGUCUUCUAUUAACUUUGGCAUAGACUCAAUAUCCUCUAAGGUUGAGAGUCUAUACAGUAUACUAGUUUGGUGAAUCAUAACAAUUGAUAGCCUUGUGUCAUGAUUCACCGUAGGUUUUGUCUAGUGUGCAUCACAUACACUGGUACUCUUCAUAGGAAACCCAUUCCAACGGCUAAGACCAAUCAUCUCUCUAAUUAGGAGGUAGUGCACUAUAGUCUCUACUGGAUUGCCUAAAUCCAUGAACCAAUUGUGGACAGCUUAUCUACUUACAAGGAAUCCAUGACUUGUACUUUUGUGCAACUCCUAAUGCACCUGAAUCAUGUACAAUGUAAGAAACAUGGGUUGAAUGCUCAAAUCAAUGUUAAUACACUAGAGGGAUAACAAGGAGACAGUUAAGUCUAACUUUGUUACAUCAUGUCUUGCUUAGUUAAGUCUAACUUUGUUACAUCAUGUCUUGCUUAGUUAAGUUUAACUUUAUUACAUCAUGUCUUGCUUUUAGGGUCUUAAUCCUAACAAGCUCCUACUACCCCAAAAGUAGACUAGGGUACUGUAGAAAAAAUAUACUCUACAGUCACGUCACCUUUCUAUACUAUCCCACAACAAGGUAUCACUUGUUUUCUAUAUAUUAUCUCUUAUAGUGGCACUUUAGUUAUUUGGACUAUGCCACAAUCCCAUAUAACAAUAUCUUAGACGAUAUAGCCAAUGGAAAUACUCAUAAGCUAAAAGGCUUCCUUUGUUGCUAUAGAAAUAACAAAAACCACUUAGAGUGUACACAUUCCCUAAGGUAGACUUGCGAGAGUCCUCAUUAGACUGAAAGUCCAAUUUCUCGAUACAAGGACUCACAAACAUAUCAUUCUUCAUUCUCUAAGGAUACUAGAGUAUAUGUUUGAAAUUCGCUCAAAGCUCUAAUCAAGAAAUGAACUAAUAUUCACUCAUUAUUCCUACAACAAAGCAAAUAUCUGGUUUAGCACAUAGCAUUGUAUGCUUAAGGCUAUCCAUUGUAGAGGCAUUGGAUACCUCCUUAAUGUGAUCUUUCUCCACAAAUGUCUGAUUACUACUCAAAAAGUGCUAUUUGAUAGCUUGUAAUUAACUCUUUUAAACACUUUUGAGUAGUAGUUAUUGCCUUUUAACCCAAUUAACAUGUUAAGGACCCUUGCAAUCAAUUCUAAUCAAAUUGUGUUAAGUUUUGGUCUUUUGAUAGCUUUUUGAUCACCAAAGCAAUCCAAGAUUGAGGAGAGUUAUUUGGAAUCCACGACAAAGCAAUGGAAAGCUCAAAUUCAUGAAGAACAAGAUUUGGAGCUCCAUAGCUCUUUGCCAAAGUCGUUCAAAGUAUGCAAGGAAAGAACAAAGGAGAGAGGAAAAACAGAGUGAAGAAAACAGAGGACAAUAGCUGCAGUCUUCUUUCGCACUUUUAGAGCACUUCCCGAAGUCCAUUUUCUACAUUCUAUAUACCAUUUAAAAUCUUAGGAAGUCAAGAAUCCAAUGCUUUAAACGGUGAGCAAUUCGGAGUUGAAACGAAGGAGUUACAGCCAUUGCAAGUAGAUCACUCCAAGUUGAAGGAAGAAUUUUGCACAACGCUGCGAAAUCACCCUUUUGUUGCGAAAUGAUUUCGCAGCCUUUUUGUUUAGUGUUGUGGAUUCCCUCCUGAAGUUGCCCGAUAUAUGCCGCAAGUUGGAAGCUGAGCACCUCAAGAUGAAAGCCAACUUCGCAGCCCUGCGAGAAUAACCUUUUGCUGCGAAGUGAUUUCGCAGCCCUUUUUGUGCAUCUGUGAAAUCUCGCAGACCUCGUUUUCACCUACGAAAUGGUCCUUAGUGCUUCCCAAUAUUUGUGCACCGACUCUUUUAGAUCUUUUCUUCAGAUAUUUUUGUAUAAAUUUCCAUUCUCUCCUAGUAAGCCACCAAUUAUGGGAUUCCUUAGUUAUUAAGUUGGGAAAAGGGGUGAAUAACUUGAGAUAUUUUGUUUUGUAAUUUUCUUUAUAUAUAGCUCUCGGGAGCUUGUUCUCAGGGCAUCAUAUCGAUCAAUAUAUAGAUAUAUCAUAUAUAGAAUCAACGAACAGAGCACUUGCUCUGUUUUUCAUAUAUAUUCUUGUUUUCUCGUUAGUUUUCUUUCUAGCCAACCAAACUCUGAGGAUUUUUCCUCAGAGGAUGAGAGGCUAAGCUUUUUGUCUCUUGGAGUAAGGAAAACCGGCUAAGUUUCCACAUGCAUAAAUUGGAAGUUUUGUUGUUUUAGUUUUUAAUGAAGAGAAAGUGUGACCCGUUAAUGGUUUUUAUAUUUUUAGUUAACUUAAAACGCCUUUAAAUCACCUGGGCCAACACUUGGGAAGGCAAGUGAUCUCUGUCCAUGGAGAUGCACUAGUUUACCCCUUGCGAGCCUUUGGGAGGUGACUUGAAGGUAGGAUUUUCUAGAAUAGGCAACACUUGGUAAGCUUUUGGACUCCAAGGAGACAUCUAUUAGUUAUCUCUUGCGAGCUUUUGACGGGUAAUCCAAGGUUAAAGAUCACCUUGAAUGGCAAGUGCUAGGUGAGAGGUAUGAGCCAUUGCAAGGUGCAUCAGUGAGAGGGAUUUAGUGUUUGAACCCAUUAAUGGGAAGCAUCUGUACAACACCGGUUAGAGAAUUAACUAUAUGUUAAUUCUCUAAUGCGAGGAAAAGAAACAAGUGACCGAAACUCUCUUUUUUGUAUGAGGAACCUGAGCCUAGUGAUCUGAACUCCAAAAAACAUUUUUCUUUGUAAGUAAAAUCAGUUACUAUUUUUGGUUAGUUUAAAACCAAACCUUUUUCAUUCAAACAUCUUUAUGUUUUCUUUUAAAGCUAACCUUGAAAUGAAAAGGCACCAAUUCAACUUUGAAUUAAUAUCAUUUGUGAAGUGAAAACCCAUCCCAGUGAACGAUCCUAGNNNNNNNNNNNNNNNNNNNNNNNNNNNNNNNNNNNNNNNNNNNNNNNNNNNNNNNNNNNNNNNNNNNNNNNNNNNNNNNNNNNNNNNNNNNNNNNNNNNNUAAUGGGAAGCAUCUGUACAACACCGGUUAGAGAAUUAACUAUAUGUUAAUUCUCUAAUGCGAGGAAAAGAAACAAGUGACCGAAACUCUCUUUUUUGUAUGAGGAACCUGAGCCUAGUGAUCUGAACUCCAAAAAACAUUUUUCUUUGUAAGUAAAAUCAGUUACUAUUUUUGGUUAGUUUAAAACCAAACCUUUUUCAUUCAAACAUCUUUAUGUUUUCUUUUAAAGCUAACCUUGAAAUGAAAAGGCACCAAUUCAACUUUGAAUUAAUAUCAUUUGUGAAGUGAAAACCCAUCCCAGUGAACGAUCCUAGAGCCACUAUGCUAUAGUAGCUUUGUCUUUGCUACCCUAGUAAAUGGUGUAAUAGGUUAUAAAUUUUGUUGAUUACUCCCUCAAUCAAGGAGCACCAGCUGGACACGAAUCAGCUGAGACACCAAUUGGGCAUGAAUCAAUGUCCAAGGACAUUGAUCCUAAGAAAGAUAACUCCAAAUCCAAAGAGUAACAAACCUUUCUUGGAGUUUUACAUCAUAUACUUGAACAAAUGCUGAUUAAUGUAGAUGACAUGGCAUAAUUUUUCCUAUUCCUGCAAUGCUAAAAGAUCUUAACCUUAAGAAUAUAUUGCGCAUUCCUCUAAAUUUUUUUCUAGAACUAAGUAAACAACUAGAUCUUGACAGAUGACAAUAUCUUUACAUCAUAUCCAAUGAGUAGAUUAUCAUCCACCUACAAGAUCUUAGAGCAUUACUACACUCCCAUAUGCUUUCAUGUACACACAAGGCCUAUUGCUAUGAAAAUGUUUGGUUGCUAUAUCUCAUAAAUCAAACACACUGCAAUAGAUAAGAGUAAUCUACUAGAUUUGAGUAUGAUCACUAUUGAAAAGGUUUUCCAUAGUUGAAACAAAGUUUCAAACUAUAACCUUUAACUAUAGUCUUAGCCAUAUAAAACUCAAGCUUUCCAUCUACUCCUGUGUUUCUCUUAUAGACCAACUUACACCUAUGAGUUUUAUCUCUUUAGGUGUCCUACAGGAACCCAAACUAUGUUAGAAUACAAAGAUUCUAACUACCUUUUCCUAGCUCAUUACCUUAAGUGAGUAUAAACAUUGUUGAAUGCUUCAUCAUAAUCUAUGAUAUAUAAACUUCCAUUACGAUGAGGCAUUGGUGUACUAGAAAUCAUAGGAAUGGUAUGCCUUUAACCCUCUAGAUCCACAAUAUCCUAUGCAAUAUGGGACUAUUUUCUAAUUUCUCCUCCAAUCUAUAUCAUUUUUUGCCUUAUUCCUUAUCAUACAGUUUUAAAUUUUUUUUUGACAUUUGUGCUAACAAAUAUCUUUUAAUGAUCCUAACUAUAAAGGUAGUAACCCAAAAAUGCUCUUAUAUAUCCUAUAAAUUGACAUACCUCUUAAGAAAAAGGGUAACCACCUUUUUAAAAAAUAGUAGGUAAAAUAUACUUGAUACAUACCUUCAAUCUUUUGUUUGUUUUACAUUUUGGUCUCUUAUAUUUGAAAUCCAUCAUUUUACCUAUUCAAACUUAUUAGAAAUCAACACUUCCAUAUCAUUUGCAAACCCUUUAUAAAUUAUAAAAAUGAUCUUUUUUUUUUCUAUAUUCUUGUUUGAACAUUGGUUUGAAUUUAGGUAAAACCAAUUUUGAAUUCAUAGCCUUGGGUAGUAUUUCCCAAACAUCUUUAUUUUAUUAUUUAUUAUCUAAUCCUUCAUGUCUUGUGGAAGCACGUUACAAGUUAUCUAUGCUAUCCAAGUACACCCCCUAUCACCUACCUUCUAAAUUAUGUGAAUAUGCUUAUCACUGUGAACCGUGCCUAUGUUUGGUAGUGCAUGGGUGUCUUGAUAUAUUGUUUCAUUGUUCAAUUAUUUAUGAUAAAGCGCAUGCUGGGUGAUAUUCUAUUUGAACUAACUUUAAUGUCUUUUGAUAGUGCUUAAAAAGCAGUCCAGGUAUGCACCCUAAAUCUUCUUUAUGAUUUGUGAUUGGUUCUUUUGUUUAGCAUGAUAUUUGUUUAAAUCACCUUAGUCUACCUAGGCACCCUCAAUCAACCAAUUAAUUGUCCCAAUUCUCUCAACUUAGCUAGUAAAGACCUCUUUAAGGCUUAGAGGGGUGCUACCUCUUAGAGGUAACUUCCCAAUAGGUAACCUGAUCCCCGAACCUAGACUCGGGUUUUUCAAAGACACAUUUUUCCAAAAACUAUAGUCACUUCUUUAGGGUUUUCUUUCUUAUUUUAUUUUUCCUUUUAAAAUAAAAUAAAAUAAGUGGUGACUCCAACUUUUCCAAAUUUUUCUUUUUUACCAAUAAAAGCGAAUAUCAUCGAUUGAGUGGGAGCGCAUGUGAAAAAUGCAAGACCACACUAUGGCUUUUGUAGUACUCCGGGUAUUGUUCUUAAGGACUAGCUUAUGGAAAUAGUCAAUACUAGAAUAAAUGAAUUGCUUUCGUUUAAAUCCUAAAGUGAAAAACACUAUGAGAAUAAUGUGAAACUAAGUAAAAGAAAAAUAAAUUAAUAACAAAAAUGGAUGUUGAUAUUAAAUUUGAUUGAUUCAAGUUUGGGGCUUUCCACAAUCCAACCUAGGGUAUAGAAAUUAGAGAAAACAAGGGUCUUUUAAGUAAUAUGAUCUUAGGGUUUUGGGAUCCUUGGCUCCUCAUGAUCAAGUUGAGUUCUAUAACAUAAAAUUGCAUCCGAAACCUAAUUUUUCCUUUUUAAAAUAAAAUUCCUAAAACCAUCAAAUGAAUGAGAUUGAUUACUAGUUUAAAAUUUGGACUUUUAACCCUUCCUACUCCUUAUAGUUUUGUUUUGGGGCAAAUAAUGAUAGAGAAAACGAGGAUAACUAAUGAUCAAGAAUUACCAAAAAUCACUAGUAUCGGGUAAUAACCUACCAUAUCAUUCCCUAAACUAACUCACAAGGAUAGGAUAAAAAAAUGAUAAAUUGUCACCCAACCAAUAAUUAAUCUCAUUGAUAUAAUAAUUUACCCAUUGUCCCUAUAGGUUUCCUAACCCUUAGGUUUUCAUGCUUUAAGCCCCAAGUUAGCUCUUAACCUCUCAUGGGGUUAUUGUCACAUUCACAAUCCAUAAUAGGGUAAAAAUCCAUAAUUUGAAUCAAAAGAACCUAAAAUAAUAUAUUUAAUAAAGAAGAAAAAGAAAACAAACCAAAGUUCUCAUCUUCUUCCACCUUCAAUGUCAAACUCUCUAGAAAAAAAAAAAAAAAAUCCAAGGUCCCUAAAACCUAGAACUAAGAGAGUUUAGAUAAUAUCAUCAAUUACCUAACAUGUGCCACACUCUCAUUGGCCACUUAUUACAAAAAUAAUUACCUAAAAAUGAUUAAAAAUUAAUAAAAUGGUGAUUUCUAGCAGUGUGUGGGGUCCAUUUAGGGGUGAUGGAGUGUCUUAGAUGCAAUUUCCAAGGUAGAGGAGGUGAAACAUCAAAGUGGCAGUGGGUGAAUUUGAAAUUGGUGUCAUUUUGAUGUGGAUUUUGAAUUCAUAAGUUGAAUUUCGAAAUCAUUUCGAAAUGACCCUUUAGAUUUGUGUAGUCGUCUUCAAAUAACCAUAACUUCUUCAUUUCAGCUUCAAUUUGCACACUGUUUGAAGUGUUGGACUCCUGACCUCCCAAGCUUCAAAAAAAUAUAUUGUAUGCAUAAAAUGGGCUCCAGAAAAUGCUCCAAAUUUAUCCUCAAAGUCAGAGUAUAUAUUACCAUCAGAUUUUUGAGUUCUAGAUUUCCAUGUAGCUGAAUCUUGCUUCAUGCCUCAAUUCCUAUGUUUUCUUGCCUUCUUUCUUACUCCAUUAUGAUCAUUUCUCAUAUUCCAAACUCAUGAUAUCCUCGUCUUGCCUUUCCUCAUGGUCCAUGAGUCAUGACUCACCUAUUUCUUCAUUUAACCCUUUCUUGAUCUUUCAAAAUCUAAAGUGAUUCAACUUGCACCAUUUUCUUCCCUUGAACCUGAGAUAAGUCUCCAAAGUACAAAUAAAACUCCUGGCUAGGUCCUUAGCAUUAAUUUAGGUCAAGUUGGGUGAUUUGAAUGUUCUUUGGUGCACAAAUCAUAUCAAAUAUGUGUCAUUAGAGCACAUAUUUUGGCUCCAAUCAUCCCCCUCAACUAAACUUUGCUAGUCCCUAGCAAAUGAAAAGAGUAAAGAAAAAAAUUAAAAAUAUGUAAUGAGAUUCAUGAAACCAUAUUGACUCAACAUAACAUAUUUCACACACAAGAUACCCAAGUAGUCAAAUUUCUUAGAAUUGAGCAAAAUGAAACAAGAUAUGCAAUUUUUUAGUUUUCUCACCUUAUCUUCGUAUACAUAAAUGUGCAUCCACGUUUAGCAUUCCCCUUAGUGUCUCUUGAUUUUCCCCUGAUUAGUUUUUUCCACCUAAACCUCAUGUGCUUAAUUUUGGUUUCCUCUCACAGUAUUUUUCUUUAGACUUUUCUUAAACUCAAACUUCAUCAUUCUUUAAGUUAAAGAGGGGGGGAAAUUUAUUUUGAUUUUUCUUUCUUAGUUUAGGAAAUCUCCUUCUAUAUGGCUUAAUAGGGAUCCACCGGCAACUCCUAAGUUUUCACCCAUGGUACCAGGUAUUGGGAACCUUUAUAGGCUACUUACUCCUCAGGUAUUACCCUAGCUCUAGAUAGAACAAGGUCGAAUUUCCUAAACAUUUAUUUAUUUUUAUUUUUCAAAACUGAGUUUAACUUAUGUUACAAGCAAGAUACUGAUGACUCUUAACCAGUCGGUUUCGGGCACCAGGGCUUGAAGACACAAGGCCAUUACCCCCUCAAAUAAUUUCUCAAGCUUAAAUCAAUCAUUUUCAAUUUUCUUUUCAUCAAUUUGUUUUUUUUUUUUUCAUUUCCUCCUUUUAUUAGUUAAGAACAACUCCUUUUAAUCUAAAGAAAUUAUCUUAAUCAAGAUACCAUAAAGGAAUAUGUGCUUUGUGUGUGCUUUGAGUCUUAAAUAGAAAAUAACCAUAAAAAUAAAAUAAAAUAAAAUUUUGAAGGUAUUCCAAGGAUUCAACCUAAUUAUUUUUGUACUUAAAGGUAUAUAAAGAUAAGGUAAGUGAACUAAUAUUCUUGCUCUAACUGUAUUUUUUCUCAAAUUCUAAAGAAAUAAUACUACUUAAAGCAUUCUCAUGCAAAAUAAACCAUGAGUUACCAAGGCAAAUCAAGAAUCUCAUUAACUAACCAAAGAUAACAUGCAAACUUUUGAAAAAAAAAUUAGGGCUAAUAGACCUUCCCCCCUCAACCUAAAUUACACAUUGUCCCCAAUGUGUAGGAUAUUGGGUCAAAAGAAAGGAAAAAUGGAGAUGUUAUCUCAAGAUCAUCGAGUGAGAAGUUUGUUAUGAGGACUUCAUAUAAACUAGUCUUGCACAAAAGCAACAAGAUUAGUGGCAAAAGUAUGCAUAGAGAAAAAUAUAAAUGGUGAUCUAAAAGAGAGUAUAAGAGUAUCAGUAUGCUCCAAAAAUACCAUAGUGUAUACAAUUAUAUCGAAUAAGGUAUAUAUAGAAAUGAACAUCAAGCACCAAUGAUAGGAUCAACAACUCCAUCUAUCCCCUCCAACACAUGGGUGGCUACCUAGUCAAUAUCCUCCAAUAUAGGUGUAGUAGCUAAUUAGUGAUCUCCACGAUAGGUGUAACGGCCUCGCCAACAACCUGUACCAUAGGGGGGUCAUCCUUAAUAAUGAUGUCCACACUAGUGUCAGUAGUAUGAAUGAAGAUCUCACCAUCGACCUAUCCUGCAGAAUCUGGAAUAUCAAUAGUUGAGGUAAAAAUCUUAGUUGCGGCAUCACUUGAUGUUUGUAAAAUAGGCAUGGUCUCAUGGGCUACUGUCGGUGCUCUAGUGUUAGAGCCAGAAUCAAUCACCUCUGUAGUGUUGCCAUCAACCUCUAAGUUGGUAUCAAUUGGUGUAAUAAAAUCUCCCCUCUGUCUAGAUGGAAUAAUCAAAGAAGUGACCUAUUGUACACAAAAAGUGAGGUCAUCCAUCUAAGUCUCCAUCUUACUUAAGCGAGCAUCAAUGCGAGAGUCCAUGGACACAAAUAACUUUUGAAGUGUGUCUAGACGAGCCAUGAUUGAUAAGGUACUCAGGGUAGCAUCAACAACCUGAGGCAGUGAAGGUUUAAGAAGAUCAAAGGUUGGUAAUGCUAGUGUAGAAAUAGGAAUAUAUAGCAGGCUCUAAGACACAUGAAAGAGGUGGUGGAAGAGGAAUAGGAAGCACUGGUAAGCUCGUGUCAAAAGUAGGAGUAGGUGGAAGCGGGCUCUCUAUAGUAGAUGGAAGUGGAACAACAUGCAAAGCUCUCUUUCUCUUAGCGCCAUAGGUAAUCAACUAUGACCCUGAAUGAAUUGUUUGACCCACUGAUUGAUAACAUAAGUGUGAGAAGUCAUGCGAUGAUCAGACUUAGGUAACUGGCAUCCAUGACGGAGCAAGUAGUAUGAGAGCAACUGAGGCAAAGGAAUAAGAUAACUUUGAGCUAAAGAUAAUUGUUUCUCCUUAACCUUUUGAAAAAAAUAAAAGAUGGUAUCCAUGAUGAGUUGAGGUGGACUCCACCACUUGCCUGUGUACAUGUGAUAUAACCCCUAUAAGACUAAACCAGAACACUUUAUAGAGUGUCCAAAUGGAAAAUGUUGGUCUUAAUGACCUGAUCCACAAACCAUAAGAUCUAUGGCAUCUCAAGGUGAGUGAUGGCUGAACGAUAACAAGUAUCCCGAGGUGCUAAUAUAUGUGCAAUCCUCGAAAAAGCUGGUUGUGAUUGAGGUGAAAAUUGGGCUUCAAGAGGAGCAGAUGAUGGUAAACCAAAGGUUGCAACAAUGGUCUCAGUGGAAAUAAUAUCAAUUCAUCUAUUGAUAGAAAUAUGGAGCUCUCGGUAUCUCCCUCUCCAAUCCUCGAGAGUAGAGAAGAACUCUCUUACACUAGCGACAUAAAAAUAUGGCGGAGGAUCCAUCAAUAAGAGAAAAUAAUAUCGGUCAAGGAGAUGCAUGGACUAUGUAGUGGGCUAGUAAGUACUAAAUGCCUUUAUUUCAUAAGAGAACUCUUGAUCAAACUUCAGUUAAGAUAGGUCCACCCUAGGGGCAUCAUCACAAACUAUUAGAGAUGGAGGACGUGUUGGGCUCAGAGUAGGAGGAGCUGCCCAUGGAUGUGGAGGAGUGGUAGUAAGCUUGGUGGUCUUAAGAGUGGUUGAGUGAUCAAAAUGAGCCUUUGUCUUGGCUUUGACAUGCUUGGCUUGACGAGUGACAUGCCUCUCAGUAGGCUCAAUAAUCAUUCCACCACUUCGACUUUGGACAAGAGGUCGGGCAUGUUUUUGCCUUGGAGAAUGCUUAGUCUCAUUGUCACUUUGAAUAACAACUUUCCUUUUAUAUUAAGCCAUCUGAAAUAAAUGUCAAAAAAUAAACUAAACUUAAAAAAGGGAAAUAAAUAAAUAGAAAUAAAUACAAAAACUCAUAAGGGUUAAGAAAACAAUCUAAAAAAAAAAAUUGGAUGCUCAUGAAAUUUAUGGAUUCAUAUGAAACGGUGGUAGACCAUUCCUAAAAUGCGGGAGAACAUUCAAGGUGUCCAACAAUGAUGAAAACAUGAGUCUUUGAAGCCUUAGAUAUAAUCCAAACAAUACCUAAGUUCAAAUAUCAUGUGACAAGGAAAUCAAAGUGAUUGGUUAGCUUAGGAGAAUGUGUAGAACAAAUAGAAAAAUCUACUAGAGAGUUUAAAAUGUUCUAGAGCAUAUAAAACAUAAAUUAGGCAACAAUUAUGCAAAACUCAUGGAAAAAUAAGAACUUUGCUCUCAAAGUAUUCUAAGAUGUUCAACAAGCCCUAAGAAUCAUGUAGAAAAAAUUUCAAAAUUUUUCUCCAAGUAUAAACCAAAAAUUCUAACACCUUGAAUUUCCAAGCAAAACAAAUGAACGUUGUGUAAUCAAAAUCAAUCUUGUUGAGUUACGUUCAAAUUUUCGGGGGUCGAGCUCCCCGCUAAGCUUGUGGGGGUCGGGGGGCAGCACCCUCUAGAAUUGUUUUUUCAUUAUAUUUAUUAUUUUUUUUUAUCUACCCAACAGAAACAAUAGAAACCCUAAACAAUGUUAUUGAGAGUUUGGUCACACUGCAUUUUAUAUGGAGCAACACCACACAAUGAAACCAUAAAGAUCAAGGAAAAUCCAUGAAAAAUAAACAAGAAAUGAGUAUGAGUGUAAUGCGUACCUGGAAUGUGACAAACCCAUAAUGAACCCUUAAAUCACCUUCAAUGGAAGCUAGGACAAUGAACAAGGGAAGAAUAAACAAGGGGAAGAGGAGAUAAAGUGGUCUAGAAGUGGAAAUGGCCUUUUGUAAAGGAGUUUGGUUGAUUUCGGAGUGAACUCGAAAUAGAAAUUAAGUAUUUUGAAUUGGAACUUUGGUUAAGAAAAGUCAUUUUGAAAUUUAACUAUUGAAUUCAAAAAUAACCUUAUUUUGAAUUCGUUAAUUAAUGGUAAAAAAAUGCCCAUUUUAAAAUGUAACCAUUGGAUUCGAACACUAUCCUAUUUCCAAAUGGCUCACUAUAUACAAAAACAUUUCAAACACCUCAUUUCGAAAUGAAAAAAAAAAAAUCAUUUCUAAAUUGGGCAAAUUUCGAAUUCACCUUCUGAACUUAAAAAAUCUCAAUUCUAAAGCAAAAGUUUCAAUUUUGAAAAGCCCACCAUUUCAAAUUUGCUAAAUGUAGCCUCAAUACAGUGUAAAAAACCUGUUUCAAAAUUCCACUAAUGAUUUCGAAAAUAGCUUCAUUUCAAAAUGGCUCACUGUUGAUUCCAACUUCUAUUUCGAAAUAGCAAUCUUUUUUAUUUCAAAUUUGACGUCAUUUCGAAAUAACCCACUAUGGGUGUUGAAGUCCAUCUUAAAGCAUCAAAAUUGCUCAUUUCGAAAUUCAAAAUUCAUUGUAUUUCAAACUUGUUUUUUGUGAGUUCAAAACACCUAUUUCAACAUUUACUAGUGAUUUCAAAAUCAAUCUCAAUUCAAAUUCACUUUCUAUAUAUUUAAAAUUGCAAUUCCAAGACAAAAAAUUUGAAUUCGAAAGGAUCAUAAUAUUGAAAUCACCCAUUACUGGUCUUCAAAAGUGUCAUCUCCAUUUGAGAUUUCAAAUUCAAAAAUAAAGGAAUUUUGAAUUCAUCCACUAUACCUUUAGCCCUUUAUCAUAAAAAUUUAGGAUUUCUUUCCCAAGGGCUACUCAGUUUUGUAUUUCAUCCUUUGUUUUCAAAGUUCACCAAUGAUCCUCACAAGUAAAUUUUUGGGAGGCCUAUGGUCUUAAAUAUAGAUCAACGUACUUGUAGGAGCUUUGCCACCUUGAACACUUAUGAGGCUUACCUUUUCACUACAUUGAAGUUCACAUUUACCUAUAUCACUUGGAUGUUUGCAAGCUAAGUUGCUACAACUCAUAAACUCAUUAGUAAGUUAAAGACAACUUAAAAAAAUACUAACCAUAUUUCUAAUGACUAAUUGAAAAUGAAAAACUAAACAAAGGAAAAUAAAUAAAAUAAAACAAAAUAAAAGAGAAAUUAAAUAAAUAAAAGUUUUACCUAAAUUUAAUUUUUACCUACUAGAUUUUCAGAAAAUACUUCAACCCUUUUGAACAUUCCCAUAAAGAAAAUGGAGAUUCUCCUCUAAUGUCUCAAAUCUUUCAAUGAAAUGCUUUAAGCGCUGACCACUAACUUUGAAUUCAUUACCAUUCCUCAGAUUUCGAAUGGUCACGAUGCCAUAAGGGAAGACUUCCUUUACCACAUAAGGGCCAUUCCACCUUGACCUAAGCUUUCUUGGAAAAAUGUGACGCUUAGAGUCGUACAACAACACCUUUUCAUCUUGCUUUAACUUCAUUCAUAAAAUAAGUUUGUCAUGGUAGAAUUUGUGUGUUUCCCUUGCAUUACGUAAGCAUUCAUAAUUCUAAUUUUGAUAUGCCUCAAGUUCAUUCAAAUCAUAUUUCCUUUUAGCUCCAGUUUGAUCCAAAUCAAAGUUCAUUUUUUUAUAGCCCAAUAUGCACGAAGUUUGAGCUCUAUAGGCAAAUGACAUGAUUUACCAUAAACAGUCUGAUACGGUGACAUGCCAAAGAUAGUCUUAUAGGUUGUCCUAUAUGCCCGAAGUGCAUCACUCAACUUGGUAGACCAAUCUUUUCUUGUAGUAUUGACUACUUUGGUAAGGAUUCUCUUAAUCUUUCGAUUUGCUAGCUCAGCUUGCCCAUUUGUUUGAGGGUGAUAUGGGUGGACACUUUAUGCCUCACUCCGUAUUUCUGAAAAAGAGUGGAAAAAGGGCUUGUUACAAAAGUGUGAACCUCCAUCACUAAUGAUUGCUCUCAGAAUGUCAAACCUAGAGAAAAUAUUCUCCUUUAAAAAUUUGAGCACCACUUUGUGAUCAUUGCUCUUGCAUGCCACUGCUUUUACCCAUUUAGAAACAUAAUCCACUCCCACCAAAAUAUAGAGAUUACCAAAAGAAUGAGGGAAUGGUCCCAUAAAGUCAAGGCCCCAACAAUCAAAGACCUCAACAACACAAAUAUAAUUUUUUGGCAUUUGAUACUUUGUGUUGAUUUUCUCCAGUUGUUGACAUUGUGGACAACUUCUGCAGUGAGUGUUACAAUCCUUGAACAUAGUUUUCCUAUAGAAUCCACUCUGUAGAAUUUUUUCCUAAGUCUUCCGUAGACCAAAAUGACCUUCACAAGCUCUCUCAUGGCACAUUCGCAACAUGUUUUGUUGUCCAUCCUCUGGAACACAUCUUUGAAUAAUUUGAUUUGGACAAAACUUAUACAAAUAUGGAUCAUCCCAAGCAUAGUGUUUUGCUCACCAACAAUCAAAGACCUCAACAACACAAAUAUAAUUUUUUGGCAUUUGAUACUUUGUGUUGAUUUUCUCCAGUUGUUGACAUUGUGGACAACUUCUGCAGUGAGUGUUACAAUCCUUGAACAUAUUUGGCCUAUAGAAUCCACUCUGUAGAAUUUUUUCCUAAGUAUUUUGUAGAGCAAAAUGACCUCCUGAUUCGCUUGUAACUCCAAAUGGGUCAUUUAAUCAAAAACAUUUAUAAAACCUAUGACCUCAUACUAAUGUAGUAAAGCUACUAUAGUAUAGUGGCUCUAGGGUCGAACUCUGGGAUGGGUUUUCAUUCUACCAGUGAUGUAUUCAAAAUUAGAAAUUGUAUUUAAUGAUUUCCUUUAUCAAAAACUUAAAGUUUAAAAGAAAAUAAAAUUUGAUUUGAAAGUGUUUAAAACUAAACUAACAUAAACUAAUUAAAAAUGGAAGAAAGAAAGUCUCCCGGAGCUAAGGGUUGCUAGGAUCAAGUUCAGAAUAGAAAGUGGAAAAUUCCGGAUUUUUCUCCUCGCAUUGGGGAUUUAACCUAUAGUUAUUUCCCGAACCGGUAUAGGUUUGACAAUGAAGAUUUAAUCCAUAAAAGAUCAAUAGAAAUGGUAGUCAAGGUCCAUUAAUGGCUUAAGACACUAUGGGUCUUCACCUUGAAUCACUUUCCAAUGACUCGUACAUGAUAACUAAUGGACUAAUAUGGAUCUAGCAAUAAGCAUCCAUAAAGACCUGAAGCUUACCAUGUAUUGAUCAUUCAAAGUGAUUCUAAGGGGUUUAAAGUAAAACUUUGGAUUUAGAAGCCGUUUAUGAAUUCCAACUACCUGAAUUUAAUGCAUGGAAGCUUUCCACCUUUUCAUCUGGACUUUUCACCUAGCUUCCUUUACUCCAAGAAACCGAAAGUUUAGCCUCUCAUCCUCCGGGCAAACAUCCUUAGAGGUUGUUUGGCUUCCAAGAAAAGGAAAAUAAUAAAGAGCAAAGAGAACGAGAGAGCUCUGUAAAAUUCUCAGUGUAAAAACGUAAUACGUAUUCCAUAUAUUCCAAGAGAUGAUUUCCACCCCUUAUAAAGUCUUUACAAAAGCUAAAGCUUAUGAUUGGUUAAUUACAAGGAUAAUAAAGGAAAUUACAUCACAAAAUACAAAGGAAAAUAUCUAAAGUGGAGUCGGCAAAGGGCAGAGCAAAAUUCGCAACACGCAUAGGUUAUGCGAACCAUAUGCGAAUGUUAUGCGAAUUUCGCAUAACCUCUUGUGGAAUGCGAAAUUUUCGCAUAUGCUAGAGCAGUUGGCUUCCGAAGGCCAUAUCUUCCUCAUUUCAGCUCCAAAUCGUACAUGGUUUGAAGUGUUGGAUUCUUGACUUCCAGAGCUUUGAAAUGGUAUAUAGCAUGUAAAAAAUGGACUUCGGGAAUUGCUCCAAAAGUGUGAAAGAAGACUGCAGCUGCUACAUCUUGAUUUUUUUUCACUUUGCUUCUCUUUGCUUCUCUCCUUUGCUUGACUUGUCUUAAUGAUCCAAAAAGCUGUCAAAACAUUAAAACUAGCCACAAAUAUGAUUAGAAGACAUUGCUAGGUCCUUAACAUGCCAAUUGGACUAAAGAUGGAGAACUACUACACAAAAGUGCUUAAAACAUAAUGCAUUAAAGGUGUAAAAUAGCACUUUUUGGGUAGUAAUCACCUCCACAAGCUCUCUCAUGGCACAUUCGCAACAUGUUUUGUUGUCCAUCCUAUGGAACACAUCUCCGAAUAAUUUGAUUUGGACAAAACUUAUACAAAUAUGGAUCAUCCCAAGCAUAGUGUUUUGCUCAAGAAAGAAAAUACUUUUCAUCUCCAUGUUCCAUUCUGAGGGAAGCUCUCUAGUUGCCAAGUAGUUGACUAUAUUUGCAAACCAAGGAAACUUCUCCACUGCACAAAGUGCAUCAUCAAGAAACUCAUCAUUAAUCUAUGCUUCGUCAAAAAGUGACUCUACUUUAACUCAAGAGAGAUGAUCAGCAACCACAUUCUUUACCCCUUGCUUAUCCUUGAUUUGCAUGUUAAAUUCUUGAAGAAGAAGGAUCCAUAUGACAAGUCUUGUUUUGACAUCCUUUUUGUUGAGUACAUAUUUCAAGGCCGAAUAAUUAGUAAAAAUUACUAUUGAAGUUCCCAAAAGGUAGUUCCUGAAUUUAUCAAGUGCGAACACCACUGCAAGGAGCUCCUUUUUAGUAGUUGUGUAGUUCUUCUGAGCAUCAUUGAGGGUCUUACUAGCAUAGUACACCCUAUAUGGUUUUCCAUCCUCCCUUUGACCUAGUACGACUCUCACUGCAUAGUGACUGGCAUCACACAUCAACUCAAAUGGAAGAGACCAAUUGGGAGGUCUCACAAUUGCGGUAGUAGUGAGAAGUGACUUUAGUCUCUCAAAAGUUUCUUGACAUGCUUUAGUCCAUAUAAAUUCUGCAUCCUUAAGUAACAAAGCAUAAAGAGGUUGAGAGAUUUUUUAGAAGUCCUAUAUGAACCUUCUAUAAAAAUCUGCAUGCCCCAAAAAUAGUAUAAUUCACAUGUUUAUUUUAUUUUAAAAAUUAAUUGGAUAAUUAGUUUUGGUAUAAUUUUUGUUAAUUUUAUUUUAAAGAUUCUUUGUAUGAUUAAUUUGUAUAAUUUUUGUUAGUUUAAUUUUAAAAAUUCAUUAGAUGGUUAAUUUGUAUAAUUCAUAUGUUAGUUUUAUUUUAAAAAUUAAUUAGAUGAUUAGUUCAAGCAUAAUUUUUGUUAAUUUUAUUUAAAAAAUUCUUUGUAUGAUUAAUUUCUAUAAUUUUUCUUAGUUUUAUUUUAAUGAGAUUGAUUACCAGUUUAAGAUUUGGCUUUUUAAUCCUUCCUACUCCUUAUAGCUUUGUUUUGGGGCAAAUAAAGAUAAGGAAGACGAGGAUAACUAAUGAUCAAGAAUUACCAAGAAUCACUAGUAUCGGGUAAUAACCUACUGUAUCAUUCCCUAAACUAACUCACAAUGAUAGGAUUAAAAAAAAUGAUAAAUUGUCACCCAACCAAUAAUUAAUCUCAUUGUUAUAAUAAUUUACCCAUUGUCCCUAUAGGUUUCCUAGCCCUUAGGUUUUCAUGCUUUAAGCCCCAAGUUGGCUCUUAACCUCUCAUGGGGGUGAUGUCACAUUCACAAUCCAUAAUAUGGUAAAAAUCCAUAAUUUGAAUCAAAAUAACCUAAAACAACAUAUUUAAUAAAGAAGAGAAAGAAAACAAACCAAAGUUCUUAUCUUCUUCCACCUUCAAUGUCAAACUCCCUAGAAAAAAAAUCCAAGAUUCCUAAGACCUAGAACUAAGAGAGUUUAUAUAAGAUCAUCAAUUACCUAACAUGUGGCACACUCUCAUUGGCCACUUAUUACAAAAAUAAUUACCUAAAAGUGAUUAAAAAAAUUAAAUGGGGAUUUCUAGUCGUGUAGGGUCCACUUAGGGAGGAUGGAAUGCCCUAUAUGCAAUUCCCAAGGUAGAGGAGGCAAAACAUCAAAGUGGCAAUGGGUGCAUUCGAAAUUGGAGUCAUUUUGAUGUGGAUUUCGAAUUCAUAAGUUGAAUUUUGAAAUUAUUUCGAAAUGACCCUUAAGCUUUGUGUAGUUGUUUUCAAAUGGCCAUAACUUCUUCAUUUCAGCUCCAAUUUGCACAUUGUUUGAAGCAUUGGAAUCAUAACCUCCCAAGCUUUGAAAUAAUAUAUCGUUUAAAUAUAAAAUGAACUCUGAGAAAUGCUCCAAAUUUGUCCGCAAAGUUGGAGUAUAUAUUACCAUUAGAUUUUUGAGUUUUAAAUUUCCAUGUAGCUGAAUCUUGCUUCAUGCCUAAUUUCUUAUGUUUUCUUUCCUUCUUUCUUACUCGAUAAUGGUCAUUUCUCAUAUUCCAAACUCAUGAUAUCCUUAUCUUGCCUUUCCUCAUGGUCCAUGAGUCCUGACUCACUUAUUUCCUCAUUGAACCCUUUAUUAAUCUUUCAAAAUCUAAAGUGAUUUAACUUGCACCCUUUUCUUCCCUUGAAUCUGAGAUAAGUCUCCAAAGUACAAAUUAAACUCAUGACUAGGGCCUUAGCAUCGACUUAGGUCAGGUUGGGUGAUUUGAAUGUCCUUUGGUGCAUAUAUCAUAUUGAAUAUGUGCCAUUAUAGCACAUAUUUUGGCUCCAAUCAAGCUUACCUGCCAAAUUCUGCAUGCCAAACAUUGAGUGAUAGAAUGGAGUGGGUUGUCCGAAGAUUCAUUUGAGGCUCUAUAGUAUAUUUGUGAGAGCACACAGAUUAGAUGAUAUGUAGUUGGUUGCUCUCUUCCCUAUGUCAUUUAGUUGAGUAGCAUAGAGGUGGCUGGCCUCAAUUAAGCAUUCGAGACUCUACACUUGGGAGGAUGUGGCCUAUGAGUUUUUGACACUGUUUGCCUUUAGUGCCGAUAUUGAUUUUUUUUUUUUUUUUACCAAACAAAGCGUCGAGAAUGUUACUUAACCAUCCCUAUAGUAAAAGCAAAAUUUGUUGCUUUUAGUGCUGAUAAUGAUGUUUCUAGGCGAGAGUUAGAGGCUACUAAGUAGAGGCCAAAUGAAUCUGUUUCUUCAUUUAUUAGUCAUUAGAGGGCUAAGGUGGUUGGUAUGAUAGAUUGACUAAAGGAGUAAGAUAGGAUUAACGUGCUUCUUUGGAAACUUCAGCCGAGGUUUGCCAAACAUCUUGUAGGUAUUCCAUUUGAAGACUUAUGAAGUUUGGUUCAAGUCGCUUUUAGUGUUGAGGAGAGUAUUGCUAGAGGGUUAUAGAAAAACAUUAUUCCUUCCUUAGAUAAUAAAGGAAAGAAGCCUGUAGAGGUUAGCACUAUCAGUUAUCAUCAUCAAGGUCAGUUUAUCAAUCAUACCAAAGGUCUCCUACAAUCAGAGCCCACUUUCCUCAUCCUUUGUGCCAAUAUUAGUCCACCUAUAUUCAACAACCUUUCAUUACUCGGACCAGUAUGCAACCACGACUUCCAUAUCCUAGAGGCAUUGGUUCUCAAUCAUUACUCAUGUUCCCACUCAUAUUUUUUACACACGUGAUCUUUAUCGAAGAGGGACAUAUUUGUAGACCCUCCAUUCUAUCUCCUUAAUAGAUGCCCUAUUAAGUGUUCUUUCAAUACUCCACAAUGGUUCCCUAGUGGCUCUUUGCUGCCCAUAUAGCCUACCUAUUUUAGCCACCUUGGAGGCUUUGGUUAAGGAAUUUAUUUGACCCCUUAUUUUGACCCUUGGCAGAAUCGAGUUAGAUUUAGGUUUUUCUUUUUUCUUUUUAGGAUAGUUCCUUUAAGUACAUUUCUAGGAUAGAAUACUUAGGCAUCAUUUUUCGAUCACCUUGGCCCAUUUAGACACUUUUGGCCAAUUUAGGCACAUCCGACCCAUUUAGGAUCACCCUAACCCAUUUAGAUACAUCUGGCCUAUUGAGAUCACCUUGACCGAUUCAGACACUUAGGUACAUCUAACUCAUUUAGGUCACCUUGGCCCAUUUAGACACACAUAGGCCCAUUUAGGCGCAUCCGACUCAUAUAGGAUCACCCUAGCCUAUUUAGACACAGCCAACCUAUUUAGGAUGACCUUGUCUCAUUUAGACACAUUUGUCCUAUUUAGGAUUACCUAGACCCAUUUAGGCACAUUCAACCCAUUUUGGUCAUCCUAGCCCAUUUAGACCACUUAGGCCCAUUUAGGCACAUUAGGCACAUUGGACCCAUUUAGGAUUACCCUGGCCUACUUAGGCACGCCUUAACCCAUUUAGGUCACUUGGCCCAUCUAGGCACAUUUGGCCCAUUUAGGAUGACCUAUGCCAAUUUAGGCACAUUCAACCCAUUUAGGUUGCCUUGGCCCAUUUAGAAACACCCAAGCCUAUUUAGGUCACUUAGGCCCAUUUAGGCACACCUUGGCCUAUUUAGGUCACUUAGGUCCAUUUAGGCGCAUUCGACCCAUUUUGGAUCAACCUGACCCAUUUAGGUAUAUUUGGCCCAUUUAGGAUCAUCGUGGCUCAUUUAAACACACCCUGGCCCAUUUAGGUCAUUUAGGUCCACUUAAGAACACAUUAACCCAUUUAGGUCACUUAGGCCCAUUUGACCCAUUUAGGAUCACCCCCAGCCCAUUUAGACAUACCCAAGCCCAUUGAGGUGACUUAGGUCAAUUUAGGCACAUUUGGUCCAUUUAGACACUUUGGGCCCAUUUAGGAUCAUCUAGGCCCAUUUAGGCACAUCCAACCCAUUUAAGAUCACCCUAGCCCAUUUAGACACAUUCGACCCAUUUAGGAUCGUCUUGGCCUAUUGUAGCACAUUUGGCCCAUUUAUGAUCACCAUGGCACAUUGGGCCCAUUUAGGGUCACUUAAGCCCAUCUAGGCACACCCUAAGCCCAUUUAGGUCACCCGUUGUUUCACUUCUUAUUGCAUGGUUUGCGUGAUUGCAUUGUUGAACUUCCUUGCAUGGCUUGCAUGACACUUUGUUUUUUUUUUUUGUUAUUAUUAAUUACUUCUUUAUUUUUAUUUAUUAUCUUUCUAUUUAUUUAUUUAUUAUUUACUUAUUUAUCUAUUAUUAUUUCAGCAUUUUCUAAAUUAUUUUUAAAUACUAUUCAUUUGUUCAAUCUAAUUUUAUUUUUGUGUUUUUGUAGGGAAAUUUACCAAAGAGAGAGCCAACGGAGAUGGAAAGUAAGAAUCACCAAAAUGAAAAAGGAAGAUAAUGGCGAAAGAGAGUAAUACUUACCAAAAAGAGAGGGGAUUGUGAGUUGCAUUAUAAAAGUAUGGAGAACACAAUUUGGGAAGUUUAUCAAAGAGAGAGCCAAUGGAGGUGUAAAACAAGAAUUACCAAAGUGAAAAAGGAAGACAAAGCGACAGAUAGUAAAACUUACCAAGAGAAGAGGGGAUUGAGGGUUGCAUUAUGAAAAUAUGGAGAACAUGUUUUGGUACUGAGAAAUUCAACACAUGGAGAAGGUUUUGGAGUAAGGAGAGGAAGGAUUUCGUCAAGGUGGAAUUUUAAGAAAAAAGGAUAUUCAAUGUGGUAGGAAGGAAUGUUUAGCAUAUUAAGGAAGAAUGUGGGGAUAGGUAGGGGGGAAGAAGAAUAAUUGCAAUUUGUUUUUUUUUUUUUGGUAGAGAGAACACUUUGGCAAAUUUUUGGGAGGUUCAACGUGCAUGUACAAUAAGAUCUCUUGAAAGAGCACGUAUAGAAGAGGGCACAAAUUUUUUUAGGAGACAAUUAGUUGCAUCUUAAAAGGGAAUUGAAGGUAAAUAUUGAUGAUGAUAUUGAUUUUAUUAGUUUCGAAAAUAUUGAUAUUAGUUUCAUGAAUAUGGAUGUUUUAGUUUAGAUAGAUAUUGAUGUUUUAGUUUUGAAAAUAUUGAUGUUUGCUAAGAUGUUUUGAUUUGGAUAAAUUUUGACAUUUUAGUUUUGAUAAAUAUUGAAGUCUUGGAUGUAUUUGCAUGUUGGUUAUAUUAAAAAAAAAAAAAAUUCCAAAAGUUUAGUUUUCAUGAAAUUGAUUGUUAGUUAUUUCUAUAAAAAAUAAAAAUAAAAAUAAAAAUAAACAUAAAUCUUGGAAUGUAAUUUUGAUUAAAUUAAUUGUUAGUUGUUUUUUUUUUAAAAAAAAUAUAUAUAUAAAUUCUUGGAAUGUUCAUUUGAAUAUUUUUUUGUUAAUUUUGUUUUAAAAAUUUAUUGGAUGAUUAGUUUGGGUAUAAUUUGUAUGUUAAUUUUAUUUUAAAAUUUCAUUGGAUGAGUAAUUUGUAUAAUUUACAUGUUAGUUUUAUUUUAAAAAUUCAUUGGAUGAUUAAUUUGUAUAAUUCACAUGUUAGUUUUAUUUUAAAAAUUAAUUGGAUGAUUAGUUCAAGUAUAAUUUUUGUUUGUUUUAUUUAAAAAAUUAAUUUGAUAAUUAGUUGAAGUACAAUUUUUGUUAGUUUUAUUUUAAAAAUUCAUUGGAUGAUUAAUUUGAAUAAUUUUUAAAUUAAUUUUAUUUUUCUAAAUUCAUUGGAUGAUUAGUUCGGGUAUAAUUAGCUUGUUUAUUAUAUUUUAAAAUUUUAUUAGAUGAUUAAUUUGUAUAAUUCACAUGUUUGUUUUAUUUUAAAAAUUAAUUGGAUGAUUAGUUUUGGUAUAAUUCUUGUUAAUUUUAUUUUAAAGAUUCUUUGUAUGAUUAAUUUGUAUAAUUUUUGUUAGUUUAAUUUUAAAUAUUCAUUAGAUGAUUAAUUUGUAUAAUUCGCAUGUUAGUUUUAUUUUAAAAAUUAAUUAGAUGAUUAGUUCAAGUGUAAUUUUUGUUAAUUUUAUUUUAAAAAUUCUUUGUAUGAUUAAUUUGUAUAAUUUUUCUUAGUUUUAUUUUAAAAAUCAAUUGGAUGAUUAAUUUGGGUAUAAUUUUUGUUAAUAUUUUUAGAAAUUAAUUGGAUGAUUAAUUUGUAUAAUUUACAUGUUAAUUUAAUUUUAAAAAUUCAGUGGAUAUUUAAUUCAUAUAAUUUGCAUGUUAGUUUUAUUUUAAAAAUCCAUUAGAUGAUUAAUUUGUAUAAUUCACAUGUUAUUUUUAUGGGAUGAUUAGUUUGGUUAUAAUUCACAUGCUGGUAUUAAUUUAAAAAUUCAUUGGAUGAUUAUUUUGAGCAUAAUUUUUGUAAAUUUUAUUGGAUGAUUGGUUUGUAUAAUUUUAAUGUUAGUAGAGUUUAAAAUUUUAUUGAAUGAUUGCUAGGUUAAAUUCCCAUGUUGAAUGUGUUUUAAAAACUCGUUAAAAAAAUUAAAUAAAAAUUCUUUGAAUGUUUAUUAGGUUAAAUUCUCAUGUGGGCAUUAUUAUUAUUAUUAUUAUUUCAAAGAUAAAAAAACAAAAAAAUCAUUUAAUGCCAUAUUUGGUUGAAUUUUCAUGUCAAUAGUUUUUUUUUAUUAAAAAAAAAAUUGUUGAAGUUUGUUAGUUUAAACGUUUAUGUUAAUAUAUUUUUAAAAUUCAUAGGAUGUUGUUGGCAUAAUUCUUAGUUGCCCUUAUCUUGAUACUUAUUGUGUUUGUUCCUUGAAGAAUUCUUAUAUUUGAUUUAAAAAAAAAAUCGAAUUGAAAAUUACUUUUUGAAAAAAAAAAAAGGAGAAAAGAAAAAAAUUGAAUUUUUUCCAUAUUGAACGAGGCUUCUUGAUUUCAAAUGGAAGACAAUAAAAAAGAAAUAAAAAUCCUUAUUGUGUAUAUAUUGUUUGAGGUUUACUAAUUCACUUGAUCCUUUUUUUCUUCUUUGAAAAAGAAAAAACCAUCUUCAAAAGUAUUUAAACCGUCAAAAGGAUUUGGAAACAAAUACUCAUUCUAGGUUUAAGGACCAUAUUUUAUUUUCAAAUCAUGCAUUCUACUAUUUUAUUUUCAUCUAAGCUGCAUUCUACUUUUUUUUUUUUCUUCCAAAAUGUUGUUUUUUAUUCCACAUAGAUUUGAAUGUAUUAGAUAAUUUUGAAGAUGGCCACCUAACACAUGCGACCCAUCUCUAAAACCUUUCUAAAAUAAGAAAGUCAUCCAAGAAAAUAAAAAUAAUAUAAGAAAAAGGCAAAGUUGUUGCCUUUUUUUUUUUUUUUUUUUUUUUUUUGGGCCUGUAUUUAUUUAUUAAUUUAUUUUUGUCAAUCUCCUACAAGAUCAUAUCCCACUUACCCCCUUACGCAGCAAGAAGAGCGCGUGGGACACCCACUUCGACCCCACAACUUUAUGAUGAAUCUGAACCCUGUGGACAAUAAUACCACGUGCAUACGAGCCUGUAACACUCAUUUAUGGGUUUAAAUUCAUUCAAAUGAGUCAGUAGUAAAAGCUAUGAAAUAGAUCGAACCCCACCUUCUUUUUCGUUUUUAAAUUUUCUGGGGUCCCUCAGUUACUUUACAGAAGGUGGCAGAGAAAGAGAGAGAGAGAGGAGUUAUUAGAGUUACAGACGAACAAUCACUUUCAAUGCUGUUGUCUUCUUGUUGUAAGGGUAAAAUAAGAGGCAAACAAAUUAAUGAAUUCAUUAUCUUACCUUUCUAUUCAAAUGCCUUCCAAGAAAUGUUUUGAGAGCUUUGAGUUUAGUCUAUAAUAAUGGUAGUAUAUUUCAAUGAAUAUGCGUUCUAGAAAAAUAUAUACCUUUAGCAUAUACCAAGAUAUCCUAGGGUUUCAAGUCGUGUUACAACGGGGAAGUAAUAACCAAUCAAAACACAUGACUUUGUUUUCUAAAAAAUCACUCUUCUUGGAAAACAUGCAAGGAACUUAAGCAUCAUAAGUUAAGCAAUCCUAGAUGGAUGUUCGAGUAUCCAGCUCUUUUCUUUAAUCCUAGAUGGAGAGAGACAACAUCUGCUCUCUCUCCAGCAUGCAAGUGUGCGUCCUAGGCAGCUCUUUUGUGCUUUAAAUGAAUUGAAUACUUGAUCUUAUUCUGCCAUUGUUUUGGCUCAAACCUAGGAAGUAUAUUUACCCUGACUUCUUUUCAUGUCUUCAACUUACUUAAAGGCUCACAAGUCCCAUUGGAAGCAAGCAGUUAAGGAUUUUUGAACUAAAAUGAUCAAACAUAGUCUUGCUUUACUAGUAGGUUAUACUCUUUUCAACAGUUUAAAUUGCUUUUGUUGAUAGAUUAUAUGGAUGUUUUAACACUCCAAGAAAUUGGAAUGAAGCAAAAUAUGAAGAAAGAAGAAAUGACUGUCAAUGGAUAUAUUUAUUCUCUUUUAUUUCUAUUGAUACUAAAAUUUUUAGGGAUAAAGGAAUUGUUACUGUUGUCCAAAUAUUUAAAAUUCAUCUGGAUCUGCAAGAAACCUGCAAGGGAAUAUUUUCUUAGAAAUAAUGGUUUAAAUAAGGAAAAGAAAAUAUAUAGAUGAAUUGACUGAAGGUUGCAGACAAGGGACCAACGACCAGGUAAUGGAAGACUGGAGAAAGGGAUUCAUCGGUUUGAUUUUUCUCCCAGCUGGCCCAGUUGUUUAUUUCAAAGUGCAGUUUAGAACAACUUUCAACAUUUGAAUAAGGAAAAGAAAAUAUAUAGAUGAAUUGACUGAUUCAAAGGGCAUAUUACAGUCAGUCUGUGCGUAACAGGGCGGGUGACUUCAAAUGGAUACACUGAGGUCUAUCUGUGCGUGUUAGGCAUUCAUGAACCUGUUUUCUUCGGUCAAAGAGCUGCCAAUACAAGGAAAAAAAAAAUGGCGAAAAUUAAGUAAAGUAUGACUUCUGGAAGAUUUAUCGCCUUCGUAAAUGAAGUGAGAGUUUUGACCGAAUUGAAGUAAAAAAAUUAAAUGCAAAACUUCCACUAAAGCUUGGCAUCAUUUUUCAAGGUUCUUUGUCAAUCCCUCAUUCUCCAGAACCAUGGGAUUGGUAGAGAAACUCAUUCUUCUCAACCAUGGCUCUUAACCAAUGGUUAAUUACCUUGCAACAAUGCAUGAUAUUAUUGAUGAAUUGGACCUUCUUAGAGAAGCCAUUCCAAAUUAAUAACUCAUCACUUACACAUGCAAACGUGUCGCCCCGAAUUCAAUGAAUUGUUGUUAUAUGCACACGAGAUACUAUGAUCACAUUUGAUGAGUUUCAUGACAAAUUAGUCGAAUAUGAAGCCUUCCUCAUGUAGCUUAAAACCAAAUAUGUCAUCAAAGAAGAUAGCAAUAAUCACCCCCACACAAUGAUAUCUAUUAUAAUACAUUAGCUGUAUCGAACACAAAUUUCCUUCAAUAUGUGUCUCAAUAUUAAAGUCCACGUAGAAUCAGGUGUGCACCAUAUUGGGGUUGGAUAGUUAUAAGACUGAAAGGAGCAUGAGCAUAGGAUGGCGAAAGUUCAAAUGAGAAGCGUUGUAAGAUCAUUGCCAAAGCUGUUUUUGCCUCCAUCAUUGCAAAAUUUUGUCCAAUGCACACCCGAGGACCCCAACCGAAUGGUAAAAAUGAAACUUGGUUUUUUGUUGCCUUUGAAACUCCUUCAGCAAACCUCUCUGGAUUAAACUCCUUUGCAUCGUCUCCCCAAAUUUCAUGAUCAUGGUGAACUAGGAUGGUGGGCAAAGAGACCUGCACUCCGGCUGGAAAAUACAUGUCUCCCACUUGAGUGUCCUUAGAAACCAUUCUGGUAAGCACUGUUACUGGUGGAUAUAACCUAAGAACCUCAUGAAAAAUCAUGGUAACCUGUGGUAGAGAAACUUUAGAAGUUGUAGCAUGAAAAUUGUUACUGAAAUACAUCUUAAAUCCUUAUGAAGGACACUGACGGAUAAAGGAAUUGUUUAAAAUAGUAAUGCAGAAGAGAUAUUGGUCUAAAUCAUGCAUGGCAUGAUGUCAAGUAUACAAAGGAUAUAAUAAUUUUAGAACCUCAUGAAAAAUCAUCAUAAUCUAGAGAAAUUUCAAGUCAUGGCAUGAGAAUCCAUUCCUGAACUAUAAGUAAAUGAAAGAAAAUGUUCAGUACAAGAUAAAAAAAAUAAAAAAAAAGUUAUGCGUUUUCAUUUUUACUCCAUUUAUUUUUCUCUUUUUUUUUUUCCUUUUGUGUGUGUGUGUGUGAGGGUGGGGGUGGUGGGUGGAAUAGAGUGGACUGAGUACUCACAAUUUUUAGGUGGUUUAAGCCAUCAUUUUCAGGUUUGUUAUUCCCAAAAACCUGUAAAACCUCUUCUCUUGCACGAGCUUGCCAGUCUGUAUGUUGGCUUAGCAGGACCAUUGUCCAUAAAAGCAAAACUGAGGUUGUCUCUUGGCCAGCAAGAUAGAAUAGCUUACAUUCAUCAAUGACAUCUUUGGCACUCAUUCCAAUCUUCGUGUUAUUUUGAUGUUCUUGAAUUUCUCUAAAAUUGGAUUCCAUUAAUAUACCUAAUAAGUCACUAUUAGCAGUUUCGCCAGCCUCCAUUGCCUUCUCCCUUUUGUUGAUGAUGCCCCCCAACAAUGCAUGUACUUCUUUGCUUAUUUGCUUCAUCCUCUUGUUCGUCUUUGUGGGAAAAAACCUGCAACUUAGUAAUUCCAGUAAAUAAAAGAUCACAUGAAGAACACUGACAUUAAUUUUUUGAAGCUUGUAUAACACUUCAUAGGCAGAAACUAUCAGACAAUAACUAAUGGUUUCAUCUACACAUGUAUUGCGGUGGCAUCUUAUCAUCUUGGCACAAUAUCUGGCCAACACAAGGCAUGGGGAUGCUAGACCUCAAUUUAUGAAACACACUACUUUCUAAGUGCUACACAGAAAGAACAGAAAGAACAGUCCUAGUAAAUGAAGUAUAAAGGCAUGAAAACAUAAAAUUGUCCAGGUAAAUGAAGACAUGCAAUGAAGAAGAAAACUAUUGCAGGCUACACAAAUCACAACCACAUAAAUCAACCACCCACCCAUUUUCAAACUUCCAGCUCUCAUGCACUGGCACAGUUCGGUCCUCUUAAAGAUUAAAGUAGGCAUCUAAAAUUUUAUUGGUUUCAAGGAAGAGAACCUUUUUAUUCUAAAUAUUUAAUAGUAGAUUCCUUUCUUAGCUUACCAGUAUAUAUAUAAAUUACUCAGGACCUUAAGAAGUUGAUAUUAUAAUUUAAACAAUGUUAUAUCAUGUGUAUUAGGAGAGAACCAAUCUCACCCACAAAUAAAGAGCACUCAAUUGUCAAUUCUUAAGUUUAUGACUAAUAUAUGUAUACUUAUAUAGUUUAUGUAUCUUUUGGAAAGUCAUGUGUAUAUUUAAAAGAUUAUAGUGUACACCAAUAAUAAUAUACCUGCACCAUUCAUCUAUGCACCUCCUAGAGCUCCCAUGAGUUCUUUUUUUCUCCUUCAUCCUACGUUUCACCAUGGCUGAAGCAAGCUCAACCAGGCUAUCCCACCUUCCCUUACCUAUCAAUACCACCAUGAACCUUAACAAUCUCAUUGCCAUCAACACAAUUAGCUAGCCAACUUCUACUCAAGCUCAUCCUCACUAACUAUUACUCAUGGAAAACAUAGUUUGGUGCACUGCUCUUUGGAUAUGACCUACUUGGCUACAUUGACGAAAUAAAGCAAGGACAAACAAAUCUCAAUCCUAACUAUACUUUUUGGACAAGUAGGACAAACUUCUUCUUCUAGGGAUCAUCGGCUCUCUCAGCCACAAAGUCGUACCUGUGGUUCAUUCAUGCAAAACUUCCACUAAAGCUUGGCAUCAUUUUUCAAAGCUAUGUCAAUCCCUCAUUCUCCAGAACCAUGGGAUUGGUAGAGCAACUCAUUCUUCUCAACCAUGGCUCUUAACCAAUGAUUAAUUACCUUGCAACAAUCCAUGAUAUUAUUGAUGAAUUGGACCUUCUUAGAGAAGCCAUUCCAAACCAAUAACUCAUCACUUACGCAUGCAAACGUGUCACCCCCGAAUUCAAUGAAUUGUUGUUGUUAUAUGCACACGAGAUACUAUGAUCACAUUUGAUGAGCUGCAUGACAAAUUAGUGGAAUAUGAAGCCUUCCUCAUGUAGGAAGAGCUUCGCUCCACUAGCAAUCUUGGUACCAUUAAAGUCAACAAUACACAAUUUUCAUCUUCCCAUUGUGACAAAAACGCUAGCCAAAAAUAUUUCCCUAGUAGGAAAGGAUACCAAGGCCAGCGUCCUCCUCAUUUUGGGAAUCAACACCCCAGCAAGAAAGCCACUAUGAUUUGCCAAUUCUCUGAGAAGAAAGGUCAUACUGCUUGCUAGUGUUACAUUUCUAAGAAAUUGUUCCUUUCAUCCACACCUACUACUAGUCCAAUUAUCCCCACAAACAACUCCUUAACCAAUUGGUUCGUAGAUAUCAGUGCCUCACAUCUUGUUACAUUUUAUCUUAACAACUUGUCUCUCUGCCAACCAAUGAAUCUUGUCAUUAAUAUUUUUCACAUUUCCUAUACUUGGAGGGUUGUUCCAAGAUUAAAUAAAGUAUUUUCCCAUGCUAGUCUAAAUAUAGUCUUUUCCUUUUCUUGGAGGGUUGUUCCAAGAUUAAAUAUGCUCAGUUUCAGAAUUGAGAGGACUUUUUCAUAUUGCUAAGAAAAAAACUUGUGAGUUUGAUUUUUCUAUCAAAGGUUUAUCUCUAAGGUGGAUUCCUCUGAGUGGUGAGCUUAAUUGUGAGUUCUUAUCUGUAAGGUGAUGAAUUUCUUAUCCUUAAAAGUGGUGAACUUGUGUUAUUAGCUCAUCAUUUUAUUUCCUUAAAACGGUAUCAUUUUGUGUUGGAAAAUGUAGUUACAAGCUUCCUUCAAGUUUCUCAUGUAUCAACCCACAAUCAACUUGUAGAUAUACUCAACAAACCAUUGCCCAAGUCCCACUUUACAUUCUUUCAGUCCAAGAUUGGCGUUUUUUAUGGAAGCACCAUCUUGCAAGGGCAUAUUAGGAGAGAACCAAUCUCACCCACAAAUUAAGAGCACUCAAUGGUGAAUUCUUAAGUUUAGGAGUAAUAGAUGUAUAGCCUUGUAUAGCUGUUGUAUCUUUUGGAAAGUCAUGUGUAUAAGAUUGUAGUGUACACCAAUACUAAUAUACUUUCACCAUUCAUCUAUUUACCUCUUUAAUGUGGAAUGACAACUGCACCAAAAGAUACUUUGGUGCCUAUACAUCCAUUAGUUUUUCAAUUAAACUGUUGAACAAAUGCCAUGAAUUGAGGUACUUUUGAGAGAUAAGAAAGCUCUUACCUUCAUCAAUUAAGCAAUGAAUGAAGGUACUUUUGAGAAGAUUUUCAGUGCAACCAUAACCAAGGAAGUAUGAGAGAUAUUACAUUUUAAGUACACAUAACAAAGUUAACAAUACACAAAAGGUUAAUCUUCAAACUCUUAAAAGAGAAUUUGAAAGUUUGAGUGUGAAAAAAAAAAUUGAAUUAAUCUCUAAUUAUUUUUCUAGAGUAUUAGAUGUUGUGAGUUUACAAUAAAAAUAUGUCAAAAGUUUGAAUGAUAGUUAUGUGGUAAAAAAAUAUGUUUAAUCUUUAGAUUCCAAAUAAGUUUAACUAAAUUGUUGUUGUCAUUGAAGAAUCUAAACAUUUAGAUUCUAUGACCAUUGAUAAACUCAUGAGACCACUAUAAGCUCAUAAAAAGAGAUUAAAAAGAAAUAACUAAGAAAAAUUGCAGCUUUUUUAAGCAAAUUAAACUUACACUAAAGGAGAAUGAUGAAAACAUUAGUUAAAGAAGUCAAAACAAUCAUGGAUAUGUCGAAGACGUGGUCAUAGACAUGGCUAAGACAAUAGAAGAAGAGAUAAGUUUAAUUUAUCAAACAAUGAAAUAACAAGUCAAAAUUCACAUUCCUUAGGAGGACAUGAAAGAUGACACAACUUAAGGCACAGUAAAAGAAGAGGAUAUGAUAAAUUUCAAAUUGAAUGUUAUAAUUAUAAAAAAAUAUGGUCAUGAUGCUUAUGAAUAUAGAAAUGCUACAAACAAUAUGAAAAGACACCUCCAAGGUACUAAAAAUAAAGAUCAAGAAGAACCAACCUUAUUAUUGGCAUAUAAAGGAGAAAGCUAGGAGAAAAUUACAUGGUAUCUUAACCUCUAAGUAAAAUCAUAUGUGUGGAUUCAAAAAUGUGUUUGUAGAGCUUAAUGAAUUUGAAAGUGGCAAUUUUGCCUUUGGGGCUACAUGUAAAAUUCCAAUAAAAAGAAGAGGUAAAAUCUUGAUUCAUAUGAAAAUGGAAGGCAUAUUUCAAAUGUCUACUAUGGUGUAACAUGGAAAACAAUAUAUUAAGUUUAGGUCAACUCUUAUAAAAGGGCUAUGAUAUUUAUCUCAAAAAUAAAAGUGUCUUAAUAAGAUACUAACAUGCCAAUAUAAUUGGUAAUGUGCCCAUGAUAUAAUGUUUUUGAAUAACAUUCAAAAUAAUAUUGUAAAAUGCCUAAAAUCUCAUGUCAAUAAUUCCUCUUGAAUUUGACACUUAUGAUUUGAACAUCUUAAUUUUAGAGGAUUGAAAUUGUUAAGCAUGAAAAACAAUGAAAUAAUUGUUCUUUAAUAAUUUGUGUCAAUUGUGUGAAAGAUGUUUACUCAGAAAAUAUGUCUAAAAAAGUUUUCCAAAGGAAGAAACAACAAGAGAAGAAGCUUUCAGUGCUCAUUAAUGUGGAUAAUCCAGUUUUAAUUUUUAUGGGUGAUUCUAGUAAAAAAUAAAAAAUAAAAAAAUUUGGUUGUAUCUUUAGCUCAAAAAUUUGUUGAAGAAACUUAAUUUACCACAAGAGAAACCAAUAAACAUCUAUAUGAAUAUAAAAUUGGUGAUUGCCUUAGAAAAGAUAUCUAGUUCUCCAUGAUUGAAGCAAGUAUAUUAAUACAAAAUAUCAUUUAUUAGAAAGUAUAUUAUGAAACAUGAAGUACACAUAAAAUUUGCAAAAUCUCAUAAUCAAAAUUUGAAAAUGCUUAUAGAGCCUCUCAAGUUUAAAGAUUUUAGAUAGCUAAGGAUGCUACUUUUACAAAUCAAGUUGAAAAGGGCAUGUAAGUUUAACUAUAUUUAGAAAGUUUCUAAAAAUUAGAAUUUGAGUCUUUCUAAAUAUUAAUUAAAAUAUUUUAUAUUAAAAGGUUGAUUUAGUUUCACCCUUAGAAUCUAAGCCUUUCAAAGUGCCAAUAGUUGUUAGUUGUAGAUAAGGCUUUCCUUUUUACAGCUCUGGGUUCUAAUCUAUAUAACCUCCUAAUGGUACAAAGUGCACCUUUUUCAUAGAGGCAAGUAGUAACCUAUUGUUAGCCCCUUGAAAUGGACUAUGAGGCACUAAGGCCUCAUGGGGCAAUAGCUUCACAUCAUGAGUAACCUAUGAUGGCAAUAAGGUGGCACAGGGGUACAAUUCCUUGUGCAAGGAGAUGGCUUGGUGAGCCAUGGGCGUAAUGCCAUGAUAGGUACAACACUAAAAGAGACUUAGAUGAGCAUAUUGUUGUGGUGACUUAGAUGAAAUACAUGAGGGUGCAAUGCCUUGUGCAUGGGGAGUCAUAGGUGCAAUGCCAUGACAUGUUGCCAGACCAAGAAGAGGGUUUGGGCAAAGCAUAGAGUCACAACAUCAACAAGGUGAAUGUCGGAGCAUGUUGCCUCAACAUGGAUGCAAUCUAGAUGUGUAGGCCAAAAGAGAACUUAACAUGCACAUGAGCCAUUUAUAUAGAUUCCUACAACAACAACAUUCAAAGUUGGACUCGAAGUAGGAUUGCAAGUCAAGCAUGAGUAGGAGUCUUGAUGUGAAUUGUAAUUGUAGUAUGAUUAGGACUAGGACUUAGAGUCUACGUAAGAGUGUUUAUUUCCAUAACCUAUUAAGAAAAGUCCUUAUAUAACUAGGAGUAAAACUCCUAGUCUAACAGAGAGCAGGUGGUGCCACUCUAUAAAUAGGGAGGGUUGGAUAGACUUUAGAGAGAGAUCAAGAGGAAGCCUGAACUACCAAAAGUAUUGUGGAAGUGUAGCUAAAGUCUUGUAUUCUUAUUCAAUAAGUUAAUAAAAUAUAAUUUAGGGUUGAUGCCCUAUAAAUCUUGUGUAUUGCCUUGCGUGUUGUCAUCUAGUGGGGAAAGGUGUAGGUUAGCUUAGAGAGCUUCUAAGUAUUUGCAUAGAUGUGAAAGUUUAUGUGGGAAUUUUGCACCUAUGACAAUUGGUAUCAGAGACUAACAAGCAAAUGGUUGGGGGAAGUACUAUAGAGACCUUAAGAGAAAGGAGCUCAAGACUAGAAGAAUUGUUAGGGGAAUAACAAGGUGAUAAGUUGGUUGGCUUGAGAAUCCUUGAAACAAUUGAAGCACACUAGUUCAACAUAGGAGUAUAUCGAGGAAUUUAGUUCCUUAAUGCUCGACAUAAAAAAUAUGUCCAAUGAGGACAAAUUGUUCAACUUCAUGUUUGGAUUGUAGGGAUGGGCCUAAAUUGAGUCACAAAGAUAAUGGGUGUGAGAUCUUUCUAUUAUAAUCAUUGCAACAGAUUGUUUGGUAGUCUAUAAGUUGAAUGGUGUGAACUCUACAAAUCAGAAACCUAAACUAGAUGGAGCAAAGAAACCUAAUAAAGAGGGGAAAUCUUCUAAGAAGUCAUAUGAGAAGAAUUUGAAAAAGCCUGCAGCAUCGUAAUCGAAUGAAAAAACUACUAAGUAUGGGUAGCAAACAACCAAACCCAUGGGUUGAUUCAUUUGCAUGGCCCUCACUGUGCUAAGAAGUGUCCAAAAUGGGAAAAACUAUCAGCCCUUAUGGCUACUAAAAGUAGUGGUGAUUCUGACAUGGAUACACCUUUAAGAGUUAAUCCUUCAUAGCUCUUGAACAUAAUCCACGCAAAUGCACUAAUUCAAAAAGGGUUGAUUCAUGUCCAAGUGCUAGUAAAUGGCAUGUAGGUAAAACCAAUGAUGGACAGAAGGGCAACCCAUAAUUUUGUGGCUAGUAAGAAGCCAAGAAGCUCAGUUUGGAACUAGAACAAUACACUAUUAAGAUCAAGGCAAUAAAUAGCAAAGCCCAACAAAUUAAUGACAUUACCAAAAAAGUCUCACUCUAAGUCGGAAAUUGAGAAGGCAACUAUAGCUUGCUAUGUGUACCCUUAAACGAUUUUGAUUUGAUCUUAGGGAUCGACUUUUUCCUUAAGGCUAAGCCGGCAUUGCUCCCAUACCUUGGUAGGUUAAUGAUCAUGGAUGAGAGUCAACCUUGGUUAUUUUUUCUAUAAAGGAAAAAGUCAUAGAGAAAGGUCAAACCAAGAUGGUUUCUACGCUUCAAAUAAAGAAAGGGUUGAAGUGUGGGAAUGUCACGUAUAUUAUAACCUUGGUUGAGAACAAAGCAGAUCAUUCAAUGGAGGUGCCACAUAGUGUAGCCCAUAAUAAAAAAGAAUUUAAAGAUGUGAUGCCUACAAAAAAACCCAAGGAGUUGCCUCCUAAGCACCAUAUAGACCAUAAAAUUGAGUUGCCACCUAGGACCAAACUUCCUACUGAUCAGGUCUCAUAUUGGAUGUCACCUUCGAAUUACUUGGGUUAAGGAAGUAAUUGAAGAAACUGUUGGAUGCAGGCAUGAUCCAAUCUUCAUGGGUUCCCUAUGGUACUCCUAUUCCAAAAGAAGGAAGAUGGGACCCUAUAGAUGUGUGUUAAUUAUUGGGCCUUGAACAAAGUAACGAUCAAGAACAAGUAUCCAAUCUCCUUAGUGGUAGAAUUAUUUAAUAAAUUGGCCAAGGCAAAGUUUUUCUCCAAAUUGGACUAGUGGUUAGGAUACUAGCAAGUAAGGAUUUUAGAGGGGAACGAAAAAAAGACUACAUGUGUAACCCGCUAUGGGUCAUAUCAGUUCCUCAUGAUGCCAUUCAAACUAACUAAUGCCUCAAUAACAUUCUACAACCUAAUGAAUGAUAUGCCAUACGAGUUCCUAGAUGCCUUUGUUAUGGUUUGCUUCAAUGCAUUAUUGUUUAUAGCAAGACCUUAGAAGAGCACGUGAAUCACUUGAGACUAGUGUUUCAAAGACUAAGAGAACAUGAAAUCUACGUGAAGAGAGAGAAGUGUGAGUUUGCACAAAGGCAUAUUACCUUUCUAGGAUGUAAGAUAGAGGAAGGGUUGAUCGAGAUGGAUGAAGUGAAGGUCCAGGCCAUUAAAGAUUGGCAUGCUCUAAGCAAGGUGACACUGGCAAACUACUAUUGAAGGUACAUAAGGGGUUACUUCAAGAUAGUGGCUCCCUUUACUAACCUUCUAAAGAAGGAUAUUUGCUAGGAUUGGGGGUUUGAAUGCUAGAAAGCUUUUGACAAGUUGAAAGUGGUGAUUUUAGUUAAAUUGGUGCUACAUUUACUAGAUUUGGAUAUCCUAUUUGAGGCCCAAACAAAUGCAUCAACUAAGGCCUUGAACUUGGUGCAAGAAAGGCACCCAAUAGCCUUUGAGAGUCAAAAACCUAAUGAGUUAGAACAAAGAUACUCCACUCACGAGAAAGAGAUGACAACGAUUAUCCAUUGCUUAUAGUAGUGGAAGCAUUAUCUAUUGGGGAGUAUAUUUACUAUAGAUGGUCACAGACAACAUAGUUAAUACCUUUUUCAAGAUGCAGAAGGAGUUGAGCCCUAAGCAAGCUAGGUGGCAAGAAUUCCUUGGCGACUUCAAGUUUGAAUGGUUGUAUUGACGAAAAAGACAUAAUGUAGUUGUAAAUGCCUUGAACCAAAAGGAAUUAACAGAGUAUGUAAUCACUCAAUCACAUAUGAUUUCAUAUUUUAAUGAGAAGAUCAAGCAAGCUGCUAAGCUUGAUUCUACUUAUGAGAAUAUGAAACAACAAUUCAAAGAGGGGGCUACUAAAAAUUUUUGGCUAGAAGAUGACCUCUUGGUGGCUAAAAGAGGUAGGCUAUAUGUACCAAGAAGUUGCUUACAUAAGGAGUUGCUAAGAGUGGCCUAUGAUGUCAAGUAGACAGGUCACCCUAGCAAAGAGAUGACAUCAAUAGUAUUGUCCAACUACUAUUACUAGCUAAAAAUAGGAUAGGACAUCCAGACUUAUGUUCUAUAUUGUUUGAUAUGCUAGUUGGAUAAGACAGGCAAGAAGAAAACAAUAAGGUUACUACAACCUCUCCCUAUCUUAAAGAGACCUUAGAAUAACAUAUCUGUGGACUUCAUCGGUGGCUUUCCAAAAGUGAGGGAAUUCAAGUCUAUCUUCAUGAUAGUAGAUAGACUCUCUACGUAUGUUGUUUUCAUACUUACACCACAUGCAUGUCCCGUAGAGGAGGUGACUAGGCUAUUCUUCAACCAUGUGGUCAAGUACGUACUUCAAGUUGCCUAAAGACAUAGUCAGUGAUUGUGAUGCUCGAUUCAUUGGUCAAUGUUGGACUGAGUUGUUUAAACUCCUAGGAUUGAAGUUGAAGUUCUAAAAAACAAAUGAUUCGUAGAUAGACGGGCAAACAAAGUGUAUCAAACUUAAGGAAUACCUCAGACACUAUGUUUUUAUAACACAAAAGAACUGGAUUGAUCUAGUGGAGAUAGCUCAUUUAUCCUAUAACUUGCAUAAGAGUUCAAUAAUAGGGUUGAGUCCCUUUGAAUUGGCUAUAGGGCAACCACUAAUUAUGCCUUGGAGAUGUUUAAGCAAAAGUUUGGUGGUAAUUGUCUUAUAGCUUAUAAAUUUGCAAGGUCUUGGCAGCAGAUGCUCGAUGAAGCUUGUAAAAGCUUAGAGAAGGCAUUUACAAAAAUGAAAAAGUAUGCGGACAAGGGCCGAAGACCCUCAUAAUUUAGAUUGGGGAUAGGGCCCUUCUAAACCCUCAUAUAUGGAAUAAAAUUAGCAGUAAGACUAUGUAGAGGGUGUUGAUUCCCAAAUAUGAUGGACCUUUCAAGGUGAUGUAGAGGGGGAUAAGUAGCUUACAAAUUGAAGUUGCUGGAUAGGUUAAAGAUAUACCUCACGAUCCAUGUGAGCUUCUUAAAGCCUUACCAUGAAAACCUAGACUCAAGAAGGAUACCAACAAGGCGAGUGAUUAGAAAGAAAUUUGAUCGCGAGUGAUAUCAACAAGGUAGAGAAGAUAUUAGAUCAUUGAACUGUGGGAAUGAGUAAGAAAAAUUGAAGAAUUGAUUUUCUAGCUUAGUGGAAGGAUAGUCUUGAAUUAGAGGCUAGUUCGGAAUGAGAUGUAAUGCUCUGGAAAUUUAAGGAGGUAGUCUAAGCCUACCCAUAGUCCAAGUCAAUGAGAGCAUCAACUACAUCAAGUAGAAGUGGUUUGUUAGCCCCUUGACAUGGACCAUGCGAUACUAAGGCCUCAUGGGGUGACACCUUGGCCUCUUGAGUGACCAAUGACAACAACAAGGUGGUAUAAGGGUGCAAUGCCUUAUGGAGGGAGAUGACUUGGUGAACCAUGGGCACAAUGCCAUGGUAAGUGUAGUACUAAGAGAGACUUGAAUGGGCAUAUCAAUGGGGGGCAACGAAGCCAACUUAGAUGCAAUACAUAAGGGGUGUAAUGCCUUGUGCAUAGGGAGUCAUGGGUGCAAUGCCAUGAACUAAGAAAAGGGCUUGGGCAAGGCACAGAGCUGUAACAGCAACAAGGUGGAUGUAGGAGCAUGUUGCCUUGACACAAAUGCAAUCUGAACAUACAAACCAAAAGAGGGCUUAUCAUGCACACGAGUCAUAUAUAUAGAUGCACACGGUAGUAGCAUGAAGAGUUGGACUUGAAGUGGGAUUACAUAUCAAGCAUGAGUAGGAGUCUUGAUGCCUAAUGUAAUUAUAGUCUAAGUAGGACUAGUACUCAAAUUCCAUGUAGGAGUGGUUACUGCCACAACCUAUUAGGACAAUUCCUAGUAGAACUAAGAGUAGCACUACUAGUCUAAUAAGGAGUGGGUGGCACCACUUUAUAAAUAGGAAGGGUUGGAGAAACUCUUGAGAGGGAUCUAGAGAAGGAAAUCAUAAGGGAGGUCAAAACUCACCGAAGCUAUUAUGGAAGUCUGGCUAAAGUCUUUUAUUCUUAUUUAAUAAGUUAAUAAAAUACAAGUUGGGAUUGGUGCCUUGUAAACCUCAUGUGUUGCUUUGCAUGUUGUUGCCAUCUCAUGGGGGAAGGUGUAGAUUGGCUUAGAGAGCUUUUAAAUGCCACAUAGACAUGAAAAUUUAUGUGGGAAUUUUGUGCCUAUGACACAUAACCUUUAAAAGUCUAUUCAAGGGGGACCCUUCAUCUCCCUUCAUAUAUUUAAUUAUUUGCCUGUUUUUUCAACCCUAUUAAUGCAACAUAGGUGAAUUUGCCCGAUGGUUUAUAAGAAAAUUCAUGUCAGUUAUGUUCAACAUGUUAAAUUCUACUAGGCUUAUGUAUCGGUAUGUAGAUUAUAGCUUCUUCCCCUAAGCCCAAAUUUUUCUUUGGUUUCAUGGUGUUAACAUUUCAUGAAAGUAAAUGCUCCAUUGAAGAAUAAAUUUACCUAAAAUUGAAUAUGGUGUGCUAGGACAUAGAGAUUUAUUAAAUGUUAGGAAAAUGUAAGGGUGACUUGAAACCUAAAUUUGAGCAAAUAAAAAGUCUAUUUAACAGUGCUUUUAGAAAACACUUACAUUAUAGAAAAAAAAACAUUUUUGAAGAAAAACCAAAUGUUUGACCAAAUUUAGAAAAUACUUUUAAAAAGUUCAAAAUUAAAUUAUUUGUAAUGCUUCUUGGAGAAACACUUCACAUAUUAUUCUUCCAAAAAUACUUCUAGAGAAAACCCUUCCACUAAAAGCACUUAAAAUAGAAACUCAAGCAAAUCUACUCUAAAUCUGCCGAAGCACUGCUAAAAUAAUGAAAAAACAAGCAGACUCCUGUAUAUUCAUAAAACUGAGCAGCAUAUUUCUUGAAAUAUUAUAUGAUUUUAUGCAUACCUCCAUCCUGGGAUAUAAACUGACAUUGCAACCUUGAUUGCAAGAUAUGUCUGUUCUUUCUGGAGUUGGAAUAUCCUUCUUCCUUCUUCGUAGCUACUGCCAAAUGCUGUCCGAGAAAUCACAUCCCCUGUCAAAUUUUCAAGAUAGGGCCAAACAUCCAACUCACAUGAUCCCUUCACCGAAAGCUUCUUCCAUUUGUUCAACAUGUCGCUACAACUCAAAUGAAAUGCCGGUAACAUAUUCUAUAACAAGUUCAACCACAAAAUAAAUUAAUAAAGACGAAGAACAUCUCUUCGUUGGUAAAAUUAUGGAAACGGCCCAUUGGAGAAAGAGGGAAAAAGACUCUAUAUGAGUAUGUGAAAAAGAAAGGGAAAAAGAAAGGAAACAGUAGGACACUUGGUAUGUGAAAAACUAGUCACCAGUACUUCAUUAAAAUGACUGAAAUAUUUGGGAAUUCUGAUGUUUAUACAGGUUUUUAUAGGAUUAAAAAUAAUUUUUCAAUUACUUCCAUAUUUAAAAAUAAAAAAUAAAAAAAAUUAGAAAGUUUUCUGGAUGGAAAGCUAGGUUAAUGAUCUUUCUGGAAACUAAGGUAAAAUAUUGUCGUUUGAAAACUGGGCAUUGAAAAUUACCUUCAACUUUUCUGGAUGGAAAACUGGGUUGAUCAUCUUUCUACGUUUGGCCCAUUGUUCACCUUCCAAAACCACUAGACCAGAAACCAGCAACUUGACCAACGGGUGUGAGGGUGUCUUUUGAAAGAUAUUGGACUUCAACAAAACAUCCCUCAUUAGCUCAGGCUCCAUAAUGUUUACCCUUGGACUUGGACCCACCCAUGUAAAGAAAUUUUUUCCUGCAUGUUUAUGCCAUUAUUGGAUAGUGUUAGUCCGGAUUGCUUUUAGUUUGGAUAAUUGUUUUAAAGACCGACUGGUUUGAGCAGUCAGACCGUCGACUGAAAGCAAAUUUGAUCCGGAUCAGCAAUUGAGCCGGUAGGGCUAUUGAACCGCCAUCGAACCGGACGACCCAGCCGUUGAACCAUUGACCUGGUGAACUGGGUCGCCGGUUUGGGCCUGGACCUAUCUCUAAGUGAAACUCUUUCGGCCAAAAUGGGCCAUGGUUUUAGGUUGAAAUUGGGCGAGUGGGCUACCGCUUGGGCCACUCACAGACAUCCACACUCAGGGCAAGCCGACUAUAUAAAGAGAUGUUUAUUCCUCAUGCCAUUCAGAUAUGGGACUAACUUGGGAAAAUUAGGAUAUCAUGACUAUACUAUUUAUGCCUUAUGUAAACAUUUCCACAACACUAGCUUAAAAAAAAAAAAAAAAAAAAAAAAUCUUCCCAAAAUUUUUAUAAUAAUAAAAAUGCAAACAAUUUAAAGUAAACUAAUAUAAUUUUUUAAAAACUAUAAAAUAAUAAGGUGUAUAACUUUUAAUAUCUUUAUAUAUAUAUAUAUAUAUAUAUAUAAAUUAAAUAACUUCACAUCUAAAUAUUUUAUAUAUUUUAUUUAAGAAAAUCUUAAAAUAUUAAUACAUCUACAUAUUAAUUUAAUAAUAUUAAAUAAAAAAUAAAUAUUAUUAUUUUUUAAUUUCUUUAUAUAUUUAAAAUAUUUUAAAUUUUAAUAAUAUAUAAAUUACAUAUUUAUGAUAUCAUUGAUUUGACAAUCAGUUUAAUCAGUGAAUCGUAAGUUGUUAACUUUUUUGGUUUAAUAAUCAAUCCAAUUCUAAAACCGUCGAUUUGGACUACAUAUACCAAGUCUUCUCGAGCUUGUAAUAAAAGAUAAAGAAGAUGAAAUUGUAACAUCUCAAAAUUUGAGCUUGUGGCAUAUGGAAAUCAAUCUAUACAUAAUUACUAUGUAUAUAUUAUCAAAUAUAUGAAUGUAGAAGCUAUUUUAAUUAUCAACCAUAGAAUUGGCAUGGAAUAUUAUAACAUCCCAAAGGUGCGUUGACUUGAAACAUCCCAAAUUAAUUCUAACACUUAAAAAAAAAAAAAAGCAAAAGGUGAAAAAGGAAAAGAAAAAUAGUUAGGAAGAGAAGAACAAAAACUAAACAAAUGAAUCCGGAAUACUAAAAACAUAGAGUAAAUGAUAGGAUCAAGAUACAAAACAAAUGGGAUAAAGAUAGGAUCAAGACACAAAAUAAAAACUCAUAUUUAGCUUUCGAUAUGAUUCAUUUGAUAAGGAUAAUAAAAGAAAAAUAAAUAUAUAAUAUUAAUUGUUUUAUUUAUACAUCAUCACACCGUCUCUAUAUGAAUACCAUCUUCCUAAGAAGAAUAACAUGACUAACAACAAUCCACGACAAUAGUUUUGGAACGAUUGCCAUUUGUUUGUUAAUAUUCUAUUGUCUUGCUAGUAGGGCAUGGACAGCUUUAAUAAAGUAAUUUUUUAGGAGAGUGCAUGUCAUUGGAUUCUUAUAAGGAUGCAUGCCUGUAUCUAGGCUUCAAAUUUAACGUUUUAUCGGUUAAUAAUGCAUUGGGCUCCUCCCAUCCGAUGUUUGAUAGGAUGGAUAAGAAGAAGAAAGUGAAGUAAGAUCAAAAUAUCUGAUCACAUUUAUUUAAAAACUGAAUAGGACAAAUGGGUGAAAUGAUUAGUAGUGAGUCGCCCGGGAUAACACGGUCUGGGACAUUCAUAAUUGCAUUCUUUAUAGCUUCAUUAUUGUUGGUAGACAGUUGAGUGCAUUGUCUUUGACCAUUCCAUGCUAAGCAAGAAUGAUAAAAUUAAAUAGCAGAGAAAAAGAGAAGAAAAAUAAAAGAAUGGUACUUAUACGAAGGUGCUAUGCAGUCUAACAGUACCUGAAGAGAAAGAGUUGGCAAUCAAACAAGGAACAAUGCCUAAGUAUAGAGGAAGUGCUCUGUGCAGAACCUCUACACACGCACAGGGUACUCUACACAAAGAGAUGGCAAAGGAGAACCCUACACAGAGGCCUGCGCAAGUGAUGUGCAUAAUCAGAGAAGAGAAAACGUGCAUAUAUAUAUAGAUGGCCUGCACGAAAUCUGCGCAAAGAGCAUAUAUAUAUAUAUAGAGAGAGAGAGACACACACACACACACGCACAGGGUACUCUACACACAGAGAUGGCAAAGGAUCCUCCUCUGCGCGCACUCCUAGGGCAAUGAAUCCCAAGCACAAGGAGUUCCUGGAGUAGAGAAAGCACGAACGGAGUUAUGAGGUAGCAUUUCUUGAGGGCUCAAAAUUCUGAUAAUGAGUGAUACCUAGUAUCGAAAUUUUGAUACUCAUGUUGAUACCAUGUAACAAAGAGACUUCUCAUGCAUAUAUUCUAGGAGGUAACACUCAACUAUUUUUUUUUUUUUAAAGAAAAUACUAACCUUUUCAUGGUAUCAGAGCCUCCAAACCUACCAGCCAAGAAAAAUGUCUUCACACAUACUUCCAUCCUCCACCCUACAAAUAGAACCUGAAUCAAACUUUCAAUCCUUUCACCAAUGUUCUAGCUUGAUCUCCAUCAAACUGAACACCACCAAAUUUCUAUUGUAAUGCAACCAAAUCGCUCCCUUAGUUUGUAGCCUUAGUGUUCUACAUUAUUUGUCAAAUAGAGAAAAAUUUGCUGAAGAAGUUAAGAAUGACAAGGAGGAAAAAUCUCCAAACUCGAACUAUCAAAGGUGGAUCAACAAUGAUGGACUUUUAACUUCAUCGCUUCUUGGAACCAUAAAAGAAAAUGUCUUAAACUUGAUUGGUGGUGAGCCAGUUUAUCAAGUGUGGAAUUCCCUUGAGGAGUAGUCAUUGCCAAUUACAGUAAAGAAUGAAAGGAAUUUGAAAAAUAUGUUAAUAAUCAUUACAAAGGGUUUUCGAUCUCUUGAAGAAUACUUGACCAUAACAUUCAUUGCUAGUAUUUCAUGCUUAUGAGUUACUCAUUUCAGCCUUUCUUGGACUCUUCAUGGUUCACAAGUCCCAAGUCUUUUAGUUAUGCAUGUUUAACCCCUUCUACUUGUUUGGUUGAUAUUGACUUUUGUACUUAUCAUUUUUUUCAUCUCUUGAACCUGAAUUAGACUCAAAAUGGAAAUUAGAUUCAUAACUAGGGUCUUAGCAUUAAUUUGAGUUAAGUUAGAUAAUUUGAGCUUUUUAUAUUGUAUAAAUCAUAUCAUAUAUAUAUGUCAUUGGAGCAUAUAUUUGGUUCUAAUUAACUGCAUAGGGAAUCCUAGAUCUCUUUGUUCCCCAUCAUAGGACUAGGUUAGGAGCAUGAAAUCUACAUAGGGCAUUUAGAUCCUAUGAACGAAAGCAAAAAUAUAAUUUCUAACAUUGAAGGAUCUAGAAAAGUGUCAUAAAAAACUUUACCUUUGAUUUGGAUUUUCCCAAAUCAAAUCCAAAGUCAUUGGAAGCCUCGUAAACCUAUUAUCUUUUGUCCUAUAACUCUACCUCGAUCCUCAACACUCAAACAAUAAAGUGUUUGGGAAGGUGAAGGCUAAAGCUCUCUCUUCUCUUUAUAUGGUGGAAGAAUACUAACUAGAAACCCUAACCCCUAAGAGGAUAUUUAUAAGGUUCCUUACUAGGCUUAAGUGACUUAAGCCCAGUAAGGGCUUGGGUCACUUAAUACAACCUAAAAGGGUCUAAAUUGAUUUAUUAACCCAACAAAGUUGUCUAAUUAAUUAAUUAGUCCAAUCCAAAGAUACUGUUUACAAACCCCUAUGCAACCUUGUGUAAUUAUCAAAAUGUCAUUAUGCACAUAAGUAAACCUAAAGCUUAUGCAACCCUCAUAAAUCAUGUCAUCAAGGUAUAUGAGCUCUAGUAAGGACCAUUAGGACCUAUCGGAGUACUACUCUCUCAAAAUCCAAUUAUGAAGUUCAUUCAACAUCUCACUACAGAGAAUCAAUUACACUUUGAUACUCUAUGUAAAUAACAACAAGAUGAUGCUUAGGUUCAUGAGUUACUACCCAUUACAUGCAAACUCUCCAUGAACUAGUGUCCAUAAUUUAACAAGGUAGUAUUAUCACAUAUUAAGAUUACCUCUCUAAUCGUUGAGUUAUAAAUCCAUCUAUUAUUUGAUCAAUUGACAUACUCUAACUCCAAGGAGUAUAUGUCGAAUUUCACUAAGUGAAAAGCUAAUGGUCAUAGUCUUCUCAAUGACAUGUCCUUUGGAUCACCUAAGGGAACAUUGUUGGAAUUGACCAUCAAGAUGGGUUUCACAUGAUGAGUGUACUAGUAUGGAUAGUUACAUAUCGUAUAGGAUCAAUGGUGAAUCAUAACAUAAGACUAUUGAUUGUCAUGAUUCACCAAGUUACUAUACUGUAUCAACUCUCAACCUUAAAAUGAUAUCGAGCUUAUGCCAAAGUCAACAAGAGGAGGCUUUGACCUAUGGGUGAGAUCCUAAGGUGGUCACAUAUCCCUAUGGAUUGGAACACUAUUGAUGAAGGUUGGUAGCACUAGGCUUUCUCAAUAAAGGGACCAUGAUAUUUCAUGGGACUGAGACAAUGUAUUGCCUUGGGUAAUCUAAAGGACAUGUGAAAGAAGACUAUGGUCAUAACAUUUUCUUCAAUAAAAAUUUGAUGUAUGCUCCUUAGAGCUAGAGUAUGUUAAUAGAUCACAUAAUAAGUAGAAUCUAUAACUUAAGAAUUAGAGUGUUAUUCUUGAUAGGUAAUAACACUAUCUUGUUAGAUUAUCGACACCAAUUCAUGGGGAGUCUGGAUGUAGUGGAUAGUAGGUCAUAAACUUCAGUUUCAUCUUAUUAUUAUUAUUUACAUAGGGUACUAGAAAGAAAUUGAUUUUCUUUAGUGGAAUAUUGAAUCAACUUUAGAAUUGGAUUCUAAGGGAACCAGUACUCUUAUAGAUCACAAUGGUCCUUGCUUUGAGCUCAUAUACUAUGAUACAGUUUAUAAGAGUUGGAUUGGAUCUAGGUCCACUCUUGUGCAUAAGAGAAUUUUGGUAAUUACAUAAGGUUGCAUAUGCAGUAGUGAACAAGUUCUCUAGAUUUGGUUAAUUGAUUAACUAGAUGACCCUAUGUGGUUAAUUAAUUAAUCAAGACCCAGUUUAAGUUAGAUUAAGUGACCCAGGCCCUAUUCGGAUCAAGACACUUAAAUCCAGUAGGAGAACCCUAUAAAUACUAUUGAAAUUGAGCCCUAAAAGCAAGACAUGAUGUAACAAAGUCAAACUUGACUCUCCCCUUGUUAUCCUUUUAUGUAUUGACAUUGAUUUGAGCAUUCAACUCAUAUCUCUUACAUUAUCAUGACUUAGGUGCAUUGGGAGUUGCAAAGAGGAGACAAGUCAUGGGCUCCUUGUAAGUAGAUAAAAUGUCCAUAUUCAGUUUAUGGACUUGGGCAAUACAAUAAAGAUUGUAAUGCACUACCUCCUAAUUGGAAGGAUGGUUUGUCUUGAUCAUAGAGAUAGAUUUCCCAUGGUGGGUGGACUAGUGUAUGUGAUACACAUUAGACAAGACCUACAUUAAAUCACAACAUAAGACUAUUAGUUGUUAUGAUUCACUAAGAUAUUGUACUAUAGGAACUCUCAAUCUUGAGAGGAUAUUAAGCUUGUAGUAAUAUUAACAAAAGACUUUGACUUAUGGGUAAGACCCUAAAGUGGUCAUAUAUCCCUAAGGAUUAGGUUACUGUUGAUGGAGGUUGGUGGCAAUAAUAUUCUCAAUAGAGGGACCAUGAUAUCUCAUGGGUUUGAGACAAUAUGUCUCCUUAGAUUAUCCAAAGGACACGUGAUAAUGAAAUUUAUGGUCGUAAUAAUUCCUUUAGUUGAAUUUCACAUACACUUCUUAGAGUUAGGGUAUGAUAGUUAAUCUUUUAAUAAGUGGGAUUUGUAACUCAAUGAUUGGAGAUGUAAUCGUGAUAGGUGAUAACACUACCUUGUUAGAUUACGAACACUAGUUCAUGAUGAGCUUUCAUAUAGAAAAUUGUAGGUCACGGACCUAAGCUCCAUCUCAUUGUUAUUUAAAUAGGGUACUGGAGUGUAGUUGAUUUUCUAUAGUAGGAUAUUGAAUCAACUUUAUAAUUGGAUUCUAAGGGAGCUAGUACACUUACGAGUCUUAUUAGUCCUCGCUUUGAGCUCAUAUACCAUGUUAGCAUGGUUUAUGAGGGUUGGAUUGAUUCUAUGUUCACUCUUGUGCAUAAGGGCAUUUUGGUAAUUGCAUAAGAUUGAAUAGGGGUUAGUGGACAAGGUCUCUAGAUUGAGCUAAUUGAUUGAUUAGAUGGACUUAUGUUGUUAAUUAAUCAAUUAUGACCCGUUUUAGCCUAGAUUAAGUAACUUAGGACUAUAUGGGCUCAAGUCACUUAAGCCCAAUAAGGAAACCCUAUAAAUGCCUCUUCAAGGGCCAGUUAGGGUUUCCAUGACUUUAGACAAUUAUCUUCCAUCUCCAAAGAGAGAGAGAGAAAGAGAGGGAGAGAGUCUAGAUUCCCACCCUUGCAAAGCUCACACUUUGGAGUGUUAAGAUCAUGGUUUGAGUAGUCCAAAUCUAGGAACAUCCAAACUAUUUGGGCACAUUUUUCACCAAGAGAAAUUGAUCUAGGGCAUCCAGAUCUAGAUCUAUGUAUGAGUCUCUCAAUCUCUAACUAUUUAUUUUGUAAUGAUUUUUGAAGCCAUUAUUUUUAUGCACUAGAUUUAGAGAACCUAGGGUUAAAUGCAUGCACCCCACGAGAUCUAAGGCAUAGGAACAAAGUAAUCCAAGGUUCCUAAGAAAUACCCCCUUAGAGGUUAGGGUUUCUAAGGUUUUCAAUUGUCUUCAAGAUCUAGAAAGUGUAAGAGAGAGAGCUUAGGAAUCCUCCAUUCCAAAGUCCACUCUUUAGAGGUCUAAAAUCGUGGUUCGAGUAAUCGAGCAUAAGAUCUUGGAUGUAAGAGACCUCCAAACUCUUCAGGUUUCUUUUUUACCCAUGAAAUUGAUUUGGGAACAUCCAGAUCUAGAUAUGAAUGUUUCUUUUCUAGUUUUAUUAAUCUAAAUUGUUUUAAAAAUCAUGUUUCAACUCAAAUUAGUUUCUAUAGAAGCUUAGGGUAGAUUUACAUGUACCUAUACAAUCUAAGAUAUGGGAAUGGAGUGAUCCAAGGUUCUCAAUAGACACACUAUCUCACUCUCAUGAGAUAUCAUGGUGCUUCUAUUAAUAAUAUUUUUUGCUAGCUGCUCCAUAUGGAUAUAUGACCACAUUAGGGUCUCACCCAUAAAUCAAAGUUUCUUGUUGAUUUUAGCAUAAAUUCAAUAUAUUCUCAAGAUUGAGAGUCUAUAUAUCAAGUAGCUUUGUGAAUCAUGACAACUAAUAGCCUUAUGUCAUGAUUCACUAUAGGUCUUGUCCAAUAUGUAACCAUACACACUAAUGUACUCACCAUGGGAAACCUAUCUCGAUGGUCAUGAUAAGCCAUCCCUCCAAUUAGGAGGUAGUGCAUUAUAGUCUCUAUUGAAUUGCCCAAAUCUAUGAACCAACUAUAAACAACUAAUCAUCUUGCAAGGAACCCAUGACUUAUGUCCUUUAUGCAAUUCCUAAUACAUUGAAGUCAUAUACAAUGCAAGUGAAAUGACAUGUUUGUUCAGGUAACCAAUCAAUACAAAAUGGGAUAGUAAGUUGAAUAAAAAACAUAAAUAAAUAAAUUUAUUAAUGAAUCUAAAACUGUUAUAUCAUGUCAUGCUUUCCAAGGCUCUAUCCCAAUACGUUGGAUUAGGUGACCUGAAUCUAGUUUAAGCUUAAGUCACUUAAACCCAUAAGAAACCCUAUAUAAAUCCUCUCAAAGGUUUAGGGUUCACAAUUUUAACGUUUUGGCCAUCAUUUUCGAGAGAGAGUAAGAGUAAGCCCUAGCCACUCUUAAGACAAGAAGAGAAGCUCACCCUUCUGUUGUGUUAGGAUCUUUGAAGGGAGAAAUCGGAUAAAAGAUCUUUGGGUAGAUGAACUCCACAACAUCCCCAACAUCUUCUUUGACAUCUUCCUGGGAUUAGAUUCGAUUUUGGAAUAUCCAAAUUACAGGUAUGAAACUUUAACCUCUACGUCUAGAUCAUAAUAUGGUUUUAGUUACCACAUAUUUCUACUAUGUUAGAUGUAGAGAGCCUAGGACUAGAUUGCAUGGACCCUACAUGAUGCAGAGCCUAGGAAUAGAGUAACUAGUGGUUCCUAACAAUUUACAAUUAUAAAAUGAUGAAAACUAAUGUCUUUUCACCAACUAAACCUUAUAAAGCAUUGAAAUCAUUAGUUUCAUUGCAAUUUCAAGUUAAAUAUUAAAAUGCACUAAGUAUGAGUCUCACACACAAAAUGAUCCCUAAUGCUCAUUAAUAUAUGUAUAUAUAUAUUUUAUUUUUAAAAAGUCAAAAGGAUAAUGAAGAUGAUAACAAACCAAUAAUCAAAGCAAACAUUUGAUAAUGAAUAAAUAUGUUAUGUUUAGUGUCAAAAUAAAAUAAACGCUAAAUUUUCUAAUAAAAGAAUUUGAUAAUAGGUUGUGACUACAAGCUAGAUAUCAAUUUCAUAUUGAUACAAAAACAGAGCUUAAACCAAUUUGAAAAACAAGCAUAAAAUCAACAUGUAUCAAAUCGAAAUCAACAUGUAUUUCAAUAAAUUAUAAAAAAAAUCAAUACAACACUAACAAUGGUAAUGUUAUUCUUUGGGAUAAAUUAAUAUAAAAAUAAUAAAGGCUCUAAGGUAUCAAAAUAUCAUUAAUGAAUACAAAAUCUAAUUCAACCAAUUUUAGGCAUUCUCAUAUGAAUUUAGAAGUAUAAAAUGAUGAAAACUAAUGCAUUUUCACAAGCUAAACCUCAUAAAAGCAUUGAAACCAUUAGUUUCAUUGUAAUUUCAAACUAAAGAUCAAAAUGCACCAAAUAUGGGUCUCUCACACAAAAUGAUUCCUAAUGCUCAUUAAUCUAACAUAUAUAUAUAUAUAUAUAUAUAUAUAUUCAUAUAAGAUGAAAACAAAUAGAAUUCAACAAUUUUUAAAGGGCUAAUUUUUUUUAAAAAAUGAUAAUAUAUUGAAUGAAAGCAUGGAGUGUAGUUGGGGAGGCUUCAAGACUUGUUCAUAGCUUUGAUCUUUCUCUUUGAUCUCCAGUUUGACAAAGUUUCACCUCCUUUUAUUUCCAUAGAAUCGUCUCAUUUGAAAAUGUAGCUUUCUCUUUGUAUUUAUUGCUAAAAGGAUGAUGAUAAACCAAUAAUCAAAGUUAACUUUUAAUAAUGAAGUAAUAUACUAGGUUCAAUGUCAAAAUCAAAUCAACACCAAAUUCUCUAAUAAAGGAAUUUGAUAAUAAGUUGUGACUGCAAACCACAUAUAAAUUUCAUUUUGAUACAAAAACUGAGGUUGGACUAAUUCGAUAAACAAACAAAAAAUAGGUGGUUCAAGAAUUGAUUUGAAAUUAAUACUUGAUUAAAUACAACUACCCAAAUUGAUACUACUCUACAACAUAGAACCAAUGUUGAUCCCAAUAUGAUAACAAGAUCUAUGCACCAUGAAAAAUCAACAAAAAAAAAUUACCAUAGACUUGCAUUGAAUCCAAAUCAACACUAAUUUCAAUGAAGUAUUAAAAAAUCAAUACAAUACAAACAAUGGAAACAUCAUUCUUUGGGAUGCAUGAAUACAAAAACAAUUAAGACUUUGAUAUAUCAAAAUGUUAUUAAUGCUUUAGUAAAAAAAUCUAAUUCAACAAGUUUUAUCAAUUUCCAUUUGAAUUUACAAGUAUAAAAUGAUGGAAACUAAUGCAUUUUCAAUAGCUAAACCUCAUAAAAGCAUUAUGUAGACUUUCCUUUUUGUCCUCAUAACACAUGCUUUUAAUUGUACUUAGUACCCCUCAUUUUUUAGCAAUUUAAAUUUUUUUUUUUGGUUAUAAAUUAUAUGAAUGUUUUAACACUUGGAGAAAUUGGAACGAAGCAAAAUAUGUAGAAAAAAGAAAUAAUUAUCUAUAGCUAUCUUUAUUUUAUUUUUUAUACGUUUCUAUUGACAUGGAAUAAAUCAUCAAUAAUUGUUGUGAUUAAUAGCGUUGAGAAAAGUCAAUGGCCAUAAUAAUAUUCUAUUGCCAUUUUUUUUUUUGUAAAAUAUUAGAUCAAAUCACAUCUUCUUGUAAAAUUAUCAUUAAGAUUUACAUGAUUUCUUACAACGUAGCUUAAAACCAAAUAUUUCAUCAAAGAAGUUAUCAAUAACCAACCCCACACAAUGAUAUCUAUUAUAAUACAAACUUCUUCAAUAUGUUUGUUUGUGAGUGUAAAGAAAGAAAGGUAACAGAAAUUGAGAAAGUAAAAUAAAAGAAAAUUUUUCUCUUUUUUUGUUUUAUUUUUUUUUUCUCUAUUUAUUCUGCUAUUUACAGAGUAAUAUAUAAAGUAAACCUAACUAACAAAUUCUCUAACUAUUCAUCUAACAAUAAUAGAAGAAAACCAAUGAGCAUAUGACAUGUGUACAUCUUGUAACUAUAUGAAACUAUCUCUUAACAUUCUCCCUCAAACUUAAGGUAGAAAGAUUUUCUACUUUGAGUUUGUUUCUUAGAUUUACAAACUAAGUGCUUAAGACAGCUUUCAUCAAGACAUCUACUACUUGAUCAAUGGAAGGCACUUGUUAGAUUAAAACCUUUCUUUGCAGAACCUUUUCCCUAACAAAAUAUAAAUCCAAUUCAAUGUGUUUUGUCCUAGCAUGUAAUAUUAGAUUAACAACCAACAUAAUAGUGCUAAGAUUAUCACACCAAAUAACUGUUGUUGUAGGCAAAGUGAUUUUAAUUUAUGAGAGAAGAGAUAGUAACCAAGUGAUUUCUGCAACCAAACCAGUUAGGCUUCUAUACUCUGCUUUUGUACUUGAUCUAAAAAUAGUAUGUUAUUUCUUUUACUGCUAAGUGACUAAAUUUGAACGAAAAUAUACAAAAAAUCCUAAAGUUGAUCUUGAGUCAUAAAGAUCAGAGGCCUAAUCGACAUCACAAAAUGCUACAAGAUCAAGAGUAGGAGACUUUCUUAAAUAUAAUCCAUGAUGAAGAGUUCCUUCAAGUAUCUAAGAAUUAUUUUGACUACUUUCUAAUGAGAUUCUAAUGGAGCUUGCAUAUAUUGACAAACUUUAUUAACACUAUAGGCAAUUUCAGGCCUAGUAAUUAUUAUCUACUACAAAGCUCCUACAAUUGAUCUGUACAACUUCACAUCCUAAAUUGAUUCACUUCCAUAGCCUGAAAGUUUUUGUCAAUUGGUCAUGGGAGUAGAAAUAGGAUUGGCACUUUGCAUUUUGGAUUUGUAUAAUAGAUCAAUUAUGUAUUUUCCUUGAGAGAUGAAUGCUUUCAACAAUAUGCUUCACUUCAAUCCCUAAAAAUAGUUGAUUUCUCCAAGAUCUUUUAAGGCAAACUCUCUGUUUAAAUUGGUAAUGAGAUGCAUCACAGCUUGUUCACUACUACUAGUGAUAAGAAUGUCAUCUACAUACACAAGAAUAUAGGUAGAAUGAAUUUUUGUCACACAAAUGAAUAGAGAUUGAUCUGACUUUGUAGAGAUAAAUCCAAAGGAAUAUAGGGCUACACUUAACUUUUCAACCAAACACUUGGUGCCUGUUUUAAGUCAUAUAAAGUUUUAUGUAAUUUGAAAACAAGAUGAGAUUGGUUGUGCUGAAUAAAUCUAGGAGGUUGUUCCAUAAAAACUUCCUCAUGCAACACUCCAUUCAAAAGGAAUUAUUAAUGUCUAAUUGAUGAAUUAACCAAGCUCUAGACAAAGCUAUAGUAAGCAUAACCCGAAUAGUUGCAGGUUUAACAAUUGGAUUAAAAGUUUCAUUGAAAUCAAAACCAACAACUUGAUGAAACUCUUUUGCAUAUAUGUUUAACAAUCAGAUCUAGUUCUCUUGCUCUAUUUAAAUCCCUGGCAUUUAGCGCCUCCUUGUCAUCUCUCUUUGUCGCAAAUUUCUCUUCUCAGGAUAAGCCCAAUCAUGAUCACCCAAUUUGUUCUCAUUGUGGGCUCAUGGGGCAUAUUGUGGACCAUUGCUACAAGUUACAUUGGUGCCCAACUGGGUACAAGCCUAAACCCAAGGCCCAAAUGAGCUCUCUUCGGUCCACCAACAAUCCAUUAUCUUUCCCUGAGCCAUCAAAGGACAUCCACUUCUCUUCUUCAGCUACAACUACCAUACCACCCUCUCCACUUUCUGGUUCUCUCUCAACAGAUCAAGUUCAAUAGCUCAUAAAGUAGACUUUGUUCACUUUGGAAGGAUCCUUUGUCAUGCUCAAAUCUUAUUAUGCGCAUGCAUUGUUUAACUAAGAUCAUUAUAAUUGUUUCCCAAAGUGAGUCAAUGCCAAAUAUUGAAUAAUUGGUUAAGCAUAACUCUUACACACAUUCUAAAAUUUAUGCUCUUAAAUGUAUGUGACUCACUUGCGACAUUUGGAAAUACCCCUAAAAUGGAUACAAAAGCAACGAUGAAUGAAAAAAAUCACAAUGUACAAUGGCUCUAUUUUCAAAAGAAAAAAAAAUCAAUAUUGAUCAUAGUGUACAAUGGCUCUACUUUCAAAAGAAAAAGAAAAUAAAAAGGAAUAUGAUAUCAAAUUAAGGGAAAGUCAAGUUGUGUUGUAUAUAGAUCAACAAGACCUUGUUAAAUGGAAAUCCAACAAUCUUAAAUCAAAUUAAUUAGAUGUGUACUUUAAUUAGAACAAAUGCAUGACUAGAUCUCUUCUAAGUGAUCAAAUUUUAAAUGUAGAACUGGACAAUAAGUUGUAUUCCCUUGAACAUCAAUACUUAUGUUUCUAUGUUGGUCCUCUUAUCCACUAAUGGUUAUGCAUUGGGUUUCAAAACUAAAAUUACAAUUAACUUUGACCUUUGGACUUGAAACCUCAUUCUUGAUGGAUUGAUGUAUAAUAUCUAAAGUAAUUUUGUAAUUGAUUGAAGAAACUCCUACAAGACAUUUAAAGAAAUCUAGUACACCAUUUCUUAUUUAUCACUUUUUUGAGUUGUUUCAAGCACUCUAAGUUUCUGGUUCUUUGUCAUUUGAGGUCAAUUCUCUUAGUUUUUCGCAUUUUUUUCAUAUAGUAUUGUUUUACCCUCAUUUUUAGUAUUCCUAGUUGUUUAGGGGUUUUUUUUUUGUUUUUUUGUUUUUGGAUUUUUAUCUAUUUUUCUUUCUUUUAAUGUCCUUUUAUAUUUCAUCACCUUGUUAUGGCAAGUCAUCCUCAUCCUCAUGAGCUGACCCCUCCAAGGUCACCUGAGGCCGUUUAGAGCAUUGCUCUCCAAGGUCCUUUUGGCCUAAGAGCUCUUUCUAUUGAGUGCUUCCAUUGUCAGGAGGCAUGAGACCGAUACUACACCUCUUUCCAUAAUUGACUAGUUGAGGUUGAGCAUUCAGUCAAUCUCAAAGUCUUCUAGGAGACUUCUUUUCUUACUGUUGUUAGAGAUUGAGGAUAAAAGACGUUACUCUCUCUUUAGGGGACUUUCUACCCCCAUCUUAUUUUCAUUUUCUAUCUGUUGUAAUUGGAGUUACCUUUCAGGUGAUUUUGUAUGAUCAACCAUUUCUUGUCUCUUCCUGUUCCAUCCAACAUGUCCUUAGCAUGCUGCAACUUGAGUCUUGCUUUGGUCAGAAGCUAUUCUCCAAGCCAACAUGGUUGCUAGCUACUUCUACCAUUCUACUCAUCGUACCCAGAUCUGUCAGUCGUUUACUCAAUUCAUUCAUGCCAUACUCUCUGGCUACCAAUUCGAUAUCAACCAAGUGGUUUUGGAUAGCAUUACUCCUUCCCGUGAUCCAUCUUUUUGAGGAGGCACCCCUCCCUUUAACCUUCUCAUCUCGUAGAUUUUGGAGGAUGUAGGUUUUGGGAUAAACCUUGCAUUAGGGGUCCAAGCUAACCAUGCCCUCUUGGAUGGAUGCUCCUAGGCUAAGCAUUAUAACCACAUUUAGGGACUGAUGGCACCUCCAACCCACCAUGGUCCUGAAAAUGCGGCUCAACAAGCAGCUUAGGAGGCAACAACAUAUGAGAAUGAGCUCCAAGCUAUGAAGCAAGGUGUAGUACCUGAGGUAAAUUAUCUCAAGCCUUCUUUAAGAACUUGUUCUAGUUGAGGUCAUGCAAGUUCUUCAUGAGCUACUCAUGAGCAAUGUUAGAAAUGCCACAAAAUGUCAGUGAUAUUUCACCAAUAUUUCGGGUAUCGAUGGGGCUCGAUAGAUAAAUAGGAUGGAAAUUUUGGUUAUUAAAAAUUUCAAUUAUUUCCCUCAUUUUUCAUUGAUAUAUUGGCUAUAUGCUGAUAUAAUACCGAUAUAUCAGUUAUAUUGGUGAUUUUUUAGUGCCUUGCUUACUUUUAGGCCAAAAGGUUUCCCCAUUUUUACCAAAAGGUUUCUCGUUUUUGCCAAAAUGUUUCUUUUAUUUAUUUUUAUUUUAGGCCACAUUCUCACACACACGACCAUACAAUAGUCGUUCCAGAUGAGAAAGUCACCAUCUAUUAAAUAGGCAAUUUUGUUCUCUUAAGUUGUUGAUGUGGGACAACUUUUAUUGACAAGUUUAAAAAUCUAAUCAAACAGGUAAACAAAAUUUACAUUGGUGAGACUCAAACCCGAGUACACAAGUUUGUCGUGAAAGGACACUAGCAUUGAACCAUAUGUGAAUUUGUAGUUUUAAUUGUAUAUAGAAUUAUAUAUAUAAUGUACAUAUCUUUUAUACGUUAUAAUAUUUUUAAUAUAUAUUAUAAUAUUAUUUAAUAAAUUAAACUAUUAUAAAUAAGUUAUUUUUAAUUAUCUUAUUAUAUAUUUUGUAUACCAAUUAAAUACAAGGUAAAUAUCAAUUUUAUAAAUAAAAUAUUAACAUUUUUAAUAUAAAAUACUUAUCUAAAUAUCAUUGUUUUUUUUUUUAUCCCUCAAUAUAUUCAAUUUAGACAUAUUAUCAUUCUAAUAUUAAUGUGCUUUUAAAUUAGUAUAUUAUUGCCUACUAUUACAAAUUUAUUACAUAUUACUAUAUAUAUAUAGUAAUAUGUGUUUUUUUUUCAUGUUUUAUCAUUUUUUUUUUGAAGUUUCCAAGUAUUUUCAUGAAUUUCUGUUUCAUCAAUUUUUUUUUUUUGGGUCAAAAUAUUCCACCGUUAUUCCCUGAUAUAUCUAUAAAAUCCAAUGAUCAAUAAAUCCGUGAUUACUGAUAUUUUCAUUCUUGCUCAUGAGACAUCUUCUUCUACCCACCCACCUGAGAGACAUUCGAUUCCAUGGCCUAUCUCCAGCAACCAAUGGACUCCCAGGAUCUUUAGCUUCAUCAGAUCCAGGGACAACUCCACUAUAUCAUUUCCUAGAUCCACUCUAAAGGCGCAUUGAGCUCUAUGUCUCCACCUCCUUCGGAUACUUAUAUAUGUGUGUGUGUGUGUGUGUGUUCUUUUUCUAUUGUUAAUCUGGAUUUGUGUUUUUUUUGCAUAUCUUAUGUAUCCAAAAUCAUUUUUUUUCUAUAUAUAUUCUUCUUUCUCUUUAACUCUUGUGUGCUUUCCAAUGUUUAUAAUUCAUAUGUUUUGCCAUUUUUAUGACAAAAAAUAAAAAUAAAAAUCAUUGACCAUAUUUAAUUCACUUAAAUAGGGGAAGCAUAGGCAUCGAUAUAAUAGAAAAAAGAUAAAGGAACUCCUUGAAAAAUAGGAGUUAAUAAGUUUUGAAUUAUUUAUUCAAUUCAUUCUUUUACUCAUUUAAUUCUUAAGGGAAAUUGUAAUAGUGGAGAAAAUUAAACCUGAGACAUUGGAGGAAAUUAGAUCAACUAUUGAAAGCAUAACUUGGAAGUUUAAGAGAGUUACCUAAUAUAGAUAUAUCCUAUAAGAUAUUUCUAUUUGAAUUGUCUUUCAUUUUAGAACUAUUAUGAGUCACAAAAGCUUCUUCUCAUGACUUUUAUUGUCUAUUUUUUGGUUGGAGAUAGACCUCUAGGCAUCAUAGUUGAUCUAUUGUGUCUUAUCCAGCUUCUAUUAUGUUAUGUUGAUUUGUAUACAUUUAGAUUCCUUUCGAGCUUUACUUUGUACCUUGUUAUCACUAUAGGGAUAUGUUUCUCUUACAUGCUUUCACAAUGUAUCGAGCAAAAUCUCCAACUAUCAUGUUCUAUUGCUUUGAUCAUAUCUUAUCUCACACAUUUUUCCACCUUUGUUGAAGUUUUUUUUUUGUGUGUAGGUUAUAGGAUUGGAAAAUAAGUACUACUAGAUGAUUCAAAACAUUCCCUUAGUUUAUUUUUAAUUAAGCAUUAAUGUUUGUUAUGUAAACUCCGUUAUAAGAGUUCGGGUGGGUUUAUGUAAUGAUGUUUUGUCACAAGAUUGCCAUAAAGGGAAAUUGUUAGGACAUUAAGCCUUGAUUAUAUGUCGUCAAUUUGGUUCCUUUUUAUAUUUGGCCAUAGAAGUCUUUUUAGAUAGUGACUUGCUCUCUAUUGAAGAUUAAGAGUUGUAAUUUGUCUAACCGAGAAUUCAUAAGUACAUCUAAAAAAGUUUGGCUUGUAGUAAGUUAGGCUUCUUUGAGGUAUAAAUAUGAUUGCUAAUUGUUUUGAACUUAAAAUUAAUUUUUAUAAAGUUUUUUAAAAAUAGAGGAUGCUCAAGUGGGGAGCAGUGCUUAAGUGUUGUGACCGCUCAAGUGCCCCACAUUGCUUGAGCUCCCAAAACGCUCAAGCCACCUUUGUAAGCUCGAGAAAUCGUGAAUCUCUAGUCGAGAUUUUUUCACGCAAAAUUGAUUUGGAAGUCUUCUAAAACCAAACCUUUUGGAGAUUUAUUCCUACAAAUACCUCUUUAUAACCCUUUAAGGGUUAUAGAUUGUUUUAGAGAUUAGUGAGAGAUCUUACAUUCUUUAGAGAGAGUCUCUUAGAGAAAAAGCCUAAUGAGCCACACCAUUCCCGAUCUCUCAUUCAAGGAUUCAAUAUUUGAAUCUUGGUUUGAAAACUUACAUCCCUUUAGCAAGGUUGAAAUGCAUUCAUUAGAGUAAUAGGAGGUUGCUACGUUGCAGACAUGGAUCAAGUUUUAAGUAUUGAAGAGUAAGUCUUUAGGGUAAAGUGGCCAAGUAAAUCUAUGUAACUUGAUAUCAUAUAAUGGAUUUAGAUUAGCGAUCAUAGACUUCAUGGUUUUUUAUCUCCACAGUUAGUGUGGGGGUUUUCCAUGUAAAAAAUCUCUUGUACCUCAUUGUUUAUUACUUGAUAUCUUGUUUGAAUUGCCUAUAAUAGAAAUGAUUGAUAUACCUCAAUAUAUCGUAGGAUAAAAAUUGGGUAUAACAUAUAAACUUUAUUUAAAUUUUUUAAUACAUCCAUUUAGCCCUCCUCCCCUAGGUAUUUCCCCACUAGACUUAGGGGCUUUUUCAAACCAUAAGUUAGUUCACCCUGAGCUAUUGGUUUAUGUUGUUGACCAUCAUUAGUUGAUUCAUUUUUUUUAUUGCACUUGUUAGUCGAUUAAUAUAUAUAUAUAUAUUGUUUUCUCAUACCUAACUUUGGUUUCUUGUGAUUCUUCCACCUAAAACCUACCAAUUAUUUUACAUCAUAAACCAGAGUUUCACCACUUGUUUUGUAUUCUAACCUUAACAAUUCAUCUUCUUUAAAAGUAACAUCUCUACUGAUUUUUGCCUUCCUCAAAUUUAGAUGCUACAACUUAUACCCCUUCACUUUAGUAGGAUGUACAAGAAUUAAACAUUUCUUUCUUUGCUCUUGGUUGCAACUUUUUAUCAUUUACAUGUGCAUAUGUUGUUGACCCAAACACUAUAAGGUGUUGGUAACUUCCUGGUUUACCUGUCCAUAUUUUUUGAGGCGUUUUGAACUUUAUGGAACUCGAAGGGAAUUUGUUAAGCAAGUGACAUGUUGUAUGGAUAGCUUUCGCCUAUAACUUUUUAGGUUAUUUUAUAUUUAUCAACAUGCAUCUUACUCUUUCAAGAAUAGUAUGAUUCAUCCUUUUAGCCAAGCCAUUUUGCUGAGAUGUACUCUUCACUGUUCUUGUUGGGAUUAAGCCCCUAAAGGAAAGACAUGAUGUAACAAAGUUAGAUUUAACUAUCCUCUUGCCAUCCAUUUGGUGUAUUGACAUUAAUUUGAGCAUUUAACUCAUAUCUCUUACAUUAUUAUAUGACUUGGGUGCAUUAGGAGUUGCACACAAGAUACAAGUCAUGAGUUCCUCAUAAGUACAUAAGUUGUCCACAAUUGGUUAAUGGAUUUGGUCAAUCCAAUAAAUAUUGUAGUGCACCACCUCCUAAUUGAAGGGAUGACUUAUCUUGGCCAUUGGGAUGAGUUUCCCAUGAUGAGUGCAUUAGUUUAUGUGAUACAUAUUGGACUAGAUCUAUGGUGAAUCAUGAUGUAAGGCUAUCAAAUGUCAUGAUUCACCAAGCUAUUAUGAUGCAUGGACUCUCAACCUAGAGAGGAUAUUGAGCCUAUGCUGAAAUCAACAGAAGGCUUUGACAUAUGGGAGAGACCCUAAAGUGGUCAUAUAUCCUUAUGGAUUAGGUCACUAUUAAUGGAGGCUAGUAACAAUAGGUAUUCUUAAUAGAGGCAUCAUGAUAUCUCAUGGGCUUGAGAUAGUGUGUCCCCUUGAGUGAUCCAAAGGACAUGUGAUCAUGAAAUUUUUGGCCACAACAAUUCCUUUAGUGAAAUUUGACUUAUGCUCCUUGGAGUUAAAGUUAGAGCAUGUCAGUUAAUCAUAUAAUAAGUGGGAUCUAUAACUCAAGGAUUGGAGAGGUAAUCAUGAUCGGUGAUAGCACUACCUUGUUAGAUUACGAACACCAGUUCAUGGGGAGUUUAUAUGCAAUGGAUAGUAGGAUGUCGUGGACCUGAACUUUGUCUCAUUGUUAUGUACAUGAUUCGUGCCCAAUUGGUGUCUCAGCUGAUUCGUGUCCAGCUGGUGCUCCUUGAUUGAGGGAGUAAUCAACAAAAUUUAUAACCUAUUACACCAUAUACUAGGGUAGCAAAGACAAAGCUACUAUAGUAUAGCGGCUCUAGGAUCGUUCACUGGGAAGGAUUAGCAAGCUAUCAAUGAUACCAAUUCCAAGUGAAUUGGUCUUGUUUCAUUUCAAGGUUAGCUUAAGAAAUAAAACACAAACUUUGAUUGGUAAAGAUUUAAACUAACUAACAUAACAAGUACUCGGAAUAACUUAGGAAGAAAAGCAUUCCUUGGAGAGUUAGGUUCACUGGGGUGGUUCCUCAUGCAAAAGACAUAGCUCCGGUCAGAUGGUUCCUUUCCUCGUGUUAGAGAUUCAACAUAUAGUCACUUCUCUAACCGGUGUUGUACAGCUACCUCCUUUAAUUAGAUUUCACUUUAAUUCUCUCACUGAUGCAACUUGCAAUGGUUUAAGCCUCUCACUAAGCCUUAACCAUUCAAGGUGAUCUUUAACCUUGGAUUACCCGUCAAAAGCUCGCAAGAGAUAACUAAUGGAUGUCUCCUUGGAGUCCAAAAGCUUACCAAGUGUUGGCUAUUCUAGAAAAUCCUACCCUAAAGUCACCUCCCAGAGGCUCGCAAGGGGUAAACUGGUGCAUUUCCAUGGUUGGAAAUCACUUUCCUUACCAAGUGUUGGCCCAAGUGACUCUAAGGUGUUUUAAGUUAACUAAAAACAUAGAAAUCACUAAAGGAUUUCACUUCCUCUUCAUUACUAGCUAAAACCACAAAGCUUUGCAUUCUUGCACUUGGAACCUUCCCCGGCAACCUUAGCUCCAAGGAAUUAGAGGUUUAGUUACUCAUUCUCUGGGGAAAAUUCCUCAGAGAGUUCAUAACUUAGUAAGAAAAUAAAAAUACAAAGUGAGAAGGUAAGGCAAUACAAAGAACUGAACUUUACUUGCUUACCCAAAACUUUACAAAAGGAUCUCCUCUCUAAGAACAGGCUCCCGAGAGGUAUAUAUAUGAACAUAAUAUAAAACUAAUUAUUACAUAGAUAUUUUCUCUUUUUACUAACUUAAAAGCUAAGGAAUCUUGUAAUUGGUGGCUUACAAGGAGUAUUUUGGGAUUUAGACAACAAAAAUCUGAUGUAAAAUAUUUCCCAAUGUCGGUAGCAAAUAUCGGGAUGCUCCAGGAACCAUUUCUCAAGAGAAAAUGGUGUCUGCGAGAUUUCGUAGGCACUCAAGAAGGGAUGCGAAAUCAUUUCGCAAGAACAUGCUAUCUUCGCAGGGCUGCGAAGUUGGCUUCCACCUUGAGGUUCUCAGCUCCCAGCUUGUGGCAUAUAUCGGGCAACUUCAGAAGGAAAUACACCCUACUGUACAAAAAGGCCGCGGAAUCACUUCGCAGCAAAAGGGUGAUUUCGCAACACUUUGGAAAAUGCUUCCUUCAGCUGGGAGUGAUUGGUUUGCAAAGGCUGCAACUUCUUCGUUUCAACUCCGAAUUGCGCACCAUUUGAAGAAUUGGAUUGUUGACUUCCUGAGAUUUGAAAUGGUAUAUAGCAUGCAUCAAUUUGACCUCAGAAAGUGCUCCAAAAGUGGCUGCUACGACUGUCAUCAAGAAUAUGCUUCUUGGCAGAUUCUCUUUACUUUUUCUCCUUGCAUUCCGGAUUUACUCUUGGCAAAUGACUUCCAAGCUUUGCCCAAGAUUCCUCAACACUCUCCUCAAUCUUGAAUUGCUUUGGUGAUCAAAUUACUAACAAAAACACCAAAACUUACACAAAGUGAUUAAAAUUGCUUUCAAGGGUCCUUAAUAUGCUAAUUGAGUUAAAAGGCCAAAACUACUACUCAAAAGCGUUUAAAAGGAUUAAUUAUAAGUUAUCAAAUAGCACUUUUUGAGCAGUAAUCACUCCCCCCAACCGACAUAUUGCUAGUCCCUUAGCAAUAUAGGAGAGAAAAAUGAAAAUAAAAAGCAAACUUAACCUAUAAUGUACAACAUCAUGCUGAACAAAAACAAUUCUCAAGUGGCAUGAUGAUUUAAUUCUCUCAUGAAACAUUAAAGAAAUACAAACCCAAAUUUCAACAAGAGUUAUAACAAACUAUGCUAAACACUUUCAAUCAAGGGAAUGCAUUAUGCAAACUGAAGUUUUAAAAUCAUUUCCACUUUCAAAGAACCAAACUUUAUUCUUCCUCAAAAAUCUAUGUGUAUAGGUUCCUUAGGUUCCGAGAAUAAUAUGCUAAACUAAUCUCUCCCCCCAACCUAUCUCUUUUCAACACUUAGAAAACUGACCAAAAUCAAUAAAGAAAGAACACAUUUUUUUUUUUUUUUUUUAAGGAGGCUUUAUGGGAUACUCUUUCUGAAUUGUCCAUGUAAUGGGGGUCCAUCGAUGACUCCCAACCAAUUAAGGUUUAGGGCAUCAAGCUUUAAGGAUCUUUCAACCACUAACUCCAUGGAUUUUUCCCCGGACUUUUGAGAAUGAAUUUCUAAUACCCAAGCACCUAGCAUAUGCUAACUCUACCUAUUCACCCUUAUAACGAGCAUUGAGGUCGGUGACUCCCAACCAAUUAAGGCUUAGGGCACCAGGCUUUAAAGAUUUUCACCAUAUACCCCUCAGACCUUGCUCGGGUUUUAAGGCAAGCAAACAACUUUCUUUAUUUCAAAGGCUCAUUGGCCUUUUGCAGGGUGUUUCAAUUUUAUCAAAUGAGGUCAAAUAUACCAAGUCCCAAAAUUAUCCUAAGUCAAGAGGGAAAUAGCUUUUCAUGUUAUAAUCGGAAUCUAAUGUGUACAGUGUGUGAAUAGCUUAAAGUGGAAGAACUAAAUUCAAUUUCAAUAGAAGCUUCAACAAUUGAACCACUUUAGUGAGCAUAAUCCAUACUCUAAGUCAAGUGAAAAACAACAGUUCAAUUUCUCCUGUUUCAAUUUGAAAAUUUUUCCUCAAAAUUCAUGGAGAAUAGAGUAAAAAGAGUAAAAAGCAAAAACUACAACUAAUUUACCAAAAUAAUUGCAUUACCAAAAAGGCUUAGCAUACUUCCUUUAAUUUAGCAUAACUUCCUUCAUCAUUCCCCCCCAACCGAACCGAGCAUUGUCCUCAAUGUGAUAUGAGUGACUGUAAUUAAAGGGAGGAAGUGGUACCUCCUGAGUGAUAUCAAAUUCGAAUACUAAUUGGAGAAACCACAUGUUUAAAAAAGAAUAGAAUAUGUGAGAAAAGGAAAUAAGAAUAAGUUAAUGCUAACUGUUAACAAAAAAAUAUUAAACUUGUAUUACUUUGAAUCCAUUUGAGUACACUGAAAAAGAAAAGCAAUACAAGCAAUCCCAAAUAUAGUACCAAAAUAAUGGGAUUUCUUUCAAACUAAAAAUGAAAUACAUAAAACAAAGAUAGUAGAUAUAUAUAUAAUGAUCUAAUGAGUGGGUGGUGCUGGGGCUAGGCAGAUGGGUCUGCCUCUUCAGUUGGUGCUUCAGCUGGGGCUUGAGGCUCUGAGGGAUGAGAGUGUGGAUCUGCUGGAGUAGAAGUGGAGGGCUCAACAGCUGGUGGCAGGUCGAAAUGAAGCUGAAACUGCCUUAAGAUGACAGUGUGUUGAGCCUGAGUGGCCAACAUCUGCUCUUGGCAUGCUCUAAUGGCUGCCAUCUCUUGAGCUAGACUGCUCUGAGAUGUUGUGAGGGUCUCCAAUGCACGGCACAACUCUCGAUAUUCAGAAAUGGGUAUGGCCAUCCUCGGCUCAGCUGAAAUGGAUGGCUGAGAUGAAGCUGGAGCAGCUGGUGGAGCUCUGGGAAUGGCAGGAGCAGCAACUGUGAUACCCUCAGGUAUGUGUCGUGGGGAUGCUCUCCUUGUAGUUGGCUGAGGACGCUCAGGCUGGUCAACUCUAUAAGCUGUCAUGUUGUUCCAUUUGUCGAGAGUAAAAAGCUCACGACAAAUGCGCUUUCGCUCCAACUGAGGCUCAGAAGGAUAUCCCAAGUGCUCCAGAAUUUGGCAUAGCAGCCUUGGAAAGAGGAGGGGAAUGCAAUCAGCUCUCUGAAGCUUCUUUUUGUGUACAUUAUCUUCGAAAUAGAGAAGGACUGCCAGAAUCAGAUGAUGAGGCCCAAAGAAAAAUCCUUCAGACAUCUUGUAUAGGGCUUCUAAGAGGACUCCUCUUCUUUGAGUCCAAUGCUGCAAUGGGUAGAGGUUAUGACGCAAAAAUGCAUCAAUCAAAAACAUGAUUGGAGGAAGCUCCCCCCUCAACAGAUGUGAUCGAUUGGCAGCUCCUCUGGAUAGGGUGCGCACCAUCUCCAGCUCAGUAGGAUUGGUCCAAGCUCUAAAAUUAUCGAAUUGGGUUGGCUCAUAGGGAAUUUGCAAGGCUUCAGCUAUAUGGCGUGCUCCCAAUAUGCCAUGCCUCCCAUCAAUAGUGAAAUGAAUUAAAGUUGGAUCCCUGACCUGGUUAGUUGUCAUGGAUUGAUAGAAAUCCAUGGCUACCCUUGGGUAGAAAAAGUCUCUUGGAGUCAGUAGGUGCUCCAUAUGGUAUCUCCUCAGCAGGUUGAAUGUCUGUGCAAGCUCCGGCUGCAAUCGGAAUGCGGCUAUGUCAAAGCAUAGCUCAGAGUGGAAUGGCCGAGCUCUACAGUCCAAAUUUCCCUCAAUUGGGGGCUGAGUUAGCAUUGGCCUCUUGAUUAUUUCUUCCGGAGCUAUUUCGGAUUGAAUUUGGGGCUCUGGAAGUGGCGGCUAAGGCUCCUGAGAUUUCGCUUGCGGCGCCAGAAAUGGCACCGGCGACGGAACUGGCGAGGAUACCGGAGAUGGAACUGGAGUUGGAACCGGUGAUGGCUCUGGAGAUUGCUCCGUCUAGUCGAUGGGUUCUGAGCUUUCAACCCUGGGUCUCUUUUGCAGUGGCCGACCCCCUGACCUGGUAAGGUAACGUCUCGCCAGAGGCUUUGGCGGCGCUGGCUUCACCGGAGGAGGAGUUGCUUUCAGCUGCGAAGGCUCAGAAACGGGAUCCGGGACUGGCUCCUUUCGCAAGCUUCUCUUGCGGCUUGAAGGGGAGGAAGACUUGGCCCCUCUGGUUUGCGCCAUUUCGGGUUACCGAAAUUUGGCCAGAGCGGAUGGUCGGAGAAGAUGAUCGGAGGCUUGCGCGGUGAGGCUUGAGGAAGGAGAUGGACGGUCUGCGAGAAUGGACGGUAUAAUUUUGAAACCCUUUUCGCAGCUCAAAUGACCGGUAUAAAUAGGAAUAACGGAAGACUAAGGGUCAGUUUGAGUUUCGCAGUAAAAUGCCAUUUUCGCAGCUACUUCGCAAUGCGUUUCGCAGCUGCGAAAUUAAUGUUACUGUGCUGCGAAGUGGCACACGUGUGUCAAAAUCUCCUUCGCAAUUGCGAAAUACCCUGCGGAAUGGGACUUUUGUUGCGAAAUCUGGGCUUUACCACUUCGCAAGUCGUUUCGCAGCUGCGAAAUGGGGGCUCCUGUGCUGCGAAGUGGCACUCGUGUGCCAAACUUGCCUUCGCAGCUGCGAAAAUUCUCGCAGAGAAUCCCAAAGUGUUGCAGAAUGAUUUGGCAACAAAAUGCUCAUUUCGCAAAAGUUUUCUUUAGGCUGCGAAAUCUCGCAGAGCUCUGUUUUUGCUCUGUUUCACUCUGUUUUUGCUCCGAUUUCGAUCCGAUUUUUUCUCUUUCAAUUUCCUUGAAAUUUCUUCCACCUGAGAUCAUUUAAAAAGAUUAAAACACACCUAAAAACAUGAUUUAAGAUCAAAAACUAAGAUCAAAUGUAUGGAAAAAAACUUGAAAAUUUACAAAAUUUACAAAAAUUUUGGACUGUGGUAAACCAUGUCUAGCAAACCCUUCUUUGCUUAGGCUUUUUGAGGCUCAAGGAGGUUGAUAUCCUCCUUUUCUAGUUUGAAUGGCUCCAUUAAUGGCUUGAGACGAUAUCCAUUGACUUUGAAGGUGUCCUUGCCAUUUGAAUUCAAUAAUUCCACAUCUCCAUUGGAACAUACUCGGUGAAUUAUGAACGGGCCUAUCCACCUUGACUUGAGCUUCCCAGGAAAGAUAUGGAGUCUUGUGUCAUACAGUAAAACUCUUUACCCUUCCUGAAAUUCCUUAUUGGAGUUUAGUUGAUCAUGCCACUUCUUCAUCCUCUGUUUUGCAACUUUGGAAUUGAUAUAGACAUUAUUUCUUAAUUCCUCCAUCUCAUUAAGGUCUAGAUAUAUUUUUUCUCCGGCUCUGAUCAAGUCCAUGUUCAGCUUCUUUAUUGCCCACCAAGCUUUGUAUUCAACUUCCACAGGGAGAUGGCACGCUUUGCCAUAGACAAGACGAUAGGGAGACAUGCCAAGAAUAGUCUUAUAAGCUGUUCUAUAUGACCACAAUGAAUCAUGAAGCUUAAUAGACCAAUCUUUUCUGCUGGAAUUCACCACUUUCAUCAAUAUGUUCUUUAUUUACCUCUUAGCUAGCUCAACUUGCCCGGAAGUCUGAGGAUGAUAAGGUGUAGCCACCUUAUGCUUCACUCCAUACUUGGAUAACAGAGCUUCAAAAGGUUUGUUGCAAAAAUGAGCACCUCCAUCACUGAUUAUGGCUUUGGGUACCCCAAAUCUCGAAAAAAUGUUCUCUUUAAGGAAUUUGAGAACCACCCUGUGAUCAUUUUGUUUACAAGGGAUUGCCUCAACCCAUUUAGAAACAUAAUCCACCCCCACCAAGAUGUAAGAAUUACCAAAAGACAUUGGGAAAGGUCCCAUGAAGUCAAUACCCCAUACAUCAAAUAGCUCAACUAUUAGAAUGGGGUUCAUAAGCAUUUGAUUUAUUUUUGUUAACUUUCCAAGCCGUUGGCAUCUGUCACAACUUCUACACAUGAUGUAGGCAUCUUUGAAAAGAGAUGGCCAAAUAAACCCUGAUUGCAAUACUUUCAUGGCUGUUUUCUGAGAGGCAAAGUGGCCUCCACAUGCAUUCUCAUGACAAUGAUAUAGAAUCCCUUGCUGCUCAUCUUCAGGGACACACUUCCUUAUGAUCUGAUCUGCACAAUACUUAAAAAGAAAGGGCUCUUCCCAAUAAUAAGCAUGAAUUUUGGCAAAGAAGUGCUUCCUGUCCUGUGCAUUCCACUCACUUGGAAUUUCUCCAGUUACUAAAUAAUUAGCAAUAUGAGCAUACCAAGGAGUUUUCACUAGGAACAUGAGUGAUUUUUCAGGAAAAUCAUCAUUAAUAGGCAAGGGAUGGGAAUUAUGUGCUAUAACUAACCUUGAAAGGUGGUCAGCUACCACAUUCUCCACUCCUUUCUUAUCUUUGAUUUGAAGAUCGAAUUCUUGUAACAAAAGAAUCCAUCUAAUCAACCUUGCUUUUGCAUCUUGCUUUGUCAAUAAAUACUUCAAGGCUGAAUGGUCAGUGAAGACAAUGAUGAAAGACCCCACUAAAUAAGCACGAAAUUUGUCCAAAGCAAAUACCACAGCUAACAAUUCUUUCUCUGUAGUUGUGUAGUUCCUUUGAGCUUCAUUCAGUGUUUUGCUUGCAUAGUAAAUCACAUAGGGCUUCCCAUCUUCCCUUUGGCCAAGCACAACUCCUAUAGCAAAGUCACUGGCAUCACACAUCAGUUCAAAAGGUAAUUGCCAGUUAGGGGCUCUCACUAUUGGAGUUGUUGUUAAAAAUUUCUUCAGUUGAUCAAAGCUGUUUUGACAUCUUUCAUCCCAUAUAAACUUAGCAUCCUUAGCUAACAGCUCACAAAGAGGUUUUGAAAGACUUGAAAAACCUUUUAUAAACCGCCUAUAGAACCCUACAUGGCCAAGGAACUGUCUUACUCCUUUCACAGUUGUUGGGGAUGGUAAUUUGACAAUAAGCUCCACCUUUGCUUUAUCAACUUCAAUGCCUUUUUCAGAGAUGAUAUGGCCAAGGACAAUUCCUUGACGUACCAUAAAAUGGCAUUUCUCCCAAUUGAGCACCAGGUCUUUUUCAAUGCAUCUGUGAAGAACUGCUUCCAAAUUGACUAAGCAUUCCUCAAAUGUACCUCCAUAUACGGUGAUGUCAUCCAUGAAAACCUCCAUAAUUAGUUCCACCAUAUCACUGAAAAUACUCAGCAUACAUCUUUGAAAUGUAGCAAGUGCAUUGCAUAAACCAAAAGGCAUUCUCCUGUAAGCAUAUGUUCCAAAUGGACAUGUAAAAGUGGUUUUUUCCUGAUCUGCCAAAUAAAUUUCAAUCUGAAAAUACCCUGAAUACCCAUCCAAGAAACAAUAGAACGGAUGUCCAGAGACUCUCUCCAGCACUUGGUCAAUAAAUGGCAAUGGAAAAUGAUCCUUCCUGGUUACAGCAUUCAGCUUUCUAUAAUCAAUACACACUCUCCAACCUGAAGUGAGGCAUGUAAGUAACUUCUUCUCCUUUUUCAUUCUGAACCACUGUGAUUCCUAACUUCUUUGGUACCACUUGAGUAGGACUCACCCAAGGGCUAUCAGAUAUAGGGUAGAUGAUUCCUGCUUGAAGUAGCUUCAGCACCUCAGCUCGCACCACCUCUUGUAAAUGAGGAUUCAAUCUUCUUUGAAGUUGACGAAUUGGCUUUGUCUCCUUCUCCAUAUAUAUAUGAUGAGUACAAACUAAAGGACUAAUGCCUUUCAAGUCGGAUAUUUGCCAUCCUAUUGCCUUCUUACACCUCUUGAGAACUUCCAUUAAACAAUUCUCUUGAUGACUGGUCAGAGAUGAAGAUAUCACAACAGGACAUUGAUUAUUUUCUUCAAGAUAUGUAUAUUUCAGCUCCACAGGUAGAGACUUCAGAUUGAGUUUUGGAAUUUCUUUUUCAGCAACUGCCUCCUCUUCUUCAUUGAACAAAGGUAGAAUCUCUUCUAUCUUUCUCCAACUUUGUAGAGUAGCAAGCAUAGUAGGAGAUUCAGACAAACCUUCCUCAAAAUCCACAAGACUUUCAUUCAACUUGUCUUGCAUAUUUUGAUUACAGUGCUCCUCCACCAAAGUGUCAAUAAUGCACAGCUCUUCUGGACCCUCUUCUUCUUCCGGAGUGAUUUGCUUUUUAGACAUAUAGAAAAUAUUGAGAUCAAGUGUCAUGUUGCCAAAAGUGAGUUGCAUCAGUCCAUUCCUGCAGUUGAUGAUUGCAUUUGAGGUAGCAAGAAAUGGCCUUCCAAGGAUGAUAGGAACUAAAUUAGCUUCCUUUAUAGUAGGAUCUGUAUCAAGAACAAUAAAAUCUACUGGAUAGUAGAAAUUAUCCACUUGAACCAAUACAUCCUCAAUUACCCCCCUUGGAAUUUUCACUGAUCUAUCUACUAGAGAUAAAGUGAUUGCUGUUGGCUUCAACUCUCCAAGUCCCAAUUGCUUGUAGACGGAAUAUGGAAGCAAAUUCACACUUGCUCCCAAGUCUAACAAGGCUUUCUCCACUACCUUUCCUCCAAUCAUGACUGAAAUGGUAGGACUUCCUGGGUCUUUGUACUUCAAAAGAGACUUACAUUGUAAGAUUGCACUUACUUGCUCAGUCAAGAAGGCUUUCUUAUUUACAGUCAACCCUCUUUUGAUAGUACAUAAGUCCUUAAGGAAUUUUGCAUACGUUGGAACUUGUUUAAUCAUAUCCAGCAGUGGAAUAUUGACUUUCACUUGUCUCAAUACUUCAAGGAUUUCAGCUGCAUUUCUAAUCCCCUUUUUCCCAUGUAAUGCUUGAGGAAAAGGUGGAGAGGUUGAUUUCUUCAGCAUUUCUUCCUUCAUAAGUUCCUUCUCUGGAAUUGCAUUCAUUGUUGAAUCAGAGUCCUUCUUUUCUUCACUGAUCUCACUCUCUUUAUCUUCCAUUUCCUUCCCUUUCUUUAUCUCUUCUUCAUUAUCAACAUGUGGCUUGGGUGUUGGUUGCUCAAUUUUUUUACCACUCCUUAGAGUGAUCAAGGCGUUCACAUCUUUCACCUGUGAUGAUUCUCCCUCUUGGCUUUCCACUUCAUGGACACCUUUGGGAUUUUGGUGAGGUUGAGAAGGAAAUCUUCCCUUUUCUUGUAGUGUAUUCAAAUUUGUAAGCCUUGAAAUUGAAUAUUGGAUGUUAUCAAACUUUUGGUUCAUAUCAUUUUGCAUUCCAUCCAUCCUUUUAUUCAACAUACUCUCCACUCUAUCAAUUCUUUGAUAGAUUUGAGCAUUGGUGGCUUCUUGCUUUCCAACAAAAUCUCCCACUACCUUGCUGAGAUUAGCCAUUACUUGUUCAAGACUUGAAGAUUGUUGAGAUGGUGGAUCCGGCUGUUGGUAUUGAGUUGCUCUGGCCUUCCAUGAGAAAUUUGGAUGAUUCCUCCAACUUGAGUUGUAGGUAUUUCCAUAAGGCGCAUUGUUAUUGGGCUUGAAUUGCCCAAUAACUUUUGCUUGAUCUCUAAACAUUUCCCUUUCAGCUGAAAUUGCAGGGCAUUCCUCCACCAAAUGUUCAUAUGAUUGACAAUUAGGACACAGCUUCACUUGCACUGGUGCUUCAGCAACAGCUUGCACUUCAUGUAUUCUUUUCAGCUCCAGCUCCUCCAAUCUUCUUGUCAUAGCUGCCAACUUUGCUUUCAUAUCAUCAUCUUCUUUCAAGGUAUACAUCCCAGCCUUUGUAUUGAAAGCAUUCGGUUGAGACUUCAUCUUCCCCACUUCUCCUUUAGUUGGUUCAUCCCAUCCCCUUGAAACAUCAGCUAUAUAGCUCAAGAAAUCCAUAGCUUCCUCUGGAUUUUUUCUCAUGAAAUCUCCUCCACACAUUGUCUCGAGGAGUUGCUUCAUUGAGGAGGACAUACCAUCAUAGAAAUAGCUCACCAGUAACCAAGUAUCAAAGCCAUGGUGAGGGCAAGCAUUUAUAGCUUCCAUAUAUCUUUCCCAACACUCAUAGAAUUUCUCAUUCUCUUUAGCUGAGAAGUUUGAAAUUUGACUUUUCAAGCCAUUUGUUCUAUGAGUGGGAAAAAAUUUCUUGAGGAAUUCAGCUUGUAAGUCAGUCCAAGAACGGAUACUCCUUGGCCUUAAAGAAUUAAGCAAAAUUUUGGCCUUAUCCUUUAAAGUAAAAGGAAAUAACUUAAGCCUCAUCAAAUCAAUUGAAGCUCCUCCCUCUUGGAAUGUAUUACAAACAUCUUCAAAUUCCUUGAUAUGUGCAUACGGAUUCUCACUUUCCAUCCCAUGGAAAGUUGGUAGAAGUGGAACAAGAUACGGUCUGAUCACUAGCUGCUCUGUAGGGGGCACUAUACAUGAUGGUGCACUCAUACGAGGUGGAUGCAUACGGUCCCUCAUUGAUCUGAAUUCAUUGAGAUUGUCUUGACGACCUUGGUGACUAUGCUGAUCUUCAGGUGUAGCUUCCAUGAUAUUCAAGCUUACUUCGAAUUCUCUUCUCUGAGGUGUAUCACACUUAACAAGCCUUCCUCCACUGUCUCGUAUCCACUUUGGCAUACACAACUAGUAUCUAUCUGCAACUUAAUGAAAAUAAAGAACAACAACAGAAACAGGGCUACAACAACAAAAUUAAUCUAGGCUAAAUUUUAAAAUAUAAACUUAGAUUAUGAAUAAAUAAAUAAAGAAUGAGAAUUAGUAAAGUGAAAGAAACGUUACCAACUUGUGAUGAAAAUCACAAGUGCUCAAAAAUGGUAUCACUAUAAAUUUGACACCUUCCCUGGCAACGACGCCAUUUGAUUCGUGCCCAAUUGGUGUUUCAGAUAAUUCGUGUCCAGCUGGUGCUCCUUGAUUGAGGGAGUAAUCAACAAAAUUUAUAACCUAUUACACCAUAUACUAGGGUAGCAAAGACAAAGCUACUAUAGUAUAGCGGCUCUAGGAUCGUUCACUGGAAAGGAUUAGCAAGCUAUCAAUGAUACCAAUUCCAAGUGAAUUGGUCUUGUUUCAUUUCAAGGUUAGCUUAAGAAAUAAAACACAAACUUUGAUUGGUAAAGAUUUAAACUAACUAACAUAACAAGUACUCGGAAUAACUUAGGAAGAAAAGCAUUCCUUGGAGAGUUAGGUUCACUGGGGUGGUUCCUCAUGCAAAAGACAUAGCUCCGGUCAGAUGGUUCCUUUCCUCGUGUUAGAGAUUCAACAUAUAGUCACUUCUCUAACCGGUGUUGUACAGCUACCUCCUUUAAUUAGAUUUCACUUUAAUUCUCUCACUGAUGCAACUUGCAAUGGUUUAAGCCUCUCACUAAGCCUUAACCAUUCAAGGUGAUCUUUAACCUUGGAUUACCCGUCAAAAGCUCGCAAGAGAUAACUAAUGGAUGUCUCCUUGGAGUCCAAAAGCUUACCAAGUGUUGGCUAUUCUAGAAAAUCCUACCCUAAAGUCACCUCCCAGAGGCUCGCAAGGGGUAAACUAGUGCAUUUCCAUGGUUGGAAAUCACUUGCCUUACCAAGUGUUGGCCCAGGUGACUCUAAGGUGUUUUAAGUUAACUAAAAACAUAGAAAUCACUAAAGGAUUUCACUUCCUCUUCAUUACUAGCUAAAACCACAAAGCUUUGCAUUCUUGCACUUGGAACCUUCCCCGGCAACCUUAGCUCCAAGGAAUUAGAGGUUUAGUUACUCAUUCUCUGGGAAAAAUUCCUCAGAGAGUUCAUAACUUAGUAAGAAAAUAAAAAUACAAAGUGAGAAGGUAAGGCAAUACAAAGAACUGAACUUUACUUGUUUACCCAAAACUUUACAAAAGGAUCUCCUCUCUGAGAACAGGCUCCCAAGAGGUAUAUAUAUGAACAUAAUAUAAAACUAAUUAUUACAUAGAUAUUUUCUCUUUUUACUAACUUAAAAGCUAAGGAAUCUUGUAAUUGGUGGCUUACAAGGAGUAUUUUGGGAUUUAGACAACAAAAAUCUGAUGUAAAAUAUCUCCCAAUGUCGGUAGCAAAUAUCGGGAUGCUCCAGGAACCAUUUCGCAAGAGAAAAUGGUGUCUACGAGAUUUCGCAGGCACUCAAGAAGGGCUGCGAAAUCAUUUCGCAACAACAUGCUAUCUUCGCAGGGCUGCGAAGUUGGCUUCCACCUUGAGGUUCUUAGCUCCCAGCUUGCGGCAUAUAUCAGGCAACUUCAGAAGGAAAUACACCCUACUGUACAAAAAGGCUGCGGAAUCACUUCGCAGCAAAAGGGUGAUUUCGCAACACUUUGGAAAAUGCUUCCUUCAACUGGGAGUGAUUGGUUUGCAAAGGAUGCAACUUCUUCGUUUCAACUCCGAAUUGCACACCGUUUGAAGCAUUGGAUUGUUGACUUCCUGAGAUUUAAAAUGGUAUAUAGAAUACAUCAAUUGGACCUCAGAAAGUGCUCCAAAAGUGGCUGCUACGACUGUCAUCAAGAAUAUAUUUCUUGGUAGAUUCUCUUUACUUUUUCUCCUUGCAUUCCGGAUUUACUCUUGGCAAAUGACUUCCAAGCUUUGCCCAAGAUUCCUCAACACUCUCCUCAAUCUUGAAUUGCUUUGGUGAUUAAAUUACUAACAAAAACACCAAAACUUACACAAAGUGAUUAAAAUUGCUUUCAAGGGUCCUUAAUAUGCCAAUUGAGUUAAAAGGCCAAAACUACUACUCAAAAGCGUUUAAAAGGAUUAAUUAUAAGCUAUCAAAUAGCACUUUUUGAGUAGUAAUCAGUACAUAUGGUAUUGGAGUGUAGUUGAUUCUCUUUAAUGGAAUGUUAAAUCAAUUUCAAAUUUGGAUUUUGAUGGAGCAAAUACUCCUAUGGGUCCUAGUGGUUCUCGCUUUGAGCUUAUAUACUAGGUAACACAUUUUAUGAGGGUUGGAUUGACUCUAGGUUGAUUCUUGUGCAUAAGAGAAUUUUGGUAACUACGCAAGGUUGCAUAAGGGAUAAUGAACAAGGUAUUUGGUUUGGGCUAAUUGAUCAAUUAGAUGACCCUAUAUAGUUAAUUAAUCAAUUAAGAGCCAUUUUGGGCUAGACUAAGUGACUCAUGCCUUGAUGGGCUUAAGUCACUUAAGCACAAUCGACAACCUUAUAAAUACCCCUUUAUGGGUUAGCAUUUCCUAAUGACUUUUAAUGAGAGUUGUUUUCCACCUCUAGAGAAAGAGAGAGAGAAAGUCAUAGCCUCAUCCCUUUUGUUGCGCACACUUUAGAGUGCCAGGAUUGUGGUUCAAGUCAUCGGGUGGAGGAUCUUGGGUAUAUGAGACCUUCUUAGAUGAGAGGCUACAUCACAUGGACAUGCGUAGAGCACAUGCACAAGAUGUGCAUAGGCCAUGUGCAUGGGAAUUGCAUGACACAUGCACAUGGGCAGUAGCAUGAGGAGAGAGACUCUCUAGUUUUUCCAAGUAUGUUCUUCAUCGGAUGGAUUUUGAUCUGGGAACAUCUAAAUCACAUGUAUGAGUUUCAAAUCUCUAGAUCUAUAGUUAUUAAUGGUUUUCAUUGCUAAUUUAUUCCACUACGAUAGAUUUACAAAUGCCUAGGGAUAGAUGCAUGCACCCUAUGAGAUCCAAGGUAUAGGAACGAAGUAUUAAUCUAGUGGUUCCCAAGUAAUGAUAAUAGUAAGAUAUCAAGAUUGAACCUAGCACUAAUUAAACAUCUGGUAUUUAGACCUAACUCAUAUUAAUCUAAAUAGGAUCCAAAGAUUGGUAAAGUCUAGACUCUUUGAUUCCAAAAGAUCUUCUAGUUUACGAAUCCUAUAUAGAUGGUAAAAUGAUCAAGAGUACUAGAGGUAAGGAAUAUUUGGAGUUAGUGCAUACUAACAUGUAUGGAACUUUUAGAGUCUAUGCAUGGGGAGGGUAUGGGUAUUUCAUCACUUUUAGUAAUGAUUACUUUAGGUUUGGAUAUGUACAUAGGAAAUCCGAUGCCUUGGAUACAUUCAUUGAAUUUAAGGCGAGAUAGAAUAACCUAUUGGGUAUACAUACCAAGUCAUUUCAAUUAUAUCAAGUUGAUAUGUUUGGUAAGUUUGAUUCUUUCUGUUAGAGCAUAUGAUUAUUUUCUAGUUAUGUUCAUCAAGGUCUCUACUGAAAAACGAAUAAGUGGAAAGAAGAUAUCAAACUUGGAUGGACAUAGUAAGAUUGUGGAUAGGUUUCUCAUAUUUUCUCAAAUUCUUUUGGGGAUAUGUCUUAUAGAUUGUGUAAUUACUUUUUUUUUUUUUUUUUUUGCUUUCUUAAGAGGUGUAUUAGUUUAUAGGAUAUCUAAGAGGAUUUUUGGGUUAUAUUGUAGUCAAAAUCAUCAAAAGAUAUUUGUUAACAUAAAUGUCCCAUUUUUCAUGAAAAUUAUAUGAUAAGGAAGAAGGCAUAGAGUGAUAUCGAUUGGAGGAUAUAUUAGAAGAUAGUCCCACAUUGCAUAGGAUACUAUGGAUCCAGAGAGUUAAAGACAUACCAUUCCUAUGAUUUCUAGUACACCAGUACCUCAUCAUAGUGGGAAGUUUAUAUCCCACAGAUAAUGAUGAAGCGGUGAGCAAUGUUUAUGCUCACUUAAGGCAAGGAUGUGUGAUCAUGAAAUCUAUGAACCCAUAGUAAUUCAUUUAGUGAAAUUUGAGAUAUGGUCUUAGUGAGUUAGAGUAUGUUAUUUAAUCACAAAAUAAGAUGAUCUAUAAGUCAAAGAUUGUAAAGGUAGUCUUGAAAGGAUGAUAACUUUCACCUUGUUAGACUACGAACAACCAAUUCAUGGGAAGACUAUAUACAAUAGAUAGCAAGUCACAAACUUGAGCACUUGGUGUUUCGCUGUAAUAUACAUAGGGUUCUAGAGUACAAUUAACUCUCUAUAGUAGGAUAUUGAGUUAACUUUAGAAUUGGAUUCUAAGGGAUCUAGUAUUGUCCUAUGGUUCCAUUGGUCUCUACUAAAGCUCAUCUUCCUUGAUAGCAUGGUUUAUGAGAGUUGGAUAGGUUUUUAGUUCACUCGUGUGCAUAAAGGCAUUUUGGUAAUUGCAUAAGGUUACACAAGGGUAACUGUGCAGUAUCUUCGAACUUGGUUAAUUGAUUAAUUGGAGCCUUAUUUUGUUAAUUAAUCAAUUAGCAACCUUUUUGGGCUAAAUUAAGUGACCCACACCCCUAGUGGGCUCAAGUCACUUAAGCAUAGUAGGAGUAUAAAUACCUUUCUCAAGGGUUUGGGUUUCUAAUUCAAUCUUGUCAUUCUCUCCCCAUAGUCUAGAGAGAAAACCCUAGUCUUCAACCUUGAGAUUUCCAUCAUUUCAGUGCCUAGACUCAAGGAGGAGUCAUCGAGUGGAUGAUUAUGGGUUUAUAAGAUCUUUCUUAAAUUUGGAGCUUUCUACAUUAACAAGAAUUGAUUUGGGAACAUCCGAAUAAUACGUAUAACACUUUUCUCUAGAUCUAUGAUAUGUUUUUUAAAUACCAAAGUUUUCAACUAUGCUUAGAUCUAGAAAGCAUAAGAUAGGAUUACAUGCACCCUAAUAAUCCAAGGCCUAGGAAUAUAGCGAUCUAAGGUUUCCUACCAAAUAUAACCCAAUAAGUAAGAAUGAUUUAUAGGAACUAAAAUUUCUUUCAAAAAGAAAAGAAGUUUAUUGGAGUAAGAUAAGUAUACAAGAGAAGGAAAAAUGCAAAAGGAGUAGACAAAUACAAAGCAACAUUGGUGCAAAGGAUUACAAGCAAGAAUAAUGCACCAACAAGACGAGGGCAUUUGCUCUCAUUGCUCUUUUAGUAACUAUAAGAUUAAAAAUCUCUUUGAUAGCUUAAAUUAGUUGAAAAUUUUCAAAUGGAUGUGAAAUCCAAUUUUUUGAAUUGACAUCUGGAAGAAGUGUAUGUAGAAUAAACCAUAGUUGGUAUACAUAUAUAGGCAUGAGAAUAAAGUUCCAAAAUUGAAAAUAGCCUUGUAUGGAAUAAAACAAACACUAAGAGCAUGGAAUAAUAGAAUUGACCAAUAUUUUCACGAUAAUAAUUUUGUUUGAUACCUUAAUGAACAUGCUCUUUACAUAAAAGUGAAAGAAAAAAGUGAUAUAUUACUUAUUUGUUUGGAUGUGAAUUAUUUGAUCUUUAUUGGAACUAAUCCAAUCAUGUUUAGUGAGUUCAAAGAAGUAAUAGGACAAAAGUUUGAGAUGAUUGGAUUAGUCUCAUAUCAUACUCUCUUGCCAUAGACUUGAAGACAAUUGAAAAGAGUACUUUUUAUUUCUCAAGAAGACCAUGCAAAAUAAAUUUUUAGAAAGUUUAACUUGAAUAUGUGUAAUAUGGUAAACACAAUAAUAUAAUGCAAAGCUAAAUUAUCAAAGACAUGUAGAAGGAGAAAAAGUGGAUUCAACAUAACAUAAAAUCUUAGUUGGAACCAUACACUAUUUGACUCAUACAAGUUCAAACAUUCUCUUUGGAGUUGGAUUUGUCCAUCAUUAUAUGGAAGCACUAAUGAUUAUUUACACUAAGACCUCCUAGUGAAUUUUUCACUACAUCAACGACACAUUUGAUUAUGACUAAUAUUAUUCACCUUUAACAAUUUUAGACUUGUUGGAUAUAAUGAUAGUGAUUAAGGUGGAGACUUGGAUGAUACAAAGAGAACCAAUAGCUUUGUAUUCAUCAUGGGAGAGAUACCAUGUUCACUUGGACUUCAAAGAAGCAACCUAUUAUGAAACUUUCAAUCUAUGAAGUGGAAUUUGUGAAAAUGUUUACAAAAUCUCAUAAUCAAAUUGUGAAAACGUUUACAAAGUCUCUCAAGUUUAAUGAUUUUAGAAUGCUAAAGAUGCUACUUUUACAAAUCAAGUUGAAGGCAUGAGUGAAAAUGUUGACAAAGUUUAAAAUUUUUAGAAAACUAAGGAUGCAUUUUUACAAACCAAGUUGAAGGGAGGAUGCUAGUUAACCUAGAUUUAGGAAGUUUCUAAAAAUUAGAAUUUGAGUUGGAUUCUAAAAUGCUUGAUUUAGUUUGUAUAUUUGUUAGUACAAGAUUUUAUAUUUUACCAUUAUGAGUAUCUUUUUUUGUUUUUUUAGGAGUUAAUAUCUAUAAAUAAGAUGUUAAUAUCUAAAUAUAUAAUUAAAAUUGUUGUGUUUGCAAUUUUAAUGAAAUCUAGCAUUGGAUACUUAACUACAUCCCACAAAACGACAAAAAAAUGGUGGCGAUUUCAUGGAGGCUAACCAUUCACUAGCCUUUAGCCAAGUUGUGUUUCAACAGUAAAGUAAUUACCUCAGUCAAAACACAAAAUUUAGUUUUCUAAACAAUUAUUGUUCUUGGAAAACAUGCAAGGAAUUUAAGCAACUUAAGGUACUUAAGCAAUCCUAGUUGGACGUCCAGUAUUCAGAUCUUUUCAUUAAUUGGUUUUUCUCUUUUUGUACCAACACCUGCUCUCUCUCUCCAGCAUGCAAGCAUAAGUGGUAGGCACCUCUUUUGUGCUUUAAAUUAAUUGAAUACUUUAUCUUAUUCCGCCAUUCUUUUGGGUCUAACCCAAAAAUACAUUUACCAUGCCUUCUUUUCAUGUCCUCAACUUACUCAUAAGUCCCAUUGGAUAUGAUGUACUGAGUUUCAGAUUUUUCAAGUAAAAUUAUCAACAUCGUCUAGCAUAUAUACUAAUAGGUUAUACUCUUUUCAACAGUUUAAAUUGUUUUUGUUAAUAGAUUAUAUGGAUGUUUUAACACUCAGAGAAAUUGAAAUGCAGCCAAAUAUGCAGAAAAAAAAAAUGGUUGUGACUAAUAGUUAUAUUUAUUCUCUUUUAUUUCUGUUGAUACUCAAAUUUUUAGGGAUAGAGCAUCAACAAUCCUUGUGAUGAGUUACUAAUGUUGAGAAAAGUCAAUGACUACACAAUGUAGCUUAAAACCACAUAUGUCAUCAAAGAAGACAUCAAUAAUCACCCCCACACAAUGAUAUGUUGUAUAAUUCAUUACUUGUAUCAAACACAAAUUUCCUUCAAUGUGUGUCUAUGAAUAAAAGAGAGUUCUUGGUUUAUAUUCGACAUACACGCUAUAUAGGCCAUGCUAAAAGCAAUUGAUAACAAGAAUCUCAACACUGAAGUCCACGUAGAAUCAAGUGUGCACCAUAUUGGGGUUGCAUAGUUAGGAUACUGAAGGGAGCAUGAGCAUAGGAUGGCGAAAGUUCAAAUGAGAAGUGUUGUAAGAUCAUUGCCAAAGCUAUUUUUGCCUCCAUCAUUGCAAAAUUUUGUCCAAUGCAUACCCGAGGACCCCAACCAAAUGGGAAAAAUGAAACUUGGUUUUUUGUUGCCUUCAAAACUGCUUCUGCAAACCUCUUUGGAUUAAACUCCUUUGCAUCAUCCCCCCAAAUUUCAUGAUCAUGGUGAACUAGGAUGGUGGGCAACACGACCUGCACUCCAACUGGAAAACACAUGUCUCCCACUUGAGUGUCCUUAUAAACAGCUCUAUGAAGCAUUGCUACUAGUGGGUAUAACCUAAGAACCUCAUGAAAAAUCAUGGUAACCUGUGGUAGAGAAACUUUAGAAGUUGUUGCAUGAGAAUUCCUACUAAAAUACAUUCUAAAUCAGUAUGAAGGACACUGAAGAAUAAAGCAAUUUCUUAAAAUAGUGAUGCAGAAGAGAAAAUGUUCUAAAUCAUGCAUAACAAAAUAUCAAGUAUGCAAAGGACAUUGCAUAUCCCAUGCAUAUAACAACUUAAGAACCUCAUGAAAAAUCAUCAUAAUCUAGCAGAGGAAUUUGAAAUCAUGGCAUGAGAACCCGUUCCUGAGGUACUAAGUGAAAGCAAAUGUUUAGUACAAGAUAUAAAAACUUAAGAGAAACGUGUUUUCAAUUUUACUCCAAUUAUGGGGAAAAAAACAGAGUACUAUAUGAUUUUAGUGAGAAUCACUAAACUAAAGAUUGGAUUGAGUACUCACAAUUUUUAGGUGAUUUAAUCCAUCAGCUUCCGGUUUUUUAUUCCCAAAAACUGUAAAACCUCUUCUCUUGCACAAGCUUGCCAGUUUGGAUGCUCGCUUAGCAGGACCAUUGUCCAUACAAGCAAAACUGAGGUUGUCUCUUGGCCAUCAAGAGAGAAUAGCUUACACUCUUCAAUGACAUCUUUGACACUCAUUCCAAUCUUCUUGUUAUUUUGAUGUUCUUGAAUUUCUCUAAAAUUGGAUUCCAUUAGUAUACCUAAUAAGUCACUACUAGCAGUUUCGCCAGCCUUCAUUGCCUUCUCCCUAUUGCUAACGAUACCCCUCAACAAUGCAUAUACUUCUUUGCUUAUUUGCUUCAUCCUCCUGUUCCGUCUUUGUGGGUAAAAACCUGCGCGCAUGUUAGUAAUUCUAGUAAAUAAAACAUCACAUGAAACACACAUACAUUAAUUCUUAUUUUCAUCCAUGCCUUCUACUUCUCCAUUAAUUUUUUGAAACUUGUAUAAGGCUUCAAAGGUAGAAACUAUGAAGACAAUAACUAAUGGUUUCAUCUACACAUGUGUUGUAGUGGUAUCUCAUCAUCUUGACACAAUAUCCUACAAACAUAAGAUUGAGGAUACUAAACAUCAAUUAGAGAAACAUACUACUUUCUAAGUGUUAUACAAAAGAAGUAAUUGACUAAAAGGGGAUGAAGUGAUCUCAGAGUUGUAAAUCUAAUAUCUCUUAUGCUUGACCUUGAAAAGUAAUCCAUUUUUAACAUAAAUUCUCUUCGAACAUAAAUUCCCUUCAACCUUGUUAGCCAAACACACACUUGAGCAUUGUGAAACUUUCAACCUAUGAAGCGAAAUUUGUGUUGGCAUCAUUUGUAGGUCAUGAAAUUUGUUCAAGAAACUUAAAUUACCACACAAGAGACUGAUAAAGAUCUAUAUGGAUAUAAAAUCAACAAUUACCUUAUGAGAAAAAUCUAGUUCUCCAUGAUGGUGUUGAAUUUUGAAUUUUGCCUUAGUAUCUGCUGGAAUUUGAAUUUUGAAGUUAAAUUUUGUAGCUGGAGUCUUACAAAAAAUAUGCAACAUCCAAAUAUUUUAUUGUUUUUAUUUGGUCAAGAUUUGGUUUCUAUUUUAUUGGAAGUAAUUGUUCAUCAUCUAGUAGCUUGAUUUUCUAUUAUUCUAAUGUCAUUUCAGUUACAAGCUCAUGUAUAAAUUCAACACUCUUCAUCAAUAAAAUGUGUGUUCCAGCAAUCCAAAAAUAUAUAUUCUGCAUAAGUGUUUCAAUCUAAGAUCAACAGAUGGAAGACAGUAUAUUGAUACAAAAUAUCAUUUAUUAUAGAGUACAUUAUGAAAUAUGAAGUGCAAUUAAAAUUUACAAAAUCUCAUGAUCAAAUUGUGAAAACAUUAACCAAGUCUCUCAAGUUUAAAGAUUUUAGAAAGCUAAGGAUGCUAUUUUUACAAAUCAAGUUGAUGGGAGGAUGUUAGUUAAACUAGAUUUAUAAAGUUUCUAAAAAUUAGAUUUUGAGUUAGGUUUUAAAAGUUAAUUAAAAUAUUUUAUACAAAAUUCUUGAUUUAGUUUGUAUAUUUUGUUACUGCAAGAUUUUAUAUUUUACUAUCGUGAGUAUCUAUUUUUUUUAGGUGUUAGUUUCUAUAAAUAAGAUGUUAUGUAAUAGUUGAUCAAGUGUACAGGUGGAUGAUAAUAAAUUUUUUCUUAAUCAUCUCAAUUAUUUAUAUAUGUAAUUGCUUAUGUGUUUUUUCAACCACAUUGCUGCAACAUAGGUGAAUCUGCUGGUUGGUCUAUAAAAAUUCAUAUCAAUUGUUCAACCUGUUACAUUCUGUUAGGCUUAUGUAACGAUGUAGAUUAUAGUCUCUUUCCCUAAAAUUUCAUGGUGUUAACAUUUCAGGAAAGCAAAAUUUCCUAAAAUGGAAUAUGGUGUGCAAGGACAAAGAGACUUAUUAGGCAUCUAAACUCCAGGGAAAUCUGUCGAAACACUGCUGCAAAAAGAAAACAAAGCCCCAAAUAACUCUUUGAUCUUUUGUACCAAGCAGACUCGUGUAUGAAUAGUUUCAGAAAAAUAAGCUGCAUAUUUCUUGAAAUAUUUUUAUGCAUACCUCCAUCCCGGGAUAUAAACUGACAUUGUAACUGUUAAAAGGUAGUCUUUUUUCUUAUUUUUCCUUGUGUGUUGAAUACAAUACUAUAUAGAUUCAGAACAAAGGAACCUAUUCUAGCCUAUACAUAUCUUGCGGCAAAAAAUAAGGCCAUCCCUUGAAGUAUGGGAUUUACAUAAACAGAUUUCUAUACUUAUCUCAUUAGACAGCUCACGACAACACUCCCCCUCAAGUUGGUGCAUAGAUAUCUUUUAUGCCCAACUUGUCAAGUGAGUUGUAGAAAUUCCUUACAAACACUGCUUUUGUGAGUACAUCAGCCAACUGGUCUUCUGAUUUGACAAAUGGAAGCUGAAUAAUCUUUUCUUCAAGGUUUUGUUUGAUGAAGUUCCGAUCCACCUCAACGUGCUUAGUGCGAUCAUGUUGAACCGGAUUGUGGGAGAUAGCAAUGGUCGUUGUGUUAUCACAUAACAAGUUCAUUUCGGAACUAGGAGCAACAUCGAUCUCAGCUAGCAGCUUUUUCAGCCAAAUGAGCUCACAUAUUCCCUUGACCAUUCCCCGAAAUUCAGCUUCAGCACUAGAUAGGACAACUACUUUCUGUUUCUUGCUCCUCCAUGUAACUAGGUUGCCUCCCACAAAAGUAAAGUACCCAGCAGUGGAUUUCCUGUAUGUGAUGUUCCCUGCCCAGUCCGCAUCUGUGUAGCCAGCAACCUUCAAAUGACCAUUCUUUGAGAACAUAAGCCCUUUCCCCGGAGAGGACUUCAAAAAAUGAAGGAUUCGCAUUACAACAUCCAUAUGGUCUUCACUCGGCCGGUGCAUGAAUUGACUCACUACACUCACAGCAUAAGCAAUGUCUGGCCGAGAAUGAGAUAAAUAGAUGAGUUUACCCACUAACUGUUGAUACCUCUGUUUGUCCGCUGGUACCUGGUCUACAUAUUCUCCAAGUUUAUGAUUUUGGACAAUUGGAAUAUCAACAGGCUUACACUCUAGUAAUCCCACCUCUGCUAGCAAGUCUAGUAUAUAUUUCCUUUGGGAAAGAAAUAUGCCUUGUCUUGACCUUGCCACUUCAAUGCCCAAAAAAUAUUUAAGCCCCCCUAAGUUCUUCAUCUCAAACUCAGUUGACAAUUGAUCUUGAAGCCUGGAUAUUUCUUCUACAUCAUCCCCUGUAAUUAUCAUGUCGUCUACAUAGACUAUGAGGGCUGUUAUUUUUCCCAAUCGAUGUUUUGGGAAGAGAGUGUGGUCAGAGUUGCUUUGUUGAAAUCCAUAUUUCCUCAUUACCGAACUCAACCUGCCAAACCAUGCUCGAGGUGAUUGCUUUAGUCCAUACAAUGCUCGUUGUAACCUACAUGCAAUCUUUGCCUCUGAUGUAGCAGUAUAGCCUGGUGGAAUAUCCAUGUAAAUCUCCUCUUCAAGAUCACCAUGGAGAAAGGCAUUUUUUACGUCAAGUUGGUACAAUGGCCAAUCUAAGUUUGCUGCAAGAGACAACAGAACUCUAACAGUUUUUAGUUUUGCUACAGGUGAGAAAGUUUCCUGAUAAUCUAUACCAUGUUUCUGUGUAUAACCCUUUGCUACCAACCUCGCCUUGUAUUGAUCAAUCGACCCAUCUGCUUUAUAUUUAAUAGAGAAAAUCCACUUGCACCCCACUGUCUUCCUCUCUUCCGGCAACACACUCAAAACCCAUGUAUUAUUUUUCUACAACACCUCCAAUUCUUCUUUUAUAGCUUGAGCCCAUUUCAGAUCCGAGAAAGCUUCUUCAACCCUACUUGGAAUCUGACAUGAGGAGAGUGUAUGUGCAAAAGCUCUGAGAGGUUCAGAUAAUCUUUGUGUAGACACAUAAUUGGCUAUUGGAUACUUGGAUCGUCGUUCUUCUAUGUCUAGGGAGUAUCGAUUUGGAGGCUUGCCUCGAUUGUGUCUGAAAGGUAGAACAUAACCCGCAGAUGUAUCUAUAGCAUUAGUUUGUAAAGGUGUGGUAGGAGAGCUUACCUCAGGAAUAUUCUUAGUAGGAGGGUCGUUGGGUACUAACGAGUGAGGGAAUACAUCAGAUUCUGCAUCUUCCGAUGAUUCAGGUGCUGGUUCAGCUUCAGUUCUCAGAGGUUCAGGUACAGGAUCAUGUUCAACCAUGUCGUUGUCAUCAUUCGGAUGUGUUGGAUUGUCACCAACGUCUAACACUUCAACAUCAGACCAAUUCCGUUCUUCACCAUAGAUCUCCCCCUGAAGAGGGGAAUUGGAUAUCGGUGACAAAAAAAAAUUCAGAUUCAAGGAAGGUGACAUCCAUGGUAAUGUAGGUUCUUUUAGCAAUGGGAUCGUAGCAUCUGUAUCCCUUUUUGUGUACUCCAUACCCCAAGAAUAAACACCGGACAGCACAUGGGUCCAACUUAGUUCGUUGAUUUUUAUGGAGGUGAACAAAAGCAACACAACCAAAAAUUCGGGGAGGAAUCAUCAAAACAGUCGGUAAGGAGACAUGAUAAGAAAGCACCUUUAGUGGAGUCUGAAAUUGUAAGACUUUGGUGGGCAUACGGUUCAGUAGAUACACGGCUGUGGUAACAGCAUCACUCCAGUAUCUAUUCGGCACAUGUGCAUUGAUCAAUAGAGCACGGGCAGUUUCUAAGAUAUGCCUAUUUUUCCUUUCAGCAAUACCAUUCUGUUGUGGGGUUUGUGAACAUGAGGUUUCAUGGAGAAUACCAUGGUUGUUGAAGUAUGUCUGGAAUUAUUGAUUAACAUAUUCCCCUCCAUUGUCAGAACGAAUGAUCUUAAUUCUUGCAGAGAAUUGUGUCUGAACCAUGGCAUGAAAUGAUUGAAAAAUAGAAAAUACUUCAUCUUUGUGUUUUAGGAGGUAAAGCCAUGUCAUUCGUGUGCAAUCAUCAACAAAUAUUACAAACCAACGAUGACCAGAAGACGUAGUUACUAGUGAAGGUCCCCAAACAUCGGAACGUAUUAAAUCAAAAGGAACCAUACUUUUAUUCAUGCUCAUGGGAUAAGAAGCCCUAUGACUUUUGGCUAAGAUGCAAGUAUCACAUUUAAAACCUAAAUGUGUUACAUUUGAAAAUAACCCAGGUAAUAAGUGCUUCAAAUACCCAAAUGAUGGAUGCCCAAGUCGAUGAUGCCAUAACCAAAUCUGUCUCUCCUUGUUACCAACCUUGUGGUGCAUGUGAUUUGCUCUUCCCGAACUGAAGGCAUCCACGUAGUAUAACCCCCCCUCCUCUUAGUACCACACCCAAUUAUCUCAUUGGUGAGAAUAUCUUGAAGAAGGCAAAAAGUAGAAUACAUCAAUACCACACAAUUAAGAUAUGAAGUAACUUGGCUUACAGACAUCAAUCUAUUUGAAAGAGAGGGUACAAGUAAUGUAUUAGAUAAUGAAAGGGAAAGAGAAAAAGUCACUGUUCCAGCCCCUGUAACUAGAUAGGUGACCCCAUUAGCAUUUGCAACACAGCUCCUUCUCGGCUGAGUUGUAUUAGAGAAAUCCUUUGAAUCAAAUGUCAUAUGGUCUGUAGCCCCAGAGUCGAGAAUCCAGUCCUCAUCAUCCUUGUGAGUAGAGAUAUGAAAUGCCUUACUCGAAGUACCUGAAUCAUGUGAAGAUUCAGCUUGAGGAAUGAGGGAUAACGAAGCAUCACAAGUAACCACUGCAGCUCUCCUAGUGUGGUUAUCAUUAGCAAUGAUUUCCCAUUUUUUUCGUGCUUGAAGGUCAUUCCACCAAUCUGGAUAUCCAUGCAGUUUGAAGCAGGUGUCACGGGUGUGUUUGGAGUUGCCUCAAUGGGUACACUUCAUGUCGUCAGAUGGUGGUUUAGUUUUGGAUGAGGAGUUGGAUUUCCCGCUGCUUAGGGAAAGAGCUCCAGGUUUCGGUGGCAUCUGGUGAUGGCUGCCCUUGAUCCCUUUGGAAGCCAUAACUGCUCCUGGAGGAGUAUCUGCACCUGAGAUCAUCAAGGUCUGCCUGACCUCUUCCCUACGGACAAAUGCAUAGGCCUGUUCCACCGUAGGGAAUGGUUUAAUUUGUAGAACAUCACUCCGAGUUUUAUCCAAUCUGUCAUCUAGUCCAUCAAGGAAGGUAUAAACUCGAUCUUCUUGUAGAAUGGAAUUGUAUUUCUGUAUGUCAAUUGCACACUCCAUCGGGUUAGGACGAUGAAAAUUGAUUUCUCGCCACAGCCCUUGAAGGUUGUUGUAGUAUUUUUCAAUGGAUCCACCCGCCUGCUUCAUACGAGUAACCCGACGUCGGAGAUCAUAGAUGUCCCAUCAAAAUAGGUUAUAGAAGCAGAAUCCCAAACCUAUUUUGCAGUUGGGAAUCGGAUAAAAUUGGCAAUCAAGGAAGGGUCCAUCGAAUUGAUCAACCAUCCCUUGACAAUGGCGUUUUCGGUGCGCCAUCUCCUGAAUGAAGGAUCGGUUUCUGGAGGCUGAGGAGAAUCUCCAUUGAUAUAUCCCAGCUUGUCCUUGCCAGAGAUAUACAUCUCGACAACCUGGGACCAUAAGGCAUAGUUGGAUCCUUCCAACUUGAUACCGAUCGGAGUAGUUGACGAAUCAGCAAGCAGAGGUUGAGGGGAGGUCUGGGCUCUAGUCAGGACCUCGGUCACUCUUGUAGUUAGAUCGCUAAGGAUGGAAUCAGUCUGGGGAAUGAGAGGUUGUGUUAUGUCUCUAGAUUCCGCAAUGGAGUCUGUCGGUUCUGGUUUGACAAGAUUUGUUGUAUAUUAACGGAUAACCGGCUGGAAGGAAUCAGAGGGAAGCAGCGCUGGAAACUGACCAGGAAGAUGAAGAUGAUACCAGGUGGGUCUUCCGGAGUUUUUUCCUGGUCAUAGUGGCUGAGCAGAGGUCCUAGGGACGUGCUCUGAUACCAUGUUAAAAGGUAGUCUUUUUUCUUAUUUUUCCUUGUGUGUUGAAUACAAUACUAUAUAGAUUUAGAGCAAAGGAACCUAUUCUAGCCUAUACAUAUCUUGCGGCAAAAAAUAAGGCCAUCCCUUGAAGUAUGAGAUUUACAUAAAUAGAUUUCUAUACUUAUCUCAUUAGACAGCUCACACUAACAGUAACCUGGCUUGCAAAAUGUGUUUGUUCUUUCUGGAGCUAGAAUAUCCUUCUUCCUUCUUCAUAGCUACUACCAAAUGCUGUCCGAGAAAUCACAUCCCCUGUCAAAUUUUCAAGAUAGGGCCAAACAUCCAACUCACAUGAUCCCCCCACCGAAAGCAUUUUCCAUUUGGUCACCAUGUCGCUACAACUCAAAUGAAAUGCCGGCAACAUAUUCUAUAACAAAUUCAACCAAAAAAUAAAUUAAUAUCCAGUUUCAAAUUCAAUAUACAGCCAUUUAUCACUGACCUGUGAAAUAACAAUUUAACUAGUUCAUAAAGUAUGUACUACUUAAAGUCACCAUAUGUUAGGAAGAGUCAUAUGGGUGGAGGAUGAGGAAUAUUCAGUUUUACCAUGGAGGCACUGACUAAAGAAAUCAUAGAAAAAAAAUGAGCAUAUUCAUGAAAAGUUAGAUGUACUGGUAAUAUUAAUGAAAAGUUAGAUGUAUUGGUAAUAAGCAAGUAAGAUAAGAAAGUUGUUAAGAUCUUACUGUCAUAUGUAUCAAGUAUUUUGAUCCUUAUGGUUUACUUUGGCAAAUAAAACUUCUGAAAAUUUCUAUUGGAGACUGGAAAAAGACUUUAUAUGAGUAAGAAAAAAAAAACAAGGUAAAGGUAGGACACAUUGGGUAUGUGAAAAUACUUUAUUAAACUGAUCGAAAUAUUUGGGAAUUUCGAUAUUUAUACAGGUUUUUAGAAAAAAUUUUAUAAAAAAUUGGUAGUUAUUAUUUUUCGAAUACUAAUAUAAAUUUAUCUUUCAAAGACACAAUUUUAGUGUAGUUUUCAAGUGUUAAAAUUAUUUUUUUUAAAAGACAACUUUAUAAAAUUCAUUUCUUUUAACUUUUAAAUGAUAACUUUCUAAUUAGUAUCUAGCAAACUGAUGUAGAAUUGAAAAUAAUUUUUCAACUAACAUAUUUUAGAAGAUUAUAUAUAUAUCAACCUAAGAUACAUGAGAUGAGAAAUGGGUAUUCAUAACCUCCAAAUCUUAUAUAUAUUAUCGCUUAAAUUUUUGUUCCACUGCAUUCACAUGUUCAAUCUCUUUUCCAACAGUGGGAGGGCUAUGCAGAGAUUAUGGAACUGUAAUAUGUCACAAUUGAAACAGUUUCAAUUAUGGAACUGUUUGUUCACUUUCACAGUUUGUGAAAAGAUUAAAAAAAAAAACAUGGAAAUUAAGGUAAAAUAUUCUGGUUUGGAAACUGGGCAUUGAAAAUUACCUUCAACUUUUCUAGAUGGAAAGCUGGGUUGAUGAUCUUUCUACGUUUAGCCCAUCGUUCGCCUUCCAAGGUCACCAGACCAGAAACCAGCAACUUGCCAAGUGGGUGUGGGGGUGGCUUUUGAAAGACAUUGGACUUUAGCAAAACAUCCCUUAUUAGCUCAGGCUCCAUAAUGUUUACCAUUGGAUUUGGACCGAACCAUGCAAAGGAAUUUUUACCUGCACGUUUAUGCCAUUAUUGGAUAGUGUUAGCCUCAAAUUGCUUUUAAUUUGGACUUCACACAAAUUCAACUUUGGGUAUCAAAAUUUAGUUGAACCCAACUUGGACCAUCGAAAACAAUGAAAACUUCAGCCAUAGUUUCUAUGAUGAGUUAUUAUAAAUGGACUAAAUCAUUUUUUCAGAAUUGUCUCAAUGUCAAUUGAUAUUAAGGAAUGAACUCUAUUCAUUGUAGCCUUGAGAUUAAAUAAUGAAAUCAAGAGGGCUAUCAAUAUGCUUGGCAGGCUGGGUGACAGUUUUGGAUAGAUGCAACAAUUUUAAUUAUAUAUUUAGCUUUGGAUUCUUUCCAGAGAAUAUUCUGCAAUCUAGCAUGGGAUACUUAAAGACUACAUCCCACAAAAAGACAAAAAAAAUGGUGGCAAUUUCAAGGAGGCUAAUCAUUCGCCUGCCUUUAGCCAAGGAUUAGUUCCAAACAAAACCUUCCGAAAAGAAAGGGGGAGAGCCCUUCUGGAUGGACUUGGCAUCGACACAAUAGAAUUGGCAUCGAAAGAAAAAUAAAGAUUUAACCAAUUGAGCACAAAUAACUGACAUAAAAAUUAACACUUGAAAAAAAAAGUUGAAAAUUUGGCAUAAAUUAAAAGUUAUUCACAGCUCCCAGAAAUUAAACAAUUGAAAAGUAAAAACAGUACUUUUCAAAGUGGUUAAGAAAUACAGUUAGCAAAGAUUACGAACUACCACUGAAAUCUAAACCUUUGGUGUAAUUUAAAAAAGAGGAAAAAAACAGAAAGGAAAAGAAAAAUAGUUAGGAAGAGAAGAGCAGAAAACAAACAAAAGCUUUAGGGGAGUAUAAAAAAGUUGGCCAUAAUUUGAAGAGAUCAGCAAACUUUAAUACUAUGAUGAAAAGUAAUAAGUCAUAUCGGUACCGUAUUUCUUAAUGAAAUGAAAAUGGAAGGGCAGGACACGUGGAGUAGUAUCAUCGGAGAGGCUGAUUGGUCUUGAAUAUGCUUCUUUUAACAUCAUGGACAUCUCUUUGAAGUCCCCAUGUAAAAGCCUAUAAGAAUUCCCAGCCAGGCCUUGCUCUCUAAGGCAUCUUUCUAACCUCUUUGGCCUCAACCACACCCAAUUCAGUAGCCUCCAUAAACAGCUUAUGAGCACAGUAAGGAACCCAAAAGAAAUUGCAACUGAGCUAUGCUUCAUUUCCAGUUUGAGGGACUUCUAUCAGGAGAGGUAUGUUAAAUCACUUCAGAGUGAGAAAAUGACUUUAUGCUGCCGCUGUGUAUAAAUUGGCCCCUAUUCUAUUCCCUCGUGCCGGCAAACAUAGAAGAUUUCGUAAAUGCCUAAUGGGGAGAAGAAUGACUAGUAUUUUAAAAUCUAUAAAUUAUCUAUUUUAAUUGUCUCCAUCAAUAUGGCUUUUAAACUUCUCAAUGAAUUAUUAAUUUAUUCUAUUUGAUGCAUUUCAAAGUUUGUGCAAUCGUCACUGCUUAUUAAAAACUGUAUAUGCCAUGAAUGUAGAAGGCAAAAUUUGAGCAUACGGAAUAUGGAAUUCUAUUUGAUGGACCAGCUUUCACUUGUGAGUCGAUGGAGCAUGUGGAUGCUCACUUUCAGAGCCUCAAGGGACAGCUCGCAUCCCUCACAUCUUGGCAGAUGUCUCAGGGUGCUUCCAGCUCUACAACUCCAUCUGAUCUGGACUUUUUGAUACUUCAUGUUUUUUUGAUACUUUAUGUUUUUUUUUUUUUGUUUUUUGUUUUUUUUUUUGUUUUGUUUUGUUUUGUUUUGUUUUUUUGUUUUUGUUUUUUUUUUUUUUUUGUGGAUAAGUUUAUUUUGUACACCUAACCCAUGUUGGCUCAGUUUAUCACAUAUUUUGUUUGUCUAGAUGUACUUUUAUUUUCUUAUCUCUUGUAUCCAGAACCUUUUUUACCAUAUAUGUCCAUGUGUUUGCUUUUCUUUUCUCCUUUUCGUAUGCUUACUGCUUCAUCAUGCUCUUUGUCAUUUUUUGCAACAAAAAAGGGGAGAUGGAUUGUUGAUUUGAUUGAGUGUUUUGAUAUUCAUAUUUUUUUUACAUCUGUUUCGUGGCUUGCACCCUUACUCGUAUACCUAAUUUGAUAAAAUUGAUCAGUUAUCUUUCUUCCCACACACUACUUUACCUGGGUAUGUUGUUUAGUGUGUGGAAAUUCUAGGUACUAGGGUAUUGCUCAUUUUUUGGAUGUGGCUUCUAGUCCUUUGCACGUUAGAUGAUGAAUUGGUUUAGAUAAGAGGUAUUGAGAGAUUUGUAAACUCCAUUUGAGAGUAUUGAGGGGUUUAUGCAAUUUGUAGUUUAUCACAAAAUUGCAUAGGGGAGAGAUUGUUCGUACAUUAGGUGAUGUAGUUUAAAAUUGUCAAUUUUGUUCUAUUCAUUUUGGUUUAGGAUCUUUCUAGAUUGUGUCUCACUCCCCAUUGAAGACUCAAGGUUAUUAAUUGAUCAACUAGGAUUACAUAGGUAGGUGUAAAAAGAUUUGGGAAAGACAAGUUAGUGUUUGGUAUGACAUGGCAUGGAUUGAGUAGUUUAACAUUGAUGAGCAAAAUGAUUUUCUAACCGGGUUUAAAAAAUGCCUAAAGCGCUCAAUCACUCUAAGAGCAUUUGAGUCCUAGCAACAAAAUUCUCUAGAAUUUUGGAGAUCUGUCUUUCUAUUUUUAAAGGAUUUAUUUUGAGGAACUUUUUAGAAUUAGUCCACUAGGUUCCUAGGCUUAUAUAUACAUUGCCUAAAAAGGUUUUUGGUUUGAUGCUUUUGAGUUGAAAAACCUAGAUUGUCUUCCUAUUUCCAAAAUUCUAAAAGAAACAUUCAUAUUUACUUAUGCAUAGUUGAGAUGGAGAUUUGUAUCCUCCUCAAGUGCUGAAGUGAGAUCCUCUAUGAGCACAUGAGAUGUUGCAUUGUGGAAGCAAAACACAAUGUAAGUGUUAGGUAGUAAGUCUUAGUAGUAGCUUUCUAAUGCGACUCAUGGUAGCUUAGUUUUAAAGGCGUAUCAACAAAAUUUAUACCUUGAAUACUAUUACUAAAGUAGCCAAGCUACUAUAGCAUAGUGGUUCUAGGAUUGUUCACUGGGAAGGGUUUUCGCAAACACAAGUGAUAUUCAAAUUAGGAAAAUAGGUGAUUUUCUUAUGGAUGUUAGCUUUAAAAGAAGAUGUAAAUGUUUUAGAAAGAUUUAAACUAAUCUAAGCUAACAUUAAAGACUAAAAUGAAAGGGUGUAAAAACAAGUUUCUCAAAGAUAGGAUAGCUAUGCUCUGACUCUUAUGCAAAUUGGAAAUCUCAAGAUAGGCUCCUUGAGUUGGGGUUGCAACUAUGGUGAUGCUUGCUUCCCGAACCGGUAUGGAUUUAACAAAUCAAGUUUUAAUCCUUUAAAAUGGAAAAAUAGAUGGUAGUGAAUUUCAUCAAUGGUUAUUCACCUUAGACUUCCUUUGAAUGGCUUGUAAGAGAUAACUAAUGGUCUAAAGCCAAAAGCUUCCCAAAUAUUGGCAACUCAAAGUCAUUCCAAGUGAUAAACUCACCUUUCAAUGGCCAUUGAAAUUGGUUAUAACGGAUUAAUGCAAAACUUGGAAUUGAAAACCUCACCUUCCAAUAGCUCGUAGGAGAUAACUAAUGGAUAGAAAUCCAAAAGCUUAUCAAGUAUUGGCCGUUGGAAGUUGUCCAAAGGAAAUAAAAACCAAACUUUGCAUUAAUGAACCUUUAAUGAAAAACGGCUACUUUACCUUCCGGGUGCGAGAAAUUUCCAUGGGAUUGCAUCCAAGUCAUCACAUAACAUCCAUACUCUGAGAAACUAAAAGUUUUAGCCAAUCAUCCUCUGAAGAAAAGCUCUCAGAGGCUGUUUGGCUUCCAAGAAAAUAAAAUAGUAAAGAGAAAAGAUAAACGAGAGAGCUCUCCCCUGUUUUCUAAGUGUAAAACGUAAUAUGUAUCAUAUCCUUCCAAGAGGUGAUUUCCACCCCUUAUAUAGUCUUUACAAAAGCAAAAGCUUGUGAUUGGUUAGUUACAAGGAUAAGAAAGGAAAUUACAUCAAAAAAUACAUAAGAAAAUAUCUAAAUUGGAGUCGGCAAAAACAGAGCAAAAUUCGCACCACGCAUGGGCUGUGCGAAUUUUGAAGGUGUUGUGCGAAUUUCGCACAACACAAGGUGUCGUGCGAAUUUCGCACAACACAAGGUGUCGUGCGAAAUUUUCGCACAACCUAGAGCGGUUGGCUUCCGAAGGCCAUAUCUUCCUCAUUUCAGCUCCAAAUCAUACACGGUUUGAAGCAUUGGAUUCUUGACUUCCUGAGCUUUCAAAUGGUAUAUAGAAUGUAGAAAAUGGACUUCGGGAAGUGCUCCAAAAGUGCGAAAGAAUACUGCAGCUGCUGUCCUCUGAUUUUUUCACUUUGCUUUCCUCUUCUCCAUUGUUCUUUCCUUGCAUACUUUGAACGACUUUGGCAAAGGGCUAUGGAGCUCCAAAGCUUGGUUCUUCAUGAAUUUGAGCUUCCAAAAGCUUUGCCAUAACUUGUCCAAUUAGCUCCUCCAUCAUUUGGCAUGCUUGAAUUGAUUCAUAAGCUGAUAAAAACAUGUAAACUUGCCACAAAAUGGUUAAAACCAAUUACUAAGGACCUUAAUGAAUUAAUUGGGUUAAAUGAAUAUGAUUACUACUCAAAGGUGCUUAAAACCAUUAUAAUUAGGUCUACAAAAUAGCACUUUUUGGUAGUAAUCACUUUCAUCAGGUAAAAUUGAGUACAUACCCCAUUAUAUAUGAUGGAGAGCUCCUCAAAUGCAUAUCCUAGAAUCAAAAUCAAUUGAUACUAAAUUAACACCUAACCCAUAUUUCAAACAAAAUCUUGCUAUUUCACAUUUUCAGCACCAAUCCAUGAAAAUGGUGUUUUUGGGGAGCAAUUUCAAUUGAUUUAGAAGAUCAUAUGAGAUCUUACUCUUCCCAUCUUGAGACUUGAGACUUAAGAGUAAUCUGUUUUCAGAUAGAUUCAAUAUCACUAUUUGAUUAAUUUCUAUGUACAGUAUGUUUUUCUAUAUUUUAAACUCAUAAAAAUUCCAUCCUUUUAAUUCUAUUAGAAUAACGUAAAUCAUAUGGAAGUUAGAUUCUAAAUCUCCAAUCUUCACAUCAUCAAGUAUCAACUAUAAGAACUCAAACUCAACACUUUAGUGGCUCUAAAGAGUCUAUUUUAGUGCAUUUGAGGUAUUUAAAAAUGACCUAAUGCUUGUUUAUUGUGCAUCUCUCAAGUGUGCCACCAAACUAAAUUGCACACUCCCUCUAGCAAUUUAAAUUGACCACUUUCCCCAUGAUUCAAAUGUUGCAUGGCCCCUCAACAAUUGAACCCAACAAGAGCACUCAAGUUGUGCAUGUCUGUAACAUCUUAAUUGCACUUUUCCCUACCACUAUAGUAGUGUAUCCCUAGGGCCACUCAACAUGCAUUGUCACGCCCCAAAGCCCACUCCAAGGACAUGAUGAUCUUUUCACACCUAGCUCAAGCCCAAGGGCUCAAAGUGGAAACGACACAAACAUUUGUAUUGUAACUGGAAAUUUAUUAAUUACUAAAUUCCUGGAUCAAACAUUUUAAUUAUGCUUGCAAAUAGGAGAUAUAACAUAUACUUAUUUUCAUAAAAACUUUUGAGCUCAAAAUGCUAAUACCUUCAAACUUUUCAACAAAAAUUUCUCAUAUCCAUUUCAAAACAAUUUCUCAUCAAACCACUCCGAAUACAUUCAAAAUAUCUUUACUCUGGUUAUCGUAUGACAAAUGGUGCCCAAUUAGGUGGGACCUUGCAAUUGAGUAACUAGUUUCAAAUUUGUUCGAUUUAAGGUUAACAAAACCAAAUGUCAACAAUUAUAACCCAUUGACUAGGGUCAUAAGGUCAACUAUUAUAAUCCAUUAACUAAGAUCAUAUAAUAUCAACUAUUAUAACCCAUUGACUAAGGCUAAAAAUGUCAACUAUUAUAACCCGUUGACUAAGGCCAUAUAAUUCAGAGUCAAAUAUUUUAUUUCAUUAAUUCAAACUUACAAAACAAAACAUCAUAUCUCCUCAAUUUUUCAUUUUUCAUAAACAAAGAAUAUACUCAAAUAUACUUUCAAUACAAAACAUAUAUUUGAUUUAUGUUUAAAGAUAAAAAUAAUAUUUUUACACAUUUCAAAAUACAAUAUAAAAAGAAAAUUAUUUUCUUUUACAAAAAUCUGCAUUAAUUUCAUUUACCUUGAAGAAGCACUCAAAAUCUUAAAUUAUUUAGCUUUGAAGAAUUUCCUCACCUAACAUAAUAUCAUACACAAUAUUGAUUAUUGAUUGUUUAUCUAAAUAUAUAAAUUUGACAAUCUUAAAAAUAUUUUAUUUAGUAUUAGGGAUCCUAAUUAAUUUCUCAUGUUAAUAUUAUUACCAUCCAAUAUUAUUUUCAACUUCCUAAACAAUAAUUUAUUUCUUUUUUCUAACUUAUCUAAAUUAAAUCUUUUAAGAAUAUUUAUUUGCAUUAAACAUUAUUACUAUUAUUUAAAUCUCCUACGAAAACUUAACAAAUUCCCCAUACAAAUCUUUUUUUUUCCCAGCAACUUCACACCAACUCCAUUCAUUAUUAUUAUUUCUUUUAUUAUUAUUAUUAUUAUUAUUAUUAUUAUUAUUAUUAUUAUUAUUAAUUUCAAUACCCAACAACAGCUUAACCUAUUUCUCUUCCAAGCCAUCAACGUCCUUUUCUUCCUCAUUGUUUACCAAAAUACUAUUUACUUCCUUUCCUAGGUCAAUGUGCUGACCAUUUCUUAGUUUUUUUUUUCAACAUACAUCUUUCAUCAUUUUUUUUCUCCUCUCUAAAGUCAAAACUUUUAAUCUCCAUACUCACAAAUUUUAUGUUAUUUUCACAUCCGAAACUAUAUAUAUAUAUAUAUAUUUAUCUAGAUCUAUUCGUUUGAGCAAUCAAAAUUUGUCGAUCUCCAUUAAUAAAUCAAACUAUGUUCAUAUUUUUUUAAAUAUUUUUGACCUAAAUUAAUUAAACGAACUCUAAUCAAAGAAUAUCUAUAGUGUUCAAAACUAAUUAACGAAUAUAAAAUAUUAAUUUAAGUAUUAAAAAUCUUACUUGAAAAAUUGAUCUUCAAAUCCUAAACCUUCAAAUCUUAAACCAUAUGCUCUCUAAUAUUUCUGGUCUCUAUGUAAAAGGGUUUUCUGAAUAGAGAGGAUGGGAAAAGUCUAAUUUAUACCUAGGAGUUUUAAAUAAGAAAAUACCUUUUUGCCCUUAUUAAAUUACUUAAUUAAUUAUUAAUUUCUAAAUUAUGAUUUUACCCCUAAAUUGGGUUUAGGGCAUUAUAUGCACACUAUUCCCACUUUUGCAAAGGUUGCGCACCUGAGAAAACUCCUUUCAAUGAUUUGUUCACUCACCAAAGUAAUGCAAGCAUCUAAGCCUUAAGUCAUCAUCUAUACUAUCAAUUCUCCCAUACUGAUUGCAUUGAAAGCUAAGUGCAACCACCAACUCCAAGUUGACAAGUCAAGUACAAGAAAGAUGGCUAGUUGACUACAUUGACACAUGAUCUGAUCCUCAACAUGGGCAAGAGGUAGUUCUAGGAGAAUAGUUUGAGCAAUAAGAAUGGAUUACCUAAAGGGAAACCCAUCUAUAAAUAGAGGAUUGUUUGGGCGCGUGCACACAUACACACACACACACACACAUAUAUAAAUAUGUAUGUAUGUAUGGGGAGAAGAAAAAAAAAAGGAAUGUUGAAGAGUUUGAAUCUUUAAUGGAGGUGAUAUUAACCUUCUUAGGAUUUAGUUAGGAAUUUAAUUUGGUAAUUAAAAUGACAAUUAAUUAUUUGGAUAGGAUUUGUUAGGUAGUUUCCUAUUUCUUUCUAUAUAUUUUCCUUAUUUUUAUAGGUUUCCUAUAGUUAUAUAAAUAGAGAACAUUUUCUCUUCUUUUCCCUAUGAAUGAAUAUAUGACUAGGUAAAAUUAAGCUACACGUUUCUUAAUGGUAUCAAAGCCAAAUUCUAAUUACUAGGAAUAAUGGUUAAAAUAGCAAUGAUAGAUGCUUCCAAUUAUGAUAACAACUUGAAGGAGGCAGAAAGAAAACCUAUCCCUCAUUAGAAUUUUGUGACCAAUGGUCAUGGUCACUCUUCUUAGCUAAUUACCUCUCACAAAUUAACUUAAUGGAGAAAAUUAUCUUUAAUGGCCUCAAUUUGUCAAACCUUUCAUUCAUGGGCAUGGACAAAUUGAAUAUUUUAUUAGAGCAACAUCAAUACCACAAGGAAUAAUUCUCAUCAAGACAUAGGAAGUAGAUAAUGUCAUGAUUAUGUCAAGGUUGAUCAACUCAAUGGAACUCAAGAUUAGGAAGACAAACACGUUCAUGACCAUAACUAGAGAGAUUUAGGAGGCUACCAAGGAAACCUAUUACGACUUGGUAAUUUGCUCAGGUCCACGAGAUAGCCAUACAAAUAAAAAAUACUAAGCAAGGUAAUAUGAAUGUAAUUCAGUACUAUAAUACACUCAAAACUCUUUGGUAAGAACUUAAUUCGUUCUAUGAUUAUGAAUAACAUUGUGCAUAAGAUAGUGAAAUGUUCUAAAAGAUGAUUGAGAAGGAUUGAGUAUUUGCAUUCCUAAUGGGGUUUAAAUAAUAAAUUAGAUGAGGUUUACCUCUUUACUUAACAUUACCCUAGUUAUUACAAAACCAGUAAGCUUCACAUUUCAGCCAAUGAUCCAAAAUUCAAAAGGAUUCAUGGAAGGCCCUAGUGUGACCUUCAUCUCCUUUAAAUGCUUCCAGAAUUCCAAAUAUUCAUUGACAAGUGAUUAACCAUCAUCUUUUCCAAAUGCAUCUUUAGAUGUCAUAUACCCAAAGGUGUUCAAAUUCGUAAGAUAUUAACCAAGUCUAGAUAUUAAAAAGGUAUAUCAUCCUCUACCAUUAGAAAGAAGAACAUACAUUAUCCUCUAUUAGUGAAAGCACAUAUGUCAUCAUCUCAACAAAUCAAGCAUGCGUGCAAAUUUGUCUUCUUGGUCUUCUAAUUAUGGUCAAGCAAGUAUUAAUGAAGUACUUAGUUUGAAGCAUCUGUUUAUCAUCUAUAGUGGUUGUAGUUGCUAAUCCAAUAAUUGCACUCCUUUGAAAGUGGUACAAAUUAUUCUUCCUUAUUCCUUGCAUCACCACAAGUUUACUUGGCAUAACUUUCAAAAUCCCAUAUUUUAUAGUAACAAUAUUGAACCCUAUGGGAUCUAAUACUCCAAUUGAGAUGAGACACUUAUUCAUACUAGGAACAUACCAAACAUCACUCAAAAUUUUAGUUGAUUCAUCAUGAGUCUUCAACUGGAUGGUAUCUAUUAUUGUUAUCUCACAAGCAUUAUCAUUCCCCAUGUAAACAACUCCAUCUUAUAGUUCUUUAAAGCAAGAAAACCACUCCUUGUAAGAAUGCAUGUGAAGGUGGACCUAAUAUCCAAAAUCCAUUCAUCUAAGUUAUAAAACAAGGAUAAGCAAACCAAAGCAAAGUUUGACCCAUCUUCUCCAAACUUAGCCACACAAGCAUCGAAUACUAUUUCUUCUUUAUUCUUAUUUUGUAGCUUAGGACAAUCAUUAUUCUGACACUACCAAAAAUUAAGUAUGGUUGAACCAUUUAUAUUUACUUUUCUGACAUAUUUAAGUUGACGCAAAUUGAAUUGUCUGUCGCUUAUAUGUAACUAUUUACCAACAGUAAUUGCAACAACAAAUACCUGUCGGCAAAAAUAUUAUUGCAAUGGAUUUAAACCAUUGCAAAUGUUCAACUAAUAUACUUUGUUACAAAAGCAAUUUACCUAUAAAAUAGAAAAAAAAUAGUUUUAUUAUAGUGGAUAAUAAUACCACACAUAAUUUGUUCCAAAAAUAAUUGUAGUCAUAUGAAUAUAAAAUAUUUUCACCAUAGUUGUAUGAUAAAUACGAUAUAGCUAGUGACAAAACAAUUUUAUGAUUAUUUUUUUAGGUUCAUACAAUAUUUACAUUUUUUUUAAUCAUAAUGGUUUUAACAUUUUAAUAUUUUUUAACUACUUUUAAUUGUCCAUUUUAGAAAGAAAUACAUUAAAUAUAUAUAUAUAUAUAUAUAUAUAUAUAUAUAUAUAUAUAUAUAUAUAUAUAUAUGUAUGUAUGUAUGUAUGUAUGAUAUAAUUUAUGAUAUCGAAUAAUAAUAUUUAAAAUUUAAAAAUACAUUUUAUAGAGAUUUAUCUAAUUUGAAUGUAUUCAAUAACAUAAAAAAAAUGAUAGUACAUGUAUAAGUAUUUUUAUUUUAAAAUGUUGAUAAUUUUAUUUAUAAAUUUAUAUUUAUUUUAUAUUUAAUUAUUAUACAAAAUACACAAGAAUCAAAAUUAAUUAAUUUAUAAUAAAUUUAUUUUAAUUAAUUUAUAUAUAUAUAUAUAUAUAUAUUAGUUCAUGCAUGUAUAAUUUAUAUAUAAUAUGUAUUUAUAUAUAGAUAAUAUUUAUUAUAUAACUGCUUAAGUAUAUAAUAUUUCCAUUUAUGAAUCUUAUAUACAUUCUUUAUAUUACACAUAACAAAGUUGACUUGGAGGCACAAUUGCUUCCUUUCAAACUUGAGGUCAAGGGUUCAAUCUCAAGAAACAAUAUCCAAGCCAAUAUCCAAAACUAGCAAGGAGAGGAGUGUACAAGAUGCUCCAUGUGAAUGUAAUGAAAUCGAAAUUUCAUGAAAACCUAAAAUCUUUUAUUACUUAUAUUUCUCAACCAACUUAAUUUGUUGGUAAUAGUGAUGGUCUAAAUCCAUUGGAUAGUUUGUCGCUAAAUAUUUUUUAUUGGCAAUGGAAAAUUCCCAUCAAUAGACUUUUGCCAACACACCUUUCCUCUCCUACCAUGCGAUGGGAUUAUCAAUUGGUAAAUGUUUAUUUUGACUGUGCAUAUUAGUCGAGAAAAGUCAAAUUUCUUGUAGUGCAAUGACCCUUGUCAUGAAAAAAGACACAUUCAUCUUUUGCAAGUAUACAUUUAAAUUAAGAAUUGUCUUCUUUUCUAGGUUUUCAACUUUGAGAUUAGUCAUUAACUGUUAAAGCUUCCAAUGAUAUAUCUCUAUGAUCGCUAUGGUCCUUCUUCCUUUAUUUAGAGCUUAGCAAAGUGGAACACACAACAUUGAAAGUAAUCUUAUCCUUACCAUAAAGUAAGGUGAUGGUAAGAUCUUCAUACACAUCAAGAAACAAAUUCAAUAACAAUAAGGCCUUAUUCUCAUCUUCAAUGAUCUCAUCUAAAUUCAACAAAUUUGCUUCGAUUCUAUCAAAUGCGUGCAUAUGAUCAUUCAUAGACAUAUCUAGUUGAUACUAGAAGCAAAAAAGUUUUUUCUUCAAAUAUAGUUGAUUUUCUAGACCUUUUUUUUCAUAUACUUGUCCUCCAAUGUCUUCCAUAAAUGUUUUUGUGGAUAUCUCUUUCAUAAUGGAAUAAUUUUAAGCUUUAACAAGAUAUAAGUGGAUGGAACUAUAAAAUUGGCAAUUGAUCCCUUACCCAUUCUUUAGCAUUCAUGUUUUCAAGUUUUUCUUCCAAACCAAUAUCCAAAUCCUAUUGACAUAUCUAAUUAAUGCCUCUUAUUGCCACAUUCCAAAAGUACUAGUCCUAUCAAAGUUUGCAUUAUUAACCAUAGUUUUAACUAACGAAGUUUUUACCUUUUCUUUUAACUAGUGCAAUAACAAAUAACCUUGAAACCAACCUUGGAUAGAACUACUGCUCUUAUACCAUUUUGUUGUGCUUUAACCUAAUCCCACAAGACUUCCAAAAGUACCAAAUAAAAUACAAACUAAACUAGUCUAUAAUAUAAAGAGAAAUAUCAAGAGAAAUAAAAAUAAAGGAGGGUACACAAUAUUUAUGAGGUUUAGUAAGGAUGUCUUACCUAUAUCAUCAGACAAUGAUAAUCAAUCCACUAAUCUUCAAAUCAAAAUUACAAAAUCAAGUUGGGAAAGAUUGUCUCACAAAAUGGCUGCAAUUACAAAGAUUGACUGAAGCUACUCUAAUAACUUUGCUAAAGUCAUUCUCACACUACUAUGAUGAAAAGACGUAAGACUCAUUUAUAGAACCUAAAUAAGUCCCCGAGCCUUGACAAAACUAAUUCAUAAUUCCUAUGGACAAGGACUCCUAACAUAUAACAAAUUAUGAAAUCAUAAUCCUUAUAGGACAAGGAUCCCUAAAAUAUAUUAAACUCUUAAUUGAGCUAAAAGCCAAUACCUAAUAUAGAAGCCACACCAUAUUUUCCAUAACUCUACUAUGUAGAUGGUUGUUAAGAAAAAUUAUCACUUCCAAAAGUUAAAUAACCAUUUAUUUUUCCUUCCCUUUCCAUUCAUCCAGACAAUAACAAUAAAAAAUGUAGUGUAACUUUUGUUACUUUGCUACUUGUUCUCUCAAGUUACUUGCCUACUUGCGAAUGACCUCCACAAUCAAAUUAAGUAAAUGGAGAAAUAAUGUGGAGUUCCAAGAUAUAGGUAGAAAAGAGUGGAAAACCCCUAGUUCUACAAAAUAGUUUGCAAUUUUGUCUCUAGAUCUCUCAUUUUCGUGGUAAUGGCCAUUGAAGAUGUCAUCACUGAGAAGAUCACAAAGUGAAGAAGGCAUGACUGAGAGUUGGUAGAGUAGAGAGUUAAGGUAGAAAAUAGCAAAGAUAGGAUUUUGACGUUUUUAGAAUUUGUAGAUAAAAAAUAAAUACAAUCCAAAAAUCACUUUCAGAACAUGAUUUUACCUAACCAUGCCAAACAUAUAUUUUUUUUAUGUGGUUUGUAUUUGAUGUUCUCGAAAACAUUGAAUACAUUUUGGAUUGACUAUUAAACACAACCUUAGUAAUUAAAUCAGCAUAUUGAUAAAUUAUCAAGAGGCUCUUAUCAAUUUGGUCAACUCUUAGAAAAGUGUUGUUGAAAACACUAAAUACAAUCUAUAUAUUUAAAAAAAAAAUUGAAACAUGAAUUUACUUGACCAUACCAAACACAUUAUUUUUUAUUUGGAUUGUGUUCAAUAUUUUCAAAAACACUAAAUACAUGCAAUUUGAUUAACUAAUGAACAUGAACUUAGUAAUUAAAUUAGAAAUUUCAAAUGAAUUAAUGUCUUUUAUUUUGCAAGCAAAUCAUGAUUUUUUGUUUUCUACUAAAAUUUUGAAUACAUCACUAAAAGUAACAUCACCACUUUCUGGUUAGAAAGUUUUAAGAAGAUAUUUUUUAUCAACACAUAUUGUUGUUUGCUUUGAUGUCAAGAUACCAAAUCCUUUUUUCCUAAAAUUUUUCCUUUUUAUGCAAAUAAUAAAGUGUGGUUUUUUUCUUGAUUCAUUUUUUAACAUAGUUUUCCAUUCUACAUUGUUAAUAUACCAACACUUUUCAUUUUUUCUUGAAUUUUGGAUGUUCCUUCAUUAUUUGAUGAACUAUUUCCUUAGCCACAACCAUGAUGACCAUGACCAUGACAAUGAUUAUUUGGCUUCCUUCAUACCAAAUUUUUUCCCUCUUGUUGAUAUAUUAAACUUUGUUAACAAUUUUCUUUUAUUUAUAUAUUGAGUCUAAUACAUCAUACUUCCAAGGGUCAUAUUGAUGUCACUCAACUUCAAGCUACUUUUGAGUUAACUAUAUUACUAGGUAUAUGUGCAACAUUAGGUUGAAUUAGGGCACAAGGAAUGGCUACCACAUGUAUGCUAGGUGAAAUAUUAGAGUGUUUUUUUUCUCUUUUCUUUUUUUGUCAAGGUUAAGGAUUUGAGUAACUAAAGCCUCUAUAAAGUCUUUGAGGUAUCCACUAAGAAGCACAAGGAGUGUCGCAUGGGGGCUUGGAAGAAGAAUGUAAGUUACUUGUAUCUUGUUUUUAUAUUUAGUAGAUUGUUUGUGGUUGAUAAACUAUUCAUGUAACGACCUGCUCCCAACCAUGUAGAUAUUGUCCACUUUGGACCCAAAGGGGCCUUCAUGGCUUUAAAACGCCUCUACAAAAUUAAGAGAAGUCCAUACUUAUAUAGCGCCAAGAACUUCCCCCUCUAUCUGAUGUGGGAUGUUAAAAACACCCCUUUCCCCAUGUAGACACAAUGUCCUCGUUGUGUCCCACGGGAUUGCGGGGACAAACAAACCCCUGAACUAAGGUUGAAGAUUGACUUUGAUACCACUUGUAACAACCCAUUCUUAACCGGGUAGAUAUUGUCCGCUUUGGACCCAAAGGGGCCUUCAUGGCUUUAAAACGCAUCUACAAAGUUAAAAGAAGUCCAUACUUAUAUAGCGCUAAGAACUUGCCCCCUAUCCAAUGUGGGAUGUCACAAACACCUCCAUCCCCCACCCCAUUAUAUAAAUAUAUUAUUAUUAUUACUUUCAAAAGACCCUGCAACACCAUUACUCCAAGCCACCAACUACACCCAUUAUUAUUAUUAUAAUAAUAACAUUUUUUUUCUCUUGUUUCUUCCUUCUUGGACAUCCACACACAUCUUUUUUUUUUUUUUAUGACAUCCCACAUUGGAUAGGGCCAAAGUUCUUGGUGUUAUAUAAUUAUGGACUCCUCGUAACCCUGUAGAUGUGUUUUAAAGCCAUGAGGGCCUCUUUGGAUCCAAAAUGAACAAUAUCUACAUGGUUGGGAGUGGGUCAUUACAAAUGGUAUCAAAGCCAAUCCCCAACCUCGGUGUGGGGUUUGUUUGGCCCCGUAAGGGUAUUUGUUUGUUUGACCCCACAAUCCUGUGGGACACAACGAGGACAUUGUGUUUGCAUGGGGGUUGUUUGUGACAUCCCACAUCAAAUAGGGGGGAACGUUCUUGGCGCUAUAUAAGUAUGGACUCUUCAUAACCUUAUAGACGUGUUUUGAAACUGUGGGGGCCCCUUUGGGUCCAAAGUGGACAAUAUCUACAUGGUUGAGAGCGGGUCAUUACAAAUGGUAUCAAAAUCGAUCCUUGAUCUCGGUGUGGGGUUUGUUUGGCCCCAUAAGGGUGUUUGUCUGUUUGACCCCAUAAUCCCGUGGGACACAAUGAGGUCGUUGUGUGUGCAUAGGGGGAGGGGUGUUUAUGACAUCCCACAUCGGAUAAGGGGGAAAGUUCUUGGCUCUAUAUAAGUAUGGACUUCUCGUAACCUUGUAGAUGCAUUUUAAAGCUGUGAGGGCCCCUUUGGGUCCAAAGUGGACAAUAUCUACAUGGUUGGGAGUGGCUCGUUACAAUUCAUGGAUUUUUACACCCAAAAGGUUUUAAGCAGUUUUUUCAUGUUACAUUUUGUGUCAUACGUUUGAUUGAUUAUUCCUAUUCAAAGAAUUGAUGAAAACUUAAUUAUAAUUGAUAUAGCUAGGUGUUUAGGAAUGUUUCUAUUUAAAGUGCUUUUAAUUGAUUGUUUUUUUAGAAACAUUUUUUAAAGAAUCACCUCUCAAGAGCUUCUCAAAAAAGCAUUACAAGUGAUUUUUAACUUUUUAAAGAAUGUUUUCUAUGUUUUUCCAAGUGUAUAGUUUUUCUCUAAAUUUUUUAUUUUUAUUUUUUAAUACCAGAAGCAUUUUCUAAAAGUACUACUAAAUGGACUCUUAAAUUUUGAGGAUAUUUCACUUAGACAACCUAUUCAUCCCCCUCACUAUGUAGUUUUGUGUCUCAAGAUAAAAGUUCUCUCCUUUAUUUUAACAUAAUCUUUGUUUGAAGAAUUGUAUUUUUACUUGACUUUUGUUUUUAAUAUGUCUUCCAAGGCUUUUAAUGAUCCCAUAAAUUGGUCAAUGGCUAUAGAAUCCAAAUAUUUAGGCUUUUCAAUAACAAGAAAAUAAAAGAUGAAAACUUUUUUUUUUUUAGUUACACAAAUAUCAUCAAACUUUCACCAUUUAUUUUUACUUAAUUUACAUAUGUCAAUAUUUUUGAAAAAUAAUAAAAGAUUCUCUUAUAUUUAAACUUUAAAAUUCACUUUUAAAAGUAUGAAAUUGAACUUUAAAAAAAAAAAAAAACUUAUCAAAACUUUUAUAUUUAUUUGUAAUAUUUUUCAUGUUUCCUUUGACCUGGUUGCACUUAAAAUCAUUUCAAAGUUGUCUACAUCUAUUUCUUAAUAAAUGAGGUUAAAAGCCUUCUUGUCUUUCUUUCUUAUAUCUUCGAAAAGUUUAUUUAAUUUUGGGAUAGAUUGGUUUUAUCCAAUAGCUCCUUGUAGUUUUUCUCUACAAUCUCUUAUAUAUAUCUUGCAACCAAAUAAAACCUUUGUCUUGAUAUUCAAAUCGUCAAAAUUGUUAAAACUGUCUUUAUUGAGUUAAGCAACUUAAUUGAAUUACACGUCUUUUGAAAAAUAAAAUAAAAUAAGAAUCUUAUUAUAUGCAUAAAUUUCAUGAAAGUCUUGCAACAUAUAGGGGGUAGGCCUUGAAGUUAUAGUGAUAAUUUAUUCUACUAAAAAUUUUGAUCUCUACAUUGAUAUCAUUUUUUUAGGAGUAAUAGGGAUAAAUACACAAAUAAUAGUACUAUUAAAAGAGAUAAGUAGAGGAGAAAAUUAAAAGAAAUUUUUUGUGUUUUUAAUACUUUAAUUGAAGUAUUAUAUACACAACUCCAAUUACAAUAUGUUUUAAUUCACUUUUAAAAACUAAAUCAAAUGUAAUUUUUGAAAACUUCUUGAAACUCAAAUUUAGAUUUCAAUGUGUGAUUGAAUGAUAGGGAUGGUAAAAAAUAGGUAAAUAAAACAUAUGUAAUAUUAUUGUAUAUUAUUAAUUGCUUCCAUACCAUUAGCAUAUCAAUGGCAUCUUGCUAAGAAGAAGAACCACCGACAACAGUCCAUUAUAAUAGUUUCAGAAUGAAUGACAUUUAUUUGUUUGUAUUAUAUUGUUUUGCUAUUUAGGCCAUAUUCACAUGAACUGACUUUUUGUUUGGAGUAGUGUUUUAGUAGAGUAUUCAUAGUACACCUAGAUAUAGCCUAUGGGUUGCAUUAAUUAAUGGUUUUGGACCAACUUAACAAAAUUCUAUGCUAUCAUAAAUGCCAAAUUUUGGCACCCCUUGCCAAAUUUUCGCAUACCCUGCCAAAUUGAUGAUUUUGCCUUGCGAAAUGCUUUGUUUUCCUCCAUCUUGCUAAUGAUAGUUUUGGCAACCCCUUGCCAAGUUUGACAAGGGGUUUUGAAGUGCUCCAAAGCUCGGAUUCUUCAUGUGCUCCAAACUCUCCCUCAAUCUUGGCCUAUUUCAGUGAUCAAAAAGCUACUAAAAACACUAAAACUUACCAAAAAUUGGUUAGUAACAUUUGCUAGGUCCUUAACAUGCCAAUUGGGAUAAAAGGUCUAACUACUACUCAAAAGUGCUUAAUACAAUUAAGUUUACGCUUAUAAAAAUGCACUUUUUGAGUAGUAAUCAAUAAAGUAGUUGAUUGCCCAUGAUUGCGCAAUGCCAUCAUAAAGGAACCGAAUGCCCAACACACGUACAUGUGAGGUACCAUAUUUUUUAAGAAAGACAAGUCGGUUUGCAAUUGAUGUUAAUAUCUUUCCAAGGCAGAAACAUCAUUUUGUAGGCAUAAUUGAAUUAGUUAAACUUAAACCCCAAUUUGCAUUCUUUCAAGUAAAAUUAUUUUUAACCUAUAAUGCUCAACACUUUUAUGAGAAUCAUAAAAGUAUCAGAAUCAUAGAGAAUUAUUGAAAGUGAUUUUGUAGUGUUGUUGAUAAUAUGUCACAUGACUAUAAAAAUGCUUUUAAUAUUAGUAAAUUAUCAAAAAGGACAUCAAAUUUAAUUUCAAGGAAAUAUUAUAAUAAACUAAUACUUUUUCAUGAUAAAAGAAUUUAUAAACAUUUAUAGUAAAAGAAUAUAUAAACAUCUAUUUUACUAACAAAAACUAAAAAAUAAUAGUUCUUGCGAUUACAAGAAAAUUUUAGAAAAUAUUUGCAACAUGAUUUGGAUUAAUAGACAAACAUCAAUCCUAAUAUAAUAAUUUUUAAAAUAAAAAAAUCAUUUGAUUAUUUAUUCACUUAAAAAUAAUAAUUUUUUAUUACUACAAAAUUUUGAAAAAUACUUACAAAAAAUCUAGAUUAAUAAUGAAAAAUUGAAUAAAAACAUAUUAGUUUAGUUUCUAAAAAAAAAAUAGUAAUUAAAAGCAAAUGAGAAGACAAAUUUUCUCAUAGUAAAAAAAAUGAGAAAAUUAUAUAUAUAUUUUUUCAUAUUAGUGUUAUAAUAAAACAUCAACAAGAUAUAAAAUGACCAGCAAUUCGAUCACAUUCUUCUUACAUCUCUCUUACAUGAUAGAACCGUCUUUCUCAACUCAUGAAUCCACUCUACUCUCUUUUUUACUAAAGCAAAUGUAACCCUUGAUCAUCAUCAUAAGGUUUAAAUUUCAUAUCUAUCCUAGCAUUAAUCAUUAUUAAGUUGUAAAAACCAUCAAAGUAAUAACAAUGUUGACUUAUUUUUCAAGAGAAAAACUAUGCAUUUCUCAUAUUGUUCCACAUCUAUUCUUCAAAAAGGCAAAUGUUCAAUUGUUCUCCUCAAAGAUAUCUAUGGUUAAAUAUUUCCUUCUUACCUCUUGGUAAACUACUCCAUCGAAAUCUAGAAGAUGGUAACACUCGCCCUUCAAGGGCCUAAUUAUAUUAUCCAUUCAUUUAAGGAUAACCAACAUUAAGGUAGAUAAUAUUUACCUACAAAAAAAAAAUUAUAUAAGAUUAUGAAAAUCUAAUCACAAAAGUAACUUUCAUAUUUUUAGUCACUAAUCUCUAGAAGGAUGAGGAAAACCUAAUUCUAGCAUUAUUUUUAAUGCCUAUGAAAAGAUGCAUGCAUCAUGAGCAAAACCUUCCCAUCUAGCCAAUGCAAAUGUGAAAUACAUAUUGAAAUAAUAUAUGACCAUAAUAUUUUAGGUAGUUAUGCUUUUUGUACCAAUAUAUGAUAUUUGCCUAUCUCUAAAAACCAUAAUGGGCAUAUGAGUUCCAUUAAUUACCCCUAUACAAUUCUUAAAAUAUGGUCAAUAACAUCAACAUUUCUUAUUUUAUCAAGGGUCUCCCUAAACUAUGAAUCACUUGGUUUUAAAAUAUCCAUAGCUAUAAGACAAACAACAUCUAAUAUAAUCUCAAACCAUCUAGAAAUAAAUUCAUUGGAGUGCUAAAAUCUUUCUUAGGUCGUCAUGUUGUCAGGUCUAUGAACUAUUGUAGUGAGAAACAUUGCUAAAGCCUCUAUUAAGGGCAUAUCUAAACCUUCUCUUAGACCAUGCCUUUUAAUAAGUAUUUCACGACCAAAAGUAUUUCCUUGGGGUUCUCCUACAAAAGUAUCCAAUUUAUUAUAUUUCACGACCAAAAUAUAAAUUAACUAAAUAAACUUAGUAAAAAAAUAAAAAUGUAUCUUCAAUUUAUUAUCCCACCAUUCAUUUUUAGCAUUAGUGGUUUGCCUCAUAAGAUCCCACCCAAGGCCAAUCUUUUUCUGAAUCAAGGCAUUCCAAAGUUGUCAAUAUUUUUUAAGAGAACUUAAUAUAUUCUUAGGUUGCUUAUAUUGGUAGGUUCUUCUAGGUAGAUUGUUGAAUACCUUUGUCACUUUUUUCCAUCCAAUUUACUAAAGUGACUAUUUGGUCUAUUUUUAGCCAAAAUCUUAGCAACACAAACUGUGAGAUAUGCAUUAACAACAAUAUCAUUCAAUAUACUUUGCUUUAUUGAUCAUUUUCUUUACCACUUGUUUGUUGUAGUGGUUGAACUAUACUGUUAGACAUCUAAUAACAAAGUAAAGAACAAAGAAGUAUUAAAAGAAAAUGUUGUCAAUGUACUUUUAUAUUUUAUAGUUUAGACAUCUAAUGAGAACCAUAAAAAAGUGAACCUUAAAGAAAUUGGUCAACUAGAGGAAUAUGAAUCUUGGAAUACUGAAUAGGAAAGACUCACAUUCAUGGAAUAAAUUAAUAUAUAAUAUUGUAAUUUUAUUAAUUCUUUUCAUUAGGUUGCUAAAAGUUGAAAAAGAAUUCCUCAUGAAACGGAUUAAAUAAUUUCCUCAUGAAAGAAUCCAAUCAUGGCCUCAUUAUGAAGUACUGAAUUAACUCAAUGAACUUGAAUAUCAUCUAAUAAAUUCUUUCAUGGGUUUGUUUUUAUAACUUUAAUGUUACCAAUAUAGAAAGAAAUGAAACAUGUUUUAAAUAAUGUAAGAAACUAUGGUAGAAAAGUGGAAAUAAUUAAGGAUAAGAGGCUUUAUAUGAACUUUAAUAUUGUUAGUAACAGAGAGGCAAAUGAGAUAUCUCAAUAUUAAAUUAUGCAUAAUUAGUAUAAUUUUUUAAAAAUAAAUGGAAGAGAAUUUAGGAGGAAAAUAAGUAAUUAGAGUAUGAGAUAACAUGAAUGCUUAAAAUUGUCAAUCAUUAAAUUUAAGAUAAUUGUUAAUAUUUCACUACAUUUUCCAACUCCAUGAAUUAAAGCAAUGGGAGGAAAUGAGUUGGAUUUCUUAAUAGUAUUAAGUGUUGGAUUGACACAAAAUUAGGGUGCUAGUGGACACUUGAAAUGAGGACCAAGUAACAAUUGCAGAUAGCAUUUUACUCAUCCAACAUAGUUAAAAUUUUCAAAACCCAAUUCUUAUUUAGUACUUUUAUUGAAUAUAUGGGUAUAGUUUAACUUCAAAUCUAAUAUGAGUGUACUUUGAAUUUCCUAAAGCUUACAUGUUUCUUCACAUAUUAACAAAGAGAAAAGAUUAACAUUUUUUACAAUUACAAUUUAUUAGGACUCAAGGUUUAUUUCCUAAACUUUUAAAGUGGGGAAAAAAAAGUGUAAGGGAGAAAAAAGGAAAAGGAAAAGAAAGGAAAAACAAAAAGAAGAAAAAACUAUUAAAAGGCAUUAGAAGCCUAAGAUGGGCAUAUCCAUGAUUGAGGUGUAAAUGGGGGUGACAAUUCAUGUUGGUGGAUAGUGUUUGUGUUGUGUCAAAGCCUAGGUGUUCUACUACAUAGCUUAACCCAUCCCCAACACUACUAAUAAUCAGAUUAAGUUAGGUCUUCUAUAUGUCAAUAUGAUUAAUAUCUCAAGAAAAAGAUGUUUUUGUCUCAAUUGACCAAUCUAUUUAGAAACAAAUUUAAAAUGAGUCAAAUAUGGGUCAAACGUCUUUCAAAUAUAAUUAAGUUAAUAGUGGGAUUAUUAAAUAGGUUAAUUCGAGUCAAAUUCGUGUUAUGCAGGUUGACCAAAAAAGUGCUUAUUUAUUAAAUGAGUUAUAUAAGUCGACACAAAAUUUACCUAAACUCAUUUAUACUUGACCCAAACCCAUGAAAAGCGUGUUAGGUUUGUGUAAUGUCGGGAAUCGUAUCAAACUUUGUCAUCCCUAGGUUCAAACAACUCCAAGACCCUAUUUUUAAGGAGAAUAUAUGGACUUGAGAUUGCUACAUUAUUUAGACUAAUCCACACCUACUUAUUAAGGGAAAAAAAAUAAAAGAGGAGAAAUGUAGAGUAUAGGAUGAUGGGACAAGGCACAAAAUGACAAGACGUAGGAUGGUAGGACAUAGGAUGAUAAAAAUCCACUUCAAUUAAUAUUUCCAUAAAUCAAGAGUAAUCAAAUAUUAAAAUAUUUUAUUCUCCUAAUUUAGGAUAUAAUAUCUAUUCUAAAUAAAUCAAGAGCAAUCAAAUAUUAAUAAUAUUUGAUUCUCUUAAUUUAAGAAAUAAUAUUUAUAUUCCUUAAUUUUAGGAUAUUUAUUAUUUAUUUCUUCUAUAAUUCACAAUGCAUUCUUGUAUAAAUUUAUGAAAAGAAAUAAUAAAAAUUCAUUGCUUCUAUUUUCAAAUUAUAAAUUCUUCUUGGUAUUAGAGUUAGAGGAGGAGGCUCAAACUUGGGUUUUCUCCAAAGGUGGUUGAAUACCCUAAAAGACUUGACCUAUCCACACAAACAAUGUCUUACUCUUCAUUCAUUCAUUCAAAAAUAAAAUAAAAUAAAAUCCUUAGUGCUCUAGCUUUCCAUCAACAUUUUUUCUAAUUUGAUUUCAAUCAAGCUAAACACAACAAAUUUUCUACUAUGGGGAAAUCAAACUAUCCUCUUAGCUUGUGGCUUCGGUGUUUGAACCUUUCAUCAAUGUUUUACCCUUUCAUUGGUGUUAUUUUUAGUUUGAUUUUAAUCAAGUUAAACACCAUAAAUUUUCUAGUAUGGCAAAAUCAAAUCAUUCUCUUAGUUCAUGGUGUGUUCUCUAACAUCUCUUAGGUGGAGAAAGACUUGCUAAAGAAUUAAAUAUGAUGAGGAAAGCAAAAGUUUUAUCCUACAAUACUAGUAAUCAAUUAAUAAUAACAUAUUUGUCACUUCAUGAGUUCUCAAAACCAUGAUAAAAGACAUUUUCAUUAUGAUCCUUGGGACUAACAAGAUAUAUAAGGUAUAAACUUCUCUUAAGGAGUAAUUGCUUCCUAUUAUAGUUGAAAAAAAAAAUGAUCUCUUCAAGAAUAUUUAAGAGAUUUCAAAAAUAUAUAUGAUAAUCUCAUGACAAUCAAAAGCUAAUUUCAGACUAAGACAAAGUUUGUUGAUUCACUCAUGGUUUAGGAUAAUGGAAUGAUUUUUUUUAACCUACUAUGCUUUUCUAACCAAUUCAUAGCAACUCUUUAGGGACAUAAGCAAUCACUUACCACCAAAGGGAUGGAAAGAAAAUUUUUAUAGAGUAUGCACAAUUUUUUAUUUGGACAACAUAGUUAUGGUCAUAAUGGUUGAAAAUGCAUAAAUUUUAAUUUGAGGGGAAGAAGCUUUACACUUUCUAUGUGUUACAAUUCUUUUAAAAAAAUAUACUUUUAUGAUUUUAUCAAGUCCUUGUCAAAGGAUAUCUUCAUCAUGUUUUGAGAUAAGCUGGGUGUGCAUAUUCUUUCCCACUCCAAUUUAAGCUUGCAUAUUAAGAGAAAGAAUAAAAUAAGAUAAAAAGCACAUAGGAUAGCAACACGUAGGAUGAUAAAAAUCCGCUUCAAUUAAUAUUUCCACAAAUCAAGAGUAAUGAAAUAUUAAAAUAUUUGAUUCUCCUAAUUUAGGAUAUAAUAUUUAUUUUAAAUAAAAAACAAACAAUCAAAUAUUAAUAAUAUUUUAUUCUCUUAAUUUAGGAAAUAAUAUUUAUUUUCCUUAAUUUUAGGAUACUUGUUAUUUCUUUCUUUGUAUAAUUCACAAUGCAUUCUUGUAUAAAUUUUCUAAAAGAAACAAUAAAAUUCAUCAUUUUCAUUGCCAAAUUAUCAAAUCCUUUACUAAUGACCUUACGAUUAAAAUCUUGUUUGUUUGGUAAGUGUUGAACAAAAUGCCUUAGUAGCUACAAACGUGAUGGAAGAUGUGUGAAAGUUGUUGUGAACUGAGGAAGCUUAAGAAUCUAUUAAGAAGGUUGCUGAGGUGUGAAGAGAUGCUGAAAUUGAGGCUGUAACCAUAAAACAACUUAGUCAAUGAAGCUAAUAGAGUUUCAUAGAGCUGUUAUGCUGUUAUUGUUAUUUUAUAGGAAGUAGCUCUUAGUUCCAGCUAUUUUUUCUACUUUUCUAUUGUUUUCUAUUGCAAACUUGUGUAUAAAUGUUGCAUUGAUCAUUCAAUGAGAGUAGACAUUUUUGUUGUCUCAAAUGCAACUUUUGGUUGUUGCUUCCAACACUCUAGAUUCUAAAACCUAUGGAUUAGUAUCAGAGCCUUCUAUUUUGAAGGACCUGUGAGGAUUGAGUGAAGCCAAAAUACCUUCACACAUAUUGAACUCCAAAGCCAACAUAAACACACAACCUUUAACAGCUUGUAACUAUCAUUCUACAACAAAUAGAUGGAGCCACAAGCUUUUUGUCAGUACCAGUUUUCAAUGGUGAUAAUUAUCAGGCGUGGGCUAUUAGAAUGACAGUCCACCUUGAAGCUUUGGAUCUUUGGGAGGCAGUAGAAGAAGAUUAUGAAGUACCACCACUUGUAGACAAUCCAAGUAUCAAUCAAAUGAAGAUUCACAAGGAAAGAAAAGCAAGGAAAGCCAAAGCCAAGGUUUGCCUCUUCUCUGCAGUUUCACCUUCCAUUCUCACCAGAAUCAUGCAAAUGGAGUCUACUACAGCAAUCUGGAAGUGAUUUCGCAGCAUUUUUGUACAGUAAGGUGUUUCUCCUUCUGACGAUGCACGAUUUAUGCCGCGAGAAGGAAGCUAGAAACCUCAAGGUAGAAGCCAACUUCGCAGCCCUGUGAAGAUAGCUUGGUGUUGCGAAAUAAUUUCGCAGCCCUCUUGAGUGUCUGCGAAAUCUCGCAGACACCAUUUUUCUCCUGCGAAAUGGUUCCUAAAGCUUCCCGAUAUUUGCUACCGACAUUGGGAGAUAUUUUCCAUUAGAUUUUUGUUGUCUAAAUCCCAAAAUACUCCUUGUAAACCACCAAUUACAUGAUUCCUUAGUUUUUAAGUUAGUAAAAAGACUAAAUAUCCAUGUAAUAAUUAGUUUUAUAUUAUGUUCAUAUAUAUACCUCUCGAGAGCCUGUUCUCAGAGAGGAGUUCCUUCUGUAAAAGUUGGGGUAAGCAAGUAAAGUCUCUUUUCUUUCUACUGCCUUACCUUCUCACUUUGUAUUUUUUACUUAUUACUAAGUUAUGAACUCUCUGAGGAGUUUUCCCUAGAGAAUGAGUAACUAAACCUCUAAUUCCUUGGAGCUAAGGUUGCCGGGGGAGGUUCCAAGUGCAAGAAUGCAAAGCUUUGUGGUUUUAGCUAGUAAUGAAGAGGAAGUGAAAUCCUUCAAUGAUUUCUAUGUUUUUAGUUAACUUAAAACACCUUGGAGUCACCUGGGCCAACACUUGGUAAGGCAAGUGAUUUCCAACUAUGGAAAUGCACUAGUUUACCCCUUGCGAGCCUUUGGGAGGUGACUUCAAGGUAGGAUUUUCUAGAAUAGCCAACACUUGGUAAGCUUUUGGACUCCUAGGAGACAUCCAUUAGUUAUCUCUUGCGAGCUUUUGACGGGUAAUCCAAGGUUAAAGAUCACCUUGAAUGGUUAAGGCUUAGUGAGAGGCUUAAACCAUUGCAAGUUGCAUCAGUGAGAGAAUUAAAGUGAAAUCUAAUUGAAGGAGUCUCUGUACAUCACCAGUUAGAGAAUUGACUAUAUGUUGAAUCUCUAAUGCGAGGAAAUGAACCAUCUGACCAAAGCCGUGUCUUUUGCAUGAGGAACCACCCCAGUGAACCUAAAUCUCCAAGGAAUGCUUUUCUUCCUAAAUUAUUCCAAACUUCUGUUAUGUUAGUUAGUUUAAGUCUAAACCUUUACCAAUCAAAGUUUGUGUUUUACUUCUUAAGCUAACCUUGAAAUGAAAGAAGGCCAAUUCACUUGGAAUUGGUAUCAUUGAUUGCUUGUUAAUCAUUCCCAGUGAACGAUCCUAGAGCCACUAUACUAUAGUAGCUUUGUCUUUGCUACCCUAGUAUAUGGUGUAAUAGGUUAUAAAUUUUGUUGAUUACUCCCUCAAUCAAGGAGCACCAGCUGGACGCAAAUCAGCUGAGACACCAAUUGGGCAUGAAUCAAAUGGCGCCGUUGCCGGGGAAUGAGUGUCAAGUUUAUAUUGAUACCAUUUUUGAGCACUUGUGAUUUUCAUCACAAGUUGGUAAAGUUUCUUUCACUUUACUAAUUUUCAUUCUUUCUUUGUUUAUUUAUAAUCUAAGUUUAUCUUUUAAAAUUUAGCCUAGUUUAGUUUUAUUGUUGUAGCCCUGUUUCUUUUGUUUUCUUUUGUUUUCAUUUUUAGUUGCAGAUAAAUACUAGUUGUGUAUGCCAAAGUGGAUACAAGACAGUGGAGGAAGGCUUGUUAAGUGUGAUACACCUCAGAGGGGAGAAUUUGAAGUAAUCUUGAAUAUCAUGGAAUCUACACCUGAAGAUCAGCAUAGUCACCAAGGUCGUCAAGACAAUCUCAAUGAAUUCAGAUCAAUGAGGGACCGUAUGCAUCCACCUCGUAUGAGUGCACCAUCAUGUAUAGUGCCCCCUACAGAGCAGCUAGUGAUCAGACCGUAUCUUGUUCCACUUCUACCAACUUUCCAUGGGAUGGAAAGUGAGAAUCCGUAUGCACACAUCAAGGAAUUUGAAGAUGUUUGUAAUACAUUCCAAGAGGGAGGAGCUUCAAUUGAUUUGAUGAGGCUUAAGUUAUUUCCUUUUACUUUAAAGGAUAAGGCCAAAAUUUGGCUUAAUUCUUUAAGGCUAAGGAGUAUCCGCUCUUGGACUGAUUUACAAGCUGAAUUCCUCAAGAAAUUUUUUCCCACUCAUAGAACAAAUGGCUUGAAAAGGCAAAUUUCAAACUUCCCAGCUAAAGAGAAUGAGAAAUUCUAUGAGUGUUGGGAAAGAUACAUGGAAGCUAUAAAUGCUUGUCCUCACCAUGGCUUUGAUACUUGGCUAUUGGUGAGCUAUUUUUAUGAUGGUAUGUCAUCCUCAAUGAAGCAACUCCUCGAGACAAUGUGUGGAGGAGAUUUCAUGAGCAAAAAUCCAGAGGAAGCUAUGGAUUUCUUGAGCUAUUGAUUCGCGUGUAACUCCAAAUGGGUCAUUUAAUCAAAAACAUUUAUAAAACCUAUGACCUCAUACUAAUGUAGCAAAGCUACUAUAGUAUAGUGGCUCUAGGGUCGAACUCUGGGAUGGGUUUUCAUUCUACCAGUGAUAUACUCAAAAUUAGAAAUUGUAUUUAAUGAUUUCCUUAAUAAAAAACUUAAAGUUUAAAAGAAAAUAAAAUUUGUUUUGAAAGUGUUUGAAACUAAACUAACAUAAACUAAUUAAAAAUGGAAGAAAGAAAGUCUCCCGGAGCUAAGGGUUGCUAGGAUCAAGUUCAGAAUAGAAAGUGGAAAAUUCCGGAUUUUUCUCCUCGCAUUGGGGAUUUAACCUAUAGUUAUUUCCCGAACCGGUAUAGGUUUGAAAAUGAAGAUUUAAUCCAUAAAAGGUCAAUAGAAAUGGUAGUCAAGGUCCAUUAAUGGCUUAAGACACUAUGGGUCUUCACCUUGAAUCACUUUCCAAUGACUCGUACAUGAUAACUAAUGGACUAAUAUGGAUCUAGCAAUAAGCAUCCAUAAAGACCUGAAGCUUACCAUGUAUUGGUCAUUCAAAGUGAUUCUAAGGGAUUUAAAGCAAAACUUUGGAUUUAGAAGCCAUUUAUGAAUUCCAACUACCUGAAUUUAAUGCAUGGAAGCUUUCCACCUUUUCAUCUGGAAUUUUCACCUAGCUUCCUUUACUCCAAGAAACCGAAAGUUUAGCCUCUCAUCCUCCGGGCAAACAUCCUUAGAGGUUGUUUGGCUUCCAAGAAAAAGAAAAUAGUAAAGAACAAAGAGAACGAGAGAGCUCUGUAAAAUUCACAGUGUAAAAACGUAAUACGUAUUCUAUAUAUUCCAAGAGGUGAUUUCCACCCCUUAUAAAGUCUUUACAAAAGCCAAAGCUUAUGAUUGGUUAGUUACAAGGAUAAUAAAGGAAAUUACAUCACAAAAUACAAAGGAAAAUAUCUAAAGUGGAGUCGGCAAAGGGCAGAGCAAAAUUCGCAACACGCAUGGGUUAUGCGAACCAUAUGCGAAUGUUAUGCGAAUUUCGCAUAACCUCUUGUGGAAUGCGAAAUUUUCGCAUAACCUGGAGCAGUUGGCUUCCGAAGGCCAUAUCUUCCUCAUUUCAGAUCCAAAUCGUACACGGUUUGAAGCGUUGGAUUCUUGACUUCCAGAGCUUUGAAAUGGUAUAUAGCAUAUAUAAAAUGGACUUCGGGAAGUGCUCCAAAAGUGUGAAAGAAGACUGCAGCUGCUACAUCUUGAUUUUUUUCACUUUGCUUCUCUUUGCUUCUCUCCUUUGCUUGACUUGUCUUAAUGAUCCAAAAAGCUGUCAAAACAUUAAAACUAGCCACAAAUAUGAUUAGAAGACAUUGCUAGGUCCUUAACAUGCCAAUUGGACUAAAGAUGGAGAACUACUACACAAAAGUGCUUAAAACAUAAUGCAUUAAAGGUGUAAAAUAGCACUUUUUGGGUAGUAAUCAGCUAUGUAGCUGAUGUUUCAAGGGGAUGGGAUGAACCAACUAAAGGAGAAGUGGGAAAGAUGAAGUCUCAGUUGAAUGCUUACAAUGCAAAGGCUGGGAUGUAUACCUUAAAAGAAGAUGAUGACAUGAAAGCAAAGUUGGCAGCUAUGACAAGAAGAUUGGAGGAGCUGGAGCUGAAAAGAAUACAUGAAGUGCAAGCUGUUGCUGAAGCACCAGUGCAAGUGAAGCUGUGUCCCAAUUGUCAGUCUUAUGAACACUUGGUGGAGGAAUGCCCUGCAAUUCCAACUGAAAGGGAAAUGUUUAGAGAUCAAGCAAAUGUUGUUGGACAAUUUAGGCCCAAUAACAAUGCGCCAUAUGGAAAUACCUACAACUCAAGUUGGAGGAAUCAUCCAAAUUUCUCAUGGAAGGCCAGAGCAACUCAAUACCAACAGCCGGAUCCACCAUCUCAACAAUCUUCAAGUAUUGAACAAGCAAUGGCUAAUCUCAGUAAGGUAAUGGGAGAUUUUAUUGAAAAGCAAGAAGCCACUAAUGCUCGAGUCGAUCAAAGAAUUGAUAGAGUGGAGAGUAUGUUGAAUAAAAGGAUGGAUGGAAUGCAAAAUGAUAUGAACCAAAAGUUUGAUAACAUCCAAUAUUCAAUUUCAAGGCUUACAAAUUUGAAUACACUGCAAGAAAAGGGAAGAUUUCCUUCUCAACCUCACCAAAAUCCUAAAGGUGUCCAUGAAGUGGAAAGCCAAGAGGGAGAAUCAUCACAGGUGAAAGAUGUGAAAGCCUUGAUCACUCUAAGGAGUGGUAAAAAAAUUGAGCAGCCAACACCCAAGCCACAUGUUGAGAAAGAAAAAGAGAUAAAGAAAAGGAAGGAAAUGGAAGAUAAAGAGAGUGAUAUCAGUGAAGAAAAGAAGGACUCUGAUGCAACAAUGAAUGCAAUUCCAGAGAAGGAGCUUCUGAAGGAAGAAAUGCUGAAGAAAUCAACUUCUCCACCUUUUCCUCAAGCAUUACAUGGGAAAAAGGGGAUUAGAAAUGCAGCUGAAAUCCUUGAAGUCUUGAAGCAAGUGAAAGUUAAUAUUCCACUGCUGUAUAUGAUUAAACAAGUUCCAACGUAUGCAAAAUUCCUUAAGGACUUAUGUACUAUCAAAAGAGGGUUGACUGUAAACAAGAAAGCCUUCUUGACUGAGCAAGUAAGUGCAAUCUUACAAUGUAAGUCUCCUUUGAAGUACAAAGACCCUAGAAGUCCUACCAUUUCAGUCAUGAUUGGAGGAAAGGUAGUGGAGAAAGCCUUGUUAGAUUUGGGAGCAAGUGCGAAUUUGCUUCCAUAUUCUGUCUACAAGCAAUUGGGACUUGGAGAGUUGAAGCCAACAACAAUCACUCUAUCUCUGGCAGAUAGAUCAGUGAAAAUUCCAAGAGGGGUAAUUGAGGAUGUAUUGGUUCAAGUGGAUAAUUUCUACUAUCCAGUAGAUUUUAUUGUUCUUAAUACAGAUCCUACUGUAAAGGAAGCUAAUUUAGUUCCUAUCAUCCUUGGAAGGCCAUUUCUUGCAACUUCAAAUGCAAUCAUCAACUGCAGGAAUGGGCUUAUGCAGCUCACUUUUGGUAACAUGACACUGGAUCUCAAUAUUUUCUACAUGUCUAAAAAGCAAAUCACUGCGGAGGAAGAAGAAGGUCCAGAAGAGCUAUGUAUAAUUGAUACUUUGGUAGAGGAGCACUGCAAUCAACAUAUGCAAGAAAAGUUGAAUGAAAGUCUUGAGGAUAUUGAGGAAGGUUUUUCUGAAUCUCCUAUUGGGCUUACUACUCUACAAAGUUGGAGAAAGAUAGAAGGAAUUCUACCUUUGUUCAAUAAGGAAGAGGAGGCAGCUGCUGAAAAAGAAAUUCCAAAACUCAAUCUGAAGCCUUUACCUGUGGAGCUGAAAUAUACAUAUCUUGAAGAAAAUAAUCAAUGUCCUGUUGUGAUAUCUUCAUCUCUGACCAGUCAUCAAGAGAAUUGUUUAAUGGAAGUUCUCAAGAGGUGUAAGAAGGCAAUAUGAUGGCAAAUAUCUGAUUUGAAAGGCAUUAGUCCUUUAGUUUGUACUCAUCAUAUAUAUAUGGAGGAGGAAGCAAAGCUAAUUCGUCAAUUUCAAAGAAGGUUGAAUCCUCAUCUACAAGAGGUGGUGCGAGCUGAGGUGCUGAAGCUACUUCAAGCAGGAAUCAUUUACCCUAUAUCUGAUAGCCCUUGGGUGAGUCCUACUCAAGUAGUACCAAAGAAGUCAGGGAUCACAGUGGUUCAGAAUGAAAAAGGGGAAGAAAUUACUACACGCCUCACUUCAGGUUGGAGGGUGUGUAUUGAUUAUAGAAAGCUGAAUGCUGUAACCAGGAAAGAUCAUUUUCCAUUGCCAUUUAUUGAUCAAGUGCUGGAGAGAGUCUCUGGACAUCCAUUCUAUUGUUUCUUGGAUGGGUAUUCAGGGUAUUUUCAUAUUGAAAUUGAUUUGGCAGAUCAAGAAAAGACCACUUUUACAUGUCCAUUUGAAACAUAUGCUUAUAGAAGAAUGCCUUUUGGUUUAUGCAAUGCACUUGCUACAUUUCAAAGAUGUAUGUUGAGUAUUUUCAGUGAUAUGGUGGAGCGAAUUAUGGAGGUUUUCAUGGAUGACAUCACCGUAUAUGGAGGUACAUUUGAGGAAUGCUUGGUUAAUUUGGAAACAGUUCUUCAUAGAUGCAUUGAAAAAGACCUGGUGCUGAACUGGGAGAAAUGCCAUUUUAUGGUACGACAAGGAAUUGUCCUUGGCCAUAUCAUCUCUGAAAAAGGCAUUGAAGUUGAUAAAGCAAAGGUGGAGCUUAUUGUCAAAUUACCAUCUCCAACAACUAUAAAAGGAGUAAGGCAGUUCCUUGGCCAUGCAGGGUUCUAUAGGAGGUUUAUAAAAGGUUUUUCAAGUCUUUCAAAACCUCUUUGUGAGCUGUUAGCUAAGGAUGCUAAGUUUAUAUGGGAUGAAAGGUGUCAGAAUAGCUUUGAUCAACUGAAGAAAUUUUUAACAACAACUCCAAUAGUGAGAGCCCCUAACUGGCAAUUACCUUUUGAAUUGAUGUGUGAUGCCAAUGACUUUGCUAUAGGAGCUGUGCUUGGCCAAAGAGAAGAUGGGAAGCCCUAUGUGAUUUACUAUGCAAGUAAAACACUAAAUGAAGCUCAGAGGAACUACACAACUACAGAAAAAGAAUUGUUAGCUAUGGUAUUUGCUUUGGACAAAUUUCGUGCUUAUUUAGUGGGGUCUUUCAUCAUAGUCUUCACUGACCAUUCAGCCUUAAAGUAUUUAUUGACAAAGCAAGAUGCAAAAGCAAGGUUGAUUAGAUGGAUUCUUUUGUUACAAGAAUUCGAUCUUCAAAUCAAAGAUAAGAAAGGAGUGGAGAAUAUGGUAGCUGACCACUUGUCAAGGUUAGUUAUAGCACAUAACUCCCAUCCCUUGCCUAUCAAUGAUGAUUUUCCUGAAGAAUCACUCAUGUUCCUAGUGAAAACUCCUUGGUAUGCUCAUAUUGCUAAUUAUUUAGUAACUGGUGAAAUUCCAAGUGAGUGGAAUGCACAGGACAGGAAGCACUUCUUUGCCAAAAUUCAUUCUUAUUAUUGGGAAGAGCCCUUUCUCUUUAAGUAUUGUGCAGAUCAGAUUAUUAGAAAGUGUGUCCCUGAAGAUGAGCAGCAAGGGAUUCUAUCUCAUUGUCAUGAGAAUGCAUGUGGAGGCCACUUUGCCUCUCAGAAAACAGCCAUGAAGGUAUUGCAAUCAGGGUUUACUUGGCCAUCUCUUUUCAAAGAUGCCCACAUCAUGUGUAGGAAUUGUGAUAGAUGCCAAAGGCUUGGAAAGCUAACAAAAAGAAAUCAAAUGCCUAUGAACCCCAUUAUGAUAGUUGAGUUAUUUGAUGUAUGGGGCAUUGACUUCAUGGGACCUUUCCCAAUGUCUUUUGGUAAUUCUUACAUUUUGGUGGGGGUGGAUUAUGUUUCUAAAUGGGUUGAGGCAAUCCCCUGUAAACAAAAUGAUCACAGGGUGGUUCUCAAGUUUCUUAAAGAGAACAUUUUCUCAAGAUUUGGGGUGCCCAAGGCCAUAAUCAGUGAUGGAGGUGCUCAUUUUUGCAACAAACCUUUUGAAGCUCUGUUAUCCAAGUAUGGAGUGAAGCAUAAGGUGGCUACACCUUAUCAUCCUCAGACUUCCGGGCAAGUUGAGCUAGCUAACAGGGAAAUAAAGAACAUCUUGAUGAAAGUGGUGAAUUCCAAUAGAAAGGAUUGGUCUAUUAGGCUUCAUGAUUCAUUGUGGGUAUAUAGAACAGCUUAUAAGACUAUUCUUGGGAUGUCUCCCUAUCGUCUUGUCUAUAGUAAAGCAUGCCAUCUCCCUGUGGAAGUUGAAUACAAAGCUUGGUGGGCAAUAAAGAAGCUGAACAUGGACUUGAUCAAGGUAGGAGAAAAGAGAUUUCUAGACCUUAAUGAGAUGGAGGAAUUAAGAAAUAAUGCUUAUAUCAAUUCCAAAGUUGCAAAACAGAGGAUGAAGAAGUGGCAUGAUCAACUCAUCUCCAACAAGGAAUUUCAGGAAGGGCAAAGAGUUUUGAUGUAUGACACAAGACUCCAUAUCUUUCCUGGGAAACUCAAGUCAAGGUGGAUAGGCCCGUUCAUUAUUCACCGAGUAUAUUCCAAUGGAGUGGUGGAAUUAUUGAAUUCCAAUGGCAAGGAUAGCUUUAAAGUCAAUGGAUAUCGUCUCAGGCCAUUCUUGGAGCCAUUCAAACCAGAAAAGGAGGAGAUCAACCUCCUUGAACCUCAAAAAGCUUAAGUGAAAAAGGGUUUGCUGGACGUGGUUUUACCACAGUCCAAAAUUUUUGUAAAUUUUGUAAAUUUUCAAGUUGUUUCCAUACUUUUGAUCUUAGUUUUUGAUCUUAAAUCAUGUUUUUAGGUGUGUUUUAAUUGUUUUGAAUGAUCCCAGGUGGAAGAAAUUUCAAGGAAAUUGAAAGAAAAAAAAAAUCAGGUCGAAAUCGGAGCCAAAAUAGAGUAAAAACAGGGGAAAAACAAAGCUCUGCGAAAUGAGCAUUUUGUUGCCAAACCAUUCCGCAACACUGUAGAAGUCUCUGCAAGGGUAUUUCGCAGUUGCGAAAGCAAAUUUGGCACACGAGUGCCACUUCGCAGUACAGUAGCAUCCAUUUGGCAGCUGCGAAACGCAUUGCGAAGGGAAAAAGCGUGAUUUCGCACCAAAAGUCCCAUUCCGCAGGGUAUUUCGCAAUUGCGAAAGUGGUUUUGGCACACGAGUGCCACUUCGCAGCAUAGGAACUCUCAUUUCGUAGCUGCGAAACUCACUGCGAAGUUGCUGCAAAAAUGGCAUUUUGCUGUGAAAUUGACGUUUUGUUGCGAAACUUAAACUGACCCUUAGGCUUCCAUUUUUCCUAUUUAUACCGAUCAUUUGAGCUGCGAAAAGGGUUUCAAAAAUCAGAGCGCCAUUUUCGCAGACCUUUCAUCUUCUUCCUUGAGCCACGCCGUCCGAGCCUCCGGUCAUCUCCUCCGAUUAGCAACGCCGGCCAAAGUUUGGUAUCCCGAAAUGGCACGAACACGAGAGGCUAAGUCUUCAUCUUCUUCGAACCACAAGAAGAGUCUGCGAAAGGAGCCAAGUCUAGGUUCUGCUCCAGAGCCUUCGCCGUCAAGGCCAAAUCCUCCUCCGGUGAAGCCCGCGCCACCAAAGCCACCUGCAAGACGAUACCUUACCAGGUCAGGAGGUCGGCCAUUGCAGAAGAAACCCAGGGUGGAGAGCUCAGAACCCAUCGAUUUGACUGAGCAAUCUCCAGAGCCUUCACCAAUUCCAUCACCGGUUCAAACUCCAGUGCCGUCUCCAGUUCCCUCGCCUAGUCCCCUGCCAGUUCCAUCGCCGGUACCAUCUCCGGCACCGCAAGAAAAAUCUCAGGAGCCUCAAGCGCCACUUCCCGAGCCCCAAAUUCAAGCUGAAACAGCUCUGGAAGAAGUAAUCUGGAGGCCAAUGCUACCUCAGCCCCCAAUUGAGGGAAACUUGGAUUGUAGAACACGGGCAUUUCACUCCGAGCUUUGCUUUGACUUACCGGCAUUCAGAGUGAGGCUGGAGCUUGCCCAAUCAUUCCAGCUGCUGAGAAGGUACCAUAUGGAGCAACUGCUAGCUCCAAGAGACUUUUUCUAUCCCCGGAUAGCCACGGAUUUCUACCAAUCCAUGACAACCAAAGAGGUAAGGAAUCCGACUUUGAUUCAUUUCACAAUCGAUGGGAGACAUGGCAUAUUGGGAGCACGACAUAUUGCUGAAGCCCUGCAAAUUCCCUUUGAGCCAACCCAAUUCGAUAAUUUUACAGCUUGGGCAAAUCCUACUGAGCUAAAGAUGGUGCGCACCCUUUCCAGAGGAGCUGCAAAUCGAUCACAUCUGUUGAGGGGGGAGCUUCCUCCAGUUAUGUUUUUGAUUGAUGCCUUUUUGCGUCAUAAUAUAUACCCAUUGCAGCAUUGGACCCAAAGAAGGGGAGUCCUCCUGGAAGCUCUUUAUAAGAUGUCAGAAGGAUUUUUCUUUGGGCCUCAUCAUCUGAUCAUGGCAGCCCUUCUCUAUUUUGAAGAGAAGGCUCAUAAAAGGAAGCUUCAGAGAGCAUAUUGCAUUCCCCUCCUCUUCCCAAGGCUGCUAUGCCCAAUUUUGGAGCAUCUGGGAUACCCCUCUGAGCCUCAGCUGGAGAGAAAGCGAAUUUGCCGUGAGCCAUUCACUCUUGAUAAAUGGAAUAAUAUGACGGCCUACAAAGUUGAUCAGCCUGGGCAGCCUCAACCAGCUGCAAGGAGAGCCUCCCCAAGACAUAUACCUGAAGGUAUAACAGUUGCUACUCCUGCCAUUCCUAGAGCUCCACCAGUUGCACCUGCUUCAUUUCAGCCAUCCACAUCAGCUGAGCCGAGGAUGGCCAUUCCUAUAUCUGAAUAUCGAGAGUUGUGCCGUGCAUUGGAGACACUUACAGCUUCUUAGAGCAAUCUUGCUCAAGAGAUGGCAGCCAUCAGAGCAUGCCAAGAGCAGAUGUUAGCCACUCAAGCUCAACAAGCUGCCAUCUUAAGGCAGCUCCAAGACCAUUUCGAUCUGCCACAAGCUGUAGAGUCCUCCACUUCUACUCCAACAGAGCCACACCCUCAUCCUUCAGAGUCUCAUCCUCCUGAGCCCCAAGCCCCAGCUGAUGCACCUACUGAAGAGGUAGAUCCUUCUGCCUAAUCCCAGCACCACCCCACUCAUCAGACUAUAUUAGAUAUCUAAUAUUUUCAUGUAUUUCAUUUUUUUUAGUUGAAAAGAAAUCCCAGUAUUUUGGUACUAUAUUUGGGAUUCCUUGUGUUACUUGUCUUUUGCAUUGUAAUCAAAUGAAUUUAAAGUAAUACAAGUUGAAUAUUUCUUGUUAAAAGUUAGCAUUAAGUUAUUCUUAUUUCCUUUUCUCACAUAUUCUAUUCUUUUUGAAACAUGUGGUUUUCCCCAAUCAAUAUUCGAAUUUGAUUUCAGCAAGGAGGUACCACUUCCUCCCUUUUAUUACAUUCACUCAAAUCACAUUGAGGACAAUGCUCAGUUCGGUUGGGGGGUAUGAGGAAGGAAGUAUUCUAAAUCUUUUUGGUAUUGCAAUUAUAUUGGUUAAUUAGUUGUAGUUUUUACUUUUUACUCUUGUUACUCUAUUCUCCAUGAAUUUUGAGGAAAAAUUUUCAAAUUAAACCAAGAGAAAUUGAACUGUUGUUUUUCACUUGACUUAGAGUAUGGAUUAUGCUUACUAAAGUGGUUCAAUUGUUGAAGCUUCUAUUGAAAUUGAAGUUAGUUCUUCCACUUUAAGCUAUCCACACACUGUGCACAUUAGAUUCCGAUUAUAAGAUGAAAAGCUAUUUCCCUCUUGACUUAGGAUAAUUUUGGGACUUGGUAUAUUUGACCUCAUUUGAUAAAAUUGAAACACCCUGCAAAAGGCCAAUGAGCCUUUGAAAUAAAGAAAGUUGUUUGCUUGCCUUGAAACCCGAGCAAGGUCUGAGGGGUAUAUGGUGAAAAUCUUUAAAGCCUGGUGCCCUAAGCCUUAAUUGGUUGGGAGUCACCGACCUCAAUGCUCGUUAUAAGGGUGAAUAGGUAGAGCUAGCAUAUGGUAGAUGCUUGGGUAUUAGAAUCUCAUUCUUAAAAGUCCGGGGAAAAAUCCGAGGAGUUAGUGGUUGAAAGAUCCUUAAAGCUUGGUGCCCUAAACCUUAAUUGGUUGGGAGUCAUCGAUGGACCCCCAUUACAUGGACAAGUCAGAAAGAGUACCCCAUAAAGCUACCUUAAAAAAAAAAAUGAUGAAAAUGUGUUCUUUUCUUAUUGAUUUUGGUCAGAUUGCUAAAGUAUUGAAAAGAGAUAGGUUGGGGGGAGAGACUAGUUUAGCAUAUUAUUCUCGGAACCUAAGGAACCAAUACACAUAGAUUUUUGUGGAAGAUUAAAGUUUGAUUCUUAGAAAGUGGAAAUGAUUUUAAAACUUCAGUUUGCAUAAUGCACUCCCUUGAUUGACAGUGUUUAGCAUAGGUGUUAUGACUCUUGUUGAGAUUUGGGUUUGUAUUUCUUUACUACUUCAUGUGAGAAUUAGAUCAUCAUGCCACUUGAGAAUUAUUUUCCUUUAGCAUGAUGUUGUAAAUUUUAGAUUAGUUUGCUUUUUAUUUUCAUUUUUCUCUCCUAUAUUGCUAAGGGACUAGCAAUAUGUCGGUUGGGGGGAGUGAUUACUACUCAAAAAGUGCUAUUUGAUAGCCUAUAAUUAAUCCUUUUAAACACUUUUGAGUAGUAGUUUAGGCCUUUUAACUCAAUUGGCAUGUUAAGGAUCCUUUAAAGCAAUUUUAAUCACUUUGUGCAAGUUUUGGUGUUUUUGUUAGUAUUUUGAUCACCAAAGCAAGUCAAGACUGAGGAGAGCUAUGAGGAAUCUUGGGCAAAGCUUAGAAGUCAUUUUCCAAGAGUGAAUCCGGAUUGCAAGGAGAAAAAAGCAAAGAGAAUCUGCCAUAAAGCAUAUUCUUGAUGACAGUCGUAGCAGCCACUUUUGGAGCACUUUCUGAAGUCCAAAUGAUGUAUUCCAUAUACCAUUUCAAAGCUCAGGAAGUCAAAAAUCCAAUGCUUCAAACGGUGCUCAAUUCGGAGUUGAAAUGAAGAAGUUGCAGCCGUUACAAGCCAAUCACUCCGAGCUGAAGGAAGCAUUUUGCAAAGUGUUGCGAAAUCACCCUUUUGUUGCGAAGUGAUUUCGCAGCAUUUUUGUACAGUAAGGUGUUUCUCCUUCUGACGAUGCACGAUUUAUGCCGCGAGAAGGAAGCUAGGAACCUCAAGGUAGAAGACAACUUCGCAGCCCUGUGAAGAUAGCUUGGUGUUGCGAAAUAAUUUUGCAGCCCUCUUGAGUGUAUGCGAAAUCUCGUAGACACCAUUUUUCUCAUGCGAAAUGGUUCCUAAAACCUCCCGAUAUUUGCUACCGACAUUGGGAGAUAUUUUCCAUUAGAUUUUUGUUGUCUAAAUCCCAAAAUACUCCUUGUAAACCACCAAUUACAUGAUUCCUUAGUUUUUAAGUUAGUAAAAAGACUAAAUAUCUAUGUAAUAAUUAGUUUUAUAUUAUGUUCAUAUAUAUACCUCUCGAGAGCCUGUUCUCAGAGAGGAGUUCCUUCUUUAAAAGUUUGAGUAAGCAAGUAAAGUCUCUUUUCUUUCUACUGCCUUACCUUCUCACUUUGUAUUUUUUACUUAUUACUAAGUUAUGAACUCUCUGAGGAGUUUUCCCUAGAGAAUGAGUAACUAAACCUCUAAUUCCUUGGAGCUAAGGUUGCUGGGGGAGGUUCCAAGUGCAAGAAUGCAAAGCUUUGUGGUUUUAGCUAGUAAUGAAGAGCAAGUGAAAUCCUUCAAUGAUUUCUAUGUUUUUAGUUAACUUAAAACACCUUGGAGUCACCUGGGCCAACACUUGGUAAGGCAAGUGAUUUCCAACCAUGGAAAUGCACUAGUUUACCCCUUGCGAGCCUCUGGGAGGUGACUUUAAGGUAGGAUUUUCUAGAAUAGACAACACUUGGUAAGCUUUUGGACUCCUAGGAGACAUCCAUUAGUUAUCUCUUGCGAGCUUUUGACGGGUAAUCCAAGGUUAAAGAUCACCUUGAAUGGUUAAGGCUUAGUGAGAGGCUUAAACCAUUGCAAGUUGCAUCAGUGAGAGAAUUAAAGUGAAAUCUAAUUGAAGGAGUCUCUGUACAUCACCAGUUAGAGAAUUGACUAUAUGUUGAAUCUUUAAUGCGAGGAAAUGAACCAUCUGACCAAAGCCGUGUCUUUUGCAUGAGGAACCACCCCAGUGAACCUAAAUCUCCAAGGAAUGCUUUUCUUCCUAAAUUAUUCCAAACUUCUGUUAUGUUAGUUAGUUUAAGUCUAAACCUUUACCAAUCAAAGUUUGUGUUUUACUUCUUAAGCUAACCUUGAAAUGAAACAAGGCCAAUUCACUUGGAAUUGGUAUCAUUGAUUGCUUGUUAAUCAUUCCCAGUGAACGAUCCUAGAGCCACUAUACUAUAGUAGCUUUGUCUUUGCUACCCUAGUAUAUGGUGUUAUAGGUUAUAAAUUUUGUUGAUUACUCCCUCAAUCAAGGAGCACCAGCUGGACGCAAAUCAGCUGAGACACCAAUUGGGCAUGAAUCACACCCUAUGCCCAUUUAGGCAUCCUCGGUCCAUUUAGACACCUUAGGCCCAUUUAGGCACCCUAGGCUCAUUUAGACACCCUUGGCCCAUUUAGGCACCCUAGGCUCAUUUAGGCACCCUUGGCACAUUUAGGCACCCUAGGCCCACUUAGUAACCCUAAGCCCACUUAGACACCCUUGGCCCAUUUAGGCACCCUAGGUCCACUUAAGCACUCUAGGCCCAUUUAGGCACCCUACGCCCACUAAGACACCCUAAGCCCACUUAGACACCCUUGGCCCAAUUAGGCACCCUAGGUCCACUUAGGCACUCUAGGCCCAUUUAGGCACCCUAGGUCCACUUAGGCACGCUAGGCCCACUUAGGCACCCUAAAUCCACUUAGACACCUUACGCCCAUUUAAGCACCCAAAGCCCACUUAGGCACCCUUAGCCCAUUUAGGAACCCUAGGCUCAUUUAGGCACCCUAGGUCCACUUAGGCACCCUACGACCAUUUAGGCACCCUAGGUCCACUUAGGCACUCUAGACCCAUUUAAGCACCCUAGGUCCACUUAGGCACCCUAGGCCCAUUUAGGCACCCUAGGUCCAUUUAGGUACCCUUGGCCCAUUUAGGCACCCUAGGCCCACUUAGCCACCCUAGGCCCAUUUAGGCACCUAAGGACCAAUUUGGCACCCUAGGCUCAUUUAAGAACCCUAGGCCCAUUUAAGAACCCUAUGUCCACUUAGACACCUUCUGCCCAUGUAGGCACCCUUGGUCCACUUAGGCACUCUAGACCCAUUUAGGCACCCUAGGUCCGCUUAGGCACCCUAGGCCCAUUUAGGCACCCUAGGUCCAUUUAGGCAUCCUUGGCCCAUUUAGGUACCCUAGGCCCACUUAGGCACCCUAGGCCCAUUUAGGCAACCUUGGGCAAUUUAGGCACCCUAGGUCCAUUUAGGCACCUAAGGAUCAUUUAGGCACUCAGAGGCCCAUUUAGGCACCCUAGGUCCAUUUAGGCACCUUAGGGUCAUUUAGGCAUCCAUAGGCCCAUUUAGGCAUCCAUAGGCCCAUUUAGGCACCUUAGGCUCAUUUAGGCACCCUUGGCCCAUUUAGGCACCCUAGGCCCACUUAGACACCCUGAGCCCACUUAGACACCCUCUGCCCAUUUAGGAACCCUAGGUCCACUUAGGCACUCUAGACCCAUUUAGGCACCCUAGGUCCACUUAGGCACGCUAGGCCCACUUAGGCACCCUAAAUCCACUUAGACACCUUACGCCCAUUUAAGCACCCAAAGCCAACUUAGGCACCCUUAGCCCAUUUAGGAAACCUAGGCUCAUUUAGGCACCCUAGGCCCACUUAGGCACCCUAGACCCAUUUAGGCACCCUAGGUCCACUUAGGCACUCUAGACCCAUUUAGGCACCCUAGGUCCACUUAGGCACCCUAGGCCCAUUUAGGCACCCUAGGUCCAUUUAGGUACCCUUGGCCCAUUUAGGCACCCUAGGCCCACUUAGGCACCCUAGGCCCAUUUAGGCACCUAAGGUCCAAUUUGGCACCCUAGGCUCAUUUAAGAACCCUAGGCCCAUUUAAGAACCCUAUGUCCACUUAGACACCUUCUGCCCAUGUAGGCACCCUUGGUCCACUUAGGCACUCUAGACCCAUUUAGGCACCCUAGGUCCGCUUAGGCACCCUAGGCCCAUUUAGGCACCCUAGGUCCAUUUAGGCAUCCUUGGCCCAUUUAGGUACCCUAGGCCCACAUAGGCACCCUAGGCCCAUUUAGGCAACCUUGGGCCAUUUAGGCACCCUAGGUCCAUUUAGGCACCUAAGGUUCAUUUAGGCACUCAGAGGCCCAUUUAGGCACCCUAGGUCCACUUAGACACCAUAGACCCAUUUCGGCACCCUAGGCUCAUUUAGGCACCCUUGGCUCAUUUAGGCACCUUAGGCUCAUUUAGGCACCCUUGGCCCAUUUAGGCACCCUAGGCCCACUUAGACACCCUGAGCCCACUUCGACACCCUCUGCCCAUUUAGGAACCCUAGGUCCACUUAGGCACUCUAGACCCAUUUAGGCACCCUAGGUCCACUUAGGCACCCUAGGCCCAUUUAGGCACCCUAGGUCCAUUUAGGCACCCUUAGCCCAUUUAGGUACCCUAGGCCCAUUUAGGCACCCUAGGUCCAUUUAGGCACCUUAGGGUCAUUUAGGCAUCCAUAGGCCCAUUAAGGCAUCCAUAGGCCCAUUUAGGCACCCUAAGUCCACUUAGACACCUUAAGCCCAUUUAGGCACCCUAGGCUCAUUUAGGCACCGUUGGCCCAUUUAGGCACCCUAGGCCUACUUAGACACCGUAAUCCCACUUCGACACGCUGCGUUCAUCUAGGCACCCUAGGUCCACUUAGGCACCUUAGGCCCACAUAGUCACCCUUGGCCCAUUUAGGCACCUUAGGUCCACUUAGGCACCCUAGGCCCAUUUAGGCACCCUACGUCCACUUAGGCACCCUUAGCCCAUUUAGGCACCCUAAGUCCACUUAGGCACCUUAGGCCCAUGUAGGCACCCUAGGCCCAUUUAGGCACCCUAGGUAACCUUAAGCACCCUACGUCCACUUAGGCACCCCAGGUCUAUUUACGCACCCCUUGCCCAUUUAGGCACCCUAGGCCCACUUAGGCACCCUAGGCUCAUUCAGGCACCCUAGGUCCACUUAGGAACCCUAGGCCCAUUUAGGCAUCCUUGGUCCACUUAGGCACCCUAGGCCAAUUUAGGCACCCUAGGUCCAGUUAGGCACUCUUGACACAUUUAGGCACCCUAGGCCCAUUUAGGAACCCUAUGUCCACUUAGACACCUUAUGCCCAUUUCGGCACCCUAGGUCAACUAAGGUAAUCUAGACCCAUUUAGGCACCCUAGGUCUACUUAGGCACCCUAUGCUCAUUUCAGCACCCUAGGCCCAUUUAGGAACCCUAUGUCCACUUAGACACCAUAUGCCCAUUUAGGCAUCCUAGGUCCACUUAGGCACUCUAGACCCAUUUAGGCACCCUAGGUCCACUUAGGCACCCUACGCCCAUUUAGGCACCCUAGGUCCAUUUAGGCACCCUUGGCCCAUUUAGGUACGCUAGGCCCACUAAGGCACCCUAGGCCCAUUUAGGCACCCUAUGUCCAUUUAGGCACCCUAGGCUCAUUUAGGCACCCUAGGUCCCCUUAGGCAACCUAGGCCCAUUUAGGCAUCCUUGGUCCACUUAGGCACCCUAGGCCAAUUUAGGCACCCUAGGUCCAGUUAGGCACUCUUGACACAUUUAGGCACCGUAGGCCCAUUUAGGAACCCUAUGUCCACUUAGACACCUUAUGCCCAUUUAGGCACCCUAGGCUCAUUUAGGCACCGUUGGCCCAUUUCGGCACCCUAGGCCUACUUAGACACCGUAAGCCCACUUCGACACGCUGCGUUCAUCUAGGCACCCUAGGUCCACUUAGGCACCUUAGGCCCACUUAGGCACCCUUGGCCCAUUUAGGCACCUUAGGUCCACUUAGGCACCCUAGGCCCAUUUAGGCACCCUACGUCCACUUAGGCACCCUUAGCCCAUUUAGGAACCCUAGGUCCACUUAGGCACCUUAGGCCCAUGUAGGCACCCUAGGCCCAUUUAGGCACCCUAGGCAACCUUAAGCACCCUACGUCCACUUAGGCACCCCAGGUCUAUUUACGCACCCCUUGCCCAUUUAGGCACCCUAGGCCCACUUAGGCACCCUAGGCCCAUUUAGGCACCCUAUGUCCAUUUAGGCACCCUAGGCUCAUUCAGGCACCCUAGGUCCACUUAGGCACCCUAGGCCCAUUUAGGCAUCCUUGGUCCACUUAGGCACCCUAGGCCAAUUUAGGCACCCUAGGUCCAGUUAGGCACUCUUGACACAUUUAGGCACCCUAGGCCCAUUUAGGAACCCUAUGUCCACUUAGACACCUUAUGCCCAUUUCGGCACCCUAGGUCAACUAAGGUAAUCUAGACCCAUUUAGGCACCCUAGGUCUACUUAGGCACCCUAUGCUCAUUUCGGCACCCUAGGCCCAUUUAGGAACCCUAUGUCCACUUAGACACUAUAUGCCCAUUUAGGCAUCCUAGGUCCACUUAGGCACUCUAGACCCAUUUAGGCACCCUAGGUCCACUUAGGGACCCUACGCCCAUUUAGGCACCCUAGGUCCAUUUAGGCACCCUUGGCCCAUUUAGGUACGCUAGGCCCAUUUAGGCACCUUAGGUCCAUUUAGGCACAUCAGGCUCAUUUAGGCACCCAUAGGUCCAUUUAGGCACCCUAGGCUCAUUUAGGCACCCUAGGCUCAUUUAGGCACCCUUGGCCCAUUUAGGCACCCUAGGCUCAUUUAAGCACCCUUGGCCCAUUUAGGCACCGUAGGCCCACUUAGUAACCCUAAGCCCACUUAGACACCCUUGACCCAUUUAGGCACCCUAGGUCCACCUAAGCACUCUAGGCUCAUUUAGGCACCCUAGGUCCACUUAGACAGGCUAGGCCCAUUUAAGCCCCCUAAGCCCACUUAGGCACCCUUGGCCCAUUUGGGAACCCUAGGCUCAUUUAGGUACUCUAGGUCCACUUAGGCACCCUAAGCCCAUUUAGGCACCUUAGGUCCAAUUAGGCACUCUAGACCCAUUUAGGCACCCUAGGUCCACUUAGGCACCCUAGGCCCAUUUAGGCACCCUGGUCCAUUUAGGCACCCUUGGCGCCUUUAGGCACCCUUGGCGCCUUUAGGCACCCUAGAACCACUUAGACACCCUUGGACCAUUUAGGCACCCUAGGUCCAUUUAGGCACCGUUGGCUCAUUUACGCACCCUAGACCUAUUUAGGCACCCUAGGUCCACUUAGACACCUUAGGCUCAUUUAGGCACCCUAGGUCCACUUAGGCACUCUAGACCCAUUUAGGCACCCUAGGUCCACUAAGGCACCCUAGGUCCAUUUACGCACCCUUGGCUCAUUUAGGUACCUUAGGCCCAUUUAGGCACCCUAGGUCCCUUUAGGCAACUUAGGGUCAUUUAGGCAUCCAUAGGCCCAUUGAGGCACCCUAGGUCCACUUAGACACCUUAGGCCUAUUUAGGCACUCUAGGCCCACUUAGACACCCUAAGCCCACUUAGACACGCUGCUCCCAUUUAGGCACCUUAGGCCUACUUAGGCACCCUUGGCCCAUUUACGCACCCCUAGGUCCACUUAGGCACCCUAGGCCCAUUUAGGCACCCUCGGUCCCCUUAGACACCUUAGGCCCAUUUAGGCAUCCUAGGCUCUUUUAGGCACCCUUGGCCCAUUUAGGCACCCUAGGCCCAUUUACGACCCUAGGUCAACUUAGGCACCCUAGGUCCACUUAGGCACCCUAGGUCCACUUAGGCACCCUAGGCCGAUUUAGCCACCCUAGGUCCAGUUAGGCACUGUACACCCAUUUAGGCACCUUAGGCCCAUUUAGGCACCCUAAGUCCAAUUAGGCACCUUAGGCUCAUUUAGGCACCCUAGGCCCAUUUAGGAACCCUAUGUCCACUUAGACACCUUAUGCCCAUUUAGGCACCCUAGGUCCACUUAGGCACUCUAGACCCAUUUAGGAACCCUAGGUCCACUUAGGCACGCUAGGCCCAUUUAGGCACCCUAGGUCCAUUUAGGCACCCUUUGCCCAUUUAGGUACCCUAGGCCCACUUAGGUACCCUAGGACCAUGUAGGCACCCUAUGUCCAUUUAGGCACAUAUGGCUCAUUUAGGCACCCAUAGGCCCAUUUAGGCACCCUAGGUCCACUUAGACCCCUUAGGCCCAUUUAGGCACCCUAGACUAAUUUAGGCACCCUUGGCCCAUUUAUGCACCCUAGGCUCAUUUAGGCACCCUUGGCCCAUUUAGGUACCCUAGGCCCACUUAGUAACCCUAAGCCCACUUAGACACACUUGGCCCAUUUAGGCACCCUAGGUCCACUUAGGCACUCUAGGCCCAUUUAGGCACCCUAGGUCAUUUUACGCACCCUAGGCUCAUUUAAGUACCCGAGGCCCAUUUAGGCACCCUAGGUCCAUUUAGGCACCUUAGGGUCAUUUAGGCAUCCAUAGGCCCAUUUAGGCACCCUAGGUCCACUUAGACACCUUAGGCCUAUUUAGGCACCCUAGUCUCAUUUAGGAACUCUUGGCCCAUUUAGGCACCCUAGGCCCACUUAGACACCCUAAGCCCACUUAGACACCCUGCGCCCAUUUAGGCACCCUAGGUCCACUUAGGCACCUUAGUGUCACGGACUUAGUCGUUCACUAAGCUCGUGCGGCACUUAGGCAAGUCAAGACGCUUGAUCUUGCUAAGUCAGCCUUGAUCCUCAAUGCUUAGCUUGCUCGGCUAAGACACUCACGACUCGAAAUCUUAAGAAGCUUGGUAGGCAACUCCUUAAUGAAUGGAAGCUCUUAUUAACUCAAGAAAGCCUUUACAAGUGCUUAGAUGCUCACUUGCUUGGUUAGGAAGUGAUUUGGGUGGUGCCUUGGCCAAAUGAGGCCUUCACCUAUUUAUAGGCACCAAUGGAACUCUCUGGAACCUUGGAGGGUUCCUUAGAAAUGAAGAAUAUUCUAGAACAUCCUACCCUAUUCUAUGUACAACCCUAUGUACAAGAGAUUCUUAGAAGUCUCUAGAAAGCCCUGGACUCCUCCCAUGCCUUCCUCCAUAGUGUAGAGAUGUGCGGACAUCUCUAGGCAUUUCUAGAACCUUCCACACUCUUCCCACCAAUGGCUUAUUGUAAAUGGUUCCAGGAGUCUCCAGAAGCUUCCCUCUUUCUAUAUAAGCCCAUAGGGAGGGUCAUUUGAAACAUCCUGUGACACUCUCCCCCACUGAUGCCGUCGACGUCCUCGUCGUUGCCUCAUUCUGAAACCUCUCGAUGUGUUUCCAGAAUUUUCUCAAGGCAUCCGCAUGUUCCCAGCUUACCGGUCUCUUAGGUAGUCCUUUCCAUCGGACUAGAUACUCUAUCACAGGAGGGACCCCUUGUCUCCUAGUGACCCGUUCAGCCAGGAUAUUCUUCACCUCCUUCUCCUGUGAGGCUUCAGAUAGAUGCAGACCCAUGCGCUUUCGAUGCUUAGAGUGUUGCUUCUUCUUACCGAUUGAGUUCACCUUUCCCUUGGUGACCUCUUCCAUGUGUGUGCGGGCUACCUCAGCUCGCUCCUCUUUUUCCUCCUUUACUUGCACCCCUGCUAGUAAGGAGGUCUUAGGCGUACUAGGCUUCGGGUUAAAUUGGAGGGCACCUAGUAGCUGCAUUGAGCCCAUAUGUGCUUCGUCCUCCUGCUCCCUCUCCUCGAUCAUGGCACUGAACGCCUUCCUCUUUGGACAAUCCCGUGCCCAAUGUGGACCGUCACACAGGAAGCAUUUGAUUUUAGGUGUAAACUCCUUCCUUUCCGCCUUAUCCCUUCCUUCUCGGACGUUAGACGUCUUUCCUGAUCCCUUUUUAGGAGCAUUGUGGUCCCUUGGAACCUCGUCUCCCCUACCCUUGGCGUGGCUAUCCUCCAAAGACUUAACCUUGGAGGAGUCUCCUCUCUUAUAAUCCGUUAAAGACUCUGCUACUGCCAUAGCAGUGGCUAAGUCUUAAACGCCUCGGCGCCUUAAUUCUUGCUCGGCCCACCCUUGCAGGUUAUCCAUGAAGUUGAAUAACAACUCCUCCUCAAUUAUGUUAGGAAUCUCAAGCAUGAGCGAAGAGAAUUCCUUGACAUAUUCACGUAUCGAGCUUGUGUGCUUGAGACGCCUCAUGUUUUUCCUAGCCAGGUAAGCCACGUCCUCGGGGUAGAACUGCCUCUUGAUCUGCCUCCUGAAGUCCUCCCACGUCCCUAUGGUGCAAAUGCCUUUCUCCAUAUCGGCAAACCUUCGACGCCACCAUAGAGUAGCUGUGUCAGUAAGGUAGAGGGUCGUAGUUCUCACCUUAGCCACCUCAUUCGUUAAUGCGAUAGCUUCGAAGUAUCGCUCCAUAUGCCAUAAGAAGUUAUCCAACUUCUUGGCAUCCCGCUUGCCACUAAACCUAUGUGGCUUCGGCACCUCCACCCUAGAUGCCUCCUAUGUGGUCAUGACCCGUGCCGACACAGCAGCCUUGUAGAUGUCCAACUCCUGCCUAACCUCCUGGUCUCGGGACUCCAUUCGAGUGGCCAAGGCCUCUAUCCUUGACUCCAUGCUAGCAAGCAUGCUCAAGACCUUUCCUUGGAAGGACACAAACUCCUCGUGCGACACUGGUUGAACCUGUGAGACUAGCACCCUCUCACGAAGGUCUUGGAUCUGCUCCCCUAGAUCCUCUAAGCCCUUCUCCAUGCCUUGCUCGAUCAAGUCCAACCCCUCCCGAGUGUCCGCCAUGGCUAGCUCUACCUUGGCUAACCUUGCCUCCAUAUUGGCAACGGCAUCACGAGACUUAUCCUUCUUAUCCCUGCCCCGUGCAGUAGGCUCGGUCUCCCUUCCACGGGUUUGCUCACUAGUCUCCUCCACGUUAGAGCCCGACAUGCUUCCUUUGCUAUGCCCACCUUGUAACCGUGCUCUGAUACCACUUGUCACGGACUUAGUCGUUCACUAAGCUCGUGCGGCACUUAGGCAAGUCAAGACGCUUGAUCUUGCUAAGUCAGCCUUGAUCCCCAAUGCUUAGCUUGCUCGGCUAAGACACUCGCGACUCGAAAGCUUAAGAAGCUUGGUAGGCAACUCCUUAAAGAAUGGAAGCUCUUAUUAACUCAAGAAAGCCUUUACAAGUGCUUAGAUGCUCACUUGCUUGGUUAGGAAGUGAUUUGGGUGGUGCCUUGGCCAAAUGAGGCCUUCACCUAUUUAUAGGCACCAAUGGAACUCUCUGGAACCUUGGAGGGUUCCUUACAAAUCAAGAAUAUUCUAGAACAUCCUACCCUAUUCUAUGUACAACCCUAUGUACAAGAGAUUCUUAGAAGUCUCUAGAAAGCCCUGGACUCCUCCCAUGCCUUCCUCCAUAGUGUAGAGAUGUGCGGACAUCUCUAGGCACUUCUAGAACCUUCCACACUCUUCCCACCAAUGGCUUAGAGUAGAUGGUUCCAGGAGUCUCCAGAAGCUUCCCUCUUUCUAUAUAAGCCCAUAGAGAGGGUCAUUUGAAACAUCCUAUGACAUUAGGCCCAUUUAGGCACCCUUAGCCCAUUUACGCACCCUAGGUCCACUUAGGCAGCCUAGGCCCAUUUAGGCACCCUAGGUCCCCUUAGACACCUUAGGCCCAUUUAGGCACCCUAGCCUCAUUUAGACACCCUUGGCCCAUUGAGGCACCCUAGGCCCAUUGAGGCACCCUAGGCCCAUUUACGACACUAGGUCAACUUAGGCACCCUAGGUCCACUUAGGCACCCUAGGUCCACUUAGGCACCCUAGGCCCAUUUAGGCACCCUAGGACCAAUUAGGCACUGUAAACCCAUUUAGGCACCUUAGGCCCAUUUAGGCACCCUAAGUCCAAUUGGGCAGCUUAGGCUCAUUUAGGCACCCUAGGCCCAUUUAGGAACCCUAUGUCCACUUAGACACCUUAUGCCCAUUUAGGCACCCUAGGUCCACUUAUGCACUCUAGACCCAUUUAGGCACCCUAGGUCCACUUAGGCACCUUAGGCCCAUUUAGGCACCCUAGGUCCAUUUAGGCACCCUUUGCCCAUUUAGGUACCCUAGGCCCACUUAGGUACCCUAGGACCAUUUAGGCACCCUAGGUCCAUUUAGGCACAUAAGGCUCAUUUAGGCACCCAUAGGCCCAUUUACGCACCCUAGGUCCACUUAGACCCCUUAGGCCCAUUUAGGCACCCUAGGCUCAUUUAGGCACCCUUCGCCCAUUUAGGCACCCUAGGCCCACUUAGUAACCCUAAGCCCACUUAGAACCCUUGGCCCAUUUAGGCACCCUAGGUCCACUUAGGCACUCUAGGCCCAUUUAGGCACCCUAGGUCUCUUAGACACGCUAGGCCCAUUUAAGCACCCUAAGCCCACUUAGGCACCCUUGGCCCAUUUUGGAACCCUAGGCUCAUUUAGGCACCCUAGGUCCACUUAGGCACCCUUGGCCCAUUUAGGCCCCCUAAGCCUAAAUGGCACCCUAGGUCAACUUAGGCACCCUACGUCCACUUAGGCACCCCAGGUCCAUUUAGGCACCCUUGGCCCAUUUAGGCACCCUAGGCCCACUUAGGCACCCUAGGCCCAUUUUGGCACCCUAUGUCCAUUCAGGCACCAUAGGGUCGUUUAGGUACCCUAGGUCCACUUAGGCACCCUAGGCCCAUUUAGGCACCCUAGGUCCAUUUAGGCACAUAAGGCUCAUUUAGGCACCCAUAGGCCUAUUUCGGCACCCUACCUCCACUUAGACACCUUAGGCCCAUUUUGGCACCCUAGGCUCAUUUAGGAACCCUUGGCCCAUUUAGGCACCCUAGGCCCACUUAGUAACCCUAAGCCCACUUAGACACCCUUGGCCCAUUUAGGCACCCUAGGUCCACUUUAGCACUCUAGUCCAAUUUAGGCACCCUAGGUCCACUUAGACACGCUAGGCACAUUUAAGCAGCCAAAGCCCACUUAGGCACCCUUGGGCCAUUUUGGAACCCUAGGCUCAUUUAGGCACCCUAGGUACCCUUAGGCACCCUAAGCCCAUUUAGGCAUCCUUGGCCCAUUUAGGCACCUUAGGCCCACUUAGGCACCUAGGUCCACUUAGACACCUUAGGCCCAUUCAGGCACCCUAGGUCCACUUAGGCACUCUAGACCCAUUUAGGCACCCUAGGUCCACCUAGGCACCCUAAGCCCAUUUAGGCACCCUAGGUCCAUUUACGCACCCUUGGCCCAUUUAGGUACCCUAGGCCCAUUUAGGCACCCUAGGUCCAUUUACGCACCUUAGAGUCAUUUAGGCAUCCAUAGGCCCAUUUAGGCACCCUAGGUCCACUUAGACUCCUUAGGCCCAUUUAGUCACCCUAAGCUCAUUUAGGCACCCUUGGCCAAUUUAGGCACCUAGGCCCACUUAGACACCCUAAACCCACUUAGACACGCAGCGCCCAUUUAGGCACCCUACGUCCACUUAGGCACCUUAGGCCCACUUAGGCACCCUUGGCCCAUUUACGCACCUAGGUCCACUUAGGCACCCUAGGCCCAUUUAGGGGACCCUAAGUCGACUUAGACACCUUACGGCCAUUUAGGCACCCUAGGCUCAUUUAGGGACCCUUCGCCCAUUUAGGCACCCUAGGUCCAUUUACGACCCUAGGUCAACUUAGGCACCCUAGGUCCAUUUAGGUACCCUAGGUCCACUUAGACAGCCUAGGCCCAUUUAGGCACCCUAGGCUCAUUUAGGCACCCUUGGCCCAUUUAGGCACCCUACGCCCAUUUAGGCACCCUAGGUCAACUUAGGCAACCUAGGUCCACUUAUGCACCCCAGGUCCAUUUAGGCACCCUUGGCCCAUUGAGGCACCCUAGGCCCACUUAGGCACCCUAGGCCCAUUUACGCACCCUAGGUCCAUUUACGCACCCUAGUCCCAUUUAGGCACCAUAGGUCCACUUAGACACCCUAGGCCCAUUUAGGCACCCUAAGCCCACUUAGGCACCCUUGGUCCAUUUAGGCACCCUAGGCUCAUUUAGGUACCCUAGGUCCACUUAGGCACCCUAGGCCCAUUUAGGCACCCUUGGUCCACUUAGGCACCCUAGGCCCAUUUAGGUACCCUAGGUCUAGUAAGGAACUCUAGACCCAUUUAGGCACCUUAGGCUCAUUUAGGCACCCUAGGUCCAAUUAGGCACCUUAGGCUUAUUUAGGCACCCUAGGCCCAUUUAGAAACCCUAUGUCCACUUAGACACCUUAUGCCCAUUUAGGCACCCUAGGUCCACGUAGGCACUCUAGACCCAUUAGGCACCCUAGGUUCACUUGGGCACCCUAGGCCCAUUUAGGCACCCUAGGUCCACUUUGGCACCAUAGGCCCAUUUAGCCACCCUAGGUCCACUUACACACCUUAGGCCCAUUUAGGCACCCUAGGCUCAUUUAGGCACCCUUGGCCCAUUUAGGCACUCUAGGCCCACUUAGACACCCUAAGCCCACUUAGACACACUGUGCCCAUUUAGGCACUCUAGGUCCACUUAGGCACCCUAGGCCCAUUUAGGCACCGUAGGUCUAUUUAGGCACAUAAGGCUCAUUUAGGCACCCAUAGGCCCAUUUAGAAAAUUUCGCACAGCCUGAUGCAGUUGUCUUCCGAAGGCCAUAUCUUUCUCAUUUCAGCUCCAAAUCAUACAUGGUUUGAACCGUUGGAUUCUUGACUUUCUGAGCUUUGAAAUGGUAUAUAGAAUGUAAAAAAUGGACUUCGGGAAGUGCUCCAAAAGUGCAAUGAAAGACUGCAGCUGUGUCCCCUGUUUUCCUCUUCUCCAUUGUUUCUUCCUUGUAUACUUUGAACCACUAAGGCAAAGGAUUAUGAGGCUCCAUAGCUUGAUUUCUUCAUAAAUUUAAGCUUUCAAAAGCUUUGCUCUGAACUAUAAAUAGCUCUCCCUCAUUCUUAAAUUGCUUUGGUGAGCAUAAAGCUAUCAAAAAGCACCAAAACUUAACACAUUUGUUAGAAACGAUUGCAAAGGUCCCUAAUAUGUUAAUUGAGUUAAAAGAUAAUAAUUACUACUCAAGGGUGUUUAAAAGAGCUAAUUACAAGCUACAAAAUAGCAUGUUUUGAGUAGUAAUCACUCCCCCCAACCGACAUAUUGCUAGUCCCUUAGCAAUUAAGGAGAGAAAAACUAAGCAAACGUAAUAAUAUACAUAAAAGAAGUCAUGCAAUUCAUUCCAAAAAAUAAUUGAGUGGCAUGACUGAUAUCCAAACACAUCUCUCCUGGUGAACUAAAGAUAUGAAGAUUCAAAAUGCAAUAGGAGUUGUCAAAGCUUAAACUUAAACAAAAAGUACAAAGAGUGGAGAUUAUGCAAUUAAGUAUCAAAAGAAUCUCUACUCUCAAGGUUUCAAAUCAAACUCUUCCAUAAUAAGCUAAGUGUUAAUGAAAUUAGCUUCCGGAUAUAGUAUAUACAACUAUCCUCACCCUCCAAACUAAGCUUUUCUCGAAUAUUGGCAAAAUUAAUCAACUCUUAAUAGGUUAAGAACGCACCUUCUUAUUCACAAUUCUUUUUUUUUUUACUCACUAAACUUAACCAAUUCACCUAUGUAGCAAGCAGAGGAUCGAUGACUCCCAACCAAUUAAGGUUUAGGGCAUUGGGUUUUAAAGGCUUUCGCCACCCCUUCGGAUCAUACUUAGGUUUCAAGGAAAGAAUAGAGGCUUAUUCUCUUUUUCUUUUUCUAAGACUCAUUGGUCUUUUUCUAAGACUCAUUGGUCUUUAUGAGGUGUCCCAACACUAUUAAAAAGAGGUUAAGUAAUAAACCAAGUCAAAAUUUUCCUAAGCUUAGAAAGUGAGAAAGUUUUACAUCUUAUAUCCGGGAUCUAAUGUGCACAGUGUGUGUAAAGCUCGAAAUGGAAGAAGAAAGUUCAAAAUCAAAGAGGCUUCAAUAGAUUAUCAACUUUGAAAGCAUAAAACAAACUCUAAGACUUAAAUAAUUAAGUUAAAACUCGACUUAUCCUAUUUUAUUUUUGAAAAAUUAUCUUUAACAACCAGAGAGAAUGAUUCAAAAAACUUUUUAAAAAAUUUAAAAUUUAAGCAAAAAUUAACUAAAAUACCAAAAUAACUUAAUAUUGACAACAAAACUUCCUUUCUCAAUUCUCCCCCCCAACCAAGUUGAACAUUGUCCCCAAUGUUUCAAAAGCGAUUAAAAAUAAAGGGAGGAAGUGGUACCUCCUGAGUGAGAUAAAGUCUGAGUGUAAAGGAGGUAUGGAGUACCUUAAACCACAUGUUCCAAGGACAAAAGAGUAAUGAGAAAAGGGAAUAUAAUCAAAAAGGAUAUAUAUAUAUAUAUAUAUUACUUGAAAAAGAAAUAUACAAUGUAUGAUUUCAAGUACUAUUUCCAAUCCCAAUUUAUAACACAUGCAAAAGAUGGGAUUUACAAGUCUAAAAUAAAAAGUAAAACAUAAAAAAAUCAGAUAUGAGUGGGGUCAUGUGAUGGCUCUGCUCUGAUCUCCUCCUCUGGUAUAGGCUGCUCAGCUGGCAAGCUCUCCUCAUCUGGCACUAGAGGCUCGGAUGGUGCAGACCUAUCAUGCCCAAGAGGGAUCUGCAUACUCAGAUGCUGCUGAAUCUGAUGAAGGAUCGUGGUAUGCUGGGCCUGAGUAGCGAUGAUCUGAUCCUGGUGUGCACGAAUAGUGGCCAUCUGGUGGAUAAUAGAAUCCUGAGCAGUGCUCAGUGUCCGCAAUGAACGCUCUAAGCCUCUGAAUUCUGUAAGAGAAAUGGUGACAGUGGGCUCAGAUGAAGGAGGAGGUGCUGGGGUAGCUGGCACGACUGGUGGAGCACCCUGAGUGAUAGGGGAGGUAGAAUGUAUAGCCUCGGGCAUGUGCACUGAGGGCUGUGCUGCAGGGGCAGGAGGUGGUGUCUCUGUGAGAAUCUCAUCCUGCUGGGCCUGAGGUAUCUGCUCAUCUCGGGGUAGCUCUGGAGGUGCAUGUACAGCUGGGGCUCCCUGAGGUGCAAAGUAGGCUACCAAGUGAUGCCAUUUGUCGAGAGAGAAGUCCUCUCGGCAAUGGCGGCGCCUCUCAAGACGGGGCUCUUCAGGAUAGCCCAAGUGCUCUAAAAUCUGGCAGAGGAGCCUCGGAAAUAGUAAUGGGAUGCCAUCUGCCCUCUGAAGCUUCUUCUGAUGGACUUUCUCUUCAAAAUGAAGAAGAGAAGUCAUAAUCAAAUGAUGAGGGCCGAAGAAAUAGCCCUCAGAAAUCCUGAAUAACGCCUCAAGUAUAGCUCCUCUCCUCUGAACCUUAUGCUGAAGGGGGAAUAGGUUGGCACGCAGGAGCACAUCAAUGAGGAGCAUCCCAGAUGGAAGCUCUCUCCUGGUCAAUACCGAGGCUGUAGAAGUCCCCCUGGACAAAAUGCGGACCAUGUCACUCUGAGAGAAUGAGGACCACUCCCUGAAAUCUGCCUGAAACACGGGCUCAUAAGGUAUACGGAGGGCCUCAGCAAUGUGGCGAGCUCCAAUGGCACCCUGGCGUCCGUCUAUGGUAAAUUGGAUGAGAGUAGGAUUGCGGAGGCCUCGAGUAGUCAUAGAUUGAUAAAAAUCUAAAACUACUCUGGGAUAGUAGAAUUGCCUAGGAGUGAGAAGAUCCUCCAUGUGAUACCUCUACAGCAGUCGGAAUGAAUCUCUGAGCUCUGGCUGCUGUCUGAGGGCCUCUAUAUCAAAGUAGGUCUCAGAGUGGAAGGAUCGAUUUCUGCAAUCCAAGUUGCCCUCUAUCGGUGGUCCGGCUAUCAUGGGACGCCUGAUAAUGGUCUCGGGAGUAUUUUCUACAGGAAUCUGAGGUUCCUCUGUAGCUGGCUCUGGCUGAGGUGCGUGGGAUGGCUCUCCAGGACCCGAGAACCUGGUCCUCUUCGCUGGUGGCCGAGAAACAGGGCUCGUGGCCUGAUCGACUGGUGCCACAGGGUCCGCGGGUGGCCUCCGGGUGGGGUAUCGGCUCUGAGAAGGAGCUUCCCCCUCAGAUGGGGGAAUGGCCGGGGCCUGAACAGGUGGUGAAGGUGCGGCUCCCAUGGCGGCUCGCUGUGGUCGAGGUGUCGGUGAGGACGGGGAGGCGGAAUGGCCUCCUCUGGUCUUCGCCAUGGCCGAAAUGAAGGGAGGUGGGUGUUCGGGAUUCCAGAGGUUUUUCAGCUGGUGCUUAGGAGAGUCCUUUGAGCUUCUGGACUUCAGGGGUUUAUAUAGGAAUGAGGUUUAAGGGGUUUCUGAUCUUUUAAAAUUUUUCAAGGCAACCGAAAAGUCGUUUUUGGAUGUUAGGCACAAUUUCGGGGGUAAAAUUUUAAUUUAAAAGUCGGUUUUAAAUUUGUAGAAGUUAAAAUUUUACCGUGCGAAAUUUUCGCACCUUGGCCUGCAAAUUUCGCACCUUGGAAUUGGGUGUGCGAAAAUGGCACCCCUUUGGCCGAUGAUUUCGCACGUUAAAAGGAGGUGUGCGAAAUUUUCGCACCUUGAAUAGUGGUGUGCGAAAUUUUCGCACACUAUUUCGCACAGUGCGAAAAUCAGCUUGAGGUGUGCGAAAUUGGCACACGUGUGCCAGGAGAGGAUUUCGCACAGUGCGAAAAUUUUCGCACCUUCCACAGUGGUGUGCGAAAUUGGAUUUUAGGAAAUUCGCACCUUGAAAAGGGAUUUCGCACCUUGAAAUUGAUUUCGCACCUUGAGGUAGGGGUGUGCGAAAAUUGCUUCCUUUGGCCCAAGGAUUUCGCACCUUGGUAUUGAGGUGUGCGAAAUUUUCGCACCUUGAAAUCAGGUGUGCGAAAAUUUGGCACCUUGAAAUUGGGUGCUCUGUUUCCUUGGUUUUUCUCCCCUUGGCUGCUUUUGACGAGCUCUCCCCAUCUUUCAUGAUUUUUUUCUGAAAUUUAUUAUCAAAAUUAACUUGAAUUAAGACAAUAUAAACUAAGAUUAGGAGAAAAUUAAAAUAUAAAGAAAUAAAAAUACUAAUAUAACUAUAAAACUAUAACAAAAAAUUCAUGGACUUCUUUAGCCCAUGAUACCCUGCUUUCCCUCAGAUUUGUGGUAGUUCAAGGAGAUUGAUCUCCUCCUUGUCUGUACUGUAAGGCUCUAAGAAUGGCUUGAGACGAUGGCCAUUGACUUUGAAGGUUUGAUUGCCUGUGGGAUUGAAUAUUUCCACCACUCCGUUGGGAUGCACUUCAUGAAUUAUGAAAGGACCCGUCCAUCUGGAUUUCAAUUUUUUUCGGUAAAAGAUAAAGCUUAGAGUCAUAAAGUAAGACUCUUUGUCCCAAAACAGCCCCCAUAGCAAGAUCUUAAAAAAAAAAACUAAGUUAAAUCAAACCAAAAUAAAAUUAAAGCAAGAAAUCAAAAUUAAAACAAGUUUAAAAAUAAAACAAAAAGAUAUGGACUAGCUAGUCUUUAGAAAGACUAAGUCCAUAAAAAAAAUUGGAUCCGGAUUUAGCUUGCCCGGAUCCCAUAUGAAGUUUGCAUCCCUCCCUUGAGACUUGCUUUGUAUGAUGGUGCCAUACAAAGCUUGGGGGAAAGGUGGAGGGAUGUGAUUCUUCAUCAUUUCUUCCUUUAAAAGAAUUUGAGGUUCCUCAUCCAUGCUUGGAAUGAUGCUUUCUUUCAUCUGAACUCCCUUUCCCUUUUGUUCUUUCUUCUUUUCUUCUUUUCUAUCAGCCUUGUCUUCUUUGGCUUUCCUCUGAUCAUGCUCCGGCUGAUGCACUUCCUUACCACUUCUCAAAGUGAUAAUAGCUUGCACGUCCCUCACCUUUGAAGAAUCCUCAUCUUUGGAUUCCACUUCAUGUAUCCCCUUAGGAUUUUGGUGAGGCUGAGAGGGAAACUUCCCUUUCUCAUUGACAGUGUUCAAAUUUGUGAGCCUUGAGAUGGAAUAUUGGAUGUUGUCAAUUUUCUGAGACAACUCAUUAUGCAUCCCAUCUAUCUUCUUGUUCAAUGUACUCUCUACGUUGUCAAUCUUCUGAUUUAGUUGAGAGUUGAUGGAUUUUUGCUCGCUCACAAAGUCACCCAUAACCUUGCUAAGGCUUACGAGUGCUUGCUCAACUGAGGAUUGACCUUGACUCUGUUGGCUUGAUUGGGCUGGUGACUGAUAUGGGUUUGGCCUUGGCUUCCAUGCAAAGUUUGGGUGGUUCCUCCAGCUAGAGUUGUACGUGUUGCCAUAGGGAGCAUUUGAAUUUGGCUUCCAUUGGCCAAUCAGGUUAGCUUGUUCCCCGAACAUUUCUCUUGCUGCCAGAAUGGUGGGACAUUCUUCCACCAUAUGUUCAAAUGACUGACAUAUGGAGCAAGGAUUGGCUUGUUGUUGAGGUUCUGAAAUAGCUUGGACUUCGUGAACUUUUCUCAACUCCAUUUCCUCUAUUUUUCUAGCCAUGGCAGCUACCUUGGCUUUCAUCUCCAUGUCUUCACUCAGACUGUACAUCCCCCCUCUUGACAUUUGCUGAACUGGCCUCUUCCCCAUUUCUCUACUAUUGGGCUCAUCCCAUCCACGGGAAACCUCUGAGACAUAACUUAGGAAGUCCAUAGCCUCCUCAGGGUUCUUGCUCAUGAAAUCACCCCCACACAUUGUCUCCAAUAUCUGCUUCAUUGAAGAUGACAUGCCAUCAUAAAAAUAGCUCACCAAAAGCCAUGUAUCAAAGCCGUGGUGAGGACAUGCAUUGAUGGCCUCCAUAUACCUCUCCCAGCAUUCAUAAAAUUUUUCAUUUUCACGUGCUGAGAAGUUGGAGAUUUGUCUCUUCAAUCCAUUUGUUCUGUGAGUAGGGAAAAACUUCUUCAAAAAAUCAGCUUGAAGUUCUGUCCAUGUUCUUAUGCUUCUCGGCCUCAAGGAAUUAAGCCAUAUCUUGGCUUUGUCCUUUAAUGUGAAUGGAAAGAGCUUCAACCUCAUAAGCUCAAUAGUUGUUCCCCCUUCUUGAAAAGUAUUGCACACAUCUUCGAAUUCCUUUAUGUGCGCAUAUGGAUUUUCACUUUCCAUCCCAUGGAAAGUAGGAAGCAGAGGCACGAUGUGUGGCAUGAUAAUCAAUUGCUCUGUAGGAGGAAUGAUGCAAGAUGGUGCACUCAUCCUCGGAGGGUGCAUCCUGUCCCUCAUGGACCUAUACAAGUUCGGAUCAUUCCCCUGCCCGUGUUGUGAAUGUUGAUCCUCUGGUUGAUUCUCCAUGAUCUCCAAAAUAAUAUCUAAUUCAGUAGCUCGUGGAGUCUCUAUCCGCACUAACCUUCCCUCUUGGUCUCUAAUCCAAUAGGGCAUGCACGGAUUCAGCUGGAACAAAACAAAUAAACAAAACAAAGAAAAAGAAAAAAAAAACAGAGCAUGCGGAAGGAAAAACAGAGUAUGAAAAAUAAACUAAAAAUGAAAGUUAAAAGCUAAAAGAAACUUAUCUAAACUAAGUUAAAAAUGUUCUAAAACUAAAAUAAAAAGUUAGUAAAUGAAAAAGGAGAUAGAAUUCACCUUACUCAUGAGAAGUCUCACAAGUUACCUCCGGCUGAUAUAUUCACAGUGAAGUAGCACCUUCCCCGGCAACGGCGCCAUUUGAUACGCUUGACUCUUGGUAGCUUGGCAUGUAAGGGUAUCAACAAAAUUUAUACCUAAGGUCCUUACACUAAAGUAGCAAAGCUACUAUAGUAUAGUGGCUCUAGGAUCGAACACUGGGAAGGGUUUUUACUUUAACUAGUGAAGUUCAGAGGAUGGAGUGAACUUUUCUUAAUAAAAAUUAGGUUAAGAUGAAAACAUAAAAAGAUGAAGGUGUUGUAAACUAAACUAACAUGAAAAUAGGAUAAAAGAUGGAAAAAGAAGUUUCUCAAAGCUUUGGAUAGCCAUGCUUAACUCACCAUGUAAAAAUGGAGAUUUUGGGACUUUUCACCUCGCGUUGGGGAAGCAACUAAGGUGAUGCUUACUUCCCGAACCGGUAUGAGUUUAACAACUGAGUUUUAGUCCUUGAAAACUUACAAAAAGGGUAGCUGAACCUCAUAAAUGCCCUUUUAAUGAUAUAGGUCAUCUACUCGACUUGCAAUACAAUGGCUCGUAGGAGAUAACUAACGAACGUCAGUGGAUCUAACAAUAAGAAUCCACUGAGACCAAAAGCUUAUCAAGUAUUGGCCAUUCAAAGCAAGUCAGAGGGAUUAAAAGCUUUACUUUGAAUGAAAACAUUUAUGGUGCUCAGCUACUUACAUUCAUGGCUUGGAAAUCUCCAUCCUGACACGGGAGCUUCACAUGGCAUCCAUUACUUCAAGAAACUAAAAGGUUUUAGCCUCUCAUCCUUGGGGAUUUCAUCCUCCAAGGAUGUUUGGCUACUAAGAAAAUGAGAAAAUAGAAGAGAGAAAAAGAAAAAACAAAAGAGAUCUCUGUAUUUCACUAAGUAACUAAUUUACAUUGGUCUCCUGGAGAAAGCUCCCCGAAAAGAUAUUGUUUUCAGUGAUUACAAGAGAAUUUAUAUAGGAAGGUAGUUUUACCCUUCCUUGGAUACUUCCUAGCUAAGGAAUUACAUGGUUGGUUGAAUACAAGGAGAAAAUGGAAAUUUAAACACAAAAAUAUCAGAAGAAGAAGAGUCGGCAAACAUAUCCAAUUUUCGCACGCUGAAGUUCCAAUUUCGCACGUUGAUUUGAGGUGUGCGAAAUUUUCGCACAGUGGACUGAGGAUUUCGCACCUUGAUUUCCAUCGUGCGAAAAUUUCGCAUAGCCUGAUGCAGUUGUCUUCCGAAGGCCAUAUCUUUCUCAUUUCAGCUCUAAAUCAUACAUGGUUUAAACCGUUGGAUUCUUGACUUUCUGAGCUUUGAAAUGGUAUAUAGAAUGUAAAAAAUGAACUUCGGGAAGUGCUCCAAAAGUGCAAUGAAAGACUGCAGCUGUGUCCCCUGUUUUCCUCUUCUCCAUUGUUUCUUCCUUGUAUACUUUGAACCACUAAGGCAAAGGAUUAUGAGGCUCCAUAGCUUGAUUUCUUCAUAAAUUUAAGCUUUCAAAAGCUUUGCUCUGAACUAUAAAUAGCUCUCCCUCAUUCUUAAAUUGCUUUGGUGAGCAUAAAGCUAUCAAAAAGCACCAAAACUUAACACAUUUGUUAGAAAUGAUUGCAAAGGUCCCUAAUAUGUUAAUUGAGUUAAAAGAUAAUAAUUACUACUCAAGGGUGUUUAAAAGAGCUAAUUACAAGCUACAAAAUAGCAUGUUUUGAGUAGUAAUCAGCACCCUAGGUCCACUUACACACCCUAGGUCCACUUAGGCACCCUAGGCCCAUUUAGGCACCCUAGGUCCAUUUAGGCACAUAAGGCUCAUUUAGGCACCCAUAGGCCUAUUUCGGCACCCUACCUCCACUUAGACACCUUAGGCCCAUUUUGGCACCCUAGGCUCAUUUAGGAACCCUUGGCCCAUUUAGGCACCCUAGGCCCACUUAGUAACCCUAAGCCCACUUAGACACCCUUGGCCCAUUUAGGCACCCUAGGUCCACUUUAGCACUCUAGUCCCAUUUAGGCACCCUAGGUCCACUUAGACACGCUAGGCACAUUUAAGCAGCCAAAGCCCACUUAGGCACCCUUGGGCCAUUUUGGAACCCUAGGCUCAUUUAGGCACCCUAGGUACACUUAGGCACCCUAAGCCCAUUUAGGCAUCCUUGGCCCAUUUAGGCACCUUAGGCCCACUUAGGCACCUAGGUCCACUUAGACACCUUAGGCCCAUUCAGGCACCCUAGGUCCACUUAGGCACUCUAGACCCAUUUAGGCACCCUAGGUCCACCUAGGCACCCUAGGCCCAUUUAGGCACCCUAGGUCCAUUUACGCACCCUUGGCCCAUUUAGGUACCCUAGGCCCAUUUAGGCACCCUAGGUCCAUUUAGGCACCUUAGAGUCAUUUAGGCAUCCAUAGGCCCAUUUAGGCACCCUAGGUCCACUUAGACUCCUUAGGCCCAUUUAGGCACCCUAAGCUCAUUUAGGCACCCUUGGCCAAUUUAGGCACCUAGGCCCACUUAGACACCCUAAACCCACUUAGACACGCAGCGCCCAUUUAGGCACCCUAGGUCCACUUAGGCACCUUAGGCCCACUUAGGCACCCUUGGCCCAUUUACGCACCUAGGUCCACUUAGGCACCCUAGGCCAAUUUAGGGACCCUAAGUCGACUUAGACACCUUACGGCCAUUUAGGCACCCUAGGCUCAUUUAGGGACCCUUCGCCCAUUUAGGCACCCUAGGUCCAUUUACGACCCUAGGUCAACUUAGGCACCCUAGGUCCAUUUAGGUACCCUAGGUCCACUUAGACAGCCUAGGCCCAUUUAGGCACCCUAGGCUCAUUUAGGCACCCUUGGCCCAUUUAGGCACCCUACGCCCAUUUAGGCACCCUAGGUCAACUUAGGCAACCUAGGUCCACUUAGGCACCCCAGGUCCAUUUAGGCACCCUUGGCCCAUUGAGGCACCCUAGGCCCACUUAGGCACCCUAGUCCCAUUUACGCACCCUAGGUCCAUUUACGCACCCUAGUCCCAUUUAGGCACCAUAGGUCCACUUAGACACCCUAGGCCCAUUUAGGCACCCUAAGCCCACUUAGGCACCCUUGGUCCAUUUAGGCACCCUAGGCUCAUUUAGGUACCCUAGGUCCACUUAGGCACCCUAGGCCCAUUUAGGCACCCUUGGUCCACUUAGGCACCCUAGGCCCAUUUAGGUACCCUAGGUCUAGUUAGGAACUCUAGACCCAUUUAGGCACCUUAGGCCCAUUUAGCCACCCUAGGUCCAAUUAGGCACCUUAGGCUUAUUUAGGCACCCUAGGCCCAUUUAGAAACCCUAUGUCCACUUAGACACCUUAUGCCCAUUUAGGCACCCUAGGUCCACGUAGGCACUCUAGACCCAUUAGGCACCCUAGGUUCACUUGGGCACCCUAGGCCCAUUUAGGCACCCUAGGUCCACUUUGGCACCAUAGGCCCAUUUAGCCACCCUAGGUCCACUUACACACCUUAGGCCCAUUUAGGCACCCUAGGCUCAUUUAGGCACCCUUGGCCCAUUUAGGCACUCUAGGCCCACUUAGACACCCUAAGCCCACUUAGACACACUGUGCCCAUUUAGGCACCCUAGGUCCACUUAGGCACCCUAGGCCCAUUUAGGCACCCUAGGUCUAUUUAGGCACAUAAGGCUCAUUUAGGCACCCAUAGGCCCAUUUAGGCACCCUAGGUCCACUUACACACCCUAGGCCCAUUUAGGCACCCUAGGCUCAUUUAGGCACCCUUCGCCUAUUUAGGCACCCUAGGCUCAUUUAGUCACCCUUGGCCCAUUUACGCACCCUAGGGCCACUUAGUAACCCUAAGCCCACUUAGACACCCUUGGCCCAUUUAGGCACCCUAGGUCCACUUAGGCACUCUACGCCCAUUUAGGCACCCUAGGUCCACUUAGACACGCUAGGCCCAUUGAAGCACCCUAAGCCCACUUAGGCACCCUUGGCCCAUUUAGGAACCCUAGGCUCAUUUAGGCACCCUAGGUCCACUUAGGCACCCUAAGCCCAUUUAGGCACUCUAGGUCCAAUUAGGUACUCUAGACCCAUUUAGGCACCCUAGGUCCACUUAGGCCCCCUUGGCCCAUUUAGUCACCCUAGGUCCAUUUAGGGACGCUUGGCCCAUUUAGGCACCUUAGGCCCACUUAGGCACCCUUGGCCCAUUUAGGCACCCUAGGUCCAUUUAGGCACCCCAGGCUCAUUUAGGCAUCCUAGGCCCAUUUAGGCACCCUAGGUCCAGUUAGACACCUUAGGCCCGUUUUGGCACCCUAGGUGCAGUUAGGCAUUCUAGACCCAUUAAGGCACCCUAGGUCCACUUAGGCAGCCUAGGCCCAUUUAGGCACCCUAGGUCCAUUUAGGCACCCUUGGCCCAUUUAGGUACCCUAGGCCCAUUUAGGCACCCUAGGUCCAUUUAGGCACCUUAGGGCAUUUAGGCAUCCAUAGGCCCACUUAGGCACCCUAGGUCCACUUAGACACCUUAGGCCCAUUUAGGCACCCUAGUGUCACAAGCUGAUCCAAAUGAGCCUCCCCAUGGCCUUAUAUAGGGCCAGGAAGCUUCUGGAGACUCCUAGAGUGGGAAGAGUGUGGAAGGUUCUAGAGAAGUCUGGAGGAAUCCACACAAUUCUACACUAUGGUGGAAGGCACAAGAGGAGUCCUGGGCUUUCUAGAGGAAUCUAGAAGACUCUUGUAUAUACUUGUAUAUAGGCUUGUAUCUAGAAUGAUGUAGGACAUUCUAGAAUAGUCUUGAGUUGUAAGGAACCCUCCAAGGUUCCAGAGAGUUCCAUUGGUGCCUAUAAAUAGGUGAGGGCCUCAUUUGGCCAAGGCACCAAGCAAGUGAGCAUCCAAGCACUUGUAAAGGCUUUCUUGAGUUAAUAGAGCUUCCAUUCUUUCAAGAGUUGCCUACCAAGCUUCUUAAGCUUUUUGAGUCGCAGGUGUCUUAGACGAGCAAGCUAAGCAUUGGGGAUCAAGGCUGACUUAGCAAGAUGAAGCGUCUUGGCUUGUCUAAGUGCCGCACGAGCUUAGUGAAUGACUAAGUCUGUGAUACUAGGCUCAUUUAGGCACCCUUGGCCCAUUUAGGCACCCUAGGCCCACUUAGACACCCUAAGCCCACUUAGACACGCUACGCCCAUUUAGGCACCCUAGGUCCACUUAGGCACCUUAGGCCCACUUAGGCACCCUAGACCCAUUUAGGCACCCUAGGUCCAAUUAGGCACCCUAAGCUCAUUUUGGCACCCUAGGCCCAUUUAGGAACCCUAUGUCCACUUAGACACCUUAGGCCCAUUUAGGCACCGUCGGUCCACUUAGGCACUCUAGACCCAUUUAGGCACCCUAGGUCUACUUAGGCACCCUAGGCCCAUUUAGGUACCCUAGGUCCAUUUAGGCACCCCUUGCCCAUUUAGGUACCCUAGGCCAACUUAGGUACCCUAGGACCAUUUAGGCACCCUAGGUCCAUUUAGGCACAGAAGGCUCAUUUAAGCACCCAUAGGCCCAUUUAGGCACCCUAGGUCCACUUAGACCCCUUAAGCCCAUUUAAGCACCCUAGGCUCAUUUAGGCACCCUUGGCCCAUUUAGGCACCCUUGGCUCAUUUAGGCACCCUUGGCCCAUUUAGGCACCCUAGUGUCACAGGAUGCUUAAAAUGACCCUCCCCAUGGGCUUAUAUAGGAGGAGGGAAGCUUUUGGAGACUCCUGGAGCCAUCUACACUAAGCCAUUGGUGGGAAGAGUGUGGAAGGUUCUAGAAAUGCCUAGAGAAGUCCACACAACUCUACACUAUGGUAGAAGGCACGAGAAGGGUCCAAAGCUUUCUAGAGAAAUCUAGAAGUCUCUUGAAUAUUCUAGAAUAGUGUAGGACAUUCUAGAAGUCUCUUGAAUAUUCUUGAAUAGUGUAGGACAUUCUAGAAUAUUCAUGAAUUGUAAGGAACCCUCUAAGGUUCUAGAGAGUUCCAUUGGUGCCUAUAAAUAGGUGAGGGCCUCAUUUGGCCAAGGCACCAAGCAAGUGAGCAUCCAAGCACUUGUAAAGGCUUUCUUGAGAUAAUAAAGCUUCCAUUCUUUAAGGAGUUGCCUACUAAGCUCUUAAGCUUUCGAGUCGCGAGUGUCUUAGUCAAGCAAGCUAAGCAUUGGGGAUCAAGGCUGACUUAGCAAGAUCAAGCGUCUUGACUUGCCUAAGUGCCGCACGAGCUUAUUGAACGACUAAGUCCGUGACAAGUGGUAUCAGAGCAUGGUUACAAGGUGGGCAUAGCAAAGGAAGCAUGUCGGGCUCUAACGUGGAGGAGACUAGUGAGCAAACCCGUGGAAGGGAGACCGAGCCUACUGCACGGGGCAGGGGUAGGAAGGAUAAAUCUCGUGAUGCCAUUGCCAACAUGGAGGCAAGGUUAGCCAAGGUGGAGCUAGCCAUGGCGGACACUCGGGAGGGGUUGGACUUGAUCGAGCAAGGCAUGGAGAAGGGCUUAGAGGAUCUAAGGGAACAGAUCCAAGACCUUCGUGAGAGGGUGCUAGUCUCAAAAGUUCAGCCAGUGUCGCACGAGGAGUUUGUGUCCUUCCAAGGAAAGGUCUUGAGCAUGCUUGCUAGCAUGGAGUCAAGGAUAGAGGCCUUGACCACUCGAAUGGAGUCCCGAGACCAGGAAGUUAGGCAGGAGUUGGCCAUUUACAAGGCUGCUGUGUCGGCACGGGUCAUGGCCACACAAGGGGCAUCUAGGGUGGAGGUGCCGAAGCCACAAGGGUUUAGUGGCAAGAGGGAUGCCAAGGAGUUAGAUAACUUCUUAUGGCAUAUGGAGCGAUACUUCGAAGCUAUCGCAUUGACGGAUGAGGCGGCUAAGGUGAGAAUUGCGACCCUCUACCUUACUGACACAGCUACUCUAUGGUGGCGUCGAAGGUUUGCCGAUAUGGAGAAAGGCAUUUGCACCAUAAAGACGUGGGAGGACUUCAAGAAGGAGAUCAAGAGGCAGUUCUACCCCGAGGACGUGGCUUACCUGGCUAGGAAAAACAUGAGGCGUCUCAAGCACACAGGCUCGAUACGUGAAUAUGUCAAGGAAUUCUCUUCGCUCAUGCUUGAGAUUCCUAACAUGACUCAGGAAGAGUUGCUAUUCAACUUCAUGGAUAACCUGCAAGGGUGGGCCGAGCAGGAAUUAAGGCGCCGGGGCGUUCAAGACUUAGCCACUGCUAUGGCAAUAGCAGAAUCUUUAGCGGAUUAUAAGAGGGGAGACUCCUCCAAGAUUGAGUCUUUAGAGGAUAGCCACGCCAUGGGUGGGGGAGACGAGGAUCUAAUGGACCACAAUGCUCCUAAAAAGGGAUCAAGCAAGACGCCUAACGUCCAAGAAGGAAGGGGUAAGGCGGCAAGCAAGGAGUUCACGCCUAAAAUCAAAUGCUUCCUAUGUGACGGACCACAUUGGGCACGGGAUUGUCCAAAGAGGAAGGCGCUUAGUGCCAUGAUCGAGGAGAGGGAGCAGGAGGAUGAAGCACAUAUGGGCUCAAUGCAGCUACUAGGUGCCCUCCAAUUCAACCCGAAGCCUAGUACGCCUGAGACCUCCUUACUAGCAGGCGUGCAAGUAAAGGAGGAAAAAGGGGAGCGAGCUGAGGUAGCCCACACACGCAUGGAAGAAGUCACCAAGGGAAAGGUGAACUCAAUGGGUAAAAGGAAGCAGCACUCUAAGCAUCGAAAGCGCAUGGGUCUGCAUCCAUCUAAGGCCUCACGGGAGAAGGAGGUGAAGAAUAUCCUAGCUGAACGGGUCACUAGGAGACAAGGGGUCCCUCCUGUGAUAGAGUAUCUAGUCCGAUGGAAAGGACUACCUAAGAGGCCGCUAAGCUGGGAACAUGCGGAUGCCUUGAGAAAAUUCUGGAAACACAUCGAGAGGUUUCAGAAUGAGGCAACGACGAGGACGUCGACGGCAUCGGUGGGGGAGAGUGUCACAGGAUGCUUAAAAUGACCCUCCCCAUGGGCUUAUAUAGGAGGAGGGAAGCUUUUGGAGACUCCUGGAGCCAUCUACACUAAGCCAUUGGUAGGAAGAGUGUGGAAGGUUCUAGAAAUGCCUAGAGAAGUCCACACAACUCUACACUAUGGUAGAAGGCAUGAGAAGGGUCCAAAGCUUUCUAGAGAAAUCUAGAAGUCUCUUGAAUAUUCUAGAAUAGUGUAGGACAUUCUAGAAGUCUCUUGAAUAUUCUAGAAUAGUGUAGGACAUUCUAGAAUAUUCAUGAAUUGUAAGGAACCCUCCAAGGUUCUAGAGAGUUCCAUUGGUGCCUAUAAAUAGGUGAGGGCCUCAUUUGGCCAAGGCACCAAGCAAGUGAGCAUCCAAGCACUUGUAAAGGCUUUCUUGAGAUAAUAAAGCUUCCAUUCUUUAAGGAGUUGCCUACUAAGCUCUUAAGCUUUCGAGUCGCGAGUGUCUUAGCCGAGCAAGCUAAGCAUUGGGGAUCAAGGCUGACUUAGCAAGAUCAAGCGUCUUGACUUGCCUAAGUGCCGCACGAGCUUAGUGAACGACUAAGUCCGUGACACUAGGCCCACUUAGUAACCCUAAGCACACUUAGACACCCUUGGCCCAUUUAGGCACCCUAGGUCCACUUGGGCACUCUAGGCCCAUUUAGGCACCCUAGGUCCACUUAGACACGCGAGGCCCAUUUAAGCACCCUAAGUCCACUUAGGCACCCUUGGCCCAUUUAGGAACCCUAGGCUCAUUUAGGCACCCUAGGUCCACUUAGGGACCCUAAGCCCAUUUAGGCACUCUAGGUCAUAUUAGGCACUCUUGACCCAUUUAGGCACCCUAGGCCCAUUUAUGCACCCUAGGUCCAUUUAGGCACCGUUGGCCCAUUUAGGCACCCUAGGCCCACUUAGGCAACCUUGGCCCAUUUAGGCACCCUAGGUCCAUUUAAACACCCUAGGCUCAUUUAGGCACCCUAGGCCCAUUUAGGCACCCUAGGUCCAAUUAGACACCUUAGGCCCAUUUUGGCACCCUAGGUUCACUUAGGCAUUCUAGACCCAUUUAGGCACCCUAGGUCUACUUAGGCACCCUAGGCCCAUUUAGGCACCCUAGGUCCAUUUAAGCAUCCUUAGCCCAUUUAGGUACCCUAGGCCCAUUUAGGCCCCCUAGGUCCAUUUAGGCCCCCUAGGUCCAUUUAGGCCCCCUAGGUCCAUUUAGGCAUCUUAGGGUCAUUUAGGCAUCCAUAGGCCCAUUUAGGCACCCUAGGUCCACUUAGCCACCUUAGGCCCAUUUAGGCACCCUACGCUCAUUUAGGCACCCUUGGCACAUUUAAGCACCGUAGGCCCACUUAGACACCCUAAGCCCACUUAGACACACUGCACCCAUUUAGGCACCCUAGGUCCACUAAGGCACCUUAGGCCCAUUUAGGCACCCUAGGUCCACUUAGACACCUUAGGCCCAUUUAGGCACCCUAGGCUCAUUUAGGCACCCUUGGCCCAUUUAGGUACCCUAGGCCCAUUUAGGCACACUUGGUCCACUUAGGCACCCUAGGUUCACUUAGGCACCCCAGGUCCAUUUAGGCACCCUUGGCCCAUUUAGGCACCCUACGCCCACUUAGGCACCCUAGGCCCAUAUAGGCACCCUAGGUCCAUUUAGGCACCCUAGGCCCAUUUAGACCCCUUAGGCCCAUUUAGGCACCCUAACCCCACUUAGGCACGCUUGGCCCAUUAGGCACCCUAGCCUCAUUUAGGCACCCUAGGUCCACUUAGGCACCCUAGGCCCAUUCAGGCACCCUUGGUCCACUUAGGCACCCUAGGCCCAUUUAGGCACCCUAAGUCCAAUUAGGCUCUCUAGACCCAUUUAGGCACCUUAGGCAUCCUUGACCCAGUUAUGCACCCUAGGUCCACUUAGACACCUUAGGCCCACCUAGGCACCCUAGGCCCAUUUAGGCACCCUAGGUCCAAUUAGGCACCCUACGCUCAUUUUGGCACCCUAGGCCUAUUUAGGAACCCUAUGUCCACUUAGACAACUUAGGCCCAUUUAGGCACCUUAGGUCCACUUAGGCACUCUAGACCCAUUUAGGCACCUUAGGUUUACUUAGGCACCCUAGACCCAUUUAGGUACCCUAGGUCCAUUUAGGCACCCUUUGCCCAUUUAGGUACCGUAGGCCCACUUAGGUACCCUAGGACUAUUUAGGCAUCCUAGGUCCAUUUAGGCACAUAAGGCUCAUUUAAGCACCCAUAGGCCCAUUUAGGCACCCUAGGUCCACUUAGACACCUUAGGGCUAUUUAGGCACCUUAGGCUCAUUUAGGCACCCUUGGCUCAUUUAGGCACCCUAGGCUCAUUUAGGCACCCUUGGUCCAUUUAGGCACAUAAGGCUCAUUUAAGCACCCAUAGGCCCAUUUAGGCACCCUAGGUCCACUUAGACACCUUAGGGCUAUUUAGGCACCUUAGGCUCAUUUAGGCACCCUUGGCUCAUUUAGGCACCCUAGGCUCAUUUAGGCACCCUUGGUCCAUUUAGGCACAUAAGGCUCAUUUAAGCACCCAUAGGCCCAUUUAGGCACCCUAGGUCCACUUAGACACCUUAGGGCUAUUUAGGCACCUUAGGCUCAUUUAGGCACCCUUGGCUCAUUUAGGCACCCUAGGCUCAUUUAGGCACCCUUGGCCCAUUUAGGCACCCUUGGCCCAUUUCGGCACCCUAGGCCCAUUUAGUAACCCUAAGCCCACUUAGACACCCUUGGCCCAUUUAGGCACCCUAGGUCCACUUAGGCAUUCUAGGCCCAUUUAGGCACCCUAGGUCCACUUAGACACGCUAGGCCCAUUUAAGCACCGUAAGCCCACUUAGGCACCUUUGUCCCAUUUAGGAACCCUAGGCUCAUUUAGGCACCCUAGGUCUACUUAGGCACCCUAAGCCCAUUUAAGCACUCUAGGUCAUAUUAGGCACUCUAGACCCAUUUAGGCACCCUAGGUCCACUUAGGCACCCUAGGCCCAUUUAUGCACCCUAGGUCCAUUUAGGCACCCUUGGCUCAUUUAGGCACCCUAGGCCCACUUAGGCACCCUUGGCCCAUUUAGGCACCCUAGGUCCAUUUAGCCACCCUAGGCUCAUUUAGGCACCCUAGGCCCAUUUAGGCACCCUAGGUCCAAUUAGACACCUUAUGCCCAUUUUGGCACCCUAGGUCCACUUAGGCAUUCUAGACCCAUUUAGGCACCCUAGGUCCACUUAGUCACCUUAGGCCCAUUUAGGCACCCUAGGUCCAUUUUGGCAUCCUUAGCCCAUUUAGGUACCCUAGGCCCAUUUAGGCCCCCUACGUCCAUUUAGGCACCUUAGGGUCAUUUAGGCAUCCAUAGGCCCAUUUAGGCUCUUUAGGUCGACUUAGCCACCUUAGGCCCAUUUAGGCACCCUACGCUCAUUUAGGCACCCUUGGCCCAUUUAGGCACCCUAGGCCCACUUAGACACCCUAAGCCCACACGCUGUGCCUAUUUAGGCACCCUAGGUCCACUUAGGCACCCUAGGCCCAUUUAGGCACCCCGGGUCCAUUAAGGCACCCUUGGCCUAUUUAGGUACCCUAUGCCCAUUUAGGCACCCUAGGUCCAUUUGGGCACCUUAGGGUCAUUUGGGCAUCCAUAGGCCCAUUUAGGCACCCUAGGUGCACUUAGACACCCUUGGCCCAUUUAGGCACCCUAGGCCCACUUAGACACCCCACGCCCACUUAGACACGCUACGCCCAUUUAGGCACCCUAGGUCCACUUAGGCACCAUAGGCCCACUUAGGCACCCCAGGUCCAUUUAGGCACCCUUGGCCCGUUUAGGCACCCUACGCCCACUUAGGCACCCUAGGCCCAUUAAAGCACCCAAGUCCAUUUAAGCACCCUAGGUCCAUUUAAGCACCCUNNNNNNNNNNNNNNNNNNNNNNNNNNNNNNNNNNNNNNNNNNNNNNNNNNNNNNNNNNNNNNNNNNNNNNNNNNNNNNNNNNNNNNNNNNNNNNNNNNNNUAGUCCAUUUGGCAUCCUUAGCCUUUAGGUACCUUAGGUCCAUUUAGGCCCCUUACGGCCAGUUAGGCACCAAGAGUCAUUUAGGCAUCCAUAGUCCCAUUAGGCUCUUUAGGUCGAUUUAGACACUUAGGCCCAUUUAGGCAACCNUACGGUCAUUUAGGCACCCUUGGCCCAUAUAGGCACCGUAGGCCCACUUAGACACCCUAAGCCACACGCUGUGCCUAAUUAGGCACCUUAGGUCCAAAUAGGCACCCUAGGCCCAUUUAGGCACCCCGGGUCCAUUAAGGCACCCUUGGCCUAUUUAGGUACCCUAUGCCCAUUUAGGCACCCUAGGUCCAUUUGGGCACCUUAGGGUCAUUUGGGCAUCCAUAGGCCCAUUUAGGCACCCUAGGUGCACUUAGACACCCUUGGCCCAUUUAGGCACCCUAGGCCCACUUAGACACCCCACGCCCACUUAGACACGCUACGCCCAUUUAGGCACCCUAGGUCCACUUAGGCACCAUAGGCCCACUUAGGCACCCCAGGUCCAUUUAGGCACCCUUGGCCCGUUUAGGCACCCUACGCCCACUUAGGCACCCUAGGCCCAUUUAGGCACCCAAGGUCCAUUUAGGCACCCUAGGCCCAUUUAGGCACCCUAGGUCCACUUAGACACCUUAGGCCCAUUUAGGUACCCUAAGCCCACUUAGGCACCCUAGGCCCAUUUAGGCACCCUAAGUCCAAUUAGGCUCUCUAGACCCAUUUAGGCACCUUAGGCAUCCUUGGCCCAGUUAUGCACCCUAGGUCCACUUAGACACCUUAGGCCCACUUAGGCACCCUAGGCCCAUUUAGGCACCCUAGGUCCAAUUAGGCACCCUACGCUCAUUUUGGCACCCUAGGCCUAUUUAGGAACCCUAUGUCCACUUAGACAACUUAGGCCCAUUUAGGCACCUUAGGUCCACUUAGGCACUCUAGACCCAUUUAGGCACCUUAGGUCUACUUAGGCACCCUAGACCCAUUUAGGUACCCUAGGUCCAUUUAGGCACCCUUUGCCCAUUUAGGUACCGUAGGCCCACUUAGGUACCCUAGGACUAUUUAGGCAUCCUAGGUCCAUUUAGGCACAUAAGGCUCAUUUAAGCACCCAUAGGCCCAUUUAGGCACCCUAGGUCCACUUAGACACCUUAGGGCUAUUUAGGCACCUUAGGCUCGUUUAGGCACCCUUGGCUCAUUUAGGCACCCUAGGCUCAUUUAGGCACCCUUGGCCCAUUUAGGCACCCUUGGCCCAUUUCGGCACCCUAGGUCCAUUUAGUAACCCUAAGCCCACUUAGACACCCUUGGCCCAUUUAGGCACCCUAGGUCCACUUAGGCAUUCUAGGCCCAUUUAGGCACCCUAGGUCCACUUAGACACGCUAGGCCCAUUUAAGCACCGUAAGCCCACUUAGGCACCCUUGUCCCGUUUAGGAACCCUAGGCUCAUUUAGGCACCCUAGGUCUACUUAGGCACCCUAAGCCCAUUUAAGCACUCUAGGUCAUAUUAGGCACUCUAGACCCAUUUAGGCACCCUAAGUCCACUUAGGCACCCUAGGCCCAUUUAUGCACCCUAGGUCCAUUUAGGCACCCUUGGCUCAUUUAGGCACCCUAGGCCCACUUAGGCACCCUUGGCCCAUUUAGGCACCCUAGGUCCAUUUAGCCACCCUAGGCUCAUUUAGGCACCCCAGGCCCAUUUAGGCACCCUAGGUCCAAUUAGACACCUUAUGCCCAUUUUGGCACCCUAGGUCCACUUAGGCAUUCUAGACCCAUUUAGGCACCCUAGGUCCACUUAGUCACCUUAGGCCCAUUUAGGCACCCUAGGUCCAUUUUGGCAUCCUUAGCCCAUUUAGGUACCCUAGGCCCAUUUAGGCCCCCUACGUCCAUUUAGGCACCUUAGGGUCAUUUAGGCAUCCAUAGGCCCAUUUAGGCUCUUUAGGUCGACUUAGCCACCUUAGGCCCAUUUAGGCACCCUACGCUCAUUUAGGCACCCUUGGCCCAUUUAGGCACCCUAGGCCCACUUAGACACCAUAAGCCCACACGCUGCGCCUAUUUAGGCACCCUAGGUCCACUUAGGCACCCUAGGCCCAUUUAGGCACCCCGGGUCCAUUAAGGCACCCUUGGCCUAUUUAGGUACCCUAUGCCCAUUUAGGCACCCUAGGUCCAUUUGGGCACCUUAGGGUCAUUUGGGCAUCCAUAGGCCCAUUUAGGCACCCUAGGUGCACUUAGACACCCUUGGCCCAUUUAGGCACCCUAGGCCCACUUAGACACCCCACGCCCACUUAGACACGCUACGCCCAUUUAGGCACCCUAGGUCCACUUAGGCACCAUAGGCCCACUUAGGCACCCUAGGUCCACUUAGGCACCCCAGGUCCAUUUAGGCACCCUUGGCCCGUUUAGGCACCCUACGCCCACUUAGGCACCCUAGGCCCAUUUAGGCACCCAAGGUCCAUUUAGGCACCCUAGGCCCAUUUAGGCACCCUAGGUCCACUUAGACACCUUAGGCCCAUUUAGGUACCCUAAGCCCACUUAGGCACCCUUGGCCCAUUUAGGCACUCUAGGCUCAUUUGGGCACCCUAGGUCCACUUAGGCACCCUAGGCCCAUUUAGGCACCCUUGGUACACUUAGGCACCCUAGGCCCAUUUAGUCACCCUAAGUCCAGUUAGGCACUCUAGACCCAUUUAGGCACCUUAGGCCCACUUAGGCAUUGUUGGCCCAUUUAGGCACCCUAGGUCCACUUAGACACCUUUGGCCCACUUAAGCACCCUAGGCCCUUUUAGGCGCCCUAGGUCCCUUUAGGAACCCUUGGCUCAUUUAGGCACCCUAGGCCCACUUAGGCACCCUAGGCCCAUUUAGGCACUCUAGGUCCAUUUAGGCACCUUAGGCUCAUUUAGGCACCUUAGGCCCAUUUAGGAACCCUAUGUCUACUUAGACACCUUUUGCCCAUUUAGGCACCCUAGGUCCACUUAGGCACUCUAGACCCAUUUAGGCACCCUAGGUCCACUUAGGCACCCUAGGCCCAUUUAGGCACCUUAGGUCCAUUUAGGCUCUCUAGGCCCAUUUCGGCACCAUAGGUCCACUAAGACACGCUAGGCACAUUUAAGCACCUAAGCACCCUAGGCACAUUUACGAACCUAAGGCUCAUUUAGGCACUCAUGGGCCCAUUUAGGCCCCCUAGGUCCACUUAGACACCUUAGGCUCAUUUAGGCACCCGAGGCUCAUUUAGGCACCCUUGGCCCAUUUAGGCACCUAGGCUCAUUUAGGCACCUUUGGCCCAUUUAGGCACCCUAGGCCCACUUAGACACCCUGAGCCCACUUAGACAUCCUUGGCCCAUUUAGGCACCCUAGGUCCAAUUAGGCUCUCUAGGCCCAUUUCGGCACCCUAGGUCCACUAAGACACGCUAGGAACAUUUAAGCACCCUAAGCCCACUUAGGCACCCUUGGCCCAUUUACGAACCCUAGGCUCAUUUAGGCACCAUAGGUCCACUUAGGUACCCUAGGCCCAUUUAGGCAUUCUAGGUCCAAUUAGGCACUUUAGACCCAUUUGGGCACCCUAGGUCCACUUAGGCACCCUAGGCCCAUUUAGGCACCCUAGGUCCACUCAGGCACCCUAGGCCGAUUUAGGCACCCUUGGUCCACUUAAGCACCCUAGGCCCAUUUUGGCACCCUAGGUCCAGUUAGCCACUCUAGACCCAUUUAGGCACCUUAGGUCCACUUAAGCAUCCUUGGCCCAUUUUGGCACCCUAGGUCCACUUAGGCACUCUAGUCCCAUUUAGGCACCCUAGGUCCACUUAGGCACCCUAGGCCCAUUUAGGCACCCUAGGUCCAUUUAGGCACCCUAGGUCCAUUUAGGCACCCUAGGUCCAUGUAGGCACCCUAGGCUCAUUUAGGCACCCUAGGCCAAUUUAGACACCCUAGGUCCACUUAGACAGCUUAGGCCCAUUUAGGCACCCUAGGUCCACUUAGGCACCCUUGGCCCAUUAAGGCACCCUAGGUCCAUUUAGGCACCCUUGGCCCAUUUAGGUACCCUAGGCCCAUUUAGGCACCUUAGGUCCAUUUAGGCAGCUUAGUGUCACAAGAUGCUUCAAAUGACCCUCCCCAUGGCUUAUAUAGGAGGUGAGAAGCUUCUAGAGACCCUUGGAGACAUCCACACUUAGCCACUAGUGGGAAGAGUGUGGAAGGUUCUAGAAAUGCCUAGAGAAGUCCACACAACUCUACACUAUGGUAGAAGGCAUGAGAAGGGUCCAAAGCUUUCUAGAGAAAUCUAGAAGUCUCUUGAAUAUUCUAGAAUAGUGUAGGACAUUCUAGAAGUCUCUUGAAUAUUCUAGAAUAGUGUAGGACAUUCUAGAAUAUUCAUGAAUUAUAAGGAACCCUCCAAGGUUCUAGAGAGUUCCAUUGAUGCCUAUAAAUAGGUGAGGGCCUCAUUUGGCCAAGGCACCAAGCAAGUGAGCAUCCAAGCACUUGUAAAGGCUUUCUUGAGAUAAUAAAGCUUCCAUUCUUUAAGGAGUUGCCUACUAAGCUCUUAAGCUUUCGAGUCGCGAGUGUCUUAACCGAGCAAGCUAAGCAUUGGGGAUCAAGGCUGACUUAGCNNNNNNNNNNNNNNNNNNNNNNNNNNNNNNNNNNNNNNNNNNNNNNNNNNNNNNNNNNNNNNNNNNNNNNNNNNNNNNNNNNNNNNNNNNNNNNNNNNNNGCACCUUAGGUCCAUUUUUGCAGCUUAGUGUCACAAGAUGCUUCAAAUGACCCUCCCCAUGGCUUAUAUAGGAGGUGAGAAGCUUCUAGAGACCCUUGGAGACAUCCACACUUAGCCACUAGUGGGAAGAGUGUGGAAGGUUCUAGAAAUGCCUAGAGAAGUCCACACAACUCUACACUAUGGUAGAAGGCAUGAGAAGGGUCCAAAGCUUUCUAGAGAAAUCUAGAAGUCUCUUGAAUAUUCUAGAAUAGUGUAGGACAUUCUAGAAGUCUCUUGAAUAUUCUAGAAUAGUGUAGGACAUUCUAGAAUAUUCAUGAAUUAUAAGGAACCCUCCAAGGUUCUAGAGAGUUCCAUUGAUGCCUAUAAAUAGGUGAGGGCCUCAUUUGGCCAAGGCACCAAGCAAGUGAGCAUCCAAGCACUUGUAAAGGCUUUCUUGAGAUAAUAAAGCUUCCAUUCUUUAAGGAGUUGCCUACUAAGCUCUUAAGCUUUCGAGUCGCGAGUGUCUUAACCGAGCAAGCUAAGCAUUGGGGAUCAAGGCUGACUUAGCAAGAUCAAGCGUCUUGACUUGCCUAAGUGCCGCACGAGCUUAGUGAACGACUAAGUCCGUGACAAGUGGCAUCAGAGCGUGGCUACGAAGCGGGCAUAAGGGAAGCAUGUCGGGCUCUAACGUGGAGGAGACUAGCGAACAAACCCGUGGGAGGGAGGCCGAGCCUACUGCAUGGGGCAGGGGCAGAGGUAAGAAGGAUACAUCUCGUGAUGUUGUUGCCAACAUGGAGGCAAGGUUAGGCAAGGUGGAGCUAGCCAUGGCAGACACCCGGGAAGGGGUGGACUUGAUCGAGCAAGGCAUGGAGAAGGGCUUAGAGGAUCUAAGGGAGCAGAUCCAAGACCUUCGCGAGGGGGUGCUGGUCUCGCAAGUUCAACCGGUGUCACACGAGGAGUUCAUGUCUUUCCAAGACAAAGUCAUGAGCAUGUUCGCUAGUGUGGAGUCAAGGAUGGAGGCCUUGACUACACGAGUGGAGGCCCGAGACCAAGAGAUUCGACAAGAGUUGGCCAUCUAUAAGACCGCUGUAUCAGCACGAGUCAUGGCCACUCAUGAGGCACCAAGGGUGGAGGUGCCCAAGCCACACACGUUCAGUGGCAAGAGGGAUGCCAGGGAGCUAGAUAACUUCUUGUGGCACAUGGAGCGUUACUUUGAGGCAAUUGCAUUAACGGAUGAAGCCACUAAGGUACGCACCGCGACCCUUUACCUCACUGAUAAUGCUACUCUAUGGUGGCGUCGACGAUUUGCCGACAUAGAGAGAGGGACGUGCACCAUAGACACAUGGGAUGCCUUUAAGAGAGAAAUCAAGAGGCAAUUCUAUCCCGAAGACGUGGCUUACCUAGCAAGGAAGAGUUUGAAGCGUCUCAAGCACACGGGCUCGAUCCGUGAGUAUGUCAAAGAAUUCUCUACUCUUAUGCUUGAGAUACCUAACAUGGCUGAGGAGGAGCUACUGUUCAACUUCAUGGACAACUUGCAAAGUUGGGCCGAGCAAGAGUUGAGGAGACGUGGUGUCCAAGACCUAGCCACGGCCAUGGCAGUAGCCGAGUCCUUAGUAGAUUAUAGAAGGGGAGACUCCUCCAAGCCCAAGCCACCAUCCAAGGGUAACCAGGCCAAAGGUGGGGGAGACAAGAGGUCGCAAGGCCAUACCUCUAAGGAAGGAUCAAGCAAAGGCCCUAGUGGCAAGGAUGGCAAAGGCAAGGACAAGCGAAAGGAGUUCACGCCCAGGACCAAUUGCUUCCUGUGCGAUGGUCCGCACUGGGCACGGGACUGCCCUAAGAGGAAGGCCUUAAAUGCUAUGAUCGAGGAAAAGGAGCAAGAAGGCGAUGCUAAGAUGGGAUCGUUGCAGCUCUUAAAUGCCCUUAAGGCCAAGCCGAUGCCUAAGACGCCUCAAAGCAAAGGGCUGAUGUAUGUGGAGGCCCUUGUGAAUGAGAAGGCCACCAAGGCCCUGGUGGACACAGGUGCCACUCACAACUUUGUCUCGGAGGAUGAGGCAAGAAGGUUGGAGCUCCAAGCAUCCAAGGAAGGAGGAUGGCUCAAGGCAGUCAAUUCAGCCGCCAAGCCAUCACAUGGAGUAGCUCGCGGGGUGACUAUGCACAUUGGCUCGUGGGAAGGAAGGGUCGACUUCACAGUGGCACCCAUGGAUGACUUCAAGAUGGUGCUAGGAAUGGACUUCCUACAGAAGGUCAAGGCCGUGCCACUACCUUUCCUAUGCUCAAUGGCUAUCCUAGAGGAGGAGAAGUCGUGCAUGGUCCCUACGGUCAAUGAAGGUACGCUCAAGACCCCUAUGUUAUCCGCUAUGCAAGUAAAGAAGGGGUUAAAGAGGGAAGAGGUGACCUACCUCGCCACCCUAAAGGAAGAAAAGGAUGAUGGGUCGGGAGAACCCAUGCCUAGAGAAAUCGAGGGGGUCCUUGAUGAGUUCAAGGACGUUAUGCCGCCCGAGUUGCCCAAAAGACUUUCUCCUAGGAGAGAGGAAGAUCACAAGAUUGAGCUGGAGCCGGGAGCCAAGCCCCCUGCUAUGGGGCCAUAUAGGAUGGCACCACCCGAGUUGGAGGAGCUAAGGAGACAACUCAAGGAGUUGCUAGAUGCGGGGUUCAUCCAACCAUCCAAGGCUCCUUAUGGCGCGCCGGUUCUAUUUCAGAAAAAGCAUGAUGGGUCCCUACGAAUGUGCAUAGAUUACCGGGCACUCAACAAGGUGACGGUGAAGAACAAGUAUCCCAUCCCGCUCAUUGCUGACUUGUUCGAUCAACCUGGUAGGGCAAGGUACUUCACGAAGCUAGACUUAAGGUUAGGCUACUACCAAGUGAGGAUUGCUGAGGGAGAUGAGCCGAAGACUACAUGUGUGACCAGGUAUGGCUCAUAUGAGUUCUUAGUAAUGCCUUUCGGAAUCACCAAUGCCCCAGCAACGUUUUGCACCCUCAUGAACAAGAUCUUCCACCCAUACUUGGACAAGUUUGUGGUGGUGUACUUGGAUGACAUAGUCAUCUAUAGUAACACUCUAAAGGAGCACGUAGAGCACUUGAGGAAGGUCUUUAAGAUCUUGAGGCAGAACGAGCUAUACGUGAAGAAGGAGAAGUGUUCGUUUGCUAAGGAGGAAGUGAGCUUCCUUGGGUAUCGCAUCAGAGAUGGCAAGCUGAUGAUGGAUGAUAGCAAGGUGAAGGCCAUCCAAGAAUGGGAUUCACCAACCAAGGUACCUCAACUCAGAUCUUUCCUUGGUUUAGUUAAUUACUAUCGGCGGUUCAUAAAGGGUUAUUCGGCAAGGGCUGCUCCACUCACUGAUCUUCUGAAGAAGAAUAAGGCAUGGGAAUGGGAUGAAAGGUGCCAACAAGCCUUUGAGGACCUGAAGAAGGUUGUGACUGAGGAGCCAGUGUUGGCACUACCCGACCACACCAAGGUCUUGGAGGUACACACAGAUGCCUCAGACUUCGCUAUUGGGGGAGUCCUUAUGCAAGAAAGACACCCAAUUGCAUUUGAGAGUCGCAAGCUAAACGACGCGGAGAGGCGUUACACGGUGCAAGAAAAGGAGAUGACCGCUAUCGUUCACUGCUUGCGCACCUGGAGGCACUAUUUGCUAGGGUCUCACUUCAUAGUGAAGACCGACAAUGUGGCCACUAGCUACUUCCAGACACAGAAGAAGCUGAGUCCUAAACAAGCUAGGUGGCAAGACUUCCUGGCCGAGUUCGACUAUACGCUGGAGUAUAAGCCAGGAAGUGCUAAUCAUGUGGCUGACGCCGUAAGUCCCAAAGCUGAGCUAGCGUCCAUAACGAGUCAGCCCCAAGGAGACAUAAUGGAUCUUCUAAGGGAGGGACUGUAACAUAAUCCAGUGGCUAAGAGCCUCAUCGCCCUGGCUCAUGAAGGGAAGACCAAGCGGUUUUGGGUGGAGGACGGCUUACUCUACACCAAAGGGAGACGACUCUACGUGCCUAAGUGGGGGAACAUAAGGCGGAACCUGAUUAAGGAGUGCCAUGACACCAAGUGGGCAGGGCACCCUGGGCAACGACGCACUAGGGCACUACUCGAGUCGGCUUACUAUUGGCCUCAGAUACGGGACGAGGUUGAGGCCUAUGUGAGGACUUGUCUUGUGUGCCAACAAGACAAGGUGGAACAACGACAACCUAGAGACAUGUUAGAGCCACUACCUGUAGCAGAACGCCCAUGGGACAGCGUCACCAUGGACUUCAUCAUCGGGCUACCUAAGUUAGAGGACAACGACUCUAUCAUAGUGGUGGUGGAUAGGUUCUCUAAGUAUGCAACCUUCAUAGCAGCCCCGACUGACUGCACUGCGGAAGAGACGGCGAGGCUAUUCCUAAAGCACGUAGUCAAGUAUUGGGGGUUGCCUAAGUUCAUCAUCAGUGAUCGCGACCCGCGCUUCACUGGGAAGUUUUGGACGAAGCUCUUCAAGCUUAUGGGUUCGGAGCUUCACUUCUCCACCAGCUUUCACCCACAGACAGAUGGGCAGACUGAGAGGGUGAACGCCUUGCUGGAGCUAUACUUGAGGCACUUUGUGAGUGCCAACCAGAGGGAUUGGGCUAAGUUGCUAGAUAUAGCCCAGUUCUCAUACAACUUGCAAAGGAGUGAGGCGACCAACAAGAGCCCGUUCGAGCUAGCCACAAGGCAGCAACCCUUAACUCCUCACACGCUAACGAUAGGCUACACAGGGAGAAGUCCAGCGGCUUUCAAGUUCGCGAAGGGGUGGCAUGAGUAAGCUGACAUAGCACGCUCGUACUUGGACAAGGCCGCUAAGAAAAUGAAGAAGUGGGCUGACAAGAAGCGACGUCACACGGAGUACAAGGUUGGAGACAUGGUGCUUGUCAAGCUCCUUCCUCAACAAUUCAAAUCCCUAAGGCCAGUGCAUAAGGGCCUUGUGAGGAGGUAUGAAGGACCCUUCCCUAUACUUGGAAAGGUCGGCAAGGUGUCCUACAAAGUGGAGUUACCGCCAAGGUUAAAGAUUCACCUUGUCUUCCACAUGAGUUACUUGAAGCCAUAUCACGAAGACAAGGAUGAUCCAAGCCGAGGGCUUUCUAAGAGGGCACCUACAGCGGUUGUGACCUCCUAUGACAAGGAGGUGGAACACAUCAUUGCAGACCGAAUCAUCAGAAGGCGUGGUGUGCCUCCUGCUACGGAGUACUUAGUGAAAUGGAAGGGACUACCAGAAAGCGAGGCUAGUUGGGAGCCAGCAAAUGCACUAUGGCAGUUCCAGGAACAGAUUGAGCGGUUCCGGGCAGAAGACACGACGAGGACGUCUGCGGCUUAGGUGGGGGAGAGUGUCACAAGAUGCUUCAAAUGACCCUCCCCAUGGCUUAUAUAGGAGGUGAGAAGCUUCUAGAGACCCUUGGAGACAUCCACACUUAGCCACUAGUGGGAAGAGUGUGGAAGGUUCUAGAAAUGCCUAGAGAAGUCCACACAACUCUACACUAUGGUAGAAGGCAUGAGAAGGGUCCAAAGCUUUCUAGAGAAAUCUAGAAGUCUCUUGAAUAUUCUAGAAUAGUGUAGGACAUUCUAGAAGUCUCUUGAAUAUUCUAGAAUCGUGUAGGAGAUUCUAGAGAGUUCCAUUGGUGCCUAUAAAUAGGUGAGGGCCUCAUUUGGCCAAGGCACCAAACAAAGUGAGCAUCCAAGCACUUGUAAAGGCUUCUUUGAGUAAUAAGAGCUUCCAUUAUUUAAAAGUUGCCUACUACACUUCUCAGCUUCCGAGUCGUGAGCAUCUUAGCCUAGCAAGCUAAGUGUCGGGGGUAAGGCUGACUUAGCAAGANNNNNNNNNNNNNNNNNNNNNNNNNNNNNNNNNNNNNNNNNNNNNNNNNNNNNNNNNNNNNNNNNNNNNNNNNNNNNNNNNNNNNNNNNNNNNNNNNNNNNNNNNNNNNNNNNNNNNNNNNNNNNNNNNNNNNNNNNNNNNNNNNNNNNNNNNNNNNNNNNNNNNNNNNNNNNNNNNNNNNNNNNNNNNNNNNNNNNNNNNNNNNNNNNNNNNNNNNNNNNNNNNNNNNNNNNNNNNNNNNNNNNNNNNNNNNNNNNNNNNNNNNNNNNNNNNNNNNNNNNNNNNNNNNNNNNNNNNNNNNNNNNNNNNNNNNNNNNNNNNNNNNNNNNNNNNNNNNNNNNNNNNNNNNNNNNNNNNNNNNNNNNNNNNNNNNNNNNNNNNNNNNNNNNNNNNNNNNNNNNNNNNNNNNNNNNNNNNNNNNNNNNNNNNNNNNNNNNNNNNNNNNNNNNNNNNNNNNNNNNNNNNNNNNNNNNNNNNNNNNNNNNNNNNNNNNNNNNNNNNNNNNNNNNNNNNNNNNNNNNNNNNNNNNNNNNNNNNNNNNNNNNNNNNNNNNNNNNNNNNNNNNNNNNNNNNNNNNNNNNNNNNNNNNNNNNNNNNNNNNNNNNNNNNNNNNNNNNNNNNNNNNNNNNNNNNNNNNNNNNNNNNNNNNNNNNNNNNNNNNNNNNNNNNNNNNNNNNNNNNNNNNNNNNNNNNNNNNNNNNNNNNNNNNNNNNNNNNNNNNNNNNNNNNNNNNNNNNNNNNNNNNNNNNNNNNNNNNNNNNNNNNNNNNNNNNNNNNNNNNNNNNNNNNNNNNNNNNNNNNNNNNNNNNNNNNNNNNNNNNNNNNNNNNNNNNNNNNNNNNNNNNNNNNNNNNNNNNNNNNNNNNNNNNNNNNNNNNNNNNNNNNNNNNNNNNNNNNNNNNNNNNNNNNNNNNNNNNNNNNNNNNNNNNNNNNNNNNNNNNNNNNNNNNNNNNNNNNNNNNNNNNNNNNNNNNNNNNNNNNNNNNNNNNNNNNNNNNNNNNNNNNNNNNNNNNNNNNNNCAUUUAGGAACCCUAGGCUUAUUUAGGCACCCUAGGUCUACUUAGGCACCCUAAGCCCAUUUAGGCACUCUAGGUCAUAUUAGGCACUCUAGACCCAUUUAGGCACCCUAGGUCCACUUAGGCACCCUAGGCCCAUUUAUGCACCCUAGGUCCAUUUAGGCACCCUUGGCCCAUUUAGGCACCCUAGGCCCACUUAGGCACCCUUGGCCCAUUUAGGCACCCUAGGUCCAUUUAGCCACCCUAGGCUCAUUUAGGCACCCCAGGCCCAUUUAGGCACCCUAGGUCCAAUUAGACACCUUAUGCCCAUUUUGGCACCCUAGGUCCACUUAGGCAUUCUAGACCCAUUUAGGCACCCUAGGUCCACUUAGUCACCUUAGGCCCAUUUAGGCACCCUAGGUCCAUUUUGGCAUCCUUAGCCCAUUUAGGUACCCUAGGCCCCCUAGGUCCAUUUAGGCACCUUAGGGUCAUUUAGGCAUCCAUAGGCCCAUUUAGGCUCCCUAGGUCUACUUAGCCACCUUAGGCCCAUUUAGGCACCCUAAGCCCAUUUAGGCACUCUAGGUCAUAUUAGGCACUCUAGACCCAUUUAGGCACCCUAGGUCCACUUAGGCACCCUAGGCCCAUUUAUGCACCCUAGGUCCAUUUAGGUACCCUUGGCCCAUUUAGGCACCCUAGGCCCACUUAGGCACCCUAGGCCCAUUUAGGCACCUAAGGUCCAAUUUGGCACCCUAGGUCCACUUAGGCACCCUAGGCCCAUUUAGGCACCGUAGGUCCAUUUAGGCACCCUUAGCCCAUUUAGGCACCCUAGGCCCAUUUAGGCACCCUAGGCCCAAUUAGGCACCCUAGGUCCAUUUAGGCACCCUAGGUCCACUUAGACACCUUGGCCCAUUUAGGCACCCUAGGUCCACUUAGGCACUCUAGGCCCAUUUAGGCACCCUAGGUCCACUUAGACACGCUAGGCCCAUUUAAGCACCCUAAGCCCACUUAGGCACCCUUGUCCCAUUUAGGAACCCUAGGCUUAUUUAGGCACCCUAGGUCUACUUAGGCACCCUAAGCCCAUUUAGGCACUCUAGGUCAUAUUAGGCACUCUAGACCCAUUUAGGCACCCUAGGUCCACUUAGGCACCCUAGGCCCAUUUAUGCACCCUAGGUCCAUUUAGGCACCCUUGGCCCAUUUAGGCACCCUAGGCCCACUUAGGCACCCUUGGCCCAUUUAGGCACCCUAGGUCCAUUUAGCCACCCUAGGCUCAUUUAGGCACCCCAGGCCCAUUUAGGCACCCUAGGUCCAAUUAGACACCUUAUGCCCAUUUUGGCACCCUAGGUCCACUUAGCAUUCUAGACCCAUUUAGCACCCUAGGUCCACUUAGUCACCUUAGCCCAUUUAGCACCCUAUGUCCAUUUUGGCAUCCUUAGCCCAUUUAGUACCCUAAGGCCCCCUAGUCCAUUUAGCACCUUUAGGGUCAUUUAAGGCAUCCAUAGGCCAUUUAAGCUCCCUAGGUCUANNNNNNNNNNNNNNNNNNNNNNNNNNNNNNNNNNNNNNNNNNNNNNNNNNNNNNNNNNNNNNNNNNNNNNNNNNNNNNNNNNNNNNNNNNNNNNNNNNNNCAGAAAGCGAGGCUAGUUGGGAGCCAGCAAAUGCACUAUGGCAGUUCCAGGAACAGAUUGAGCGGUUCCGGGCAGAAGACACGACGAGGACGUCUGCGGCUUAGGUGGGGGAGAGUGUCACAAGAUGCUUCAAAUGACCCUCCCCAUGGCUUAUAUAGGAGGUGAGAAGCUUCUAGAGACCCUUGGAGACAUCCACACUUAGCCACUAGUGGGAAGAGUGUGGAAGGUUCUAGAAAUGCCUAGAGAAGUCCACACAACUCUACACUAUGGUAGAAGGCAUGAGAAGGGUCCAAAGCUUUCUAGAGAAAUCUAGAAGUCUCUUGAAUAUUCUAGAAUAGUGUAGGACAUUCUAGAAGUCUCUUGAAUAUUCUAGAAUAGUGUAGGACAUUCUAGAAUAUUCAUGAAUUAUAAGGAACCCUCCAAGGUUCUAGAGAGUUCCAUUGGUGCCUAUAAAUAGGUGAGGGCCUCAUUUGGCCAAGGCACCAAGCAAGUGAGCAUCCAAGCACUUGUAAAGGCUUUCUUGAGAUAAUAAAGCUUCCAUUCUUUAAGGAGUUGCCUACUAAGCUCUUAAGCUUUCGAGUCGCGAGUGUCUUAGCCGAGCAAGCUAAGCACUGGGGAUCAAGGCUGACUUAGCAAGAUCAAGCGUCUUGACUUGCCUAAGUGCCGCACGAGCUUAGUGAACGACUAAGUCCGUGACAUUAGGCUCAUUUAGGCACCCAUAAGCCCAUUUUGGCACCCUAGGUCCACUUAGACACCUUAGGCCCAUUUAGGUACCCUAGGCUCAUUUAGGCACCCUUGGUCCAUUUAGGCACCCUAGGCCUACUUAGACACCCUAAGCCCACUUAGACACGCUACGCCCAUUUAGGCACCCUAGGUCCACUUAGGCACCUUAGGCCCACUUAGGCACCCUUGGCCCAUUUAGGCACCCUAGGUCCACUUAGGCACUCUAGGCCUAUUUAGGCACCCUAGGUCCACUUAGGCACCCUAGGCCCAUUUAGGCACCCUAGGUCCACUUAGACACCUUAGGCCCAUUUAGGCACCCUAAUGUCACAAAAUGCUUCAAAUGACCCUCCCCAUGGCUUAUAUAGGAGGUAAGAAGCUUCUAGAGACCCUUGGAGACAUGCACACUUAGCCACUAGUGGGAAGAGUGUGGAAGGUUCUAGAAAUGCCUAGAGAAGUCCACACAACUCUACACUAUGGUAGAAGGCAUGAGAAGGGUCCAAAGUUUUCUAGAGAAAUCUAGAAGUUUCUUGUAUAUAGGCUUGUACAUAGAAUAGUGUACGACAUUCUAGAAUAUUCAUGAAUUGUAAGGAACCCUCCAAGGUUCUAGAAAGUUCCAUUUGUGCCUAUAAAUAGGUGAGGGCCUCAUUUGGCCAAGGCACCAAACAAGUGAGCAUCCAAGCACUUGUAAAGGCUUUCUUGAGUUAAUAAGAGCUUCCAUUCUUUAAGGAGUUGCCUACUAAGCUCUUAAGCUUUCGAGUCGCGAGUGUCUUAGCCGAGCAAGCUAAGCGUUGGGGAUCAAGGCUGACUUAGCAAGAUCAAGCGUCUUGACUUGCCUAAGUGCCGCACAAGCUUAGUGAACGACUAAUUCCGUGACACUAAGCCCACUUAGGCACCCUUUGCCCAUUUAGGCACCCUAGGCUCAUUUAGGCACCCUAGGUCCACUUAGGCACCCUAGGCCCAUUUAGGCACCCUAGGUCCACUUAGGCACCCUAGGCCCAUUUAGGCACCGUAGGUCCAUUUAGGCACCCUUAGCCCAUUUAGGCACCCUAGGCCCAUUUAGGCACCCUAGGCCCAAUUAGGCACCCUAGGUCCAUUUAGGCACCCUAGGUCCACUUAGACACCUUGGCCCAUUUAGGCACCCUAGGUCCACUUAGGCACUCUAGGCCCAUUUAGGCACCCUAGGUCCACUUAGACACGCUAGGCCCAUUUAAGCACCCUAAGCCCACUUAGGCACCCUUGUCCCAUUUAGGAACCCUAGGCUUAUUUAGGCACCCUAGGUCUACUUAGGCACCCUAAGCCCAUUUAGGCACUCUAGGUCAUAUUAGGCACUCUAGACCCAUUUAGGCACCCUAGGUCCACUUAGGCACCCUAGGCCCAUUUAUGCACCCUAGGUCCAUUUAGGCACCCUUGGCCCAUUUAGGCACCCUAGGCCCACUUAGGCACCCUUGGCCCAUUUAGGCACCCUAGGUCCAUUUAGCCACCCUAGGCUCAUUUAGGCACCCCAGGCCCAUUUAGGCACCCCAGGUCCAAUUAGACACGUUGCGCCCAUUUAGGCACCCUAGGUCCACUUAGGCACCAUAGGCCCACUUAGGCACCCUAGGUCCACUUAGGCACCCCAGGUCCAUUUAGGCACCCUUGGCCAAUUUAGGCACCCUACGCCCACUUAGGCACCCUAGGCCCAUUUAGGCACCCAAGGUCCAUUUAGGCACCCUAGGCCCAUUUAGGGACCCUAGGCCCACUUAGACACCUUAGGCCCAUUUAGGUACCCUAAGCCCACUUAGGCACCUGUGGACACCGCAUUUCGUGCUUGAUGCGUUUCCCACUCGAUGGCGAGCUCGAUUUUUAUUUUGAAAAAUUAAUUUUAUUUAUUGUUUGUUUAAAAAAAUGACUUGGAGUCGCCACUUAUUUUUGUUUUAUUUUUAAAGGGUAAACAAAAUAAGAAAGAAAAACCCUAAGUGUGACUCCUUAUUUUGGAAAAGGCGGUCUGUGAAAAACCGGAUCGGGUUCGGGGGUCAGGUUACUUAUCGGGAAGGUACGGUAAAGACCGUAGCACCCCUCUAAGUCCCUAAAAUCGUGUCUCUACUAAUAGAAUAAAGCUGACGUGGCAAUCAAUGAGGAAAUCAGCGGAUACUCAAAUCAAACUUGCACAUAUGAAAAUAAGAGUAUGCAUAGAGAAUAAUCAAAAUGAGAAUGAGUGCGUACCUGGACCUCCAGUGACAAAUGCGCUAUCAUGAAACAGGAUUAGUGAGCAAUGAACAAGAUAUAAUUAAGCGCAUAUCAAGAAAUAGAGUAAACCAAUCAUGCAUGGCAAAUAAAUCAAUCGAUCUGUCAAUCAAUCAUGAAGUCAAGUAUGUGGGGCCCCCACCAAAGCCCGUUUAUUUUGCAUGAAUUAAUUCCAUAAAUUCCAUUAGUCGGAAUUAUGGAAUUUAAUUCUUGCUUAUUUUUAAAACAUUUUAAAAGAUUAUGAAAGAUUUGAAAAUUGCUUACCGAAUAGAAAGUGGAAGCAAAUUUGAUUAAAAGUGAGACUCUUAGGUGAUCCUAAAAAUUCUAAGGAUGAAAGAGUGUGGAAUUGAAAUUAUUGUUUUAUUGAAAAAUGAGGAACUGGGAAAUUAUUAAAAAAAGUGAGAUUUGAAAAAUUGUUGUCAAAGUCAAAGAGGAUAAAAGGGAAGAUGUCACGUGACCAAAGGUGGCCAUGCAACUGAAUGCUCAUAUGCGCGGACCCAAGGAGGUCACUGGGGCUACUUUGUCGGCGCACCAUCCUCUCUUAUAACUGCAAAUAGGCUCGGUAUGAAAGAAACUUGAGACAGGUCUGGUGACUCAGAAUAUGGAUCAGAACCCACAGAACCUUUGAUCACGAUCACCUAGGAUGUAACACGUCCCUCUCUCAAAGCAAAUCUUUGUCCAGCUUCAAGAGGAACAGCAGAUAUCAACUCGAAAAACUACUGUAACAUCAUUCCCGGGCAUAACCAUCUUAACUUCUUCAAGCAAUUGAACCUUCCUAGUGGCAUCUGCAGUCCUCAGGUGGCUUUGAUUUAUCAGAAGAAUUGAAAGCCGAAGAUUUAGGCAUUGGAGGGGUCACAUGCAUUAGUUGCCUAGAUUGCUUAAAUGCCAAUUCCUCAAGCCGAUGUGUGUUAACAGGCAGCUGUGGUGUAGUGCAAGCCCAUGAUGGAGCCCGUGCCAAUGCUUCAGCCAUAUUAAGACCAACUGUAAUACUUGGAAGCCCAGGUGCUGUGGCAGAACGAUAUUUUGUUGAGCAGAUGAGGAUCCAAUGAGCAAAUUCUGAACAGCCAUGUUCAACCCAGGUGACGAAACCCUCCCAAGAUCCAAUUCGGUUCCAAGUGAAGAGAAAUCCUUAUCAAACACAGUCUUGUGGAUGGUUUCUCACAAAGCAAUCUCAUGGUUUACACUUUCUGCUUAUUUAUGAAGUUUGCUAAUCCUUUCCUUUCUUAUCCUCGGGACGACCUUCUUCCGAUCGAGCCUUCCUAUCCUCGGUGUGGCAUUUAUACGACAUAACCCAACUCACCUAUCAACCCAUAUCUGAAUUUGGCUGCGUCUUAGCAAGAUGCUUCACGGCGUCUUUCUCCAGCUGCAGCCACAACGUGUCAGCUGCCUCCACCCAAAACCUGAUAUGCUGAGAAGUUUCCGUCUAUUAUUGGAUUCGGUAUCUGAUUCCUCAGUCGCUUUCAUUCUCUCAAUCCCUUCCAUGCAUGCAUGAGGGUUGGUGUUAUGUGGUGUAAGGAGAGAAACGGGUAUGGGAUGUGAUCAAAUGGGUGUAUGUGUGAGGGUAUGAAAUAUAGGUGUGGAGACGGGUAUUAUAGGCAAAAGAAGUGGCCAUGCACAUGAGAUGAGUGUGAAGCACGGCCACGGGUAGUGAGAGAAAAUGGGUGGUUAUGUGUUAAGUAUGAGUGGUGAUGAAAUGUGUAUGAAGGUUUAAACAAUGGGUUUGGAGGAUGGAGAUAGGAGUGAGUGGAGUGGGUGGUUGGACGAGUAGUAAGGCUUAGAGAGAUGGUAGUGGGUUUGGAAUAGGUGCAGGGGAAGAUAAUGAAUGAAGAUGAAUGAAGAGAGCGUGAGAUAGAAGAUGGAUGUGAUGGACAAGAAGGUGGCCACGUGCCUGGAGCUUCAUGUAUAUGGGUAUGAAAGAGUUUGAAGAGAGAGAAAAGGUGGUAAUAUGGAAUGGGUUUGGUGGGUGCAAGCAUGAGGCAUGAAGAUGAGGGUUAGUAUGGAAGUGUGGGUAUGAUGAGCGAAAGAGAGAGAUGAGAUGAGUGCAUGGUGGUGUAGAAAGAAAGGUGAUCAUACAAAUGGGCAUAGGUAUGGAGGUAUAAUGGGUAUAGGGUCAUGGGUAUGCUAAAUGGGCAAAAAGGGUAUAAGCCCGAAAUUAAUGGAGUAGGUAGUGGGAGAUAAUAGGAAAUGGGUGUUCAUGGGGAUCCUCUGCGUACAUGGUGGGAAAGGAAACAGUGAAGAGUACCCACAGCCAACUGAACUUUCAUUAUUCCUCUCAUUUUAACAUAAGCUUGACCACAAUAUUUCUGAACUCUCUCUUAGGACUCAUACUUCCGAUGGCUAUUUUGUGGUCUACAAUGCCAAUGGUGAUAUUUUCCGUCUUUCAAAGCCGAAAAGAGGUAAGUGACCCUCAUCAAUCGAACAACUCACUUUCUUAUAUAUUCAGGCAACAACUAGAGCAACUCCAGAUCUAUGAAUAGUAUGGGCCCAAGAAUCUGCUUAACAGAAUGCUCCAAAUCUUCAACAAGUGUAAAUCAGUUGGAUACGAUUGCACAUUGUGUUGUAGCGUGAACAACAGAGAUGGCAAAAGGACUUCAUUGUCAUGACCGAAAAAGCGUCAACUUCUUUCUCAUUGACUGGCAUAAUAUCCUCAGUAACAAACUGAUCCAGAUCAAAUAUAAAUGCAGUAUUCCCACAAGAUACAACCGGAACAGGACCUUGCUUCUUUUCCAUCUAAGAUCUUUGCGCAACCCAGAUCAUCUGGAGGAGUUUUGUUCAUCCUCAACACUCACGAGCUAUGAUCUGUGCUAUCACCACCUGGCUCUCUCAAAUAGGGAUGUACAACCUGAUGUAUAACAAGGUAGGAUGCCGAAAACAGGGGAAUGGCAAAACCAAAUAGAAAACAAACCAGUGAAACAAAUAAAACAACCAAAGCCAUGUUUCAUGUUUAGAUCAACAGGUUUGGCUGUAGGUGAGUGAACUAGAAUGCACCUAAAGAGAUAAGAACAAGACAAAACUCCUAUAUGUGGCAUAGCGAAAACUAAAACAGAGCUGAGCCAUUCUCAAAUCAUCAUAAGGAAAAUAGGCAAGAUAGCCGCCAAGGAAAUCCGAGAACCAAGCAGGAACCAUAAGAUAGAACGUAUACCCAAACAAAUCACAGACAAUAUCAAGCAAAAGGAAUGAAACUACAUACUGAUAAAGAAUAUGAAGGAUCCAUGGCAGUCAUACCUCGCUUUUCUUCCCCCUCAAGCUCUCUGUUCUCUCUGGAUAUCUUAGCCAAAACUCCUCCUAGUUUUCCCUCUGAGCUCUCCUCAAGCUCCCAGAAAAACUCUCCCUCAGGCUCCUCCGGAAUCUCUCCUUUUUCUCUCCUCCUCUCUCAAUAUCCAGCUUGCUCCUUGCAAAAUCAGCACCCUCUCUCCAAAAACAUGCUCUGUUUUUCUUAGCUUCUCCCUGGUCCCUGCAUCCCCUAAAAAUCUCCUUUUCUCCUUUUUCUUUUCUCUCGGAUUUGCCCUUCUAACCAUAUCUGCAGAGACAGCCCCCUUCAUGCAGCUGGCAACCUUCCCAUAACAGAAAAAUACGCUCCCCUGAUUCCAGAAGAUUCUUUCCCUUUACAGGUGUCUUCCCCGGAUUAGUCCAUCAAUUCCACUAUUUUGAUCCCAUAUUGACUAAUUCGGGAGUGACACGUGGCCAGAAUGAGCUGCAUGAAAUAGCACCCAAAUAGGGGUCUACAAAUAUGUCCCUCUUUGGUAGAGUUCACGAGUGUAAAGAAUAUGAACACUGGAGUGAAAAGCAAGUGUGAAUAGUGAGUGCAAUGAAGUGAACUCUACUGAAGAACAAAGGAGACCCCCAAAAGGACACCAGUGGAACCCAAACUCACUCAGGCCAACAGAAUGAACAAUGAGGCUCUAAUCCUAAGAGAGAAAAAUGUCACAAAAUGCCUCUGAAGCCACACUAAGGAUCCAAGCUCCCUCUAAGACAUCUCCAAAAGUGACUCGAAGAUCAAUGUCAAAGAUGAGUAACGGUCGAACCACCCUGGAGUACAAUAAAGAAUGUGCCCGAAGGAGACUGCCCUAUGUGAACUAUACGAGAAUGCCAAGUGUAGGGUGCCCAACAACAUGAUCGAAAUAUGCGUCACGGAUCUCAAAAGACUGUGUCAUGUGUAGUGGAAAGGGAAGUCUAAAAGAGCAAUGAUGAAUAGGCGAUAAGCAUCAAGUAACCAGGUGAGGAGAAUGGCUCUGAACGCCUAAAAUGGAAAUGUGAUCCUGAAUGUCAUACUGAAGCAAAGACCUGGACGCCAAACUGACUUGAUAGGAAGAAUGAAUGACCGAUCUAUAUGGGUGCGGUCCCGACUCAAACUAAACACAAUCUGAUAGGGAAAUGACCGAUCGAUAUGGGUGCGGCCCCGACUCAAACUGAACUGAUAAGAAGAUGGCCGAUUUAUAUAGGUGCGGCCCUAGAAACUAAACUGACAUGACAAGGAGAUGGUCGAUCGAUAUAGGUGCGGCCCCGACUCAAACUGACACGAUAAUGACCGAUCGUAUAGGUGCGGUCCCAGAAACUGAACUGACAUGACAAGCAGAUGACCGAUCGAUAUAGGUGCAGUCCCAGAAACUGAACUGACAUGACAAAGAGAUGACCGAUCGAUAUAGGUGCGGUCCCGACUCAAACUGACACGAUAAUGACCGAUCGUAUAGGUGCGGUCCUGGAAACUGAACUAACAUGACAAAGAGAUGGUCGAUCGUAUAGGUGCGGCCUCGACUCAAACUGACACGAUAAUGACCGAUCGUAUAGGUGCGGUCCCAGAAACUGAACUGCCAUGACAAAGAGAUGGUCGAUCGUAUAGGUGCGGCCUCGACUCAAACUGACACGAUGAUGACCGAUCGUAUAGGUGCGGUCCCAAAAACUGAAUUGACAUGACAAAGAGAUGGUCGAUCGUAUAGGUGUGGCCUCGACUCAAACUGGCACGAUAAUGACCGAUCGUAUAGGUGCGGUCCCAGAAACUGAACUAACAUGACAAAGAGAUGGUCGAUCGUAUAGGUGCGGCCCCGACUCAAACUGACACGAUGAUGACCGAUCGUAUAGGUGCGGCCUCGACUCAAACUGACACGAUGAUGACCGAUCGUAUAGGUGCGGUCCUAGAAACUGAACUAUCAUGACAAAGAGAUGGUCGAUCAUAUAGGUGCGGCCCCGACUCAAACUGACACGAUGAUGACCGAUCGUAUAGGUGCGGUCCCAGAAACUGAACUGACAUGACAAAGAGAUGGCUGAUCGUAUAGGUGCGGCCUCGACUCAAACUGGCACGAUAAUGACCGAUCGUAUAGGUGUGGUCCCAGAAACUGAACUGACAUGACAAAGAGAUGGCCGAUCGUAUAGGUGCGGCCCCGACUCAAACUGACACGAUGAUGACCGAUCGUAUAGGUGCGGUCCCAGAAACUGAACUGUCAUGACAAAGAGAUGGUCGAUCGUAUAGGUGCGGCCCCGACUCAAACUGACACGAUGAUGACCGAUCGUAUAGGUGCGGUCCCAGAAACUGAACUGACAUGACAAAGAGAUGGCCGAUCGUAUAGGUGCUGCCCCGACUCAAACUGACACGAUGAUGACCGAUCGUAUAGGUGCGGUCUCAGAAACUGAACUGACAUGACAAAGAUAUGGUCGAUCGUAUAGGUGCGGCCUCGACUCAAACUGACACGAUGAUGACCGAUCGUAUAGGUGCGGUCCCAGAAACUGAACUGUCAUGACAAAGAGAUGGUCGAUCAUAUAGGUACGGUCCCAGAAACUGAACUGACAUGACAGGAAGAUGGCCGAUCGUAUAGGUGCGGUCCCGACUCAAACUGACAUGAUAAUGACCGAUCGAUAUAGGUGCGGUCCCGACUCAAAGUGAACUGAUAAGAAGAUGGCCGAUCGAUAUAGGUGCGGCCCCGACUCAAACUGACACGAUAAUGACCGAUCGUAUAGGUGCGGUCCCAGAAACUGAACUGUCAUGACAAAGAGAUGGCCGAUCGUAUAGGUGCGGCCUCGACUCAAACUGACACGAUAAUGACCGAUCGUAUAGGUGCGGUCCCAGAAACUGAACUGUCAUGACAAAGAGAUGGUCGAUCGUAUAGGUGCGGUCCCAGAAACUGAACUGACAUGACAGGAAGAUGGCCGAUCGUAUAGGUGCGGUCCCGACCCAAACUGACACGAUAAUGACCGAUCGAUAUAGGUGCGGUCCCGACUCGAACUGAACUGAUAAGAAGAUGGCCGAUCGAUAUAGGUGCGGCCCUGACUCAAACUGACACGAUAAUGACCGAUCGUAUAGGUGCGGUCCCAGAAACUGAAUUGACAUGACAAAGAAAUGACUGAUCGUAUAGGUGUGGUCCCGACUCAAACUGACACGAUAAUGACCGAUCGAUAUAGGUGUGGUCCCGACUCGAACUGAACUGAUAAGAAGAUGGCCGAUCGAUAUAGGUGCGGCCCCGACUCAAACUGACACGAUAAGAUGAUGAAUGACCUGAUCAAGUGACCCAAAACCACCACAAUUCUCCAUGCAAUGACGUGUGAAAAACCACCACUCAAGGUGAAACAAGGAUAAUGUCGAGUAAUCAAUGAGGAAAGGAAAAGACAGAGAACGAAUAUCACAAGUGGUGGUAUGUGAUAUCGAAAAAUAGUGAUGAAAUGAUGUCCAAGCGGAAAAUAUCACAGUGAAGAGUGAAGAAUGAGGCUCGAAUAUGUAUGUCAGGUCUAGAACUCAUGACGUAUCCAAACAUAGCAUGCAAGCACUACAGGGUCCCCAACCCGGUGUAAUAAGUAAAUGAGGUGAUGAAAGAAAAAGCUAUGUGCUCGUGUGAGGCUCAAAGGGCUAGCAACGGGUAACUCUAUAUGUGAGGGUGAUAAAGUAAAUAGGCUCAUGAAAUGAUGGCCACCCAUCCUUUGACCAAAACCUCGAACAUCGUGCUUUUGAGAUCUCACAUGGUCAAUACUAAAGACUGGCAUCCAUCCAACAUAGUCAUGACGACUCCUCUGAAAUCGUGCAAAAGGCUCCCACUGAUGCUCUGUGAUGAUCAUCAAUGUCGUCUGAAAAUCAACUCACUCUAUCAUCACAAGCCACUCACCAUCAUCUCAUAAAAUCACCAUGUCUAAUCAUCCCGACUCUCUGAAGUCAUGUGCAAUGGCUCAAAUCUGGAUGCUCCAUGAUAACCUCUCUAUCUCAACAAUAUCGUCAAACAAAUCAAGCCACUCUCUCAUCGUGAUCCAUCUAUCAUCAUGUAAAGCUCACCUCGGGUCUAACCAUCUCGGACUCUACCUGGUCAGAUCCAUGAAAUGAUGGAAAGGAUAGGCAAUGGUACUGUAGCAUGAUAAGGCGAAUCAAGGGUAGUAAAGGUCGUACGAUGGUACCAAGGGAUGGUGUCAUGUCAAGCUCAAAAUGGGUAGGUCAUCAAGUCCACAAAGUCAAGGUACGAAUAUGGAUAUGGUAUCGCUCUAAUCAAAAGGUGAUAUGAGGCACAGUCUCGAACUCCCUAGGUCGAUCUCCUGAUCCUAGGUCAAUAGACUCAAUAUCCUCCAUGAUAGGUCAGGCCAAAGUGAUCGUGAUGUAAGUGAAAGAUGUAUCAUAUUGAAAGUACAACACAUCAUAUGAAAUAUGGUCCCGUGAUGGCAAUCCUAAACUGGAAAUAUGACAGAAACUCUAAGGUCAUAAAGGUGUCCACUAUGAGAUGGCUACAAAUGUGACCAGAGAAUCUCCAUCAAUAAUCCGAGAUAAAGAGAGGUGUGAAAAACACGCUAUCACGAGAUCGGUACUCCAUCUAUAAACAUAUAUCCUUGAAUCAACCUUCAACUCGAGCUCCAUAAGAGAAAAAUAAUAAGGUGAUCAAGGCGAAUCUCUCGAAGACAGUGUGGAUGUGAAAAAUGCGCCUUUCACCUUUCUGUAAUGAAAAUAUGAGCAUCGAGUCGAAAAUUGAACCAAGGAUCAAACAAAUGAUGAGGUACUGAGCCCGUGAUAAGCAUACAGUGUAAAAAGAUGAUCAAUGAACAUAUCCCAAAGCAUCAUGUGAGUGAUAACAAAGUGAAGGGGUGUGUCGAGCCAAGAAAUGAGAAUGAAAACCCUAGGGAGAAAACAUGCUAAACUCGUCAAGUAAAAAGCAUAAUCUAGAGCGACGAGACAAAGGUGAUCCAAUCGAUACUCAAACUCAUACCGAUCUCCGAGCACUCUCAACUGGAGACUAAAAAGAGGGAACACUGGAUCCGAACUGUAACUAAAGAGGCUCUGAAGGCCCUCAGAUGCACCCACGUGUAGGGAGGGAGUCCUAAUCGAAGGAUCUACGGCUCAACCUACGAGAUCAAGGUGGCUCUAAAUGGAUAUGGGUGGACUUUAAAAAAAAUCCCUAGCAGAAGCGAUCAUACCCUCCAGCGGUACACAACCCUCUGCACGCCUAAAAAAAAGACGGGGCGCUUCCAUGCAAGGUGGACAUCGCAUCCACACAUGCACUACCUCGACAUCCUAGGGGGUUUCCUAUGGUGAAUCCUCUCAAACUCUCAACGCUCAAUAGUCAACUAGGGUGCAUAGUGAUCGGUGUGGGUGCAUCCGAAACCCUAAGAAGCUAAAGCAGAAGAUGAAACAUACUGGUCGCAUAAAUAUCCAUGAAACCUAGCUCGGGGCUAUACAGGUCUUCAAUGAUCGGACUCUAAUCGACAACAAUGCGCCGCUCGCCUCCAGAAUGCUCCCAAACAUCAGUAUAGCCCGUCGCUAGACCCUACUCUUAACUUCUAUCUCAGUCAGAGUACAAGCACACACAAGGCCUCACACUUGCAAAAGUGAGAACCGUAAUGAAGAAAGUGACUGAGACUAGAGAGUGAGAGAUAAGGGGAUAGAUGUGCGACCCACAUAAACAAGCGGCACGAAAUCACACAGAUGAGGGCAAUCAUGCAACACACAGUCAAACAAAACUCAGAUAUAUCAUCAAUGUACACACAAGAUAAGCGAGAAUACGACAAUCAGAUGGAUAGUGAUACAAAGACAACACGCUCAAAGAUGAUCAAAAUAAUAUACCAACAAGUGGAUCAGCAUGUCGAGUCGAAUGAUGUACAGUAGUGAGUGUAUGCACGUGAAGUGAUCAAAACAAUCAUGACAAAAUCAGGGUCAAUGUGCUAAGCAAAGCAAUAAGAUCAAUCAUCAAUGAUCCAGCAUGUCAAUGUCUCAAACAAAUAUAUCAAUGCAACACAGAAGAAAUCAUGGCAUCAGAAUCCUCAAUCAAUAUAAAUCAAUCAACACGAUCGACGUGUCAAAGUCUCAAGUGGAUAUAAAAUCCGAGCAUGCAUCAAAUAUCCUCAAUGUGCAAUCAAGAAAUGGGCAUCCACUGAUUGUCCAAUCGAAUGCCACGUUUGCUUCAUUCUAAGUUCAAGUUUGACCCUCUAAAUGAUCCCCAGUGGAGUCGCCAUUUUGUGGACCCCGCAUUUCGUGCUUGAUGCGUUUCCCACUCGAUGGCGAGCUCGAUUUUUAUUUUGAAAAAUUAAUUUUAUUUAUUGUUUGUUGAAAAAAAUGACUUGGAGUCGCCACUUAUUUUUGUUUUAUUUUUAAAGGGUAAACAAAAUAAGAAAGAAAAACCCUAAGUGUGACUCCUUAUUUUGGAAAAGGCGGUCUGUGAAAAACUGGAUCGGGUUCGGGGGUCAGGUUACUUAUUGGGAAGGUACGGUAAAGACCGUAGCACCCCUCUAAGUCCCUAAAAUCGGGUCUCUACUAAUAGAAUGAAGUUGACGUGGCAAUCAAUGAGGAAAUCAGCGGAUACUCAAAUCAAACUUGCACAUAUGAAAAUAAGAGUAUGCAUAGAGAAUAAUCAAAAUGAGAAUGAGUGCGUACCUGGACCUCUAGUGACAAAUGCGCUAUCAUGAAACAGGAUUAGUGAGCAAUGAACAAGAUAUAAUUAAGCGCAUAUCAAGAAAUAGAGUAAACCAAUCAUGCAUGGCAAAUAAAUCAAUCGAUCUGUCAAUCAAUCAUGAAGUCAAGUAUGUGGGGCCCCCACCAAAGCCCGUUUAUUUUGCAUGAAUUAAUUCCAUAAAUUCCAUUAGUCGGAAUUACGGAAUUUAAUUCUUGCUUAUUUUUACAACAUUUUAAAAGAUUAUGAAAGAUUUGAAAAUUGCUUACCGAAUAGAAAGUGGAAGCAAAUUUGAUUAAAAGUGAGACUCUUGGGUGAUCCUAAAAAUUCUAAGGAUGAAAGAGUGUGGAAUUGAAAUUAUUGUUUUAUUGAAAAAUGAGGAACUGGGAAAUUAUUAAAAAAAAUGAGAUUUGAAAAAUUGUUGUCAAAGUCAAAGAGGAUAAAAGGGAAGAUGUCACGUGACCAAAGGUGGCCAUGCAACUGAAUGCUCAUAUGCGCGGACCCAAGGAGGUCACUGGGGCUGCUUUGUCGGCGCACCAUCCUCUCUUAUAACUGCAAAUAGGCUCGGUAUGAAAGAAACUUGAGACAGGUCUGGUGACUCAAAAUAUGGAUCAGAACCCACAGAACCUUUGAUCACGAUCACCUAGGAUGUAACACGUCCCUCUCUCAAAGCAAAUCUUUGUCCAGCUUCAAGAGGAACAACAGAUAUCAACUCGAAAAACUACUGUAACAUCAUUCCCAGGCAUAACCAUCUUAACUUCUUCAAGCAAUUGAACCUUCCCAGUGGCAUCUGUAGUCCUCAGGUGGCUUUGAUUUAUCAGAAGAAUUGAAAGCCGAAGAUUUAGGCAUUGGAGGGGUCACAUGCAUUAGUUGCCUAGAUUGCUUAAAUGCCAAUUCCUCAAGCCGAUGUGUGUUAACAGGCAGCUGUGGUGUAGUGCAAGCCCAUGAUGGAGCCCGUGCCAAUGCUUCAGCCAUAUUAAGACCAACUGUAAUACUUGGAAGCCCAGGUGCCGGGGCAGAACGAUAUUUUGUUGAGCAGAUGAGGAUCCAAUGAGCAAAUUCUGAACAGCCAUGUUCAACCCAGGUGACGAAACCCUCCCAAGAUCCAAUUCGGUUCCAAGUGAAGAGAAAUCCUUAUCAAACACAGUCUUGUGGAUGGUUUCUCACUAAGCAAUCUCAUGGUUUACACUUUCUGCUUAUUUAUGAAGUUUGCUAAUCCUUUCCUUUCUUAUCCUCGAGACGACCUUCUUCCGAUCGAGCCUUCCUAUCCUCGGUGUGGCAUUUAUACGACAUAACCCAACUCACCUAUCAACCCAUAUCUGAAUUUGGCUGCGUCUUAGCAAGAUGCUUCACGGCGUCUUUCUCCAGCUGCAGCCACAACGUGUCAGCUGCCUCCACCCAAAACCUGAUAUGCUGAGAAGUUUCCGUCUAUUAUUGGAUUCGGUAUCUGAUUCCUCAGUCGCUUUCAUUCUCUCAAUCCCUUCCAUGCAUGCAUGAGGGUUGGUGUUAUGUGGUGUAAGGAGAGAAACGGGUAUGGGAUGUGAUCAAAUGGGUGUAUGUGUGAGGGUAUGAAAUAUAGGUGUGGAGACGGGUAUUAUAGGCAAAAGAGGUGGCCAUGCACAUGAGAUGAGUGUGAAGCACGGCCACGGGUAGUGAGAGAAAAUGGGUGGUUAUGUGUUAAGUAUGAGUGGUGAUGAAAUGUGUAUGAAGGUUAGAACAAUGGGUUUGGAGGAUGGAGAUAGGAGUGAGUGGAGUGGGUGGUUGGACGAGUAGUAAGGCUUAGAGAGAUGGUAGUGGGUUUGGAAUAGGUGCAGGGGAAGAUAAUGAAUGAAGAUGAAUGAAGAGAGCGUGAGAUAGAAGAUGGAUGUGAUGGACAAGAAGGUGGCCACGUGCCUGGAGCUUCAUGUAUAUGGGUAUGAAAGAGUUUGAAGAGAGAGAAAAGGUGGUAAUGUGGAAUGGGUUUGGUGGGUGCAAGCAUGGGGCAUGAAGAUGAGGGUUAGUAUGGAAGUGUGGGUAUAAUGAGCGAAUGAGAGAGAUGAGAUGGGUGCAUGGUGGUGUAGAAAGAAAGGUGAUCAUACAAAUGGGCAUAGGUAUGGAGGUAUAAUGGGUAUAGGGUCAUGGGUAUGCUAAAUGGGCAAAAAGGGUAUAAGCCCGGAAUUAAUGGAGUAGGUAGUGGGAGAUAAUAGGAAAUGGGUGUUCAUGGGGAUCCUCUGCGUACAUGGUGGGAAAGGAAACAGUGAAGAGUACCCACAACCAACUGAACUUUCAUUAUUCCUCUCAUUUUAACAUAAGCUUGACCAUAAUAUUUCUAAACUCUCUCUUAGGACUCAUACUUCCGAUGGCUAUUUUGUGGUCUACAAUGCCAAUGGUGAUAUUUUCCGUCUUUCAAAGCCGAAAAGAGAGGUAAGUGACCCUCAUCAAUCGAACAACUCACUUUCUUAUAUAUUCAGGCAACAACUAGAGCAACUCCAGAUCUAUGAAUAGUAUGGGCCCAAGAAUCUGCUUAACAGAAUGCUCCAAAUCUUCAACAAGUGUAAAUCAGUUGGAUACGAUUGCACAUUGUGCUGCAGCGUGAACAACAGAGAUGGCAAAAGGACUUCAUUGUCAUGACCGAAAAAGCGUCAAGUUCUUUCUCAUUGACUGGCAUAAUAUCCUCAGUAACAAACUGAUCCAGAUCAAAUAUAAAUGCAGUAUUCCCACAAGAUACAACCUGAACAGGACCUUGCUUCUUUUCCAUCUAAGAUCUUUGCGCAACCCAGAUCAUCUGGAGGAGUUUUGUUCAUCCUCAACACUCACGAGCUAUGAUCUGUGCUAUCACCACCUGGCUCUCUCAAAUAGGGAUGUACAACCUGAUGUAUAACAAGGUAGGAUGCCGAAAACAGGGGAAUGGCAAAACCAAAUAGAAAACAAACCAGUGAAACAAAUAAAACAACCAAAGCCAUGUUUCAUGUUUAGAUCAACAGGUUUGGUUGUAGGUGAGUGAACUAGAAUGCACCUAAAGAGAUAAGAACAAGACAAAACUCCUAUAUGUGGCAUAGCGAAAACUAAAACAGAGCUGAGCCAUUCUCAAAUCAUCAUAAGGAAAAUAGGCAAGAUAGCCGCCAAGGAAAUCCGAGAACCAAGCAGGAACCAUAAGAUAGAACGUAUACCCAAACAAAUCACAAACAAUAUCAAGCAAAAGGAAUGAAACUACAUACUGAUAAAGAAUAUGAAGGAUCCAUGGCAGUCAUACCUCGCUUUUCUUCCCCCUCAAGCUCUCUGUUCUCUCUGGAUAUCUUAGCCAAAACUCCUCCUAGUUUUCCCUCUGAGCUCUCCUCAAGCUCCCAGAAAAACUCUCCCUCAGGCUCCUCCGGAAUCUCUCCUUUUUCUCUCCUCCUCUCUCAAUAUCCAGCUUGCUCCUUGCAAAAUCUGCACCCUCUCUCCAAAAACAUGCUCUGUUUUUCUUAGCUUCUCCCUGGUCCCUGCAUCCCCUAAAAAUCUCCUUUUCUCCUUUUUCUUUUCUCUCGGAUUUGCCCUUCUAACCAUAUCUGCAGAGACACCCCCCUUCAUGCAGCUGACAACCUUCCCAUAACAGAAAAAUACGUUCCCCUGAUUCCAGAAGAUUCUUUCCCUUUACAGGUGUCUUCCCCGGAUUAGUCCAUCAAUUCCACUAUUUUGAUCCCAUAUUGACUAAUCCGGGAGUGACACGUGGCCAGAAUGAGCUGCAUGAAAUAGCACCCAAAUAGGGGUCUACAGCACCCUUGGCCCAUUUAGGCACUCUAAGCUCAUUUGGGCAUCCUAGGUCCACUUAAGCACCCUAGGCCCAUUUAGGCACCCUUGGUACACUUAGGCACCCUAGGCCCAUUUAGGCACCCUAAGUCCAGUUAGGCACUCUAGACCCAUUUAGGCACCUUAGGCCCACUUAGGCUUUGUUGGCCCAUUUAGGCACCCUAGGUCCACUUAGACACCUUAGGCCCACUUAAGCACCCUAGGCCCUUUUAGGCACCCUAGGUCCAUUUAGGCACCCUUGGCCCAUUUAGGUACCCUCGGCCCACUUAGGCACCCUAGGCCCAUUUAGGCUCCCUAGGUCCAUUUAGGCACCUAAGGCUCAUUUAGGCACUCAUAGGCCCAUUUAGGCACCCUAGGUCCACUUAGACACCUUACGCUCAUUUAGGCACCCGAGGCUCAUUUAGGCACCCUUGGCCCAUUUAGGCACCCUAGGCUCAUUUAGGCACCUUUGGCCCAUUUAGGCACCCUAGGCCCACUUAGACACCCUGAGCCCACUUAGACACCCUUGGCCCAUUUAGGCACCUUAGGUCCACUUAGACUCUCUAGGCCCAUUUCGGCACCCUAGGUCCACUAAGACACGCUAGGCACAUUUAAGCACCUAAGCACCCUAGGCACAUUUACGAACCUAAGGCUCAUUUAGGCACUCAUGGGCCCAUUUAGGCACCCUAGGUCCACUUAGACACGUUAGGCUCAUUUAGGCACCCGAGGCUCAUUUAGGCACCCUUGGCCCAUUUAGGCACCUAGGCUCAUUUAGGCACCUUUGGCCCAUUUAGGCACCCUAGGCCCACUUAGACACCCUGAACCCACUUAGACAUCCUUGGCCCAUUUAGGCACCCUAGGUCCAAUUAGGCUCUCUAGGCCCAUUUCGGCACCCUAUGUCCACUAAGACACGCUAGGAACAUUUAAGCACCCUAAGCCCACUUAGGCACCCUUGGCCCAUUUACGAACCCUAGGCUCAUUUAGGCACCAUAGGUCCACUUAGGUACCCUAGGCCCAUUUAGGCAUUCUAGGUCCAAUUAGGCACUUUAGACCCAUUUGGGCACCCUAGGUCCACUUAGGCACCCUAGGCCCAUUCAGGCACCCUAGGUCCACUCAGGCACCCUAGGCCGAUUUAGGCACCCUUGGUCCACUUAAGCACCCUAGGCCCAUUUUGGCACCCUAGGUCCAGUUAGCCACUCUAGACCCAUUUAGGCACCUUAGGCCCACUUAAGCAUCCUUGGCCAAUUUUGGCACCCUAGGUCCACUUAGGCACUCUAGUCCCAUUUAGGCACCCUAGGUCCACUUAGGCACCCUACGUCCAUUUAGGCACCCUAGGUCCAUUUAGGCACCCUAGGCUCAUUUAGGCACCCUAGGCCCAUUUAGGCACCCUAGGUCCACUUAGACACCUUAGGCCCAUUUAGGCACCCUAGGUCCACUUAGGCACCCUUGGCCCAUUUAGGCACCCUAGGUCCAUUUAGGCACCCUAGGCCCAUUUAGGCACCCUAGGCCCAUUUAGGCACCCUAGGUCCACUUAGGCACCCUAGGUCCACUUAGGCACCCUAGGCCCAUUUAGGCACCGUAGGUCCAUUUAGGCACCCUUAGCCCAUUUAGGCACCCUAGGCCCAAUUAGGCACCCUAGGUCCAUUUAGGCACCCUAGGUCCACUUAGACACCUUAGGCCCAUUUAGGCACCCUAAGCCCACUUAGGCACCCUUGGUCCAUUUAGGCCCCCUAAGCUCAUUUAGGCACCCUAGGUCCACUUAGGCACUCUAGGCCCAUUUAGGCACCCUUGGUCUACUUAGGCACCCUAGGCCCAUUUAGGCACCCUAGGUCCAGUUAGGCACUCUAGACCCAUUUAGGCACCUUAGGCCCACUUAGGCAUCCUUGGCCCAUUUAGGCACCCUAGGUCCACUUAGGCACUCUAGGCCCAUUUAGGCACGCUAGGUCCACUUAGGCACCCGAGGCCCAUUUAGGCACCCUAGGUCCACUUAGACACCUUAGGCCCAUUUAGGCACCCUAAGUCCACUUAGGCACCUUUGGCCCAUUUAGGCACCCUAGGCUCAUUUAGGCACCCUAGGUCCAGUUAGGCACCUCAGGCCCAUUUCAGCACCAUAGGUCCAGUUAGGCACUCUAUACCCAUUUAGGAACUCUAGGUCCACUUAGGCACCCUAGGCUCAUUGAGGCACCCUAGGUCCAUUUAGGCACCCUUGGCCCAUUUAGGCACCCUAGGCCCACUUAGGCACCCUAGGCCCAUUUAGGCACCCUAGGCUCAUUUAGGCACCCUAGGCCCAUUUAGGCACCCUAGGUCCACUUAGACACCAUAGGCCCAUUUAGGCACCCUAGGCUCAUUUAUGCACCCUUGGCCCAUUGAGGCACCCUAGGCCCACUUAGACACCCUAAGCCCACUUAGACACCCUUGGUCCAUUUAGGCACCCUAGGUCCACUUAGGCACCUUAGGCCCACAUAGGCACCCUUGGCCCAUUUAGGUACCCUUGGCCCAUUUAGUUAGGCCCACCUAGUCUCACCUUAGGCCCAUUUAGGCACACUUGGGCCAUUAAGAAAUUUUUAGCGUGACUUAUAUGACUUGCAUGGUUGCAUGGCUUGUGGGGCUCAGUUUUUUUUUUAUUUAUUUAUUUUUAUUUUUAGUUUUAUUUUUAUUUUUAUCAAUCACUUGUUUAUUUUUAUUUGUUAUAUUCCUUUCUAUAUUAUUUUUCUUAGUUUUUUAAUUAACUUAUUUAUUUAUUAUUGUUUUACCGUUUUCUAAUUUAUCUACUCAUUUAUUUAUUCAUUCAAUUAUUUAAUAUAAAAAAAUUUCAUGCUUUUGCAAGGAAACUUACCAUUGAAGUUUAAGGAAAGUGGGACUCUCCUUGGAAGGUUUUGGAGAGGGAGUUUGAAAUUGGGAGGAUUGUUUUUGAAUGGGAAGAUUGGAAAAAGAGGGAAAAAAAAUGGGGAAUUUCUCAGAGCCAUAUAAGGAGUAGACUGCCAUCAUGAGAUAAAGAAAAAGAAAAAAAAAAAAGUUAGAGAUUUUGAUUUUCUGGGGGAUAGAGAGAACAAUAGGAAUUUUUUAGAAGGGUUUUUUUGUUAGAGAUUCAAGCAUAAAGCAUAAUUUUUUUUAAAGAGAGCACACAGAAUUUUGGAAAAAAAGCAAGGGACUUGAGACGGAGAUCGGGCUGCCAUUUAAUCAUCAAGAGAGGAUUUUCUAUUUCACUUCAAAGGUUAGUUUUCUAUAUAGUACUUUUAUUUAGCCUAGACUUUUUUUUGGAAAUUUUAGUUUUUGAUUAAUUCUUUGUGUUAAAGUUUAUAUUAUUUUCUUUUUAAAUCCCCAAUUAGUUUAAUUCCAAUCUAUCUUUUAGUUUAAGUUUGUUAAUGAUUUUAAUUCUUAAGUUUAAAUAAUCAUAUUGAAUAAAGUUUGUAUUUUUAAUCCUGAUUAGUUUGAUUUCAAUUCGUUUUUAGUUUAAAUGUAUUUUGUUGAUCUUAAUUCUUGACUUUAAAUAAUCACGUUAAAUAAAGUUUGUAUUUUUAAUCCCAAUUAGUUUGAUUUCAAUUCGUUUUUUAUUUUAAAUGUGUCUUGUUGAUCUUAAUUCUUUACUUUAAAUAAUCACGUUAAUAAAGUUUGUAUUUUUAAUCCCAAUUAGUUUGAUUUCAAUUCGUUUUUAAUUUAAAUGCAUUAGUUGAUCUUAAUUCUUUACUUUAAAUAAUCACGUUAAAUAAAGUUUGUGUUUUUAAUCUCAAUUAGUUUGAUUUCAAUUCGUUUUUAAUUUAAAUGCAUUAGUUGAUCUUAAUUCUAUGUUUUAAAUAAUCAUGUUAAAUAAAGUUUGUAAUUUUAAUCCCAAUUAGUUUGAUUUCAAUUCGUUUUUUAGUUUAAAUGUAUCUUGUUGAUCUUAAUUCUUUACUUUAAAUAUCACGUUAAUAAAGUUUGUAUUUUUAAUCCCAAUUAGUUUGAUUUCAAUUCGUUUUUUAGUUUAAAUGUAUCUUGUUGAUCUUAAUUCUUUACUUUAAAUAAUCACGUUAAUAAAGUUUGUAUUUUUAAUCCCAAUUAGUUUGAUUUCAAUUUGUUUUUAAUUUAAAUGCAUUAGUUGAUCUUAAUUCCUUGUUUUAAAUAAUCACGUUAAAUAAAUUUGUAUUUUUAAUCCCAUUUAGUUUGAUUUCAAUUCGUUUUUUAGUUUAAAUGCAUUAGUUGAUCUUAAUUCUUAAGUUUAAAUAAGCACGUUAAUAAAGUUUGUGUUUUUAAUCCCAAUUAGUUUGAUUUUAAUUUGUUUUUAGUUUAAAUGCAUUUUGUUGAUCUUAAUUCUUUAGUUUAAAUAAUCAUAUUGAAUAAAGUUUGUGUUUUUAAUUCCAAUUAGUUUGAUAUUAAUUUGUUUUUAGCCUAAAUACAUUCAUUGAUCUUAGUUCUUUAGUUUAAAUAAUCAUAUUGAAUAAAGUUUGCGUUUUUAAUUCCAAUAAUAGAAUUUAAUUUCAAUUUAGUUUGAUUUUAAUUUAUUUUAUAAUUUGAAUGCGUUCAUGAUUUUAAUUGUUUGAUUAACUCUCUUAGACAAAUUCUAUAUAUUUAAUUUCGAUUUUAUUUUAAUUUUACUUUGUUAAUUUAUUUAUUUGUUUAAAAAUAUUUGCAAUUUCAUUUUGAUAGUUUAGCCAAUCUUAUUAGAUGAUGUUAAUGUUUUUAAUUUAAUCUAGUAUCAAUUAUUUUUAGUAUUGAAUGUGUUCGUGCGUUUCUGAAUUCGCCAUUUUGGAUUGUAAUCCAUUUAUAUCCAAUUUUGUAGUUGAUCAUAAUUUUAGUUAAUUAAUUUAGUCAAUCACAUGAUAUUAUACUCACAUUCUAAGUAUGGAAAUUUCAGCUUUGAUUCGUCAAUAUUUAGUAUGAGUUUUUUGGAAUUUUAGUUAAUUACAUGUUACUCUUUUAGUCAAUAUUUUCAAGUUUGCUAAACUUUGGUUUUUGAUUUAUCAUACUUUGCUAGAAUGUUAAUUUACCUUAAUUGAUUCCCUGUUAUUAUCUUUAUAUGCUAAGCUUGUUGACUUUAAUCUUUGGUUGGUUAUUUUUAUUUUAAUUCAUGUGUUUCUUGAAAUCUAGAUGUUAGUCUUGGAUAAUAUUUGUGUUAGUUUGUUUGAUUAGGAAACCAUUAGUUUGUUGCUUUAGUAAUUGUUGGUAAAAUCUUUUUUUUUGAAGGCCAUUGGAAAAUCAUGAAGAUUGGCAUCUACCAUCACCUUUAUCAUUUUUGUUAAUUACUAAAAAAAUUUUACUUUGAGGUUUCAUUUUUUUUUUUUUUUUUGUUUGGUAUUUUAUAUAUUUUAUUUUUUCCAAAUUAAUUCCUUUUAUUUUAAAAUAAAAUACUUUUCUCAAAAAAUCAUUUUAAAAAUCUAUUUCAAAAACUCAUUUAGAGUCCUCAGGAUCAAUUUUUUUUUUUUUAUAUUUAAAAAUAAUGUGCAACCAUAUCUUGUUCUGUUUGCAUCCUUCUCGGUUUUCAACAAAAAGUUUGGUUUUGAACAAAAACACGAAUCAAAGCUUGUGGUCCCAAAUAAAUGGGAUAAUUCUUGGCUAAAUUUGUGUAUAUUAAUUUGGGGAAUUGGUGAAACCCCUACAUAAGAAAAUCUUUUCAAAAAUUAUUUUUGUUGCCAUAUUUGUCACUUGUUGAAAUUAUGUCUAUCUUUUUUAGGAAUUGUAUACAAGAUGUGUGUGAUAAUUAAUGUUUUCAUAUACUUUGAUAAUUUUUGUUAUGCUAAUUAGAUAACAAGCAUGCUAGGGUUUCUUUAUUUUAUUAUUAUCUAAUCCCUCAUGUCUUAUGGAAGUGCAUUGUAAGUUAUCUAUGCUAUCCAGGUACAUCCCCUAUCACCUACUUUCUAAGUUUUGUAAACAUGAUUGUCACUGAGAACUAUGCUUAUGCUUGAGAAUACUUGGGUGUUCCGAUAUACAUGUUUCAUUGUUUGAUUAUUUCUAAUAAAACACAUGUUGGAUGAUAUAUUGUUUAAAUUAACCAUUGAUGUUUUAUGAUAGCGCUUGAGAAGCAGUCCGGGUACACACCCUAACUCUCCUUUAUUGUGAUUUAAUCUUGUUUAGCAUGUAAGUUUUUUGAAAUCACCUAGCCUACUUAGGUAUCUAUAAUUAAUUGAUUAAUUGCCACACUUCCCUUAACUUUGUCAGUAGAGACCUUUGUAGGGCUUAGAGGGGUGCUACCUUUUAAAGGUGCCUUCCCAAUAAGUAACCUGAUCCCCGGACUUAGACUUAGGUUUUUCAAAGACACACUUUUCCAAAAAUUAUGGAGUCAUUUUUUAGGGUUUUAUUUCUUGUUUUAUUUUCCCUUUUAAAAAAAAAUAAUAAGUGGCGACUCCAACUUUUUUUCAAAAAUCAAUUUUUCACAAAUAAAAAGCGAGUCUCGCCGAUUGAGUGGGGGCGCACGUGAAAAAUGCGGGUCCACAUGGAGUAAUUAGAGAUUAUUGCAUCACAUACGUCAAUGAAGUUGUAGGUAUUAGAGGGUAAGUUUUUAGGAUAAAACGACCAGGUAAAUUUGUGUAACUUGAUCUUGUAUAGUGGAUUUUGAUUAGUAGUCUUAGACCUUGUGGUUUUUUUUAUCUCCACAGUAGUGUGGGGAUUUUCCAUGUAAAAGUCAUUGUGUCCAUUGUUAUAUCUUGUGAUUAUCAUGAUUGUGGGGAUUUUGUUUAUCUCUGAUAUUAUCUCACAGGGUAAAAAUUGAGUAUAACAUAUAAUCUUUUUUUUAGAAUUCUUUUAAUUACACCCAUUCACCUCCGUCCUCUCUUUGGGUGUUACCCUACUAGACUUGGCUUUUUCAGUCUCAAAUUCUACAUUAGCAUUUUUUUACUUAAGUUAUAAAUGGAAAAAGUUAUAAACCCAAGAUAACUUGUUAAAAAAGUGAGAAAUAAUAAAGGACUCAUGUUAGAGUAUAAAUAAUUAAUCUAUUCUAGGCUUAAUAUAGCUCCAAUGUCAAACAUGAAUACUUAAUUAUUUAUUAUAUUUUGAAAAUAAAGUAAGUAUUUUUUAUAUAAAAAAUGAAACAACUUUUCUAGAACAACACAAGGCACUAAUGCAUAUAGUUGGUAACAAGUUGGAGAAAGAAAAUAAUGUGGAGAAAUAAAACAACAUGUACAAAGAAACAAAUUGGAGAUAAAGAAAAUGACUAACAAAAAAGAAAAUAGAGAAAUUAUAGAAUAUAAGAUAAUUAAACUUAUUUUCAUAAAAAUAAUAUAUUUUCGAAAAAUAGAAAAUUUCGUUCAUAUUCUCUUUUUCACUUAUUUUAAAAAUAAAAGUAAAAAUUAAUAUUUAUCAAAUGCAAAUAUUAAUAAUUAUGAAAUUAAUAUUUAUCACAUAUAUAAGAUUAAGAUUGAGAUAUAAACUUUUUAUAAUCUAAACUAUUAUUUUCAUUUUAAACAAGAAAGUUCGAUGUGACAUAAUAAAAUUUGUACACAAAAUUUAAAUUAUCUCUAUUCAUAUAGAAUUAUAUAUAGGUAUAGAUUCAUUUCAAAAUUCAAAUAAUUAUUUGAAAUUUACAUUUAAAUUUUAUUUUUAAAUUUAAAACUUAAUUAUUUUGUAAUAGGGUAUGUGUCAUAAAAUUGAAACUUAUAUAUAUAAAUGCGUCCACUUCCAUACCUCUCAUAAAAUUGGAGCCGACUUUUUUUGUUUUCUUUUGUGUGUUUAUAAAUGUCUCCAAUUCCAUAUCUAGCUGUGAUAUAGUUUUGGAGAUGAUUGUGAUUGAAGUAUAAUUUCUUUUAAUUUUAAUUUUAUAAGAAUUAAAAUCAAAGAAACUGUUGGGUAGAAAGAUGUUUCCCUCCAUACAAAUCUAUUUAAAAGAAAAAAAAAACACAAAGAAAGACAACAAUAGAUGAAAAUAAUUAUUCAUCUGUUAUGUUAGUGCAAAAUAUGAAAGAGAAGACAACAGUGUGCAUCUUCACUGUGACUGAGGAUCAAAUUCUCUUUGAGAUUGAUAUAAAUUAUUUAUAACUUCAUUGUUCAUGGAGAGUUGAUUCAGUAGUGUCUUCCAUUUGAAGACAUACAGAAAUGGUUAGAAUUAUCUAUUCAUUUCAAGAGAUAACUUGCAUCUAUGACCCUUAUACUCCCAUGAACUUUGAGCAUCUAUUAUUUAUAAAAUAUGGAUGAAAAUAGAAUAUAAAAAAAAUAUUUUCAUGGGAAGUGUAUUUUGGAAAAAAUAAUUCUCAUUUGAUACAUUGGAAAAGUGUCUACCUCACAUUACCCAAAAAUGUCGUUAUAUGUGUACAUGGGUCAUCAUCCAUAGUAACCCAAUUCACAUGAGGAUGGUACAUCAUUCAACCAAUAAAGGUACUUUAAGCUCAAAACAGUGGUACAUUAUAAUCAAAACAAUAUUACUUUAAUAUCAAAAUACAUGUAAGGACAUUUUAAGGUAAUGUGAGGUAAAUACUACUAUAAUACAUUAAAUAAGAAUUAUUUUCCCAAAAAUGUACUUCCCAUGAAAAUGAUUUAUGUAGGUUUUCUUUCAUUUAUAUUUUAUAAAUAGUGCAUGUUUACAUAAUUCUCUCAUUAAUAUAAUAUAAUCAUCUAUACCUGAUAAUUAAGGAAAUAAAAAAUAUUUACGUACUAAGCAAGGAUAAUUGAAAUUAAAGAGUAUGUCAAAAGAGAAAAAAAAUAUUAAAGAUAAAUUAAAACUCUAAAAUAAAAGCCUUCAUUUGCACAUAUAGGACAAUAUCUUAGGAGGUAUUUUAUUAAAAUAAUAAUAACAAUGAUUAAAAAAUGGAAAAAAUUAUGGGUCCCAUUUUUUAAGUAUUUUCAAUAACAUAAUUAUAAACUUCUUUAAAUUUAAAAUCAUUUAUUUAAACCACUUUAUUCAUUUAGCAACAAGGACUUAAUUAAUCACUAAGAUCAAACACAAUGAUUUAUAAUUUUUAUAAUAUUUUCUUCCAUUACUAUCAUUUUUUUGUUAAUAAAAUGAAGACUUCUAUUGAUGAAUUUUUAAUAAUAAAAUGUAACUUCUUUUAAAUUAAAACCAUUUAUUAUUAAAAAAAUUUAAUUCAUCUAGGAGAUUCUUUUAACUAAUUCUUUUAGAAUUUUUUACAUUUUUUUAUUUCAUAUUUAAAGAUAAAAAAUUAUUAUGAAAUAAUUUUCUUCAUUAUAAAAUUUAUCUUUCGUUUCUAAAUCAGAAUUUUUGUCAUGUCCAUUCAUAUAAUAAAAUUAAAAUUAUAAAUAAUAAAAAAACCUAUUUUAAUUGACAGCGUCAUGGAAUCUCUCCAUGCACACCUCUUAAACCAAGUGAGCUAUGAAUGCAUGUAAGAUGUAUAUAUAACUAUAAAUAAGGAUUCAAAAUGAGGGGAAAAAUCAUUGAGAAGGGUGAACCAUGGGUGAUAAGCCACUUUCCUUUGGAUAAAUAUUAAAAGUUAAAGAGUAUAAAAUGUCUAUGUAUGUCGUCAUUUUUUUUUUCACUUUUAAGUUAAAUAUAUUUUUAUUGUUAUAAAUGAAGUAAUGAAUGCCACCACAUUUAUUAUAUGAAAUGUUCAUUAAAAGCCUAUAAAAAUGUUUCCUAUCCCCUGUAAAAUGCAUCCCAAGCAAAGAAAUAAAUUUUCUUUCUCUCUUAUUCUUUUUUAUUUUUUUAUUUUUAUUCUCCAUAUCUUUCAUUCUUUCAAUUGUCCUAAUUAUCUUUUAUGAUUCCUUCCUCUCCAUUAUAUAUUAUUAUCAAAAUAAUAUAUAGUUGUUCUUUACUUUUAUUUGUGUUGCAUUUAUCCUCUUUUUACAACACAUAAUUAGCAUGAAUUGCUCUAAAGGUAAUUCUCAUAUCUUAAAUUUGAAGUUAUUUAUAUAGAAUAAAAUUUUACAUAUUUAUAUUGGUAUUGUUAAAUUCAUUUAAUUUGUGUUAUAUAUUAUUAAAAUCUAUAAGCAAAUUAUUUGAUUUUGAUUAUAAUCAAAAGUUAUACCAAUGCUAUUAAUUUAUAACUAAUUCUAGUAAUAUUGUUUUGUCAUAUAUCUAAAGUUAUUUAACAAUGUCAAAUCUCACAAAACUCAAAUUUGUGGCACUUGACAUUUUAGGAAAGAACUAUAUAUCUUGGAUCCUUAAUGCUGAAAUACAUCUUGAUGCAAUGAAUCUUGGAGCUACAAUUAAAGAAGGAAAUCAGGCUUCCUUGUAGGAUCAUGCAAAAGCGUUGAUUUUCCUUCACCAUCAUCUCUAUAAAGGUUUUAAAAAUGAGUAUCUUAUAGUAAAGGACACUUUUACGCUAUUGAGUAAUUUGAAGGAAAGAUAUGACCACUAAAAAAUUGUGAUUAUCCCAAAAGCUUGAUAUGAUUGGAUGCAUUUAAGGUUGUAGGAUUUUAAAACUAUUAGUGAAUAUAACUCUGCACUUUUCAAAAUCAACUCUCAAUUAAAGCUAUGUGGAGAAAAAAAUCAUAGAAGAUGACUAUUAGAAAAAACUUUACUACAUUUCAUGCCUCGAAUGUGCUCUUACAACAAUAAUACCAAGAGUGUAGAUUUACAAAAUACUCUGAAUUAAUAUCAUGUCUUCUUGUUGCUGAACAAAAUAAUGAGCUUUUGAUGAGAAAUCACUAGUCUCAUCCAAUUGGAUCUGAACCAUUCCCUGAAGUGAAUGCAAUAUUGUCCCAAACUCGUGGACAUGGGUGAGGACAAGGAAAUGGUUGUGGUCACGGAAGGAAUCUCCGAUAUAAUGGUUAUUAUGGUAAUAAUUCCUCAAAUUCUCAUAAAAUGAAAGCUUUAUUGCACCACUAGAAAUGGAAUAAUACUGAGGCAAAACAAGAAAAUGGGAAGUGUUUACAAGAUUAACCUCCAAAUAACCAUGAGAAUAAUUGUUAUAAAUGUGGUAUGAAGGGCCAUUGGUUGUGUACCUAUCAUACACUCAUACAUUUGGUCAACCUUUACCAAGCAUCAAUAUAAGUAAAAGGAAAAGAGAUAGAGAUGAAUUUUACCAAUGGUGAUGGAUUGAACCUAACCUACUAUGACAUCGAUUUCUUUGGAGGUCCUAGUGAAAAAAUAGACCAUUUAAUAAAUGAUGAGAAUGCUAACAUUGAUGGGUGUUACUUUAUAUAUCAAAUAAUAUAUUAUUAUGUGUUAUAUUUAUAUCUGAUUAUUACAUUUUCUUUUAUAUUGUUAUUUUAUUAUGCCUUGUUUUUUUAAUAUUAGUUGUAUCUAAAAUCCACGUGUUAUUUGGUCUCAAGAUGAAUGAAGAUGAUGUAUGUUUCACAAAUUGUGAAACCACGCACACAAUUCUUCGAGAUAAAAGAUAUUUCAUUGAAUUGACAUUGAUAAAAGCUAAUGUAAGUACCAUAUUUAGUACUACAAGCUUAGUUGAAGGCUUUGGAAGAGGAAACAUAAUGCUACUAAAUGGAACUAGAUUUCAUAUAAAUGAUGCUUUAUAUUCUAACAAAUCUAGAAGAAAUUUGCUCAGUUUUAAAGAUAUCCACAAAAAUGUAUAUCAUAUUGAAAUUUUGAAUGACUUCCAUUAUAUCUGGCCAAAAGCUUAUGAUAGAAAAACUCUCGACUUUUUCCUCUAGGUUGUAUCAUACAACUAUAAAGCAUAUUGAAUCAUAUUUUGUCAUGAACCAGAAGUUCAACGGCCCAAAAUUUUUUGUCCUUUGGCAUGUGAGACUAGGUCACCCAGGUUUUCAAUGAUGCGUCAAAUAAUCGAACACUCACAUGGGCAUCCACUAAAAAACCAGAAAAUUCUUUUGCAAAAUGAAUACUCAUGUGCUACUUGCUCACAAGGUAAAUUGAUAGUCAAACCAUUUUUUACUAAAGUCAUAUUUGAGUCACGAGUUUUUAAAAAGAAUACAUGAGAACAUAUGUGGGCCUAUCCAUCCACCAUGUGAACCAAUUCGUUAUUUUAUGAUCUUAAUAGAUACUUCUACUAGCUGGUUACAUGUUUGUCUCAUUUUUACAAGUAAUGUUGCCUUUGCUAACUCCUUUCACAAAUGAUCAAAUUAUGAGCACAAUUCCAAGAUUAUCUAAUUAAGAUAAUACAUCUUAAUAAUGUUGGCGAAUUUACUUCUCAAACAUUCAUUGACUACUGUCUAUUGGUAGGGAUAAAUAUUGAGCAUCCUAUUGCUCAUACUCAUACCCAAAAUGGUUUAGUAGAAUUCUUCAUCAAAUGUCUCUAAUUAAUAGCUCGACCAUUACAAAUGAAAACCAAAUUACCUAUUUCUACCUGGGGACAUGUUAUUAUGCAUGCUGCAACUUUAGAUUGUAUUCAACAUAUAGCUUGCCAUGAAUAAUUCCCUCCACAACUCAUACUUGGAAAACAACUAAAUAUCUCUCACUUAUGAAUCUUUGGUUGUGCAGUAUAUGUACCAAUUGCACCUAUGCAAUGGACUAAAAUGGGUCCCCAAUGAAGACUCGGGAUUUAUUUAGGUUUUAAUUCUCCAUCUAUCAUAAGAUAUUGUUAGAAAAAUUAGGCUAAUCCAACCUAAGGUAAUUACCCUAGAAGGAAAAGGAGAGGAUGAAUAGAGUGAUGGUAUUUUUUUUUAAAAAAAAAUUAAAUUAUAUGAAUACAAGAGACAAUUAUAUGCAAAUAUAUAAUAAAACAAUAUAAAGAUAGAUGCAUAUAAAGAUCUUAUCUUGAUCCUUAUACAAAUGAAUAUGAACUAGAAGUUCAAAGGAACAUUUAUUUGCAAAAUCUUGCAAACAUAUUACUAGAUGCAUUCAUUGAUACAAAGAAAGUGACAAAGUCACAUAUCUUGGCUACAAAUACUCCAACAUGGAUUGAUGUCCCUGUAGGACAGUUAACAAAUGAACCUAAGAUAUGCUUGAAGCGUAGUAAACCUGUCGACUCAAAUGAUGUAACUCCCUAGAAGAGGAGAACACAAGAAAAACUUGGCACUUUAGAAGAGUCGUUAAAAUGACUAAUCAGUCUAAAAUUGAUAAAUCUAUAGCCCCAAAAGAGGCACAAAUAAUGCAAAAAGCCCAUGAAGAGGCACUUAUUGAACAAGAAGCCCUUGAAGAGGCACAUAUUGAACAAGAAGCCCCUGAAAAGGCACAUCUACCUGAAAAUUGUGAAAUAUUAGUAAGUUAUGUACACAUGGGAAAAAAAUGGGAUCCAAAUAAUAUUGCUAUCAACAAUACUUUUACUUUUCAAGUGGCCUAUGAUAUCAUAAGAAAUUAAUAAGAUCCCGAAUAACAAAAUAUGGAAGAAUGCCGACAUAGAAAUGAUUGGCCAAAAUGGAAAGAAGCUAUGUAAGCAAAGUUAAACUUAUUAACAAAAUGAGAAGUUUUUGGACCUGUACUCUAAACACUUGAAGAUGCAAAGUUUGUUGGGUAAAAAUGGGUAUUUGUACAAAAGUGAAAUGAGAAUAAUGAAAUCAUAAGAUAUAAAGCGUGAUUAGUAGCACAAGGUUUCUUUUAGAGACCAAGUAUUGACUACGAGGAAACAUACUCUCCUGACAUGGACAUAAUCACAUUUCGUUUCUUAAUUAGUUUGGUAAUCUCAUAAGGAUUGGAUAUGAUCCUCAUGGAUGUUAUUACAACAUAUUUAUAUAGAUCCAUAGAUAAUGAUAUAUACAUGAAAAUCCCUGAAGAAUUUAAACUGCCUCAAACAAAUAAUACAAAGACUUGUAACAUUUACUCAAUCAAGUUACAAUGAUCCUUGUAUGGAUUAAAGUAAGCGGGAUACAUGUGGUACAAUCGCCUUAGAAAAUACUUCCUAAAAGAAGGGUAUGUGAAUAACCCUAUAUGUCCAUGCAUCUUCAUUAAGAAAUCAAAAACUGGAUAUGCAAUUAUUGCAGUGUAUGUUGAUGACAUAAAUCUUGUUGGAACUCCUGAAGAGCUCAUAAGAACAAAAAAUUACUUAAAAAAGGAAUUUGAGAUGAAGGAUCUUGGAAAAACAAAAUUUUCUAUUGGUUUACAAAUCAAGCAUUUUCCAAAUGGAGUUUAGUACAUCAAUCAACAUACAUUAAGAAAAUUUUGAAGCAUUUUUAUAUGGGUAAAGCGCAUCUUUUAGCCUUUCCAAUAGUUGUUUGAUCACUUGAUGUGAAAAAGAACCCAUUUCAGUCUUGCAAAAAAUGUGAAGAAUUAGUUGGUUCUAAAGUACCAUAUAUUAGUGCUGGGUGCACUUAUAUAUCUUUCCAAUUGUACAUGUCUAAACAUUGUUUUUUCUAUCAAUUUAUCAGCAAGAUAAAGUUCCACUCCAACUCAAAGACAUUGAAAUGGUAUCAAACAUAUAUUGCACUAUCUUUGCGGAGCUACUGAUGUGAGUCUAUUUUACUCAAAGGAAUCAAGCAACAAUUGCUUGGAUAUGUAGAUGCAGGAUACCUUUCAUAUCCACAUAAAGAUAGGUCAUAAACAGGGUAUAUGUUUAAUUGCAAUGGUACUGCUAUUUCAUGGAGAUUUGUUAAACAAACAAUGAUGUCACAUUAUCAAAUCAUUCAAAAAUACUUGCAAUUCAUGAAGCAAGUUAUGAAUGUGUUUGACUAAGAUCUAUGAUUCAACAUAUUCGAUAACCAUAUGGACUUUUCUCUAUCAAAAGUGGCACGACAAUAUUAUUUGAAGAUGAUGUUGCAUACAUUGCACAAAUAACAGGGGGUCAUAUUAAAAGAGAUAGAACUAAACACAUUUCAUCAAAAUUAUUUUAUACACAUGAACACCAGAAAAGUGGUGAAAUUGGUGUGCAACAAAUAUGCUCAAGUGAUAAUCUAGCAAAUUUAUUCACAAAGUCAUUGCCAACCUCAACAUUAAAGAAGUCAAUACACAAGAUUGGAAUGCAUCAACUCAUAUCAACAUGAGGGAGAGUUUGCUUGUAAAAGGGUGUUAGUGUACUGUACUUUUUUUCCCUUUGUCCAGAUUUUGUCCUUUUGGGUUUUACUAGCAAGGUUUUUAAUGAGACAGUCCUAACAUAUCAAGAGCAACUUAAAGAAUUAUCACAAUAUUGUACUGUUUUUCCUUCGCUAGGUUUUCCUAUAGGGUUUUUUACUAGCAAGGUUUUAAUGAGACAUAUUCUUCUAAUGUGGUUGACAUUCAAGGAAAAGUGUUUAAACAAAGUAAUGAAUACCACCACAUUUAUUAUAUUAAAUAUUCAUUAAUAUUAUUUAUGACUUCCAUUAAUAUUCAUUAAUGGAAGCCAUUUGGAAAGCCUAUAAAACAACUUCCCAUCCCCUGUAAGAUGCAUCCUAAGGAAAGAAAUAAAUUCUCUCGCUCUUAUUCUCUAUGUCUUUCAUUCUUUCAACUCUGUUAAUUCUCUUUUCUGAUUCUUUCAUUCCCAUUAUAUAUUAUUAUUAAAAUAAUAUAAAGUUGUUAUAUACUUUUAUUUACGUUGCAUUUAUCCUUGUUUUACAACACUUAGUUUUUUCUUUUCUCUAUUUUAUUUUAUUUUUUUCUCUUCUAGUUAUUAUAAUUAUAAUAAUAAUUAUUAUUGUUAUUUUAUAAACAUAAUAUAACCUAUCAAAAAAUAAUAAUAAUAACAUAUUUAUAAAUAAUAUAAUAAUUAAUUUACAAAUUAUUGUUUCAUUUGUUAUUAUUAUUAUUGUUAUUAUUAUUUCAAUUUUUUUUAAAUAUCAUAUAUAACUUAUACAAUAUGAAUAAUAAUAAAAUAAUUUUACAAAUAUUGUUUCAUUCAUGUUUUGAAGACAAAGUUUUCUUAUAUAAACUUUCAUAAAUUUUCAAUUGUUUUUUACAAUAUGAUUAUUAAGAAAAUAUUACAAUAAAAAAUUAGUAUUGAUAAUUAUGAAAAAACAAAAUUAAAGCAUGUGUUAUCGUACUUUUAGUGUACUUAUAUUUUAAUUUCAAUGCAUAACUAUGACACAUACAUUUUGUCACAAACUUAAUAGUGUUAGAAGCAUUGUCUUAUCCUAGUAUAUUGAUUUCUAUAUUAUUAAGGCAUCCCAAUGAAUUAGCAUCAUAUACUAGAUGCAUUCUUAUUAGCAAUAAUUCUUAUAAUGAAACUCAUACACCUUAUAAAAAAAAUGUCUUAUAAGGUUAAUUUAUAGUAGAUGAAAUGUUAAAAAAUAUACAAAAUAUAUGACAAUCAUUUAUCAAUGCUUGUUUAAAAGGAAAAAUUUUAAAAUAAAGUUAGGUUAUGCAGUAAUGUAUAAGACAUUUAAAGUAUUCAUGUUGUAAGAUCAUUAUAUUUUUGUGGUACGAAUACGUUGGCUUUUAUAUUAAUACAUAAUAUCGGUGUACUAGCAUUAUACAUUUAAUGAAUCAUUAUUAUGCAUGAUUUUUAUAAUAAAGCCUAUAAGUUUUAAGAAUUAGGUGAAAGAAAGAUCAUAUUCUAAGAUUGGUUUAUAAUCAAUGACAUUAUAAUAAUAAAAAAUAUGAAUAAUGACACAUAUGAAAUAUUAAUAAUGUAAAACUAAUAUCAUAAAUAAUAAUAUUAAUAAUGAUGAUAAUAAUAAAUAUAUAAUUAUAAUUUUUUUUAAUAAAUAGUAUAGUUAGUCUUAACAUAUAGUAAAUAAAGCACAAAAGGUAGAAAAGAAAAGUAGAAAAGUAAAGUUAUAUGGGAGUAGGAGGAAAAGACAAAAUGAUGUAAUUGGAAUUAUGGAAUGAUCAAGUUAUCAAACUAUAACUUGUGAAUUUGACAAGACUUUGAGACUUGGUGACCCUUAAGGGAGAGCUUAUCAUCACUUCGAGCUAGGUGACCAUUUUUUAAAAAAUUUCAAAAAUAAAGCCCAUGAAAAAUUUAUUUAUUAAGAAUAAUAACAAUUUUGUAUUUUUUUAUAUACAAAUUAGAUAUUUAAUUUAUUAGAAUCAUUUUGAUGGUAAUGACAAACAAAAUAACUCCUUAAAUAGGUGAAAUAAUUCAUUUUCUCAAAUUUAUAUGCAAAAUUAUUUUAAAACAAAAGGGAUGAUACAUUAUUUUUGUUCAACAAUCCACAUUUUGACUUUCAUUUUAAAAUCCAUCUAUAAAAAUCUCUCUUUAUAUAUAUCUGCCUAGAUUGCCUGAUCAUCUAUUCAUUCAUUGUCUAUAACUUCUUGCCUGAUUAUCAAUUUAGAUGUUCAUAUUUGCAUAUAUUUAUUCAUUCCACCAUGUAUUUUGUUGCUUAUUUGUAAUGUUUACAAUUUUGAUGAAAUGUUUGAUUAUUUGAAAACCGAAUUUCCCCAAACCCACUAAUAAAAAGCAACUAAAAGUCUGACCAAUCUAGAGGGGUGUUCUUGGCCGGUGGCCAUCCUGAUAAGUCACCUUAGCCGUAGACUAGAUUUAGAUUUUGCAAUUAGUACCUUUCUUUUCCUUCUAGGAAUCACUAUCAUCUUGACCAAUCUAGCCAUGUACCAAAAAGUCAAUUUUGCCAAGUUUAAAAAGUUUGCUUUAAGCCUGUUCAUCAUAGUUGACAGAAGUUAGAAUUACAAUGAAAUAUCUAGGAGAAAAUGUCCGCAGGAGCAGAGAGAGAGAGAGUGAAGGCAAUACAUUCAGUCAUGAAUUUGAUGCAAAUCCCAACGUACAUAAUUGUAUCGAAUACUCUCACCAUGAUUGUCGAUCUAUCGGAUCAGACGAUUACUAUGUUUGCCAAAAAUGCCUGGGCCGUAUGUGGAAUAAAUCAAUUCCACAAGGAAGGGAAACUGCAAAAUUCCGUACAAGGUCACUGGCAAACAGACUAAUGCUGCCAAGGUAAUAAGAAUCCAUGCCUUCUUUUCACCAAAGAGAAGAUAGAUUGCGCUACUGUAGGCUAUCAUCAUGAAUGUUACGGAGAGGAAUAGAGUAACAAGGCCAAAUAUCAACCUCCUGGGAAGGGCAAAAAGAAAAUCAUCUUCUGCAUAUCGUGCCGUGAGAAUGGAUAGGCAUAUCAGCACCGAAGCAAUGGAUAGUAAGAGGGAAAGAGCAUCGGAAGCUGCAAAAACUUUGAAGGCCUUUUCUUUGGUGAAAUUUGGUAUGCCAGUAUCAUCAUGGUUGCCACCCGGGAUGGUAAUUGCUGCUGCAAACACUACAGUAGCAAUAAGCGCUGCUGCUAAUGUGUAACAUUUUGCUGUGCCUUUCAUCCAUUUCUCCCUUUCUUUUAUCAAUUUUUCAUGUUCCUUUAUAAAUGCCAUUUUCGGUUUAUCUUUUUUUUCAUUUCUCAGAUUCACUGAAGGCUCUCGGGGCAUAUUUUUCAAUUUCCUUUGUAAAAAUCAAAAUGUUUCUAAGAUACAGAAAAAGAGUGGAUAUGUAUAAGAAAAUUAAUUCCCCUUCAAAACAAAAAUUAUUACCUUAAACCAAUGUAACUCGCGUUGCAUUUGUAGAGCUGCACCAGAAACGAGACUGAGCCGGUGCGGAGGGGCCAAUUUUCCAACCAAAUGCAAGAUGUUAUUUAAAUCAUCUUUGGCUCGUAUUAUAAGUUCUCUAUGCAUAUCGGUUCCACAGAUGAGGUUGAAAAUCUUUUCAUAACGAUUUAAUACUGCCAAUUUGAAUACAUCCUCAUCCAGAUACUCGAGGGCAAAAGGAUAUGACUUCAUAAUCUCUUGCAGAAUCUCGGGAAUCCCAUAUUUUGC
This 226135-nucleotide long non-coding RNA is filed under the name Vitis vinifera (wine grape). RNAcentral describes it as "long non-coding RNA (VVIN_LNC006579)". The record is from RNAcentral. Lineage: Eukaryota; Viridiplantae; Streptophyta; Magnoliopsida; Vitales; Vitaceae.